Molecule: long non-coding RNA, 255648 nt
Filed under: Triticum aestivum (bread wheat)
Lineage: Eukaryota; Viridiplantae; Streptophyta; Magnoliopsida; Poales; Poaceae
Description: long non-coding RNA (TAES_LNC008265)
Source: RNAcentral
CCAUCAUCUCCUCAUCAACAACCUCCUUCUCAACCCGUCAUACGUACCUUGUGGAAGUAGUCUCAAGAAAGAAUGGCGCUGAAUACUAGGAAUGCAAUCGUUGCCAUUCUCCUCCUCGUCGUGAUGGUCGCGGCGGUCUCAACACCAGCGGUAACUGCCCAAGAGGACUGCUGGGACAAAUGUUUCAAGGACUGCAAGGCAAAAAUGGCAAUGGAAGUUUGCAACCAAAAGUGCAUUGACUUUUGCAUUUAUCAAGCUGGAGCCAGAGAAUAUGUUAAGAUGGCUGGCGAUAAACUCAAGGAGACCAAAACUGCCUCUCCAGAACAGGCCACUAUACUCAAGAAUCAAGCUACCACCUACUUAGAACGUGCCAAAGUCCUCAGCGAUAAAGCCGUGACCCCGUGAGUGUGAGUGCGCACUCUUUUGUCUAUCGGUGUCGCUGCUGUUAUGGUGUCUAUGGAUGUUUUACUUAUUUAUUAUUAAAUUGUCGCGGUUGCAUCCCAUAUUUUUUGGUUUCUUUCAUUUUUGUCUCUUUGUUAACAGACCGUCUUUUGUAUUAUGACGACAUGCUUGUUCCAGUGACUCCCUUUCUCUGUUUUUAUUGUCGAGAUUACUCAUGUGUAAUGGUUUUCCAUUGAUUUGGAUACAUAAUAAUAAAGAUUCUUGCUUCCUUUUUAAUGCCAUAUUCUCCUAUUUUAUCUGCAUGCAACAAGGAUUGGAAACUUGAGGAUGUGUGAAAACAAUCCGUCUACAUUCAACAACAAUUUAGGCACGCAUAUUCUAGAAAAGUAUCCGUGCAAGUUGUUGCACAUUUUUUCAGAAAAUGUUGUUCAUAUAUAUCUAAAAAAUAUAACCCAGGCAUUCACAUGUUUUCUUAAAAACAUCAUGUAAGUUGCCUGUGUGUUGUAAAAGAAGAAAUGGAAAACACCAGGAAACCACAUAAAUUAAAUAGUUUUUCCUAGGAAAUACUCGCAGGCGAAAACAUGGUGGCUGAGAAAAGACAGGGCAUCUAUAAUCCCCACUGCCACGGGGGCAAUCGCGCUUAGUCUUAUUAUUAUUUUCAAGACCGAUUGUUUCGACCGGCUCAAGACCGAUGCACCGCGGUCUGGAUAAACAGAAUAUUUCCAGUCCGGUUGGGGAAAAAACAACUGUACCGCUAAAAUUACACAAGAGGGUUAUGCAAAGAAGUGGUAGCCCAGUGCGAAAAUUUCUUGUUACAUUUUUUUCUCUUUUGAGAACCCGUUACCAAAUAGGAAAACUUGGCACCUCACAUUCCGUCUUGGAAUAUUUUCGUUUCUGCUAAAGGAAGAGAGAACCUGGCACCACACAUCCUGCCAGGGAAUAUCUUCACCUUUGCAGUUUCAUCAGGGAGUAUUUUCAGUUUUGGCAUUUGAACCUGAGGUGAUUUAGGUGGAACAAAUUGCCUCUGCCCACAACAUUAUUAUUUUCUAGUUCAUUACACAUUCAGUUAUGCUCUAUCUAUACCGGCCCAUUGUCUUGGAUUUUCAGAAUGUGUUAAUCGGUUGCUCCAUUCUGCAAUACAUCUGAACAAGAGACACAGGUUUUUCUUUUCUUUCGAACUGGGGCUCAUCCAGCUUCCAUUUGAUACUGUUAAUGGAAACAACACCAUACAAGCUUGAUAGAGCUCUAUAUGGACUGAAACAGGCUCCCAGGACAUGGUACUCACGACUAAGUCAGAAACUGCAAACACUUGUUUUCGUUCCUUCAAAAUUUGACACAUCCUUGUUCAUUUACAAUAAGUCAAAUACCACUAUAUUUGUUCUUAUUUACGUUGAUGAUAUCAUUGUCGCAAGUUCAUCUGAUGAAGCUGUGACAGGUUUGUUAAAGGAUCUGAGUGCUGAGUUUGCCCUUAAGGAUCCGGGAGAACUACAUUUCUUUCUAGAAGUUGAAGUUAAAAAACAUGGAGACAGUCUUCAUCUCUCUCAGGAAAAGUACGUCACUGAUCUGGUAAGGAGAGUUGGAUUGCAAGGAUAUAAGCAUGCACCAACACCACUAUCUAGUACAAAAAAAUUGUCACUUGCUGAGGGAGAACCCUUGAGUGAGGAAGAUAGUACCAGAUAUAGAAGUUUAGUGGGAGCACUUCAGUACAUAACUUUAACAAGGCCUGAUAUUUAUUUUGUUGUCAAUAAAGUAUGUCAGUUUCUUCAUGCUCCCACCAAAAUUCAUUGGACUGCUGCAAAACGCAUAGUGAGAUAUGUGAAAGAUACUAUGAAUCUUAGUCUUACCUUCAACAAAUCCUCUUCCACUCUUGUUAGUGCUUUUUCUGAUUCUAACUGGGCAGGAUGUCCAGAUGACAGAUGCUCCACUGGUGGUUUUGCAAUAUUCUUUGGGCCAAACUUGAUAUCCUAGUGUGCAAAGAAAGAAGCCAUGGUGUCAAGGUCAAGUAUAGAAGUUGAGUAUAAAGCACUAGCUAAUGCCACAACAUAGAUUAUAUGGGUUUAGUUCAUGUUGAAAGAGCUUGGUGUGAAGCACACUCAAAUUCCAUGUCUAUGGUGUGAUAAUCUCGGUGCUCCUUAUCUAUUUGCUAAUCCAGUCUUUCAUGCCAGGACAAAACACAUUGAGAUAGACUUCCACUUUGUUUGAGAAAGGGUAGCUAAUAAGCAAUUGGAGAUCCGUUUUGUGCAUUCACGAGAUCAGGUUGCAGAUGGAUUCACAAAGUCAUUAUGUAACAUCCCAAAUUUUCAAUUUGGUAUGUUAUACAUAGAUCGUCAUUGCAUAUCAUAUUUUAUUGCAUUUUGACAAAUCCUCGAUAAAUCCUAAGCAACUCAAGGACCCUCGGAGAGAGUUGGGGAUUUUCUCAAGUUUUCAUAUUUGAUUUUCCAUCAAAUAAUAAAACGAGGAUUUUGGUUUUAAUUAUUUUCUCUCCGGAAAAAUAUUUCAUUUUAAAAAUAAACGAGAGGAGAAAAUAUGACUUCUCCAAACCAAUUGAAAUACUGGAGAAAAAGUGUUAAAAUCAUUUAUUGGAAUUUAUUACGAUUUUAUUUGCAAUUUUAAUUGCAUUAAAAAUAUUGCAUGUUUUCAAAAAUUAUUUUUGUGUCAAAAUAAAAAAUGUUCACCCUAUUCUAGAUUUUCUAACUAGACGGGGAAAAUUUAUUUUAUCUUUUUUGGACUUUUAUUUAUUUUUCUACGAAUUUUUUCCGUGGAACGUAUUUAUAAAAAAAAAUGCGCGCCGCCCGAUCGGGCCGAGGCCCAGCCGAGCGCCGGCCCGCCCGCGCCGUCUCCUUGCCCAAUACGCCGCCGCCGCCGCUUUCCCGGCUCGGACUCCGCCGGAGCCGUGCCUUGCCCCCUCCCCCACGCCUCCAGCACCCCCCUCAUAUAUAGCCGCCGCCCCCCUCCUUCUCACCCCGCCGCCGCCCGCACCUGCCNNNNNNNNNNNNNNNNNNNNNNNNNNNNNNNNNNNNNNNNNNNNNNNNNNNNNNNNNNNNNNNNNNNNNNNNNNNNNNNNNNNNNNNNNNNNNNNNNNNNNNNNNNNNNNNNNNNNNNNNNNNNNNNNNNNNNNNNNNNNNNNNNNNNNNNNNNNNNNNNNNNNNNNNNNNNNNNNNNNNNNNNNNNNNNNNNNNNNNNNNNNNNNNNNNNNNNNNNNNNNNNNNNNNNNNNNNNNNNNNNNNNNNNNNNNNNNNNNNNNNNNNNNNNNNNNNNNNNNNNNNNNNNNNNNNNNNNNNNNNNNNNNNNNNNNNNNNNNNNNNNNNNNNNNNNNNNNNNNNNNNNNNNNNNNNNNNNNNNNNNNNNNNNNNNNNNNNNNNNNNNNNNNNNNNNNNNNNNNNNNNNNNNNNNNNNNNNNNNNNNNNNNNNNNNNNNNNNNNNNNNNNNNNNNNNNNNNNNNNNNNNNNNNNNNNNNNNNNNNNNNNNNNNNNNNNNNNNNNNNNNNNNCCUCCCCCGAGCACCCCCGCACCCCGCCGCCCUCGCCGCCCCUCGCCGGAGCCGGCCAAGCCCCGCCGGAGCCCGCCCCGACGAGGUAUACCUCGCCGCCGUUCGGUUGCCGGUUUUGUUUUAAAAAAACCGUUCGUUUAAAAAAACCCUAGAUCGUUUUUUUUUCGGUUUUGUUAUUUUGUGAGCGUUCACCGACUCGUUCGUUUUAACGAACGCGUUCGUCGGUUUUUCUCUAUUAACGAACGUCCGUUCUUUAACCGUUCGUCCGUUUUUCUUUUUCGUCGGAUUUUUCCGCGAUUAUCUUAGAUUUUGAUUUCUGAUCGAAUCUUCGUUUCUGUUUAACUUUUCGCUCGUUUAUCGCAAUCAGGCGAUUCAAGCGCCUACAGUUUCGUCUCUAAAUUCUCUUUCCGUUUAACCUACUCAAACAAGUUUUUGUUACUGUAAAAUUUGACCUAGAUCCAGAUUAGUAAACGAAGCUUGUUUCUUUCGCAGUUUGACUUUCGUUGCUUCGUUCGAAUUGAUUCUUUUUGCAAACCGGAGUUCGUAAGUUGAACUUUCUGGUUGGAUCUUUCAUUCGAGUUUUUACCUAUGCAUUAGAUGAGUACUGAUUGUAUGCUUGUUUGUUUGCGAUAGAGUACCCGGAGUGUGCCGCUUGUUACUUCGAAUCGCUAGGUUUCGCGGAUCAUCAGCAAGGCAAGUAACACUUUGAUCAUACUUUCCAUACCCAGUUUUAUUGCAUUAGAUCUAUUCCUCAAACAAUUGCAUGAUUAGGAUCUAAUUAAAUUGUGGGACUUUGGGAAGUAGUUGAGGUAGUACCUAUUACCUGUUCUUUUAUCAAACCCUUGGGAGUUACUUCUACGUUGCUAUUAUAUUGCCAUGCUAUGCUCGUAGACGUGGAUUGGGUUUGAGUGAAUUUUCCAUGACAGAUGUGAGAUUGUUAAUUAAUGGUUCAACUUAAGGUGGCAACUAAAACUCACAUCUGGGUGGAUUGAGGCACCUGGAGAACCCAGUGUUGUCUGUUUGUAUAAGGACCGCCACCCAGGCUCAAAGGGAUCAUAAGAUUAUUCAUGCUGGAAACUUCCGUGUGCAGCCACAAGCUAUUAUGGGCUCUAGCAUAGUUGAGUAAGUUGUGGGAAACCUUUCCAUGAUGGGCUAGCAGAUGUAGGGGAUUGUAGGUGUACCGGCCUAUCUAUCGGUUAAGGGGACCUCUUCGGAAAGACUGUGUCUUGGUCAUCCAUUUCUCAAACAUCAUGCAGUGCGAGAAUCAAGCGGAGGCGAUCGAGUCUUGUGGGGAAAAGUGCGCAAACCUCUGCAGAGUGUACAAACUAAUCAUGGUUAGCCGUGUCCCCGGUUAUGGACAACUUGAGUAUCUAGUACCUGGAUUAUCAUUUGAAUCUCAUCACCAUGUUACUUUUAAUUAAUUUUGUUGGGUUAAUGAUGAUUCUUAAUUGGGAUUGAGAUGCUGUCAACCAUCUCAAUGUUUCACAACUGCCAUGAUAGUUAAAUAAAAUUUAUUCCUUUGAAGUAGGGAAAAAUUGGCUUUUCGCAAAAACUUAACCAUAGAGCUUUCCACCAGCCAUAUAUGCAUGUAGUAUAGCAUUAUUAUUGUUCAUUAUUCUCUAUGUGUUACAUUGCCAGCAUAUUCUAUGUGCUGACCCGUUUUCGGGCUGCAACGUUUCAUGUUGCAGACUUUUCAGAUGACGAGUAAGGUGCCUUAGGUCGUGGUCUUAUACUCAGUGAUGCCGCUGGAGUUCAUGGACUCACUUAUCUUCCAAGUCUUCCGCUGUUAUCGUUUUUAGAUGGCCUUAAGCCAUAUUUAUCAUACUUAUUCUCUUUGAUGUGUGUGUCAGCAUUACCGAUCCAGGGAUAACACUGGUGCACAGCAGCACAGACCAUUUGAGGUCUGGUCGCUACAAAGGUGGUAUCAGAGCACACGCUGACUGUAGGACACGACCACUAAGCUUAAGCCCUAGAAAGCUUCUCUCUUCUCAUUUCUGACCCCUCUCCUUUUUCUACUCUUUUAGGAAUGGCGGAUGCAAGGAGCAAGUUCAUGCAACCCGAUGAAGACACGCCUUUUGGUCGACACUUGAAGGAAGUCACUAAGUAUUUGAACAUAGGAAUACCAAGCAUCACCGGAACCUACAACGCCACAUUACCCGAAGAGGGGAGCUGGAAGAUUCAAGUUCACAUUCCAGGAAGGACGUUUGUGCCAGUUACUGAACCCAUAAGAUUGGUUUUCAAGGCACCAACCUGGAGUUUAGGGAAGAGCAUGGCCGCUCACAUCGCUAUGGGACGCAUUGGAGAAGUCUACCACCAGGAGCUUAAGGAUACAAUUUAUCAGAUUUGUGGACGCCGAGACACGCAAUGGGAGAUGAUCAGAACCAAGAAGGAUGGAUCAAUCGCAGCUUCCAUCUAGGAGCAAAACCAACAUAUUCGUCGCCAGGAGAACCAGAUGUGCACGGACAAGGAAGAACUGAGGAAGGCAUUAACCAAGAUCAAGGAGCUGGAGGAAGAACUCAAGGCUACACGCGAGGAUUAUAUGGAGGAAAUCAUCGCACUAGUAGAGAAGAAUGACGACCUGGAGAAGAAGAUUGGAGUAUUCAUGGGAAAUCCAGUGCCAAAGGCAAAGGAUGACGAAUGCACUUGUCCGGAUAACUACAUCAUCAUCGACGACACCGACUCGGAACCAAGUGAAGAUGACUGGGUUGACGAAGCUAGAGCAGACAUCAUGGAGUCUUCAACGGAUCAGAAUUUCUAGUAGACCACCAUAUCAGUAGUAGUUUUCCCCCAUUUAAUAGUAUAGUUCAAGCACUUUGUAACGCUAGUUAGAUCGAUUGUUAUGCCUUGUUUGAAUUGAUUGAGUGAUAUUGAUUGUAUUUGUCUCAUGAGCAUAUGGGUAGUGUUUUCUCUCUAGACCUCAUUCUAUUCUUAACUUUCAUCUUUUCUAACCCAUCAGAUGCCUCCGAGACGCGACACCGGAUUUGUUUUCCCACCAGAGAUCACCCAGUUGAUUCAGCAACAGAAUGCCCUGAUGCAAGUGUUAGUGCAGAACCAAGGCAACAACAACAACAACAACCCACCGCCACCACCACCUGUUGAUCACUUAGCCCGUUUCUUAAGGCUAAACCCGCCGGUGUUUUCCAGUAGCACCGAGCCGAUUGCUGCAGAUGAUUGGCUCCGCAAAGUUGGAAGGGAGUUGACCACUGCAGGAUGCACAGAUGCGGAAAGAGUGCGUUUUGCCGCACAUCAGCUUGAUGGACCCGCAGCAUCAUGGUGGGAGAAUUAUACAGCCACGCGCCCUAUUGACACUGUCACAUGGGACCAGUUUCAGCAAGCUUUCCGUACAGCACAUGUUUCAGCAGGAGCUAUGGCUAUGAAGAAGCGUGAGUUUCGCAACCUACGCCAAGGAGGAUGCACCGUAGGCCAGUAUGUGGAGGAUUUCAGUAAGUUAGCACGUUAUGCACCAGACGACGUUGCUACAGAUGCUGCCAAGCAGGAGAAAUUUUUGGAAGGGCUGAAUGAUGAACUAAGUAUGCAGUUGAUGGUAGCAACCUUCAACAACUACCAGGAGCUGGUAGAUAGAGAUCUCAUGAUUGAAGGGAAGCAACAGCAGAUUGAAAACCGUAAGAGGAAGUAUGGACAAGGGAAGUACAAUUCUGGAGCUCAGCAGAAGCCUCGUUUUGCCCCGAAGCCGGGAGGAUAGUUUCAGCAUACCCAUGGAGGAGGUAGUUCGCACAACCAUAAUGGCUCUAAGAAUGGUAAUGGGAAUGGAGGAAGCAACGGACAGAACCGCACCAACCCAUCUACCCCAGCCAAGAGGGAUCUAAGUCAUGUUACUUGUUUCAAGUGCCAGAAGACUGGACACUAUGCAACUGAUUGUCCUGAAGCCCAAAAUGGAAAUGGCAAUGGAAGCUCUUGGAAGAAGCCGAACCCGUUCAACAAAGGACAUGUGAACCACGUGAGCGUGGAGGAGGUUGAAGCUCAGCCUGAUGCAGUAAUAGGUAAAUUUUUGGUUAAGUCAUUUGCUGCAACCGUUCUUUUCGAUACUGGUGCAUCGCAUUCAUACAUAUCAAGGGGAUUUGUGAAUAAGUUUAAGCUGUCCACCCAAGUUCUCAAAACCCCUAUGUUAGUAACCUCGCCAGGAGCAGAGUAUAUGGCCAGCCAAGGAUGUUUUCAGAUGCCGUUGGCCGUUGGAAGGCAUGUUUUCCCCUCAGACCUCAUAGUUUUGGAGUCGCAAGGUUUGGAUGUGAUUUUGGGAAUGGAUUGGCUAUCGUUGUAUGGAGGAAACAUCGAUUGUGCCAGCAAGACGAUUUUUCUUACCACCCCGGAAGGAAAAAGGAUCAAGUAUGUAUCCCGGCAUAUGCCGAAGAGGACCCAAGUGAAUUCAUUAUCAGGAGUUGUACAGGAGGAAGUACCAGUGGUGAAGGAUUAUCCGGAUGUAUUUCCAGAAGAGUUGCCAGGCAUGCCACCAGAUAGAGACAUUGAGUUCUUGAUUGAACUUUUGCCAGGCAUAGGGCCAAUAUCUAAGAGACCGUACAGGAUGCCCGCAAAAGAUUUGGAGGAAAUUAAGAAGCAGAUCAAGGAGUUACUGGAUAAAGGCUAUAUUCGCCCAAGUUCGUCACCUUGGGGAUCACCAGUACUUCUAGUGGAGAAGAAAGAUGGAUCGCUAAGGAUGGUUGUUGAUUAUCGUGGAUUGAAUGAAGUGACCAUCAAAAACAAGUACCCACUGCCAAUGAUCAAUGAUUUGUUUGACCGCCUACAAGGAGCUAAAGUAUUUUCUAAGAUCGAUCUACGAUCAGGAUACCAUCAGUUAAAGAUUCGAGAGCAGGAUAUACCUAAGACGACUUUUACCACCAGAUAUGGAUUGUAUGAGUAUACCGUUAUGUCAUUUGGUCUGACUAACGCACCUGCCUAUUUUAUGAACCUGAUGAACAAAGUAUUUAUGGAGUUUUUGGAUAAGUUCGUCGUGGUGUUCAUUGACGACAUUCUAGUCUUUUCCAAGAAUGAGGAAGAGGAUGAGGAGCAUUUGCGAUUGGUACUUGAGAAGCUCAGAGAACAUCAGUUAUAUGCCAAGUUCAGCAAAUGUGAAUUUUGGCUGAAGGAAGUUGGAUUCCUUGGACAGGUUAUUUCGGGAGAAGGAAUAGCAGUAGACCCUGCCAAGGUUGACACAGUGACAAGUUGGGAAUCACCCACGACAGUUGGAGAAAUCCGGAGUUUUCUUGGACUUGCAGGAUACUACCAGAGAUUCAUCGAGAAUUUCUCGAAGAUUGCUAAGCCCAUGACGGAGCUAUUGAAAAAGGACACCAAAUUCAAUUGGACUGAGGAAUGUGAAGCUAGUUUCCAAGAGUUGAAGGAACGAUUGGUUACAUCACCAGUGUUGAUUCUACCAGAUCAACGCAAGGAUUAUGAAGUUUAUUGCGAUGCUUCUCGUCGAGGACUUGGAGCAGUGCUUAUGCAGGAAGGAAGAGUUGUGUCAUAUGCUUCACGACAACUUAAACCCCAUGAGAAGAAUUAUGCUAUGCAUGAUUUGGAGUUAGCAGCCGUGGUGCAUGCAUUGAAGACAUGGAGACAUUUUCUCAUCGGAAACCAUUGUGAGGUGUAUACAGAUCACAAGAGUUUGAAGUAUAUUUUCACGCAAAAGGAGUUAAAUCUCAGACAGAGGAGAUGGUUGGAGCUCAUUAAGGAUUAUGAUAUGAGAUUGCAUUAUCACCCAGGAAAGGCUAACGUUGUAGCAGACGCGUUGAGCCGCAAGAGUCAUGUCAACACCCUCAUGACAGGAGAGUUACCUCAGGAGUUAGCCGAGGACCUUCGCGAGCUAUGUUUGGAGAUAGUCCCAAGAGGCUAUUUAGCGACAUUGGAGAUUCAGUCUACCUUGAUGGAAAGGAUCAGAGAAGCUCAGAAGACAGACAAGUAGAUUGAAGAGAUAAAGGAGAAGAUGAACAAAGGAAAAGCCAAGGGAUUUCGUGAGGAUGAGCAUGAUACCUUAUGGUUUGAGGACCGCGUAUAUGUGCCAAAUGAUCCGGAGAUCAGGAAGUUGAUUUUGCAAGAAGCCCAUGAUUCACCGUACUCAAUUCACCCAGGGAAUACCAAGAUGUAUUUGGAUCUAAAAAAUACUUUCUGGUGGACCGGAAUGAAGAAGGAUAUUGCAGAAUAUGUAGCAGUUUGUGAUGUAUGUCAGAGAGUGAAGGCAGAGCAUCAGAAGCCAGCAGGAUUGCUACAACCAUUACCGAUACCCGAAUGGAAGUGGGAUAAAAUAGGCAUGGAUUUUAUCACAGGAUUACCCAGGACUCGUUCAGGCUAUGACUCAAUAUGGGUUGUAGUCGACCGUUUGAUGAAAGUGGCUCAUUUUAUUCCAGUGAAGACCACUUACACCAGUGCUAAGUUGGCAAAGAUAUACAUGACCAGGAUCGUAUGUUUGCAUGGAGUUCCGAGGACCAUUGUAUCAGACAGAGGAACCCAAUUUACCUCGAAGUUUUGGAAGCAGUUACAUGAAACAUUGGGAACCAGGCUAGAGUUUAGUACAGCUUUUCACCCACAGACGGAUGGACAGACCGAGAGAGUCAACCAGAUUUUGGAGGACAUGUUGAGAGCUUGUGCACUAGAUUAUGGAUCUAGUUGGGACGACAAUCUGCCUUAUGCGGAGUUUUCUUAUAACAACAGUUAUCAGACCAGUUUGAAGAUGGCCCCUUUCGAAGCCUUGUACGGAAGGAGGUGUAGAACACCGUUGUUAUGGGACGAAGUUGGAGACCGUCAGUUGUUUGGACCAGAUUUGAUUAACGAGUCUGAACAGAAAGUAAGGUUGAUUCGCGAUAGGCUCAAGGUAGCCCAGUCCAGGCAGAAGAGUUAUGCUGAUUCUAAACGAAAGGAGACAGUUCACGAAGUCGGAGACAAAGUGUAUCUUCGAGUAUCACCACUUCAAGGAGUGAAGCGCUUUGGAGUUAAGGGAAAGUUAGCGCCCCGUUUUAUCGGACCAUACAGAGUUGUGGAACGUAUGGGAGAGGUUGCCUACAAGCUGGAAUUGCCCGAAGGAUUGUCUGGAGUUCAUGAUGUAUUUCACGUUUCCCAGUUGAAGAAGUGACACGCAGAGAUGGCUGAGAUACCACUGAGAGAUACUGUGCCACUGGAAGCAAUUCAACUGGAAAGUGAUUUGACCUAUGAGGAGAAACCAGUUAAGAUUCUUGAGUAUGCCAGCCGAGUUACCCGCAGUAAGGUUAUCAAGUUUUGCAAAGUCUACUGGAGUCACCACACGGAAGAUGAAGCCACCUGGGAGCGAGAGGAAGAUCUACGGAAGGACCACUCCCAGCUGUUUUCUAGCCAACCCGAAUCUCGAGGGCGAGAUUCAUCUUAAGGGGGGUAGGUUUGUAACAUCCCAAAUUUUCAAUUUGGUAUGUUAUACAUAGAUCAUCAUUGCAUAUCAUAUUUUAUUGCAUUUUGAAAAAUCCUCGAUAAAUCCUAAGCAACUCAAGGACCCUCGGAGAGAGUUGGGGAUUUUCUCAAGUUUUCAUAUUUGAUUUUCCAUCAAAUAAUAAAACGAGGAUUUUGGUUUUAAUUAUUUUCUCUCCGGAAAAAUAUUUCAUUUUAAAAAUAAACGAGAGAAGAAAAUAUGACUUCUCCAAAACAAUUGAAAUACUGGAGAAAAAGUGUUAAAAUCAUUUAUUGGAAUUUAUUUGGAUUUUAUUUGCAAUUUUAAUUGCAUUAAAAAUAUUGCAUGUUUUCAAAAAUUAUUUUUGUGUCAAAAAAAAUGUUCACCCUAUUCUAGAUUUUCUAACUAGACGGGGAACAAUUAUUUUAUCUUUUUUGGACUUUUAUUUAUUUUUCUACGAAUUUUUUUCCGUGGAACGUAUUAAAAAAAAAAUUCCGCGCCGCCCGACCGGGCCAAGGCCCAGCCGCGCGCCGGCCCGCCCGCGCCGUCUCCUUCGCCAGUACGCCGCCGCCGCCGCGUGCCCNNNNNNNNNNNNNNNNNNNNNNNNNNNNNNNNNNNNNNNNNNNNNNNNNNNNNNNNNNNNNNNNNNNNNNNNNNNNNNNNNNNNNNNNNNNNNNNNNNNNNNNNNNNNNNNNNNNNNNNNNNNNNNNNNNNNNNNNNNNNNNNNNNNNNNNNNNNNNNNNNNNNNNNNNNNNNNNNNNNNNNNNNNNNNNNNNNNNNNNNNNNNNNNNNNNNNNNNNNNNNNNNNNNNNNNNNNNNNNNNNNNNNNNNNNNNNNNNNNNNNNNNNNNNNNNNNNNNNNNNNNNNNNNNNNNNNNNNNNNNNNNNNNNNNNNNNNNNNNNNNNNNNNNNNNNNNNNNNNNNNNNNNNNNNNNNNNNNNNNNNNNNNNNNNNNNNNNNNNNNNNNNNNNNNNNNNNNNNNNNNNNNNNNNNNNNNNNNNNNNNNNNNNNNNNNNNNNNNNNNNNNNNNNNNNNNNNNNNNNNNNNNNNNNNNNNNNNNNNNNNNNNNNNNNNNNNNNNNNNNNNNNNNNNNNNNNNNNNNNNNNNNNNNNNNNNNNNNNNNNNNNNNNNNNNNNNNNNNNNNNNNNNNNNNNNNNNNNNNNNNNNNNNNNNNNNNNNNNNNNNNNNNNNNNNNNNNNNNNNNNNNNNNNNNNNNNNNNNNNNNNNNNNNNNNNNNNNNNNNNNNNNNNNNNNNNGCCCUCGCCGCCCCUCGCCGGAGCCGGCCAAGCCCCGCCGGAGCCCGCCCCGACGAGGUAUACCUCACCGCCGUUCGGUUGCCGGUUUUGUUUAAAAAAAACCAUUCGUUUAAAAAAAACCCUAGAUCGGUUUUUUUUCGGUUUUGUUAUUUUGUGAGCGUUCACCGACUCGUUCGUUUUAACAACGCGUUCGUCGGUUUUUCUCUGUUAACGAACGUCCGUUCUUUAACCGUUCGUCCGUUUUUCUUUUUCGUCGGAUUUUUCCGCGAUUAUCUCAGAUUUUGAUUUCUGAUCGAAUAUUCGUUUCUGUUUAACUUUUCGCUCGUUUAUCGGAAUCAGGCGAUUCAAGUGCCUAGAGUUUCGUCUCGAAAUUCUUUUUCCGUUUAACCUACUCAAACAAGUUUUUGCUACUGUAAAAUUUGACCUAGAUCCAGAUUAGUAAAUGAAGCUUGUUUCUUUCGCAGUUUGACUUUCGUUGCUUCGUUCGAAUUGAUUCUUUUUGCAAACCGGAGUUCUUAAGUUGAACUUUCUGGUUGGAUCUUUCAUUCGAGUUUUUACCUAUGCAUUAGAUGAGUACUGAUUGUAUGCUUGUUUGUUUGUUUGUUUGUUUGUUUGCGAUAGAGUACCCGGAGUGUGCUGCUUGUUACUUCGAAUCGCUAGGUUUCGCGGAUCAUCAGCAAGGCAAGUAACACUUUGAUCAUACUUUCCAUACCCAGUUUUAUUGCAUUAGAUCUAUUACUCAAACAAUUGCAUGAUUAGGAUCUAAUUAAAUUGUGGGACUUUGGGAAGUAGUUGAGGUAGUACCUAUUACCUGUUCUUUUAUCAAACCCUUGGGAGUUACUUCUACGUUGCUAUUAUAUUGCCAUGCUAUGCUCGUAGACGUGGAUUGGGUUUGAGUGAAUUUUCCAUGACAGAUGUGAGAUUGUUAAUUAAUGGUUCAACUUAAGGUGGCACCUAAAACUCACAUCUGGGUGGACUGAGGCACCUGGAGAACCCAGUGUUGUCUGUUUGUAUAAGGACCGCCACCCAGGCUCAAAGGGAUCAUAAGAUUAUUCAUGCUGGAAACUUCCGUGUGCAGCCACAAGCUAUUAUGGGCUCUAGCAUAGUUGAGUAAGUUGUGGGAAACCUUUCCAUGAUGGGCUAGCAGAUGUAGGGGAUUGUAGGUGUACCGGCCUAUCUAUCGGUUAAGGGGACCUCUUCGGAAAGACUGUGUCUCGGUCAUCCGUUUCUCAAACAUCAUGCAGUGCGAGAAUCAAGCGGAGGCGAUCGAGUCUUGUGGGGAAAAGUGCGCAAACCUCUGCAGAGUGUACAAACUAAUCAUGGUUAGCCGUGUCCCCGGUUAUGGACAACUUGAGUAUCUAGUACCUGGAUUAUCAUUCGAAUCUCAUCACCAUGUUACUUUUAAUUAAUUUUGUUGGGUUAAUGAUGAUUCUUAAUUGGGAUUGAAAUGCUGUCAACCAUCUCAAUGUUUCACAACUACCAUGAUAGUUAAAUAAAAUUUAUUCCUUUGAAGUAGGGAAAAAUUGGCUUUUUGCAAAAACUUAACCGUAGAGCUUUCCACCAGCCAUAUAUGCAUGUAGUAUAGCAUUAUUAUUGUUCAUUAUUCUCUAUGUGUUACAUUGCCAGCAUAUUCUAUGUGCUGACCCGUUUUCGGGCUGCAACGUUUCAUGUUGCAGACUUUUCAGACGACGAGUAAGGUGCCUUAGGUCAUGGUCUUAUACUCAGUGAUGCCGCUGGAGUUGAUGGACUCACUUAUCUUCCAAGUCUUCCGCUGUUAUCGUUUUUAGAUGGCCUUAAGCCAUAUUUAUCAUACUUAUUCUCUUUGGAGAUAUUCGAUGUAAUAAGUGUGUGAUUGCUACUCUGUUAUAAAUCCUCCAUUUGUACUGUGCGUGUCAGCAUUACUGAUCUAGGGAUGACACUGCUGCACAGCAGCACAGACCAUUUGAGGUCUGGUCGCUACACAUUACCUACAAGGAGUCUUGAGGAAUUCAAGCGUAAUCUCAACUUAACCAAGUUGUGAUUAAGGGAGAGUGUCAAAUGACACAUAUUGCAUCGUGUGAUAGCCGGCUCCACUCCUUGUAACCGAAUACUACAGAUAGGGAUAGAGAUAGGUAGUUUAUAGUCUCUGUUAUCUCUUGUAACUAGAUAUCUCUUCCUUCCUUCCCAAGUCUGUAAUACCAACAACUUGUAUGAUGUCCAAGGAGUGGAGCCCCUGGUUAUAUAACAUGCAAGCGUCGCCCAGAGCUAGGGUACGACGUUUCCCACAGGGCUCAUCCAGGUUCCAUUUGAUGCUGUUAAUGGAAACAACAUCAUAAACGCACAAAAUGCAACAAAAUGCUAAAUCAGAAGCCUCCACACACGGGCUACUAAAAGGUGAUUUUGACACCUUUCUGGGAGGGCUAGCAAGGUGGGUACAAGCGAGUACGUAGUUAGCAUUUUGGGCCGUGUGGAUGUGGAGUUCUUGCAUGUAACCAUCUUGUAAGAAUACUGUGGAUGGGGUCGUUUCCCUCCUUAUUUAAUACAUGAUACACACACUCGUGCGAUGUCUAGAAAAAAUCCUCCACUAAUGCCAAGAAAAACCCACUGAAACGCGCGCUAUCGUGUCGACAAACAUCCUUAUGAGGCGAAAAAAACCUGGUGAGACUCUGACGGAGUAGCAAAGGUGCCCAAACAUCAACGUCUAUACCUGACGCAAUAGGCAAACAAAUGAAUGAAAUGAUGCAGUCGUUUGAACCUCAAAACACAGUCAUUUCAGAAUCUCAAGACUGAUGCCUUCGACCAGCUCAAGACCAGCGCAAGGAGUUGGAUCAAGAAAGUGCCCUUUAGUUUGUGGUCGGCAUACACCACCCUGUGCAGGAUCACAGAAGGAAAUCUGUUGGGGCAAAACCUUGCCCUAGCUCUUCCUCGAGCCUACCUCUCCCUCUCUGUCACCUCAGUCUAGCAUACACUGAUCAGAGGAAGAAGAAAGCGAAGAGUUCUUUUAAGAACUCGUGAGGGAAUAUUUUCCGGGCACCUCACUUUCGUCCGGGAAUAUUUUCGGUUCUGCUAAAGGAAGAGAGAACCUGGCACCACACAUCCCGUCAGGGAAUAUCUUCACCUUUGAAGUUUCAUCAGGGAGUAUUUUCAGUUUUGACAUUUGAACCUCAAGUGAUUUUGGGGGAACAAAUUGCCUAUGCCCACGACAUGACGAUUUUCUAGUUCAUUACACAUUCGGUUAUGCACUAUCUACAUACAUUGUCUUGGAUUUUCAAAAUAUGUUAAUCCGUUGCUCCAUUCUGCAAUACAUCUGAACAAGAGAAACAUGUUUUUCUUUUCUUUCGAACUGGGGCUCGUCCAACUUCCAUUUGAUACUGUUAAUGGAAACAACACCAUACACGCACAAAACGCAACAAAUGAGAAAUCAGAAGCCUCCAAUAAUGCUAGGAAAAACCCACUAAAACGUGCGUUAUCUUGGAGACGAACAUCCUUAUGAGGCAAAAAAAACCUGGCGAGACACUAACGGAGUAGAAAAGGUGCCCAAACUUCAACGUCUACACCUGACGCAAUAGGCACACAAAUGAAUGAAACGACGCCGUUGUUUGAACCUCAAAACGCGGUGCAGUCGUUUCAGAAUCUCAAGACCGAUACCCGCAAAAAAAAGAAUCUCAAGAGCGAUGCCUUGGACCAGCUCAAGGCGGCUUCACACGAGCAACCAGGCCUUGUGUAAUCGAAAGAGAAGAAACAGAGCUGUGUAUUUAUUAAUUAGCGAAGUUUGUGUCCUGAGACAUAGUUAGUAAUCAUUAGGACUAGAAGAAUACAUGCGCCUUGCCGUGCCGUUUUUUAUGUUUUUCAUUUUUCUUCUAGUGUGAUCAGAGUCCUCGUAUUCUUGUGGUGCCCUUGUUAGGGCAUCUUCAAUGGAGAGGCGCCUAUUUAGGCGCUUAGUAAUAGGAAAAUAUAAUUACUGAAGUUGAGUUGAUGCAGGCGUCUGUUGGGCCAACGCACGAGCGCCUAACUGAGCGCUAAUAGAAUUUAUUUUUCUCAGAAAGAAUAUCCUUAUCGCUGGUUAAAGGGGGUCAUACGAACAGAAACGAAACAAGCGCCCGGCGACCGAACUAGCAUCGAUGCCAGCCCCAAUCCCUGGAUCGAAUAGGAUUAGCCCAAAACUGCCCGGAAUAGAACCCAGACGUCUAGCCUAAGCGCCCCCGUUGUAGAUGCCCUUAGCGGACUAGCCGCAGGAGGUUUCAACUUCUUCGAUCCAUCUAUAAUAAGGCCAAUGGGAGACUUUGCGGACACAGGAAACAAUAAUGUAAGUGUUUUCUUUGUUAGAGUUAUAUUAAGUGAUGUCUUUUGGCCUUUUGCAUUCUAGUCUCUUGGCAUCCUCUUGUAGCCUUUUGGCAUCCGCACGUAUGUGUAUAUAUGUUGGCUCAUUUGUUUUUGGAGGUUUUUCUGUGUGCGUUUAGGGUUUGUGUUUUUCUAUAAAGACGAGAUGGCGGCGGCUUCCUGAAGUUGGAAUAAGAUUCUUCGCGCCUAGUCCCCGUUCUGGUGGCACGUCUAGCAUCAUCGGAGGGCAUGUGGAGAUGUGUCUCCGACGGAUAUCACCGGAUUCGGUCGGUGUUUGUCUUUGGUGGAUCCAUGAUACGCCCAUUUUGCAUCAUGCUUUUAUAUCGAUAUUUAUUGUAUUAUGGGCUGUUAUUACCGUUAUGUUACAAUACUUAUGGCUACUCUCUCUUAUUUUACAAGGUUUAUCAUGAAGAGGGAGAAUGCCGGCAGCCGGGAUUCUGGGCUGGAAGAGGAGCAAAUAUUGGAAGCCUAUUCUGCACAGCUCCAAAAGUCCUGAAACUCCACGAAAGUCAUUUUUGAAAUUAUUAAUAAUUAUUGAGCGAAGAAAAUACCAGAGGGGGCCCACACCCUGGCCAGGAGGGUGGGGGCGCCCCCCCCUACUGGGCGUGCCCCCUGUCUCCUGGGCCCCCUGGUGGCCCUCCGGUGCCCAUCUUCUGCUAUAUGAAUGCUUUUACCCUGGAAAAAAAAUCAUAAGCAAGCUUACGGGACGAAACUCCGGCGCCACGAGGCGGAACCUUGGCGGAACCAAUCUAGAGCUCCGGCAGAGCUGUUCUGCCGGGGAAACUUCCCUCCGGGAGGGGGAAAUCAUCACCAUCGUCAUCACCAACGAUCCUCUCAUCAGGAGGGGGUCAAUCUACAUCAACAUCUUCACCAGCACCAUCUCCUCUCAAACCCUUGUUCAUCUCUUGUAUCCAAUCUUGUAUCCAAAACCACAAAUUGGUACCUGUGGGUUGCUAGUAGUGUUGAUUACUCCUUGUAGUUGAUGCUAAUUGGUUUACUUGGUGGAAGAUCAUAUGUUCAGAUCCUUAAUGCAUAUUAAUACUCAUCUGAUCAGGAACAUGAAUAUGCUUUGUGAGUAGUUACGUUUGUUCCUGAGGACAUGGGUGAAGUCUUGCUAUUAGUAGUCAUGUGAAUUUGGUAUUCGUUCGAUAUUUUGAUGAGAUGUAUGUUGUCUCUCCUCUAGUGGUGUUAUGUGAAUGUCGACUACAUGACACUUCACCAUUAUUUGGGCCUAGAGGAAGGCAUUGGGAAGUAAUAAGAAGAUGAUGGGUUGCUAGAGUAACAGAAGUUUAAACCCUAGUUUAUGCGUUGCUUCGUAAGGGGCUGAUUUGGAUCCACUAGUUUCAUGCUAUGGUUAGGUUUACCUUAAUACUUCUUUUGUAGUUGCGGAUGCUUGCAAUAGGGGUUAAUCAUAAGUGGGAUGCUUGUCCCAGUAAGGGAAGUACCCAAGCACCGGUCCACCCACAUAUCAAAUUAUCAAAGUACCGAACGUGAAUCAUAUGAGUGUGAUGAAAACUAGCUUGACGAUAAUUCCCAUGUGUCCUCGGGAGCGCUUUUCUCAUUAUAAGAAAUUGUCCAGGCUUGUCCUUUGCUACAAAAAGGAUUGGGCCACCUUGCUGGAUUUUAUUUACUUUCAUUGCUUGUUACCCGUUACAAAUUAUCUUAUCACCAAACUAUCUGCUACCUACAAUUUCAGUGCUUGCAGAGAAUACCUUACUGAAAACCGCUUGUCAUUUCCUUCUGCUCCUCGUUGGGUUUGACACUCUUACUUAUCGAAAGGACUAUGAUAGAUCCCCUAUACUUGUGGGUCAUCAAGACUCUUUUCCGGCGCCAUUGCCGGGGAGUGAAGCGCCUUUGGUGAGUGGAACUUGGUAAGGAAACAUUUCGAUAGUGUGCUGAAAUUUGCUAUCACUUGUUACUAUGGAAACUAAUCCUUUGAGGGCUUGUUCGGGACAUCUUCGCCCCGACCAGUAGAGCAAAGAAUUGCUCCUGAACCUACUGAACCUACUGAAAAUGUUUACUUUGAGAUUCCUUCGGGUAUGAUAGAAAAACUGCUAGCUAAUCCUUUUGCAGGAGAUGGAACAUUGCAUCCCGACUUACACCUUAUCUUUGUGGAUGAAGUUUGUGGAUUAUUUAAGAUUGCAGGUAUUCCCGAUGAUGUUGUUUAGAGGAAGGUCUUUCCUUUAUCUUUGAAGGGAGACGCAUUGACCUGGUAUAGGCUAUGUGAUGAUACGGGAUCUUGGAACUAGAAACGAUUGAAGUUGGAAUUUCACCAGAAGUUCUAUCCUAUGCAUCUUGUUCAUCGUGAUCGUAAUUACAUAUAUAAUUUCUGGCCUCGCGAAGGAGAAAGCAUCGCUCAAGAUUGGGGGAGGCUUAAGUCAAUGUUAUAUUCAUGCCCCAAUCAUGAGCUCUCAAUAGAAAUGAUUAUUCAAAAUUUUUAUGCUCGGCUUCCUCUUAAUGAGCGCACCAUGCUCGAUACUUCCUGUGCUGGUUCUUAUAUGUUGAAGACUACUGAAUUCAAGUGGGAUUUAUUGGAAAGAAUUAAAUGCAACUCUGAAGAUUGGGGUUCCGAUGAUGGUAAGGAGUCAGGUAUGACACCUAAGUUUGAUUGUGUUAUAUCUUUUAUGGAUACCGAUGCUUUUCGUGGAUUUAGCGCUAAAUAUGGACUUGACUCUGAGAUAGUAGCGUCUUUUUGUGAAUCUUUUGCUUCUCACGUUGAUCUCCCUAAGGAGAAGUGGUUUAAAUAUAAUCCUCCCACUGAAGUAAAAGUAGUUGCACCUAUUACAGUUGAAGAAAAGACCAUCACUCAUAAUGAUCCUAUUGUUCCUACUACUUACAUUGAGAACCACCUUUUCCUGUUAGAAUAAAGGAUCAUGCUAAAGCUUCAACUGUGGUUCGUAAGAAUAAUACUAGAACAUAUACACCUCCUGAGCAAAUUAAAGUUCAACCUAGUAUUGCUAUGGUUAAAGAUCUCUUGGAUGAUAAUAUAGAUGGGCAUGUUAUUUACUUCUGUGGUUAAGCUGCUAAUAUUGCUAAGCCCGAUGCUAAGAUACAUAAACCCGUUGUAGGCAUGCCUGUUAUUUCUGUUAAAAUAGGAGAUCAUUGUUAUCAUGGUUUAUGUGAUAUGGGUGCUAGUGCUAGUGCAAUACCUCAUUCCCUAUAUGAAGAAAUUAUGCAUGAUAUUGCACCUGCUAAGUUAGAAGGUAUUGAUGUUACUAUUAAGCUUGCCAAUAGAGAUACUAUUUCACCAGUUGGGAUUGUUAGAGAUGUUGAAGUCUUGUGUGGGAAAGUUAAAUAUCCUGCUGAUUUUCUUGUUCUUGGUUCCCCACAAGAUGACUUUUGUCCCAUUAUAUUUGGUAGACCCUUCUUGAACACUGUUAAUGCUAAGAUUGAUUGCAAAAAGGAUGUUGUUACAAUUGGCUUGGGGGAUGUGAAACAUGAGUUUAAUUUUGCUAAGUUUCAUAGACAACCCCAUGAUAAAGAUUUGCCUAGUAAGGAUGAAAUUAUUGGUCUUGCUUCUAUUGUCGUACCUCCUACUGAUCCGUUAGAACAAUAUUUGCUAGACCAUGAAAAUGAUAUGUUUAUGAAUGAAAGAAGGGAAAUAGAUGAAGUAUUCCUUCAACAGGGUCCUAUUCUGAAACACAACUUACCUGUUGAAAUCCUAGGGGAUCCCCCUCCACCCAAGGGUGAUCCCGUGUUUGAGCUCAAACCUUUACCUGAUAAUCUUAAAUAUGCUUAUCUUGAUGAAAAGAAGAUAUAUCCUGUUAUUAUUAGUGCUAACCUUUCAGAGCAAGAAGAGGAAAGAUUAUUGAAAACUCUGAAGAAGCACCAUGCUGCUAUUGGAUAUACUCUGGAUGAUCUAAAGGGCAUUAGUCCCACUCUAUGCCAGCACAAAAUAAAAUUGGAGAAAGAUGCUAAACCAGUUAGAGAUCCUCAACGAUGGUUAAAUCCUAAGAUGAAAGAAGUGGUAAGAAAGGAGAUACUAAAGCUCUUAGAGGCAGGUAUAAUUUAUCCCAUUGCUGAUAGUGAAUGGGUAAGUCCUGUCCAUUGCGUUCCUAAGAAGGGAGGUAUUACUGUUCUUCCUAAUGAUAAAGAUGAAUUGAUUCCGCAAAGAAUUAUUACAGGUUAUAGGAUGGUAAUUGAUUUCCGUAAAUUAAAUAAAGCUACUAAGAAAGAUCAUUACCCUUUACCUUUCAUUGAUCAAAUGCUAGAAAGACUAUCCAAACAUACACAUUUCUGCUUUCUAGAUGGUUAUUCUGGUUUCUCUCAAAUACCUGUGUCAGCGGAGGAUCAAUCCAAAACUACUUUUACUUGCCCUUUUGGUACUUUUGCUUAUAGACGUAUGCCUUUUGGUUUAUGUAAUGCACCUGCUACCUUUCAAAGAUGUAUGAUGGCUAUAUUCUCUGACUUUUGUGAAAAGAUUUGUGAGGUAUUCAUGGACGAUUUCUCCAUUUAUGGAUCCUCUUUUGAUGAUUGCUUGAGCAACCUUGAUCGAGUUUUGCAGAGGUGUGAAGGCACUAGUCUCGUCUUGAAUUGGGAAAAGUGCCACUUUAUGGUUAAUGAAGGCAUUGUCUUGGGGCAUAAAAUUUCUGAAAGAGGUAUUGAAGUUGAUAAAGCUAAAGUUGAUGCUAUUGAAAAGAUGCCAUGUCCCAAGGACAUAAAAGGUAUAAGAAGUUUCCUUUGUCAUGCCGGUUUUUAUAGGAGGUUCAUUAAGGACUUUUCCAAAAUCUCUAGGCCUCUGACAAAUUUAUUGCAAAAAGAUAUUCCUUUUGUCUUUGAUGAUGAUUGUGUAGAAGCAUUUGAAAUACUUAAGAACGCUUUGAUCACUGCACCUAUUGUUCAGCCACCUGAUUGGAAUUUACCCUUUGAAAUUAUGUGUGAUGCUAGUGAUUAUGCUGUAGGUGCUGUUCUAGGGCAAAGAGUUGAUAAGAAAUUAAAUUUUAUCCAGUAUGCUAGUAAAACUCUUGAUACUGCCCAGAGAAAUUAUGCUACCACCAAAAAAGAAUUCUUAGCAGUUGUAUUUGCAUGUGAUAAGUUCAAACCUUAUAUUGUUGAUUCUAAAGUUACUAUUCACAUUGAUCAUGCUGCUAUUAAAUAUCUUAUGGAAAAGAAAGAUGCUAAGCCUAGACUUAGUAGAUGGGUUCUCUUGCUCCAAGAAUUUGAUUUGCAUAUUAUUGAUAGAAAGGGAGCUGAGAACCCCGUUGCAGACAACUUGUCUAGGUUAGAGAAUGUUCUUGAUGACCCACUACCUAUUGAUGAUAGCUUUCCUGAUGAACAAUUAGCGGUCAUUAAUGCUUCUCGUACUGCUCCACGGUAUGCUGAUUAUGCUAAUUACAUUGUUGCUAAAUUUAUACCACCUAGUUUCACAUACCAGCAAAAGAAAAAGUUCUUUUAUGAUUUAAGACAUUACUUCUGGGAUGACCCACACCUUUAUAAAGAAGGAGUAGAUGGUGUUAUUAGACGUUGUGUACCUGAGCAUGAACAGGAACAGAUCCUACGCAAGUGUCACUCCGAACCAUAUGGAGGACACCACACUGGAGAUAGAACUACACAUAAGGUAUUGCAAUCCUGUUUUUAUUGGCCUCCUCUCUUCAAAGAUGCUCGUAAGUUUGUCUUGUCUUGUGAUGAAUGUCAAAGAAUUGGUAAUAUUAGUAGAUGUCAAGAAAUGCCUAUGAAUUAUUCUCUUGUUAUUGAACCAUUUGAUGUUUGGGGCUUUGAUUAUAUGGGACCUUUUCCUGCCUCUAAUGGAUAUACACAUAUUUUAGUUGCUGUUGAUUACGUUACUAAGUGGGUAGAAGCUAUUCCAACUAGUAGUGCUGAUCAUAACACUUCUAUUAAGAUGCUUAAAGAAGUUAUUUUUCCGAGGUUAGGAGUCCCUAGAUAUCUUAUGACUGAUGGUGGUUCACAUUUUAUUCAUGGUGCCUUUCGUAAAAUGCUUGCUAAGUAUGAUGUUAAUCAUAGAAUUGCAUCUCCUUAUCACCCUCAGUCUAGUGGUCAAGUAGAAUUGAGCAAUAGAGAGCUCAAAUUAAUUUUGCAAAAGACUGUUAAUAGAUCUAGAAAGAACUGGUCCAAGAAACUUGAUGACGCAUUAUGGGCCUAUAGAACUGCAUAUAAAAAUCCUAUGGGUAUGUCUCCUUAUAAGAUGGUUUAUGGAAAAGCAUGUCACUUACCUCUCAAACUUGAACAUAAAGCAUAUUGGGCUAUUAAAGAGCUCAACUAUGACUUCAAACUUGCUGGUGAGAAGAGGUUAUUUGAUAUUAGCUCAGUAGAUGAAUGGAGAACCCAAGCUUAUGAGAAUGCCAAGCUGUUUAAAGAAAAAGUUAAAAGAUGGCAUGAUAAAAGGAUACAAAAGCGAGAAUUUAACGUAGGUGAUUAUGUGUUGCUAUUCAACUCUCGUUUAAGAUUUUUUGCUGGAAAACUUCUCUCUAAGUGGGAAGGCCCUUACGUUAUCGAGGAGGUCGAUCGUUCCGGUGCCAUAAAAAUCAACAACUUCGAAGGCACAAAUCCGAAGGUGGUGAACGGUCAAAGAAUCAAACAUUAUAUCUCAGGUAAUCCUAUCAAUGUUGAAACUAAUAUUAUCGAGACCAUAACCCCGGAGGAAUACAUAAGGGACACUUUCCAGAACGUUUCAGACUCCGAAAAGGAAUAGGUAUGUGGUACGGUAAGUAAACCGACUCCAAAACAAUUCUAAUGGUAAUUUUUAUCCGUUUUGGAAUAUUUAAGAAUUUUGGAAAGCAAGAAGUAAUCCGGGAAGGACACGAGGCCUCCACGAGGGUGGAGGGCGCGCCCACUCUUACUGGGCAUGCCCCCCUGUCUCGUGGGCACCUCGUGUGCCUCCCGGACUCCGUUUUCUUGCACGUUACUUCUUUUGUUCGGUAAAAAUUCAUUAUAUAAUCUCCCGAAGGUUUUGACCACCGUAUCACGCAAAAAUCCUCUGUUUUUGUUUCAAGCUGUUUCUGUCGCAAAAUUAGAGCAAUAUGUCGUCCCAGGAUUCGGAGGGAGAAAGCUAUGUUGCUGAUUUCCUUGCAGACCCUAAGGUCUACGGGGACUUGGAGCAUGGUGGCUGGACCACUGAGGAAGAGGGAGACUAUGAGCCUAAGUGAAAGGAGGAUACGAGCUCAGACGAAGACGAAGCCCCAUUACCUCAACCUGGGGACAUGCAUGUGCAGUUUAAAAAGUCAAGCCUCCCUGAUAGAGCAAAGAAGCCAAAGAUCGAGUUUAUCCCUUUUCGUCUCUUGCAGGAAAAUAAACAGGAAUUAUGCAAAAGAAUAUUAAGCCUUGAGCAGGAGAUCGAUGAUCUAAAGGAGCAAAAUACUAUCCUCGAGCGUAAAUUGAGGAAGAAGCCUACAUCAUCAACAACUCCUUCUUCAGCACCUCCGAUGACAUAAUCACAUGGGUAUGGGCACUCCCCUUGGCAACUGCCAAGCUUGGGGGAGGUGCCCCGGUAUCGUAUCACCAUUACACUCCUAUCUUUACCGUUUUACUUAGUUCAGUCCUUUUAGUAAUAUCUUGAUCUGGUAGAAUAAAGUUUUGGUAUGAAUUAGUUUUUGAGUUUUGCUUUGUGAUCUCUUUAUGUAAUCGAGUCCGUGAGCUAUCUAUAAUAAAGAUUAGUGUUGAGUCAAGGGCUUUGCUAUCUUGCUAUGAUCUUGAGAAAAUAGAAAGAAUAAAAAGAAAUAAAAGAGUUCAUAUUGAUCUUAUGGAUAGUAAUGACCUCACAUAUAAAGAGUAUGAGGCAUAAAAGUUGUUGAGAGUUGACAAACAUAGUUUUGGUCAUCGUUGCAAUUAAUAGGAAGUAAUAAAGAAAGAGAAGCUUCACAUAUAAAUAUACUAUCUUGGACAUCUUUUAUGAUUGUGAGCACUCAUUAAGUAUGACAUGCUAAAGAGUUGAUGUUGGACAAGGAAGACAACGUAAUGGUUUAUGUUUUCUCACAUCUCAGUUAAAGUAUAUUGUCAUGGAUCUUCUUAACAUGUUGAGCUUGCCUUUCCCCCUCAUGCUAGCCAAAUUCCUUGCACCAAGUAGAGAUACUACUUGUGCUUCCAAAUAUCCUUAAACCCAGUUUUGCCAUGAGAGUCCACCAUACCUACCUAUGGAUUGAGUAAGAUCCUUCAAGUAAGUUGUCAUGUUGCAAGCAAUAAAAAUCGCCCUUUAAAUAUGUGUGACUUAUUAAUGCGGAGAAAAUAAGCUUUAUACGAUCAUGUGAUAUGGAAGUAAUAAAAGCGACGGACUGCAUAAUAAAGGUUCAUAUCACAAGUGGAAAUAUAAAGUGAUGUUCUUUUGCAUUAAGAUUUUGUGCAUCCAACCCUAAAAGCACAUGACAACCUCUGCUUCCCUCUGUGAAGGGCCUAUCUUUUACUUUAUGUCUUUUAUAUUAUGUAAGAGUCAAGGUGAUCCUCACCUUUCCCUUUUUCAUUUUAUCCUUUGGCAAGCGCCUCGUGUUGGAAAGAUCCUGAUAUAUAUAUCCAAUUGGAUGUAAGUUAGCAUGAGCUAUUAUUGUUGACAUCACCUAAAGGUGAAUACGUUAGGAGGCGAAAUUAUAAGCCCCUAUCUUUCUCAAUGUCCGAUUAAAACUCCAUAACCAUAAGUAUUGCGUGAGUGUUAGCAAUUGUAGAAGACUAUAUGAUAGCUGAGUAUGUGGACUUAUUGAAAAGCUCUAUCGUUGACUCUUUCCGAAGUUAUGAUAAAUUGCAAUUGCUUCAAUGACUGAGAUUAUAGUUUGUUAGUUCUCAAUGAAGUUUCUGAACCAUACAUGACAUUGUGAAUAGAUUGUUACUUGAGCAUAAGAAAUCCUAUGACAAAAUCUAUAUAUGUUGCUGUUUUGAGAAUGAUCAUGAUGCCCCCAUGUCCGUAUUUUAUUUUUAUCGACACCUCUAUCUUUAAACAUGUGGACAUAUUUUUUCGAUAUCGGCUUCCGCUUGAGGACAAGCGAGGUCUAAGCUUGGGGGAGUUGAUACGUCCAUUUUGCAUCAUGCUUUUAUAUCGAUAUUUAUUGCAUUAUGGGCAGUUAUUACACGUUAUGUUACAAUACUUAUGGCUAUUCUCUCUUAUUUUACAUGGUUUAUCAUGAAGAGGGAGAAUGCCGGCAGCCGGGAUUCUGGGCUGGAAGAGGAGCAAAUCUUGGAAACCUAUUCUGCACAGCUCCAAAAGUCCUGAAACUCCACGAAAGUCAUUUUUGGAAUUAUUAAGAAUUAUUGAGCAAAGAAAAUACUAGAGGGGGCCCACACCCUGGCCAGGAGGGUGGGCCCCCUACUGGGCGCGCCCCCUGUCUCCUAGGCCCCCUGGUGGCCCUCCGGUGCCCAUCUUCUGCUAUAUGAAGGCUUUUACCCUGGAAAAAAUCAUAAGCAAGCUUACGGGAUGAAACUCCGCCGCCACGAGGCGGAACCUUGGCGGAACCAAUCUAGAGCUCCGGUAGAGCUGUUCUGCCAGGGAAACUUCCCUCCGGGAGGGGGAAAUCAUCACCAUCGUCAUCACCAACGAUCCUCUCAUCGGGAGGGGGUCAAUCUCCAUCAACAUCUUCACCAGCACCAUCUCCUCUCAAACCCUAGUUCAUCUCUUGUAUCCAAUCUUGUAUCCAAAACCACAAAUUGGUACCUGUGGGUUGCUAGUAGUGUUGAUUACUCCUUGUAGUUGAUGCUAAUUGGUUUACUUGGUGGAAGAUCAUAUGUUCAGAUCCUUAAUGCAUAUUAAUACUCCUCUGAUCAUGAACAUGAAUAUGCUUUGUGAGUAGUUACGUUUGUUCCUGAGGACAUGGGUGAAGUCUUGCNNNNNNNNNNNNNNNNNNNNNNNNNNNNNNNNNNNNNNNNNNNNNNNNNNNNNNNNNNNNNNNNNNNNNNNNNNNNNNNNNNNNNNNNNNNNNNNNNNNNNNNNNNNNNNNNNNNNNNNNNNNNNNNNNNNNNNNNNNNNNNNNNNNNNNNNNNNNNNNNNNNNNNNNNNNNNNNNNNNNNNNNNNNNNNNNNNNNNNNNNNNNNNNNNNNNNNNNNNNNNNNNNNNNNNNNNNNNNNNNNNNNNNNNNNNNNNNNNNNNNNNNNNNNNNNNNNNNNNNNNNNNNNNNNNNNNNNNNNNNNNNNNNNNNCCCAGGAAUAGGGACAGAUGGGGCUCCAUGUGGCCGCUGCCGCUUGCCCAGGCAGGGGGGCCUUUUGUCCCGGUUAGUGCCACCAACCAGGACCAAAAGGCUUCCACGUGUCAGCACUUCAGGGGCUGGGUCUUUUUUUCUGAAAGGGGGGGGGGGUUUGGGGGGUUUUGUAGGGUUAAUUUAGGGGUUUCAUAUAUUGUGUUAGCUAGCAAAUAGAGAGAAAUGUCCUGUCUAAUCUCCGUGCUUGGUCGACGCUACGUAUAGAGAGGACUCGACACGCUAGCUAGCUAGUAAGCAAAUGAAGGAAACCAUUAAGUAUAGAAGAUCGUCAUGAACAUAUGCAUAGAGAGAAGUGAACAAUCUCUCCUUCUCCAAUAGAUUGGUCGAACAACAAGUUUUCGUAUAUCUAUCCGACGCUACUGGCUACAUAUAUAUAUACAAUAUAAGAUCUCUUACGUCCCCUAACAUCUGAACUCAACUUCCACAUGGUAUUCUCCGUGUUUGUCGAUGACGUGGUCAAGAAAGAAUCCCACAAAUUCCUCUUGAAUUGCUCGUAUGCGAUCUUGUGGUAGGAGUUCAUCCCGCAUCUGCCAAUCUAAUUUCAAGAAGGGGGUCAAUAUAUAUAUAUAUGAAUGAAACUGAACACAAAUCAUGGUAAUAAAAUAAAAUUGUGAAUAUUAUUGCUUACGCACUUCAUAUUGUUGUUUAGAGUAGCCCCCCUCACAGGUGGUGUGGUGGAUGAAAUCGCAAAUGUAGUGUCCACAGAAAUCAUUCCCGGGUUCCUGCCACAACCACUUUACAAGAAAUAGAGGUCAAUCAAACUGAUAAGCAAGCAUGCUAAAUGGUAUUGAUGAAACUAGCUAGAAUCAAUGGGAGAUGCACGGAACUAGGUAGGCUAGCACUUACUUUCGGGUGGUUAAAUCACAGCUGCACCGGCAGUCCCGGAGCUUGUGCGGUGAACUUUUUGCAAACCCUGCCAGACAAAGAAAACAAUUACUUGAUAUCAGGAAAUGAACAAAGUUGCCGAUAUGGUGCGAUAAUGAUCGAUUGAACUUACUUCUCGCGCAUUUUAGUCACGGUCGCAUACUCCUCCGGAUUUUUUCGUUUGGAGUCUAUGACGGUUACCAGUCCCUGCUCAAGCUUAAUCUCUAGCAGAGUAAAGUGGAAGUUACGCACGCAUGCAUAACUCAUCAAUUACAUUACCAUAACCUCGAGUAAUAAGGGAAACCGAAUAUGCACAAGACAGUAACACUCACUUGUAUUCUUAAGGAAAGAGUAUUGUAGCUUUGUUUUGAUUUCGAAGUACGAUGCGAGCAAGUUGGCCUCGGUUUCUCUGGCAGAAUGUUUAACACUUCAUUCAUCCAUGAGAUUUAUGUUAAUGAACCCAAUAUCACCUACUUGUCUGUUCUUCAAUUCUGCGAUCUUCAAUCUGCAUAAUAUAGUGAGGAUAAUUGUAUAUACAUGCAAUGAAAGAGCUGAGCUAUAUAUAGAGACUUAAUUAAUUACAGAGAAGUAGUACUUAUAAACAGUAGCAAGUGAUGAUUGUUUUAUCGAGGGCCUUUUGAUUGAAAAACUAGAAGAACUCCUCAUAUGGAACUAACAACACAUCAAUUCCAACGAGGUCGUGCUCCUCUUUAACUCUCAGCGACAAAGUAUUUUUCCCAGACUUCCUGCAGAUGUCCAUGUACCAAUCAUGGAAUCUUCGCAUCACCAGGUCUGACGAGAGGCUUCCCGUGCUCGAAUCUUAAUGUGUCCACCUCCAUUGUUUAAAAAAAUUGCAUCGUUGUCGGUCAUGUAAUCUCUAGGAUUGGUACCGGGCAACAUCCCCGAAAGAUUAGCGACGAUAUCGCUAGACACAUUGAGAGAGGGGCACGAUUGCUUCGCUUGUUCGCCGAGCUGGGGAAUUUUUUCCCUUCUUCGUUCUGCUAGCCUUUGCCGAGCUAUACUCCUAGACGCCGGAGCAGCCGGAGCGGCUGCAGUUGUCUUCUUUCGUUGCUAAAGAAGCGGAGUAGCCGGAGGCAGACUGCUACGACGCGCCAGAGCAGCCGGAGCGGCGGCGUCUGUGUUCCGUCAUCGCUUACGAGGCGGCGAAGGAGGAGGCGGACUGCUCGGACGCGCCGGAGCAGGCGGAGAAGGUGGCGGAGUACUACCGCCCUCACGUGCCGGAGCAGGAGGCGGGCUGCUCGGACACGUCGGAGCAGGCGGAGAAGGAGGCGACUGCCGCCCUCACGCGCCGGAGCAGGAGGCGGAGGGCCGUGAUCACUCGCCGGAGGAGGAGGAGGAGGCGGAGUGCCCAGCUGACUCGUCGGAGCCCUGAAGUUCAGAAGGUUGAUGUGCUGCUUCCGCAAUAGACACAGAGUCUUCAUAGCAAGACCUAGCUGAGUCUCCCCAUCUCCUGUAGGGUGGUCAAGCUGGAGCUCCUAAAAUCCCUCCGUUAUUUCGUCCACCAUCACAACAGCAUAGCCUUGUGGAAUCGGACUGUAGUGAAAAGUUGCUCCGGGUGAAGGAGGGAACACAGAGCCGACAGCCGCCUUGACUUUGAGUUGAAGCCAUUGCGUCAUAAGGUGGCACUAGUGUGAAUCCGUGAUAAAAUCCACGGGGUAGCUAGGACCCGUCAAGUCAGGCUGCUGAACAAGCUCGGUGGAAGCCACGCUGCUUCUCCGCUGAGAUGGCGGGGUAACUUCUGGGGCAGGAUCUCGCAGCUGCUGGUUCUCAACAUCUCGUUCCUCUAGCUUUCUUACCCUUGCAUUAAGCUCCUGUAGUUCGCUCUGCUCCACUUUCCUCCUCCUCUCUUGGGUUUUGUAACUGCCUGCGUCGGGAAACCCAGCCUUCCACGGAACGGAGCCUGGCGUGCCUCGUAUUCGUCCAGGGUGCUCAGGAUUCCUGAGGGCCCUUGUGAGCUCGUCGUUCUCUCUGUCGGGAACGAACUUCCCUUCCCGCACUUCGUUGAUUUCUUUCCGAAGCUUCAUGAUGGGUGUUGCAAGUUGCUCGUUGGUCCAGCAGUACUUCCCUGUUUCAGGGUCCAAUGUUCCACCAGCCCCGAAGAACCAAGUCCUACAACGGUCUGGCCAGUGCAAUGUCUCUGGUUCGACUCCUUUAGCAAUCAGGUCCUGCUCAGCCUUGUCCCACAACGGCCGGGCUUUGAGGUAGCCACCUGACCCUGUGCGAUGGUGAUGCUCCUUCUUUGCAGCAUUUGUCUUGUUAGUCGCUAACAUCUUCUUACUCCUCUCCGAUGUCCUGUUGGCCACAAAUGCGGGCCAGUGAUCUCUUAUCUUCUCAAAUCGGCCGGUGAAUUCUGGAGUCUUGUCUUGGUCGACAUACGUUGUUUUCAACUCAUUCUUCCACCUCCUGAAUAGAUCUGCCAUCUUCUUGAGAGCACAGGACUUGAUCAAUGGUUCUAUAACUGGAUUCUCCAGAUCCUCCUCUUCCGGUAGGGUGAAAUUUACCUUCAGCGCUUUCCAAAGAUCUUCUUUCUGUCUAUCUUCGACAAAAGAAACUUGAAGCUCUUCCUUCUUAGGCUCAUUCCAUAGCUCGAUGCUGAUCGGGAUCAUGUCCCUAAGAAGAACCCCGCACUGAGCAGAAAAUGCUUCCUUGGUCCGGAGGGGUUUAAUCGGUUGGCCAUCGCGCACGAUUUCUGUGAUCGUGAACCUUUCAUCCGGGCGCAACUUUUUCUUUGGGCCUCGUUUCUUUACUGAAGUAUUGCUUGAUCCGGAGGGCUGUAUAAAAGAAGAAAGAAGAGUUAAUAUAUGUACAUACCAAAACAAUUAAUGCAACAAUUAGCUAGUCAGCACAGGCUUAAUAACUCAUGCCACCCAUAUUCAACUGGACAUAUGUGGCUAGAUCUUUCCUCACCACAUGAUGCCUGCCAAAGGAGAAAAGUAAAAAGGAAUAGAGAGAAAAACUUUGACUCUUGCAUAAAAGUAAAAGAUAGGCCCUUCGCAGAGGGAAGCAGAGGUUGUCAUGCGCUUAUUUGUUUGUAUGCUCAACCCCUUAAUGCAAAAGAAUGCCACGUUAUAUUGCCCCUUGUGAUGGCAACUUUUAUUAUGCAGUCUCUCGCUUUUAUUCUUUGCUAUCACAUGUUCGUACAACGCUCAAUUUUCUCUUACACUAAUGAUCUCACACUUUUAGAAUAGGUGACCAUCGACUUGCAACUAGGGGGGUGUGUGUGUUUAUUCGUGGCCCCCAGUUUGCAACUUGACCAUCGACUCACAACUAGGGUGUCUCUGUGUGUGUGUGUGUGUGUGUGUCAAGGGGUCCCCAGUUGCAAGCCGCUCAUCGACUCGCAACUAAGGAUGUGUGUGUGUCUUUUUGUCAAGGGGUCCCCAGUUGCAUCUCAACCAUUGACUCACAACUAAGGGGUCCAAAGUUGCAAGUAGCGGAGUGCGUGUUUGUUGAGGGUCCCAGUUGCAAGCCGACCAUCGACUCGCAACUAGGAGCGGGACGGGGGUGGUGUAUUCGUGUGUUUGUCAAGGUCCCUAGUUUUUGCGAGUCUAUCAUCGAGCCGCAACCGAAGAGGAGGGGGAGAAGUUUGUUUGUACAAGCCCCUGUUGCUAGCCGAGCAUCGACUUGCAACUAGGGGGAGGGGGAGGGGAAAUUUUGUUUCUGUACGAACCCUUAUUUUUUUGCAUGUCAACCACUGAAAUCACGAUUGAGAGGUGCCGGUGUCUGUGUGUGUUUGUUGAGGACCGAUUCAACCAGUUCCAAGUCGAUGCUCGACUCGCAUUUUUUUUACAACUAUUUCCAUUUUUUUGAUAAUUUUUUUCCUUUUUUGAUGGAACAAAUCAAAGGAUUUUCUACUUUGUUUUUAAUAUAACUACAUUUUGUAAAAAAAAAUAUAAUCCCUAGUCUUUACUAUGAUCAAUAUUCUAUAAUAAUUAUUAAAGUAUUUUUUAUAUCAAAUAUUCUUACAUGGUAUGAUCCCGUGUAUGUUUUUUACACAAACAACCUUUUGUGUAGGAGCAUAAAGGCCAAUUUUUGAACUCAACUGCAUUAUAAUUUUUUUUGAGGGUUUUUCUGCAAGAUGUCCAAAGUUUGCAACGGAUAACACCAGGUUGUGCGGCUCUGCUUCUAUCUCUUUUCGGCCGCCACUGUUUGAAUCGGUGGGAGAGAAGCUGGGCAGAGUCGGGGGUGUGUACAUCAAAGACGAUGGCCUGUGAUGUCGCCGCCGACGAGCCACCCGCCAUCCACACCGUAUUGGAGCUUCGCGCGCUCGACAAGGCCCCGCCGUCUGCCACGUCCAGGAGCCCCGCGUGCCCGACAAGUCCCCCACCGUCUGCACCGUCCGGGAGCUCCGCGCGGGCGACGCGCCGUCCGCCAUGGGCAGGGCCCCCGAUCUCUGCGCCGGUGACACAGAGCACGCGACACACGAUCGAGUAAGACCAAGUCCACAUCACGCUAUCUCGAUUAUGUUUUUUUUUCAUUUGUAGGCAGAGUUCCACUUUGGUUCCACUCUGUUCAACUCAGCGCCGCGAAUUGAACUGUAGAAUGCGUCGUCUUGCUGGUGAAUUUUGUGUAGGUCACGUUGGAGUAGGGGGUUGGGCAGCAGGGGGAUGAGGAUUUUGAUUCAUUGAGCCAGGAUUUUCUAUUUGAUUGAAGUCUGUAUCUGCUAGAGAAAUUGUACAGCAAGUCUGAAUUUGUUAGAUUCAGAGUACCAUAGCAUUUCUGAACUUUUUUAUAGUGUGCUUAUGUGGCAAGGGGGGUGAUUUUAGGUGUUUAUCCCUAGGAGGGGCUUUUUAUGGUGAUCAAUGUGUUUGAACAGACUAGCCGUUCAGCCAUCUCAAUGCCAUUGCAGCACAAACACCAGCACCUAAGCUACUUGUAUGUGCAGAUGUCCCAGUUGUCCUUGUUUUGAUUGGCUUAUUUUAUGGAACAUCAUUCUCUGUGUAGAUGACAUCACAAUUCACAACAAUGUACUACUUAGUACAGCCGGGAUGGUUACCGGAUUACUUAUGACACUUUUUUUUUCAAAAAGGCCCAACAAUGACAACCAAAACAAACAACGACAAAAAAACUAACAAGGUAAAAAAUGACAAUAAAAAAGGACCGUUAUUGUGUUUUUUUACCUAGGAUAAGGAUAGUGCAGGCCUGCCAGGGAAACGGGAUGGGACAAGAAAAAGGGAUGUCAUGCAUACGUCAUCUGAAUAAGACCAUUUUAUGUCUCAUUCGAAUGAGUUCCAGGCGCUCCCAUUAUUGUUUUUCAUGUCUGCAAAGUCUCCCUAUCUGCCUUAUAUUAUAGAUAGAUAGAUAGAUGGAUCAAACAAGUCAAAAUCUGCUACGGCUAACAAGGGCAACACACGAAUAGGAGGACGCGAUCACAUCCUAAUAAUUUAUACUAACUACUGUAUAUCACAAGGGACACAAAUAAACUUUGCUAAUACUAAUAAAUAAAAAGAGUUCCUUUUGGAUCUGAAUCCAGAUGGAAACCGAGCCCAUUCCUUUUCUUUCUAGCACGAUUACACAUGGAAGGAAUCCCGUGAGCCCAAGGACAUACCCUACCACUGGGCGGAGGAGGAAAGGGCCGCCGGCGGGGAGUGGUUGUCGCUGGCGGCGGCGGCGGCCGAGAAGGGCUCAGCUGGCGGCGGCCUUCCCAAAGGAGAUCGGGUCAGUUAGGGUUUUUCUUUUUUUCACAACAUGGCCUCCCUCGACCACGACAAAACCUGCAAGCACUGUAUUAGACGAAACGGGCUAAACGUUGUUAAUUCAGUUCGGUCUGGGCUUUACCCUUUUGUGUCUGGUUUCGGCCCAUGGAUGCCUGGUUUCUAGUUACUCAAAAAAAGGACAACUGGUUUCUCGAAAUAAAAUAAAAUUGGUAGGUCGAAAAUUUGAAGAAAAUAACCCAAAUUUGAGCAAUUUUGCAACAACUUCCCUUUUAUUACCUUUUGGUCACUCAUCUGCAUCAAAAAUGGCAAAAUAUAACCUUUCUUUACAAUUAGUUAGGUCGAACAUUUUAUCUAGGCCCUGCAAAAAGAACAUUUUAUCUACGAAUAAAGUGUGCACAUGGGCAAAAUGGACAAGAAUAACCUAGAGGCGAAACAAAUUCACAUAAUAAAAUCUCCUCAAAAAUUAUUUGACAGAGGUAACCCUUUCGGGUAGCGUCCAACUCGUGGAUGCUAUGCUUUGUGCCGUAGCGCUAUUCUGAUGGGCGAUACACGCCUUUGCCAGCGUGGCGUCACGGGGCCAGGAUGGGCCCCACCCCUGGCUAAGUAGCGCCUGAGGCUCGGGCGCUAUCCUACCUCGCAUGGGGCCUCUCUGUCAAGCGCUAUACUGCCACUUAGUAACCGGCGCGAGCCGGCCCUCCCGCCCGCUCGCACACCCCUUCCACAAAGAAAGAGGAUGAGAGGGGUGGCCGCGGUUUCCUAUCUCUCCCCAGGAUUUGAAUUUUUUUUCUCCGUGGAUUUCAACUCUAGUCCCUACCACAAGGUAUUCUCCGCCGCAUCCCUCCUUUUCAUGUGAAAAAUCCUUGCCAUUGUUUAUCCUUGUGCAAGUUAAUUUGGGUGAAACCCUAGCUAGUUCUUUAUGGAUUCAAAUUUUCUAUGAGAAACUGAAAUAAUGUGGCGGUGAUUUAGGCUUUGUAGACGAGUUGUAAUCAUAGGGGAACAUGUGUGUUGUUGAUUUGUAUUGUGAAUCAUGUUGCAGAGGAUUUUGUGUCUAUGUAUGAAAUAAUACUCACAAAAGCCUUCUGCACCAGCUCAUUCCGAUUGUGCACCGGCUCAUUCUUCUUGCCGUACAAGCAGUGUAUCCGGGGUUCACCCCUGCUUGUGAAUAAAAAUGUGUCGCUAUUUCUCGCACACAACGCUGUCCCGUUUUGGAACGACCGACCUUAUUCUGGGUGCAAGGAGCCAAAUGCCGGGGUCCGAGGAUGAGAGCGGACGCCAAGGCCAAGUCCUAACAACAUCUUUAGCAGACCCCGUAUAAAGCCGCGACCGUAAAAUAACCGCCAAAAUACGAGUCGGCGCGGAAAAUCCCGCCCGACCAGACCCAGCAACACGUUCGACCCGUAUGUUUUUUGAGGGGCGCGGCAAAAUCCCAUCCUCAACCCGCGAAAACGCAGGUUUUUGCCCCGCCCCUACGGUGCCCCGUAUCCCAGGAAAGCGGUUGGCGGGAGGGACAUUUCAGCCUGCGCUCUUUCCCCACCCCCUUCCGCCGCCGCUCGCCAUUGGUUCCGCCCGUCCGCCGACGGUGAUUCCGGCCAAACCUGCGGACGCAAGCGGGCCACGGGGGCGCCCCUACCCUCUUCCGCCGAGCCGCUGCCCCGGCUCCCCGGAUCCGCCGAUCCGAGUCGCCCCUAACCGCCGUCGCCACCCGGGAUCCGCUGCCCAGGAGCCACCCCUAGUCGUCGCCGCCGCCUCCGCAUCCCCUGUCGGAGAGCCACCGCCCCGAGCAGCCGGUGUGUAUGUACUUGUGCUAGUGCCGAUCGGUAUGCGUUGUUAAUUAACGCGGCAUGCGUGUUUGUGAAUUUAGAUGGAAUUGAGCCCGUGCGAGAAGUUUUUACUAGACGAUUCGUCUGAUUCGGACGACUCGGAUGUUGAGACGCUGCUUGUCAACUACUGCCAGCAGAUGUUGGUGAUGGCCCUUGCUGUCAAGGAGCACGAAGAUGAGAACCGAAAGAGGCGGCGAUGAUCGACCGUCGGACGUCUUUGCAUUCCUCAAAAUCGCCAUCUCGAAAACGAGAUAUUGAUGCAAGACUACUUCACGGACAGUCCAACAUAUCCGCCGCACCUCUCCCGAAGAAGGUAUCGAAUGCGCCGAUCCCUCUUUGUGAAAAUUGUGCAAGCUUGCGAGGCCAAUUGUCGGUAUUUUACUCAAAGAAGAAAUGCUGCUGUUGACACCACAUUUUGGCAUGACAUAAAAGGCAAAUAAGAUGACGUCGAGUGAAAGGGUUUUCAGCGUGAAAAGUUUCACGUCGCCGAGUGGAACAACUUUGUUGUUUCGGUUAUCGUCAUCCGACCUUAUCUUAGGGACCGAAAUUGUACUCCGAGUGGCAGGAUUUAGUGUUCUGAGUGGUUUUCGGCCGAUCACACUUUCAAGACGGCCUCGGAUGAAGGAGCACUCUAAAGGAAAUGUCUUCGUCUUGUCGAGGCAAUCGAUUUUGAUAUAUAAAUUAUCUCAAUCCUAGUUCAUAUGCAAAAGUUAGAGACAAUACACUACAGACCGAACCUAAACGAAAAUAUGGCGCGAAGUACCAGACACCCUGUCUGAUGGGUCGCGUGAGCAAUUAGGCCCUCAAGAUGGCCUUGAAUCGAAAAUCCUUCAACACGGAAAAGUUUCGUCUCGUCGAGAAGAUCGAUUUUCAUAUAUAAUAUGUCUCAAUUCGAGGUCGUAUGAGACCUGGAGAGACAAAUCAAGAUCAGGCUAUGUUUUCAGUCGGGAAUUCCGAGUGAAAACUUACCGAUCGAGUGAAAGUUUGCCGUCUGGGUGAACUUAUUUUCAUCCGAGUGAAAAUAUUGUUAUCCAAGUGAAAAGAUUACCAUCGGGAUGAAAGCUUGCCGAUUGAGUAAGAGAUUGCCUUCCGAGUGAAAAUAUAGUCAUCCGAGUGAAAGAUUGUCUUCCGAGUGAAAAUUUUGCCUUCCGAGUGAAAAAGUCCAGUCGGACGAUCCGAGUGAAUGACUCUAAUAUCCGAGUGGAUGAGCUCGAAUCCGAGGGAAACUGAACAUGUGCCCGAAAGUUUAUCAAGAUUACCUCGGAUGGAGAAGUGUUCAAUACGGAAGUUGUGCAUAUUGUCAAAACGGUAAACUUUGGUUUUGGAGUCAUCAUCAUCAGAGAUAGUAUAUGGCCUGCAAAUUCACUACGAGACUCGGACAAUCCAGUCUGCUGCAAGACCGAGUCCGACUGGAAGGUAAAGUUGACCUCGAAAAGUAUUCAAGAUGGCCUUAUUUGAAAAAGUGAUCAACAUGAGAGUUGUUCGUAUCGUCAAGGCGCACAAGUUUGAUAUUUGGGUCGUCUUGAUCGGAGAUCAUAUGCAAGCUCGACGGCCCGCGCAAGGAGGAAGACAGAAGUUGGGCCAGAUUCAGACUGAAUCCGAGUUGGAAUAGAACUAGGACUCUAGGACGUGAAUUGAUGUAAUUUUUUGUAAGGAAAUCCUAGAUGAAUCCUUUACUUGUACGGGAAGUCCAGCCGCCUCUUAUAUAUGUUGGGGUGAUGGUCGAUUGAACAAAACCAAUCGAACCAAUCAAUCUAUUACACUUUUGUGUUCAUCUAUCUUUAUCGCCUACCCUUGUAUCUUUCUUUCUCGUUCUUCAUUCGUUCUUCGCAUUGGAGGGCAGCGAUCCAUGAGGCUCUAGGGGCGAGCGAAUCAACCUAGGGCAGCCCAUAGCCGCCGCACUCCCUGACGGGGUCCCUCCCGGGCUUGUGGGGUUUCGGGUCUUCAAAAGCGCCCGCCGACUGUCCUGCGUAUCGCGCUGUCGGUCGGGUCUCCUUCGACGUGAGUUGUGGUGCAUCACCCCCUGCGUAGAGGGUACACGUGACGUGUUCGUGUGUCAACAGCUGCGGGCUUGAAGGGAUUUAGUGCAUAUCAAAAAUCUCGGCAGCUAUGUGGGUAAUUGCAUACGGCAUUCCGGCUGACUAUGCCGAUGAGUACCUUCGCAUUGGUGAAGAUGCUACAAUUGAGUCAGUGCGUAGGUUUGCCAAGUGAUCAUCCGUGUCUUUGGUCUUGAAUAUCUUCGGGCACCCAACGAGGAAGACACAAAAAAAUUGAUGGCAGCUAAUGAUAGAAGAGGUUGGCCUGGCAUGCUAGGUAGCAUAGAUUAUAUGCAUUGGACAUGUAAAAAUUGCCCAAAGGCAUGCCAGGGAAUGUAUUGUGACAAGUCUCGUGAUGCAACAAUUUUGCUAGAGACCGUAGCAUCCGAGGAUUUAUGAAUUUCGCAUUGCUUUUUUGUUAUGCCGGGUACUCUCAAUGAUAUCAAUGUGUUGUAACGGUCUCAUUUGUUUGCUAGGCUUGCUCGUGGUGAUGCUCCUGUUUGCAACUACACUAUCCAUGGGCAUGAAUACACAAAGGGGUACUAUCUUAGAGAUGGUAUAUACCCUCUUUGGUGCACAUUUGUCAAGAGCAUCAGAGAGGCCCAAACUAGGAAAUAAUGUGAAUUCACAAGGGUACAAGAGGCAACCCGAAAAGACAUUGAAAGAGCAUUCAGGGUUUUGCAAUCUAGUUUUGCCAUUGUUUGUGGUCCUGCUCGUUUUUGGGACAAGUGAACCUUGAAAAACAUCAUGACAUGCUCUGUUAUUCUUCACAAUAUGAUAAUCGAAGAUGAGAUAGGCAUGAACUUGGAGUUCUUCUACUACAAUGUGGGUAGCCGUGUCAAACCAGUUAGAGACCCUAAUCGCACUAGAGCUUUUCUUCAGACCUACAAGGAGAUUGAACAUGCAAACACCCACUUUUAGCUUUAGGAGGAUCUCAUUGAGUACCAUUGGCAAAGGGCUGGCCAGUAACACAUUCCAUUUUUCCAUUCAUUUUCAUUUAAUUCAUUUGUGAUUUGUAUUCGGGACAAGUUUUGUAUUGAAUUAUUCAGUUUGCUUCGGUGAUUUGAAUAAUUAUAUUAAUUUGGAUAAUUGUUGUAUCGUCAAAUUGACAUUUUUCCUUAUAUUGCAAAUUAGCAAUUCUGAAUAUGUGCAUAUGUGUCAAAUUCAGAUAAAACCGCAAACGACUUUGCAGGCCGACGCGGUUGGGCACAGAGUAAGACACCGCAUAGCGGAACUGUAAAAUGGAAUAUCCGCGAGUAUUCCUUUUUACAGUUCGGUUUUGCGGGGUCUGACUCUGCGCCCGCCCGCGCCUUUUUCGAUGAUCUGUAAACGUGUUUUGUGUGUCGGCGUUAUACGGGGUCUGAUAGAGAUGCUCUAAGUCUUUCACAGCUCCCGGAAGCAAAACUAGCUGCUAGAGUGCAUUGUUCCGUCAUCCAAUUUUGACCGAGUCAACAAUUUCUCAAAGCUCUCUCAUCCAAUUCUUUUAUUCUAUACACUAUGCUUCUUAAUUUUUGAAGGCGCAUAAUUAAUUGAGGUAUUCAAUUUAGAUUUGGGUCAUCCAGUUUUGACCUGGUCAACAAUUUCUCAAGCUACCCCAUUAAAUUCUUUUAGUUCACUAUGUUCCCUGAUUUUGAAGCUCUUUCAUUCAGGUAUUCAAUUUUGUAUUUGGUUUACGAUUUUAACUGUGCCAAUGAUUUUUCAAAUCAAUCACCAGCAACCGGCUUAUAACAACAUAAUAAUCCGGUGCACCUUCCCACCACCUGGAAAAAGAAGUGUCAUCAUGUGAUAUUGUAGCACUAAUAUAGUACAUAUGCAGCCAUCGACACAAAAAUUUCCCCACAUAAAUAUAGCUUGGUUAGCGUAUAACACAUAAUCACACCAGGAAAGGCCCACCAAAUCAACGCGUUAUGAAUAAAAAUAAAACACACUAUCAUCUCCCGCACCCGCCAAACUAAAUAUUCCAUCAGUUUCAAAUAUAAGGGGUAUUAGUUUUUUAGAAAGUGAAAAUUAUUUAUCUUUGACCAAGUUUAGAGAAAAAAUAUCGACAUCCAUAAUAUUAAACAAAAAAGGUAUAUAAAUUCAUUUCGUGAUGAAUCUAAAAAUACUGAUUUGAUAUUAUGGUUUUUGACAUAUUUUUGUAUAAAUUAAUCAAAUAGAAAAGGUUUGCCUUUUCAAAAAGGCAAUAUACCUUAUAUGUUUAAAGAGAGUGAUUAUUUGUUGAGAAACCCAACAACACGAAUGACGUAACAAAGCGCGUCCAACCUUUCUAGUUCAGAUGAUUUUCAAAAGAAAAGUACUGAUGGUCCUCCAUGAUGCAUGGCCAUGUCAGAAGUAGAUCAGUAGAAUUUUAUCAGGAAUGACCCCGUGCAUGCAUUCCUCGUAACAUUUACUUGAACCAUCGAAAAUAAAGCUUUCUAGCUAAUCCCUUGGCACCAAUUUGUGGUUGGAUAAAAAUAAGGAGGAAUGGCCACCGUGCACCCAGAUCGACAUGUAUGUCACUUACAACGUGGGGUUGUCCAUGUAUCUCUCACGGCCACACUUUUUUCUCCUAAGCAUGCUAUUUAACCGGACAAUGGCCAGAACUCCAUCCAGAAACCAUCAUCUCCUCAUCAACAACCUCCUUCUCAACCCGUCACACGUACCUUGUGGAAGUAGUCUCAAGAAAGAAUGGCGCUGAAUACUAGGAAUGCAAUCGUUGCCGUUCUCCUCCUCGUCGUGAUGGUCGUGGCGGUCUCAACACCAGCAGUAACUGCCCAAGAGGACUGCUGGGACAAAUGUUUCAAGGACUGCAAGGCAAAAAUGGCAAUGGAAGUGUGCAACCAAAAGUGCAUUGACUUUUGCAAGUAUCAAGCUGGAGCCGGAGAAUAUGUUAAGAUGGCUGGCGAUAAACUCAAGGAGGCCAAAACUGCCUCUCCAGAACAGGCCACUAAACUCAAGAAUGAAGCUACCACCUACUUAGAACGUGCCAAAGUCCUCAGCGAUAAAGCCGUGACCCCGUGAGUGUGAGUGCGCGCUCUUUUGUCUAUCAGUGUCGCUGCUGUUAUGGUGUCUAUGGAUGUUUUAUUUAUUUACUAUUAAAUUGUCGCGGUUGCAUCCCAUAUUUUUUGGUUUCUUUCAUUUUUGUCUCUUUGUUAACAGACCGUCUUUUGUAUUAUGACGACAUGCUUGUUCCAGUGACUCCCUUUCUCUGUUUUUAUUGUCGAGAUUACUCAUGUAUAAUGGUUUUCCAUUGAUGUGGAUACAUAAUAAUAAAGAUUCUUGCUUCCUUUUUAAUGCCAUAUUCUCCUAUUUUAUCUGCAUGCAACAAGGAUUGGAAACUUGAGGAUGUGUGAAAACAAUCCGUCUACAUUCAACAACAAUUUAGGCACGCAUAUUCUAGAAAAGUAUCCGUGCAAGUUGUUGCACCUUUUUUCAGAAAAUGUUGUUCAUAUAUAUCUAAAAAACUAUCACCCUGGCAUUCACAUGUUUUCCUAAAAACAUCAUGUAAGUUGCCUGUGCGUUGUAAAAGAAGAAAUGGAAAACACCAGGAAACCACAUAAAUUAAACAGUUUUUCCUAGGAAAUACUCGCACGCGAAAACAUGGUGGCUGAGAAAAAAUAGGGCAUCUAUAAUCCCCACAGCCACGGAGGCAAUCGCGCUUAGUCUUAUUAUUAUUUUCAAGACCGAUGCUUUCGACCGGCUCAAGACCGAUGCACCGCGGUUUGGAUAAACAGAAUAUUUCCAGUCCGGUUGGGGAAAAACAACUGUACCGCUAAAAUUACACAAGAGGGUUAUGCAAAGAAGUGGUAGCCCAGUGCGAAAAUUUCUUGUUACAUUUUUUUCUCUUUUGAGAACCCGUUACCAAAUAGGAAAACUUGGCACCUCACAUUCCGUCUUGGAAUAUUUUCGUUUCUGCUAAAGGAAGAGAGAACCUGGCACCACACAUCCUGCCAGGGAAUAUCUUCACCUUUGCAGUUUCAUCAGGGAGUAUUUUCAGCUUUGGCAUUUGAACCUGAGGUGAUUUAGGUGGAACAAAUUGCCUCUGCCCACAACAUUAUUAUUUUAUAGUUCAUUACACAUUCAGUUAUGCUCUAUCUAUACCGGCCCAUUGUCUUGGAUUUUCAGAAUGUGUUAAUCGGUUGCUCCAUUCUGCAAUACAUCUGAACAAGAGACACAUGUUUUUCUUUUCUUUCGAACUGGGGCUCAUCCAGCUUCCAUUUGAUACUGUUAAUGGAAACAACACCAUACAAGCUUGACAAAGCUCUAUAUGGACUGAAACAGGCUCCCAGGGCAUGGUACUCACGACUAAUUAAGUCAGAAACUGCAAACACUUGGUUCGUUCCUUCAAAAUCCGACACAUCCGUGUUCAUUUACAAUAAGUCAAAUACCACUAUAUUUGUUCUUAUUUACGUUGAUGAUAUCAUUGUCACAAGUUCAUCUGAUGAAGCUGUGACAGGUUUGUUAAAGGAUCUGAGUGCUGAGUUUGCCCUUAAGGAUCCGGGAGACCUACAUUUCUUUCUAGGAAUUGAAGUUAAAAAACAUGGAGACAGUCUUCAUCUCUCUCAGGAAAAGUAUGCCACUGAUCUGGUAAGGAGAGUUGGGUUGCAAGGAUAUAAGCAUGCACCAACACCACUAUCUAGUACAGAAAAACUGUCACUUGGUGAGGGAGAACCCUUGAGUGAGGAAGAUAUAUAGUACCAGAUAUAGAAGUUUAGUGGGAGCACUUCAGUACAUAACUUUAACAAGGCCUGAUAUUUCUUUUGCUGUCAACAAAGUACGUCCGUUUCUUCAUGCUCCCACCAAAACUCAUUGGACUGCUGCAAAACGCAUAGUGAUAUAUGUGAAAGAUACUAUGAAUCUUUGUCUUACCUUCAACAAGUCCUCUUCCACUCUUGUUAGUGCUUUUUCUGAUUCUGACUGGGCAGGAUGUCCAGAUGACAGACGCUCCACUGGUGGUUUUGCAAUAUUCUUUGGGCCAAACUUGAUAUCCUGGUGUGCAAAGAAAGAAGCCAUGGUGUCAAGGUCAAGUACAGAAGUUGAGUAUAUAGCACCAGCUAAUGCGACAAUAGAGAUUAUAUGGGUUUAGUCCAUGUUGAAAGAGCUUGGUGUGAAGCACACUCGAAUUCCAUGUCUAUGGUGUGAUAAUCUCGGUGCUACUUAUCUAUUUGCUAAUCCAGUCUUUCAUGCCAGGACGGAACACAUUGAAAUAGACUUCCACUUUGUUCGAGAAAGGGUAGCUAAUAAGCAAUUGGAGAUUCGUUUUGUGCAUUCACGAGAUCAGGUUGCAGAUGGAUUCACAAAGGCAUUACCUACAAGGAGUCUUGAGGAAUUCAAGCGUAAUCUCAACUUAACCAAGUUGUGAUUAAGGGAGGGUGCCAAACGACACAUAUUGCAUCGUGUGAUAGCCGGCUCCACUCCUUGUAACCGAAGACUACAGAUAGGGAUAGAGAUAUAGGUAGUUUAUAUUCUCUGUUAUCUCUUGUAACUAGAUACCUCUUCCUUCCUUCCCAAGUCUGUAACCCCAACAACUUGUAUGCUGUCCAAGGAGUGGCGCCCCAGGUUAUAUAACAUGCAAGCGUCGCCCAGAGCUAGGGUACGACGUUUCCCGCAGGGCUCAUCCAGGUUCCAUUUGAUGUUGUUAAUGGAAACAACAUCAUAAACACACAAAAUGCAACAAAAUGGUAAAUCAGAAGCCUCCACACGCGGGCCUACUAAAAGGUGAUUUUGACACCUUUCUGGGAGGGCUAGCAAGGUGGGUACAAGCGAGUACGUAGUUAGCAUUUUGGGCCGUGUGGAUGUGGAGUUCUUGCAUGUAACCAUCUUGUAAGAAUAUUGUGGAUGGGGUCGUUUCUCUCCUCCUUUAACACAUGAUACACACAUUCAUGCGAUGUCUAGAAAAAAAGCCUCCACUAAUAACAGGAAAAACCCACUGAAACGCACGCUAUCGUAUCGACAAACAUCCUUAUGAGGUGAAAAAAACCUGGCGAGACUCUGACGGAGUAGCAAAGGUGCCCAAACAUCAACGUCUAUACCUGACGCAAUAGGCAAACAAAUGAAUGAAAUGAUGCAGUCGUUUGAACCUCAAAACACAGUCAUUUCAGAAUCUCAAGACUGAUGCCUUCGACCAACUCAAGACCAGCGGAAGGAGUUGGAUCAAGAAAGUGCCCUUUAGUUUGUGGUCGGCCUACACCACCCUGUGCAGGAUCACAGAGGAAAUCUGUUGGGGCAAAACCUUGCCCUAGCUCUUCCUCGAGUCUACCUCUCCCUCUCUGUCACCUCACUCUAGCAUAAACUGAUCAGAGGAAGAAGAAAGCGAAGAGUUCUUUUGAGAACUCGUGCGGGGAAUAUUUUCCUGGCACCUCACUUUCGUCCGGGAAUAUUUUCGGUUCUGCUAAAGAAAGAGAGAACCUGGCACCACACAUCCAGUCGGGGAAUAUCUUCACCUUUGCAGUUUCAUCAGGGAGUAUUUUCAGUUUUGACAUUUGAACCUCAGGUGAUUUAGGGGGAACAAAUUGCCUGUGCCCACAACAUGAUGAUUUUCUAGUUCAUUACACAUUCGGUUAUGCACUAUCUACAUACAUUGUCUUGGAUUUUCAAAAUAUGUUAAUCCGUUGCUCCAUUCUGCAAUACAUCUGAACAAGAGAAACAUGUUUUUCUUUUCUUUCGAACUGGGGCUCGUCCAGCUUCCAUUUGACACUGUUAAUGGAAACAACACCACACACACACAAAACGCAACAAAUGGGAAAUCAGAAGCCUCCAAUAAUGCUAGGAAAAACCCACUAAAACGCGCGUUAUCUUGGCGACGAACAUCCUUAUGAGGCAAAAAAAAACCUGGCGAGACACUGACGGAGUAGAAAAGGUGCCCAGACUUCAACGUCUACACCUGACGCAAUAGGCACACAAAUGAAUGAAACGACGCUGUCGUUUGAACCUCAAAAUGCGGUGCAAUCGUUUCAGAAUCUCAAGACCGAUACCCGCAAAAAAAGAAUCUCAAGAGCGAUGCCUUGGACCAGCUCAAGGCGGCUUCACACGAGCAACCAGGCCUUGUGUAAUCGAAAGAGAAGAAACAGAGCUGUUUAUUUAUUAAUUAGCGAAGUUUGUGUCCUGAGACGUAGUUAGUAAUCAUUAGGACUAGAAGAAUACACGCGCCUUGCCGUGCCGUUUUUUAUGUUUUUCGUUUUUCUUCUAGUGUGAUCAGAGUCCUCGUAUUCUUGUGGUGCCCUUGUUAGGGCAUCUUUAAUGGAGAGGCGCCUAUUUAGGCGCUUAGUAAUAGGAAAAUAUAAUUACUAAAGUUGAGUUGAUGCAGGCGUCUGUUGGGCCAACGCACGAGCGCCUAACUGAGCGCUAAUAGAAUUUAUUUUUCUUGGAAAGAAUAUCCUUAUCGCUGGUUAAAGGGGGUCAUACGAACAGAAAGGAAACAAGCGCCCGACGACCGAACUAGCAUCGAUGCCAGCCCCAAUCCCUGGAUCGAAUAGGAUUAGCCCAAAACUGCCCGGAAUAGAACCCAGACGCCUAGCCUAAGCGCCCCCGUUGUAGAUGCCCUUAGCGGACUAGCCGCAGGAGGUUUCAACUUCUUCGAUCCAUCUAUAAUAAGGCCAAUGGGAGACUUUGCGGGCACAGGAAACAAUAAUGUAAGUGUUUUCUUUGUUAGAGUUAUAUUAAGUGAUGUCUUUUGGCCUAUUGCAUUCUAGUCUCUUGGCAUCCUCUUGUAGCCUUUUGGCAUCCUCAUGUAUGUGUAUAUAUGUUGGCUCAUUUGUUUUUGGAGGUUUUUCUGUGUGCGUUUAGGGUUUGUGUUUUUCUAUAAAGACGAGACGGCGGCGGCUUCCUGAAGUUGGAAUAAGAUUCUUCCCGCCUAGUCCCCGUUCUGGUGGCGCGUCUAGCAUCAUCGGAGGGCAUGUGGAGAUGUGUCUCCGACGGAUAUCACAGGAUUCGGUCGGUGUUUGUCUUCAGUGGAUCCACAUGGAUCUGGCCUUAGUUAGUAUGUGUUCUUGUGUCUUUAGAUUGGAUCCUUCUGUUCUACUCUUCUCUUCAUCGGCGGCGAUUGUUGUUCUGGUGCGUUGGUCCUCUUGGGCCUUAGUACGACGAUUUCCCGACUAUCUACCACAACAAGGUUUGCCCGGCUCCAGUGAGGGAGGGGCGAUGAUGGCGGCGCGCCUUCGGCUCGCUCCAGUGCUUUUAGUCGUUGCUAGGUGGUCUAUGGACUUGGAUGUAAUUCUAGUGUUCUUUGUACUGCUUUGAAGAUGAUGAAUAGAUUGGAAGUUUAUCCCGCAAAAACAAAUAAUAUAAGUUGCUAUUCCCAACAUGGUAUUAGAGCUCUAAGUAUUAUUUUUCCGCACACGCAACUCGUGCUGCUCCCGAUCCAAACUCCUACACGGCCGCCGUUGUUCUCAUUCCUUCCGGUCGUGAUUUUGUUUUUGCCUGCGUCCAUCUUCAGCUACAGGAACUUCCCAUCCAAGUUAGCUUGUUGAUCCAGCAGCUGGCUAGUUGUUGCCCUCACGCGGAAUCCAUUGUUAAUCAAUUUGGUCCCGAUCGAUUUGGCCCUGGCAAGUACAAUUGACAAGAAUGACCACCUCUGAAUCAAAAUAGCACAAAAGACCAGUUGAGCCGUGGCAGCAGGCCCGACAAGCGACACGUGUCACUUGCCGCCACAGCCAAAAGCGGCAGGGCCUGCCGCUGCAGCGUGUAGCGGCACCACUUAUGUCACAGGUUUUGAAGUGAUGCGGGAACGGAAAACGGGAAUGGGCGUUGUCAUUGCACCUGCCGGCUAGGCAUGUGGCGGCAGGUUGCUGCAUGUUGUACGUCAUGAAGCGCAUACACGUCCAGUCCUAUAGCAUGCAUGCAUGUGCAGUCUGCCUCGUGUAUGUCUAGUCCUAUCAUGCAUACUUUCCUCUCUCUCUUGCUACAUGCGCAUUCCUCUUUCUUUCCUAGCACAUACCUUCUCACUCACACACAUCGCAGCAUGCAGCAACAGGCCUGCUGCCACAGCCUCCGGCGGCAGGUGCCAUGUCUAUACCCAUUUCCCGUUUUCCGUUCCCGCAUCAUUUCAAAUCUUGUGAUAUAUGGGGUGACACGUGUCGCACGUGGGCUUGCCGCCACGACUUAGCUGGUUUUUUGUGCCAUUUUGAUCCAGUGAUGGUCUUUUUUGUCUAUUGCAGUCGUCGGGUAGUCUUUUUGAACAAAAAUUCUCGCGUGGAAUCGGCUGGAUAAUAUUGGAUCCGAUCGGACUUGGUCUCAAUCGAUCCAGCCGCUGGCCGCUCGUCCUCCUCCAAGGACGCUGCCGGCCGUGGGCCUCGUCCGCGCCGCCGCUGCUUUCUGUGGCUGCCGGCCACCGGCCUCGUCCGCGCGCCGCCGCUGCCUUCUGUGGCCACCAGUAGUCGACCCCGUCUGCGCCGCUGCUGCCGACCGCCGGCCUCGUCCGUGCCACUGCUGCCUUCUGCAGCGCCACCGGUCGCCGGCCCCCUUUGCGCUGCUGCUACCGGCCGCCGGCCCCGUCCGCGGCGCUGCUGUCUUCCGCGGCUGCCUGCGGGGCGCUCACGUGGUUACGUGAGUGGCUGCUGUCGUUUCUUGUCCGGGUGUCUACUGCUCCAGAUCGCGACUCUGUCUAAUCGAUUUGGUCCUCGUUCGGCUGGCUUUUCGUCUGAUUGAUCUGCUGCUGGUUCUGGCCGCUCUCAUCUUGGCCAGAUAAGUCUUGGGUGACCUUUGCUAUUCUAAAAAAAGACAAAAAAGGAGCACCAUGUCUUUGGCGUCAUCGGGCUAUGUUGCCAUCCCGCGCUGCCCGGUGAUAUUCGAUGGGGCUAACUAUGUUGAGUUCGUUGCCUUUAUGUGCAUUCACAUGCAUGGCAUUCAUCUCUCGGGUGUUCUUUCUGGUGAGGUCCCCCGUCCUCCGCGCCCAGUACCUCCUGUGGCUCCUACCCCACCGCCGACGCCACCAGCUCUUGACGCAGACGCUUCUGAUGCUGAUAGGGCUACAACCAGGGUUGCUGUUGAUGAUGCGACUGCCGCUUAUGACCAGGAGGUCUUGGAUUAUUCAAAUGCUCUUUAUGUUUAUCGUGACGAUCUGGCUUCUUACACUGAAUGGCGUGAUGAUGACGCUCGUGCUGCGACUGUUCUCACUUCCAGUGUUUUGCCUUAGUUUGCUUCUGAGUUUAUAGGCCUCGGUACUGUCUUUCAGAUGUGGACUCAUCUUUGUCAGCGCUAUAAGCCCUUUGGUGAUGCUCUCUACUUGUGUGUGGUCCUUCAGGAGCAUGCUCUUCAGCAGGGAGACUCCACUAUUGAUGAGGUCUACACUCAGAGUUCUGCUUCUGGCGCCAGCUUGACUCGCUUCGCACUACUAUUUGUGGCACUUGCUCGUGUUGCCAGACUAUGAGGUCAGACUUGGAGUUUCAGCGCGUCUAUGAGUUCUUGUCACGGCUCCGUGGGGAGUUUGAGCCUCGACGUGCUCAGUUGUUUGCUCGUGGCCGUGUUCCUAUUUCCGAGGUGUUUUCUCAGCUUCAUGUUGAGGAGACUCGCCUCCGUGGUGCUUGUUAGCUUCAUAUUCCCUUUGUGCUCGCUGCUCGAGCUGCUACUCCACCAGUGUCUUCUCGCUCCAGUGCUCCGCCGUUACUGCCCACUCCUUCGGGUAGUGAGGCCCGCUCUUGUGAAGGCCGCUCUCAUACUCGUACUCAUAGUGACUACUGCAACAGGGAUGGUCACCUCGAGUCUGACUGCUUCAAGAAGAAGCGUGCACUACGGGAAUCUGCUUAUUUGCCGUCUGCCAUGGUAGACGCCAAAGGCCCCAAAAGCGGACGGCAAAGGCCUUUGCCGUCUGUCACCGACGGCAAACCUGCCCGGCAAAGAGAGCGACUGUAACCAGGUUAUUUGCCGUCUGCUUCCUUAAAGCAAAAGGCAAAGGCACUUUGCCGUCGGUGGUGGACGGCAAAGAAUAUGGACGGCAAAAACCGUGCGUUAGCCACGUCAGGUGGCUAACGAUAGCCUUUUCCCUUUGCCAGCUGACGACAAAACAUGCUCCGACACGUCACCCCACGUGCCUGGCAUGACAUGUGCCAUCCAGCUGCGUCGCUCGGUGAAACAGAUGCGCGUUGCCCGGUCAAACUACAGCGUCUGCCACCCCCUUGAUGACCUGUCCCGUCGACAGCUGCCUCGCCUUCCACCCUCCCCCCCGCCGCCCCGUCCCGUCGUAAGGCGCCGGCAUUAAUGAGCAGUAAUGCCAGCGCCGGCCCAACCGCCCGACACCCGUCGCCCGGACGGCUAUAAGAACCCACCCCGGCCGCCGUCCCCCCACACCCGACCUCACAACCCGACUCCUGCCGCCGACGAGAACCAGCGCCGGUGAUGGGCUACCACCAUGGCUGCAGCAGUGCUGGUGGCGACGACAACGCCCCGAGCUCCUGGCCGUCGAGCCUCGGCAACCCGGAGACGGCGGAGCUCUGCUGAUACUGCCUGCUCGUGCCGCCGGGCUACCGUCUUCCCCGGCAGUGGCACAUCUCCACCGACGGGUACCCGAAGCUCGGUCCCGGCGCGACGGUGGAGGAGCUUCGGACCCACAUCGGCGUCCGCCACAACAUCGUCGGCCGUCACGCCUAAUGGAAGGGGAAGGUGUAUGACGAGAUCAUUGCCGCCUUCCGGCUGGCGGCGGCCGGCGUCACCCCCGACCUCACGAGCGCGAGCGGUCGCCUUCGCGCCCCGGCACCGGUGGCCGGCCUGGCCUAGAGCCAUCGUGGAGCUGCCGCCGGAGCAGGUUGUCCUCCGCGAGGACGGCGACCCGGACGACAUUCCGGGCUGGCACAUCGCCCUACGGGCGUGGAAAGCGGCGGCGAGGGAGGCUGCCGAGGUUGGAGCUGCCAUCGAAGCCGCCGCGGCCAUGGCGGCAGAGGAGGCCGCGAUGGCGCCGACGGAGGACGAGGAGGCCGCGAUGGAGGGCGAUGUCGCCGUCGUGAUCGACCUGCAGGCCCCUAGUGAUGACGAUUAGCAUCGUCGCUAACUUUAAGUUUGGACUAUGUAAAAUAUAUCUAUCUAUGUACAAUAUAUCUACCUAAGUUUUAAUUUGGACUAUGUGGAAUGAAAAUGCAAUCUAAAUAUAUAAAUAUAUAUAUAUCUAAGUUUUAAUUUAGACUAUGUGUGCGUGGGACACCAGGCGGCGGGGCCUUAGUGGCGGGGCGUCGGUGGCAGCGGGCGGUGGGGCGUCGGUGGCNNNNNNNNNNNNNNNNNNNNNNNNNNNNNNNNNNNNNNNNNNNNNNNNNNNNNNNNNNNNNNNNNNNNNNNNNNNNNNNNNNNNNNNNNNNNNNNNNNNNNNNNNNNNNNNNNNNNNNNNNNNNNNNNNNNNNNNNNNNNNNNNNNNNNNNNNNNNNNNNNNNNNNNNNNNNNNNNNNNNNNNNNNNNNNNNNNNNNNNNNNNNNNNNNNNNNNNNNNNNNNNNNNNNNNNNNNNNNNNNNNNNNNNNNNNNNNNNNNNNNNNNNNNNNNNAGAGAGAAGGGGGUGGGAAACAGAGAGAGGAGAGAGGUGGUAGACAGAGAGAGAUAAGAGAGAGAGGAAAGGGGGUGGGGGCGGCGGGGCAGCGCGUUAGCGACGUUAGGAAGAUUUUUCUUUGUUGUCCGCUAGCUGAUUGCAAUGUAUCUUUGUCAUUAGCUAGCGGACGGCAAAGAGGUGGGGGGACGGGCCGUCAGAGUGGCCGCUCUCCACUGGGCCCACCGGUAUCUUUGCCGUCAGCUAGCGGAUGGCAAAGAACUAGCUGACGGCAAGCUGCCUCUUUGCCGUUCGCCAGAUCUUUAUCGUCCGCUAUUUGUGAGCUGACGGCAACGACCUUCUUUGCCGUUAGCAAGCUGACGGCAAAAUCUCUGUUUCCAGUAGUGGUGAUAUGCGUAAUAGGGAGCACAAUUCUUCUUCUGGGACUCGUGCUUCUUCCUCGACGUUGUCUACUCUCUCCUUGAUUGAGCAAGAUGUUGUGAAGCUCAAGCGUCUACUUGCUGCUUCAGGUUCUUCGACAGGUACUGCAGGCUCUGUGACUGGUGCUUCUUGUGCUGAGCGACCACUGUUUACACAGUCAGGUACAUCCCCAUGGGUUUUGGAUUCUGGAGCUUCAUUUCAUAUGUCCUUUGAUUCUUCUAUCUUGUCCUCUCAUAGAUCUCUCUAUUUUCCUAUUAAUGUUCUUACUGCCGAUGGUACUCCUCUUCCUGUUGCUAGUCGAGUCAUUCUUGCCACUUCUUCUUUUUAUGUUCCAGAUGUUUCUGAUGUGCCUCGCCUCACCAUGAACCUAUUUUCUGCGGUUCAGCUUACUGAUUCUGGUUGUCGUGUCAUUCUUGAUGUUGAUUCUUGCACUAUCCAGGAUCGCCACAUGAAGGCUCUGGUUGGGGCUGGCCCGCGCCGCCAUGAUUCUCACGGGCUUUGGGAGUUGGACUGUCUUAAUGUUCCUUCCGCUACCACCACACUCGCCAGUUCAUCUACCUUCGUCGCUUGAGCUACCAGCUCCUUCCAGCAGUGGCAUCAUCGACUUGGUCACCUUUGUGGUUCUCGACUAUCGUCUUUAGUUCGUCGUGGUCUUCUGGGGCCUGUCUCAGGAGAUGUCUCCUUACAGUGUCAGGGUUGUAGGCUUGGUAAACAAGUUCAGUUACCUUAUCCUGCUAGCGAGUCAGUGUCUCAGCGCCCUUUUGAUUUAGCACAUUCAGAUGUGUGGGGUCCAGCUCCCUUCUCUUCCAAAGGGGGCCAGUACAUGUUUCACUUGAAAAAGCUAGAUUUUACGUUUGUCUGCCUUUUUUCCUUGUACAUGAAGUACAUCAUCAGGAUUGAGCAGAUACCUUAUAUCUGUGUUGCUGACCCAUACUUCAUGCACGAGGGCUUCUUGGCAGUCUGCCCAGAGCACCGUGAAUACCCGAGUAAGUACAUCACCGAUUUCAUGGUCGGCAAUAAGGACAAGGAGACGAUUCUCAUGCCUUAUCAUUCCUUCAAUUUCAAUCAUUCAUUUGCAUGCGUGGAGGAUAAUUUGAGGUGCAAUUAUUUUGCACAGCGACGGGCGUGCCGUCCUCAUCAUCCUUUACCCUCGAUUCUCCCAUGCUCUUUACUUGGAAUCGUCAAAGAACAUGAAGAAAAAGGAUUACACCCACAUCAAGUGUGUUCUCGACAGUGCUAUCUUAAGCUACGACCUACGGGGUGGAGAGUUCACGGUCAAGAAGACAAGGAACCGCGCGCCCGCGUUCGGCCAUAAGACCGACUUCUGCUACAUCCAGCAACCGAGUGGUACUCUCAGUGAUGGAUUAUAGGUCUUCCACCACAUGCUGGAGUACCGACAGGAUCACCAGCACCUUCGCAUGUCACCUAGAUCUGGCGAUGCCAAUAUUCUACAAUGGGCCAAGAAACUAGGAGAUGUCCCGGAUCAUCGACUCCGAGCUGAUUUCUUUCACAUACAGCGUGAACUUGCCCAAAUCAUCAUGAAGGAGGUCCUCGAACAAACAGGGUUGUUCUAUGAAGAAGGGAAAAUGUCGCGGGAAGACGUCCAAACACGCGUAGCCGCUCAACGUCUCGACCUAAAGCCUUUCACUGCGCUUGGGGACUAUCUCCCUUAUUUGGAUGGAUGGCACGACAUGUUGGAGUGAUUGACGAUAUAUGACAAUGUGUCCGUUUAGUCCAUACUUUCUCUAUGACGAAACUUUGAGUUAUGCACGACGAAACUUUGUGAUGUAAUUAAACCUUCCUCCUCAACUAGCGAAGAUCACUCUAUUUAGGGCAUUUUGGGUAUGAUGAACUUUGUUAUUUAUACUUAUGAUAUGUUACUUCUAUUUUUGCCAACUCUGUCUCUUUCUGUUGCUCAACUAUAUAUGUUGCAUAUUAUCGACUAAUGUGACGAUGUAGGUACAUAGAUCAUCGAUGGCGAAGAAGUGCUACGCCAGGAAUAUACGAUGAGUGGCCUGAGUGUCAGGCCCAAGUGUACCAGUUUUCGAGCGACAGCUAGAGAGGGUUCGACAGAAGAGUCGAAGCGGUAAAUAGUUAGUUUAGGUUCACGCUAGUGUGUGAGAGGGAUCCGAACCUGCGCCUCAAGAAGUACUACAUUAUGUAUGAUGAGAAAUGUGAGUUAACUUGUAUCGCUAUAUCGUGGUUAUGCUGUGAUGACAUGAUUUGUGUUCAAUGAUAUGAUGAGACAAUUAUGUGUAUGAUAUGAUGAGCAUAUUGCAUGUUUAUGAUAUGAUUAGAAUACUGUAUAAAACCUGUACAAAAACAUCACAAAUACGUACCAAAAAAAGAUAAGUGAAAAUAUAGUAGUAUCACUCUUUAGCGCUGGAUAGGAAAACGCUACUGCUAAGCCACUUAGCAGUAGCGUUGGAAUGGACAGCGCUACUGCUAAGUAGAUAUAGCAGUAUCGCGAAUCAAAACAUGCUACCGCUAAACGUUAGUUGUAGCGCCUUAUCAGUAGCAUGGUGCCCCGCGCUAAUUGAUGACCCACAAGUAUAGGGGACCAAUUGUAGUCCUUUCGAUAAGUAAGAGUGUCAAACCCAACAAGGAGCAGAAGGAAAUGACAAGUGGUUUUCAGCAAGGUAAUGUGUGCAAGCGCUGAAAUUGUAAGUAGCUAGUAGUUUGAUAGCAAGGUAAUUUGUAACGAGCGAGUAACGGUAACGAUAACAAAAGUGCAUCAAGGUAGACCAAUCCUUUUGAGGCAAAGGACAGGCCAAAACGGUCUCUGAUGAUAAGCAAAGCAUUCUUGAGGGUACACGGGAAUUUCAUCUAGUUACUUUCAUCAUGUUGAUUCGAUUUGUGUUCGCUAGGUGCUUAGGUGCUUCUCUUACUUGAACAAGCCUUCUACUUAUGAUUAACCCCGUCGCAUGCAUCCGCAACUACGAGAAAAGUAUUAAGAAUAAAUUCUAACCAUAGCAUUAAACUUUUUGGAUCCAAUCGGUCCCUUGCGGAAUAGCGAAUAAACUAGGGUUUAAGCUUCUAUCACUCUCGCAACCCAUCAUCUAAUAACUACUCCACAAUGCAUUCCCUUAGGACCAAAUAUGGUGAAGUGUCAUGUAGUCGACGUUCACAUGACACCACUAAGGGAACCACAACAUACAUACUAUCAAAAUAUCGAACACAUAUCAAGUCACAUGAUUACUUGCAACAAGAUUUCUCCCAUGACCUCAAGAACAAAACUAACUACUCACAAGUGAUAAACAUGCUCAAGAUCAGAGGGGUAUUGAAUAGCAUAUUGGAUCUAAACAUAUAAUCUUCCACCAAAUAAACCAUAUAGUAAUCAACUACAAGAUGUAAUCAACACUACUAGUCACCCACAAGUACCAAUCUAUAGUUCCGGUAUAUAGAUUGAACACAAGAGAUGAACUAGGGUUUGAGAGGAGUUGGUUCUGUUGAAGAUGUUGAUGGAGAUUUCCCUCCCCAAGAUGGGAGAGUUGUUGGUGAUGAUGAUGACGAUGAUUUCCCCCUCCGGGAGGGAAGUUCCUCCGGCGAAAUCGCUCCACCGAAGGGCAAAAGUGCUCCUGCCCAAGUUCCGCCUCGAGACGGUGGUGCUUCAUCCCAAAAGUCCUCCUCUAGUUUUUUCUAGGUCAAAAUGACUUAUAUACCAGAAGAUGGGCACCGGAGGUGGGCCGGGCUGAGCACAACCCACCAGGGCGCGCCUGGGGGCCCUGGCGCGCCCUGGUGUCUUGUGCUCACCAGGUGGCCCUCCUUCGGUGGUUAUUUGCUCCAGUAUUUCUUAUUUAUUCCAUAAAAAUCCUCAUGAAGUUUUAGCUCAUUUGGAGUUGUGUAGAAUAGGUGGCCUGUCAUAGCUUUUUCUGGUCCAGAUUUCCAGCUACCGGAAUUCUCCCUCCUUGUGUAAACCUUGCAUAUUAUGAUAGAAAAGGCAUUAGAAUUACUCAAAAAAGCAUUAUUAUGCAUAAAGACACUAUAAAUAACAGUAGGUAAACAUGAUGCAAAAUGGACGUAUCAACUCCCCCAAGCUUAGACCUCGCUUGUCCUCAAGCGAAAACCAAAAUCGAAAAACAUGUCCACAUGCGAGAGAGAGGUGUCGAUAAAAAAAAUACGGACAUAGAAGCAUCAUGUGAAUUAUUAGAACAGCAACAAACUUUAACAUAAAAUCUUAUCAUAGAACUUUUAUCAUAGAUUUCUCAUGAAUAAGUAGCAAUUCAUCACACUAUCAAAGUAUACAGGCAAAACUCUAUUGGGAACCAACAAACUAUGUUAUCAGUCAACUUUGCAACUACAAUUCAUCAUCUUUUCAGGAAGGGUCACGUAACUGAGCCUUUAGGCAAGUCCACAUCCUCAACCUUCAUAUAGUCUUCUAUGAUUGCUAACACUCAUCGCAUACACAUGAGCAAAACAUUUCAACCGGACGCAUAGAAAUAUAGGGGCUUAUAGUUUCACUUCCCAACGUAUUCACCUCAAGGGUGAUGUCAACAAUAAUAAAUCAUGCCACCCAUAUUCAAUUGGACAUAUGUGCCUAGAUCUUUCCUCACCACACCAUGCUUGCCAAAGGAGAAAAGUAAAAAGCAAUAGAGAGAGAAACUUUGACUCUUGCAUAAAAGUAAAUACAUAGAAGUAAAAGAUAGGCCCUUCACAGAGGGAAACCGAGGUUUUCAUGCGCUUAUUUGUUUGUAUGCUCAACCCCUUAAUGCAAAAUAAUGUCACGUUAUAUUGCCCCUUGUGAUGGCAACCUUUAUUAUGCAGUCUGUCGCUUUUAUUCUUUGCUAUCACACGUUCGUACAACGCUCAAUUUUCUCUUACACUAAAUGAUCUCACACUUUUAGAAGCAAUUUUUAUUGCCUUAUUGCACCGAUGAAAACUUACUUGAAGGAUCUUACUCAAUCCUUAGGUUGGUAUGGUGGACUCUCGAAAAUAAGAUUUGGGUUUAAGGGUUUUUGGAUGCACAAGUAGUAUCUCUACUUAGUGCGGAAUUUUUGGCUAGUAAAGAUGGGGUCAAGCACCACAUGUUGAAGGAUCUAUGACAAUAUAACUUCUAUGUGAAUAUGAACAAACAUAAAUCAUUUCAUUGUCUUCCUUGUCCAGCGUCAACAAUUUUGGCAUAUAAUAUUUUAAUGGGCGCUCACAAUCACAAAAGAUUUCCAAGAUAGUGUAUUUGUAUGUGAAUCUUCUUUUCCCUUAUUAAUUCUUUCAUGAGUUGCAUCAUUGACCAAUGCUAUGUUUGUCAAUCUCUAAUAAAAUUUUCUACUUAUACUUUUCAUUAUGUGAUGUCAUUACUUACCAUAAGAUUAGCAUAUGAUCUUUUUCAUUUAUUUCCUUUCUUUUUAUUGGAACAUGAAAGUAAAGAAAGCAAAAGCUCAAACUAAACUUUAUUAUAUAAUUCACACACGAUUACAAGGAUAGAUCACUAGGCAAACUCUCGAAAAGAAAGGAUAAAACUAAACUUUUAUUCAUCUAAAGCAAAAUAUAACUAAGGAUCGAACUAAAAUAAGUAAAGGUAAAAGAUAGUGGAGGUGAUACGAUACCGGGGCAGCUCCCCCAAGCUUGGCGGAGGGGAGUUCCCAUACCCGAUACUCAAAUUUCUUUUGGUGAUGAAGAAGAUGGUGGUGGUGAAGUAGAGGCAACGAUCCUGUCCUGCAUGAUCAAGAGAUUCUCCUAUCUACGGAUGACACUCCGGAGGAAGAUGAUGUGCUCUUGAUGCAGAAUAUUUUCAGGACUGAGAUAUUUAUUUUGCACACGAACCAUUUCAAUGAUCUGAAAGGCUUCAAUCUUAGUAGGGGUAAGAUGAGCAUAGUAAGGUUUAAGUAUAUCUUCUUCUUCCUCCUCGGCAGGCCAGGCCGUCUCAACCACCGGUGUUUGAUCUCCGAUGGCCUCCUUCAUCUUGUCCCCUUUGAUGGCUUCUACGGGCUCUUCUUUCUUCAGCUCGAUCUUCAUCAACCAGACAUCCUCUUCCACGUUGUUGGAGGAAGAAGAAGACAUGAUGUCUGGCUCAACAGAUCUGACCGAAAAGAGCAAGAAAAGAAAACAAAAGAUUUCUCCGCGAUAUGGUGGUCAAUAGGUUCGGGGGGUAUGUAAAGAUCUUUUAUCUUGGGAAACAAGCAAACGGAAGAAAAACAGAUUCCAGAAGGUAGUCUUGGGCGCACCUGUCUUGGGCCCACCUGGGUCACCUUACUGGUAGUUUCUUAUUUUCCUAAUUUUUAAAUAUUCCAAAACUGACAAAAUAUAUUUUUGCGGAUUUUUGGAGUCCGUUUACUUACCGUAUCACGUACCUCCUCUUUUUGACGAUUCUGGAGUGUUCUGGAAGGUCUCUUUGAUGUGUUCUUCCGGUGUCAUAGUUUGGAUAAUAUUGCUUUCAACAUUAAUGGGCGUACCUGAGAUAUAAUGUUUUAUUCGUUGCCCAUGAACAACCCUCGGGUUAGUACCUUUGGUAUUAUUUAUUUUGAUAGCUCUAGACUGAUAAACCUCCUCGAUAACAUAGGGUCCUUCCCAUUUGGAGAGGAGUUUUCAUGUAAAGAAUCUGAAAGGAGAUUUGUACAAAAGAACAUAUUCUCCAACUUUGAACUCAAACUUUUGGAUUCUUUUAUCAUGCCAUCUUUUUACUUUUUCUUCAAAUAACUUGGCAUUUUCGUAAGCUUGGGUUCUCCAUUCAUCUAAUGAGCUAAUAUCAAAUAACCUCUUUUCACCAGCAAGUUUAAAAUCAUAGUUCAGUUCUUUGAUUGCCCAGUAAGCUUUAUGUUCUAACUCAAGAGGCAAAUGACAAGAUUUUCCAUAAACCAUUUUGUAAGGAGACAUACCCAUAGGAUUUUUAUAUGCUGUUCUAUACGCCCAAAGUGCAUCAUCAAAUUUCUUAGACCAAUUCUUCCGGGACCUAUUGCUAAGUUCAACUUGACCACUAGACUGAGGAUGAUAGGGUGAUGCAAUUCUAUGGUCAACAUCAUACUUAGCAAGCAUUUUACAGAAAGCACCAUGAAUAAAGUGUGAACCACCAUCAGUCAUUAAAUGUCUAGGGACUUCAAACCUUGGGAAAAUAACUUCCUUAAGCAUUUUAAUAGAGGUGUUGUGAUCAGCAGUACCAGUUGGAAUAGCUUCUACCCACUUAGUAACGUAAUCAACAUCAACCAAAAUACGUGUAUACCCAUUAGAGGAAGGAAAAGGUCCCAUGUAAUCAAAACUCCAAACAUCAAAUGGUUCAACAGCAAGUGAAUAAUUCAUAGGAAUUUCUUGAUGCUUACCGAUAUUACCUAUUCUUUGACAUUUAUCACAAGAUAAGAUGAACUUAUGAGCAUCCUUGAAAAGAUUAGGCCAAUAAAACCCAGACUGCAAUACCUUGUGAGCAGUUCUGUCUCCCGCAUGAUGCCCUCCAUAAGCUUCGGAGUGACAUUUCCGUAGGAUUUGUCCCUAUUCAUGCUCAGGUACACAACGUCUAAUAAUACCAUCUACUCCUUCUUUAUAAAGAUGUGGGUCAUCCCAAAAGUAGUGUCUUAAAUCAUAGAAGAAUUAUUUCUUUUGUUGGUAUGUAAAGCUAGGUGGUAAAUAUUUAGCAACAAUGUAAUUAGCAUAGUCAGCAUACCACGGAGUAUUAUGAGAAACAUUUAUUGCAGCUAACUGCUCAUCCGGAAAACUAUCAUCAAUAGGUAGUGGGUCAUCAAGAACAUUCUCCAACCUAUACAAGUUAUCAGCUACGGGGUUCUCUGCUCCUUUUCUAUCAGUGAUAUGGAAAUAAAAUUCUUGAAGUGAUACGUCCAUUUUGCAUCAUGUUUACCUACUGUUAUUUAUAAUGUGUUAUGCAUAACACUGCUUUUUGGAGUAAUUCUAAUGCCUUGCGAGGGAGAAUUCCGCCAGCUGGAAAUCUGGACCUGAAAAAGCUACGUCAGGCCAUCUAUUCUGCACAACUCCAAAUGAGCUGGAACUUCACGAGGAUUUUUUAUGGAAUAUUUAUGAAAUACUGGAGCAAAUAACCACCGGAUGGAGGCCACCUGGUGAGCACAAGACACCACCCCCAGGUGCGCCCUGGUGGGUUGUGCUUAGCCCAGCCCACCUCAGGUGCCCAUCUUCUGGUAUAUAAGUCAGUUUGACCUAGGAAAAAUUAGAGGAGGACAUUCGGGACGAAGCGCCGCCGUCUCGAGAUGGAACUUGGGCAGGAGCACAUUUGCCCUCCGGCGGAGCGAUUCCGCUGGGGGAACUUCUCACCCGGAGGGGGAAAUCAUCAUCAUCAUCAUCACCAACAACUCUCCCAUCUUGGGCAGGGCAAUGUCCAUCAACAUCACCAUCUCCUCUCAAACCCUAGUUCAUCUCUUGUGUUCAAUUUGUGUACCGGAACUAUAGAUUGGUAUGGGUGACUAGUAGUGUUGAUUACAUCUUGUAGUUGAUUACUAUAUGGUUUAUUUGGUGGAAGAUUAUAUGUUCAGAUCCAAUAUGCUAUUUAAUACCCCUCUGAUCUUGAGCAUGUUUAUCACUUGUGAGUAGUUACUUUUGUUCUUGAGGUCACGGGAGAAAUCAUGUUGCAAGUAAUCAUGUGAACUUGAUAUGUGUUCGAUAUUUUGAUAGUAUGUAUGUUGUGAUUCCCUUAGUGGUGUCAUGUGAACGUCGAUUACAUGAAACUUCACCAUAUUCGGGACUAAGGGAAUGAAUUGUGGAGUAGUUAUUAGGUGAUGGGUUGCGACAGUGACAGAAGCUUAAACCCUAGUUUAUGCGCUAUUUCGUAAGUGACUGAUUGGAUCCAAAAGUUUAAUGCUAUGGUUAGAACUUAUUCUCAAUAUUUUUUCUCCUAGAUGCGGAUGCUUGCGAGGGGGUUAAUCAUAAGUUGGAGGCUUUUUCAAGUAAGAGGAGCACCUAAGCACCGCUCCACCCACAUAUAAAAUUAUAAAAGUAGUGAACAGGAAUCGAAUCAACAUGAUGAAAGUGACAAGAUGAAAUUCCCGUGUACCCUGAAGAACGCUUUGCUUAUCAUAAGAGACCUUUUUGGCCUAUCCUUUGCCUCAAAGGAUUGGUAUACCUUGUUGCACUUUUGUUGUCGUUACCGUUACUUGCUCGUUACAAAUUAUCUUGCUAUCAAACUACUCGCUACUUACAAUUUCAGCCCUUGCAGACAUUACCUUGCUGAAAACCACUUGUCAUUUCCUUCAGCUCCUCAUUGGGUUUGACACUCUUACUUAUCGAAAGGACUACGAUUGAUCCCCUAUACUUGUGGGUCAUCAAGGCUCUUUUCUGGCACCGUUGUCAGAGAGUGAAGUGCUCUUGGUAAGUGGAAAUUUGUAAGGAAAAAUUAUUACUACUUGCUGAAAUCUAUUGUCACUUGUUACUAUGGAAAACAAUCCUUUGAGGGGUUUGUUCGGGGUAUCUUCACCUUGACCGGAACUACAAUUAGUUACUCCUCAACCUACCGCACCUACUGAAAAUAUUGAAUAUGAAAUUCCUUCGGGUAUGAUAGAACAACUCCUAGCUAAUCCUUAUGCAGGAGAUGGAACCGAACAUCCUGAAAUAUGCACUUGAUAUAUGUGGAAGAAACUUGUGGAUUGUUUAAGAUUGCAGGUUUACCCAGAGAUGAAUUUAAGAAGAAGGUUUUCCCUUUAUCUUUGAAGGUAAAACCAUUGGCAUGGUAUAGGCUAUGCGAUGAUAUUGGAUCUUGGAAUUGAAAUCGAUUGAAAUUGGAGUUUCACCAAAACAAUUAUCCUAUGCAUCUAGUUCAUCAUGAUCGGAAUUACAUAUAUAAUUUUUGGCCUCGUGAAGGAAAAAGUAUUGCUCUAGCUUGGGGAGGCUUAAGUCAAUGUUAUAUUCAUGCCUCAAUCAUGAGCUGUCAGGAGAAAUAAUUAUGCAGAAUUUGUAUGCUUGGCUUUCUCGUAAUGAUCGAUCCAUGUUUAAUAGUUCUUGUGCUGGUUCUUUUAUGAAGAAGACUAUUGAAUUCUGGUGGGAUCUUUUGGAAAGAAUUAAACGCAACUCUGAAGAUUGGGAACUCGAUGAAGGUAAAGAGUCAGGUAUUAAGCUCAAGUUUUAUUGUGUUAAAUCUUUUAUGAAUACCGAUGCUUUUCAAAAGUGUAGCACUAAAUAUGGACUUGACUCUGAGAUAGUAGCCUCCUUUUGUGAAUCUUUUGCUACUCAUGUUGAUCUCCCUAAGGAGAAGUGGUUUAAAUAUCACCCACCUAUUAAAGAAGAAAUUGAAGAACCGAUACUAGCUAAAGAGGAAACUAUCAUUUAUAAUGUUGAUCCAGUUGUUCCUACUGCUUAUAUUGAGAAACCACCUUUCCCUGUUACGAUGAAGGAACAUGUUAAAGUUUCAACUAUGGUCAACAAAAGUUAUAUUACAACACGGAUUUCUAUAGGAGAUUUAUAUAGGAUAUUUAUCAAAGAGUUCUCUAAAAUUUCUAGGCCUCUUACAAAUCUUUUGCAAAAGGAUGUUCCUUUCGUCUUUGAUGAUGAUUGUUCAAGAAAGCCAUAAUUACUGCAUCUAUUGUUCAACCACCUGACUUGAACUCGCCUUUUGAAAUUAUGUGUGAUGCUAGUGAUUAUGCUGUUGGUGCUGUUCUAGGACAUAGAGUUGAUAAGAAACUAAAUGUUAUUCAUUAUGCUAGUAAAACUCAAGACAAUGCUCAAAGAAAUUAUGCUACAAUUGAAAAAGAAUUCUUAGCAGUGGUGUUUGCUUGUGAUAAAUUUAGAUCCUACAUUGUUGACUCUAAAGUUACUGUUCACACCGAUCAUGCUGCUAUUAAAUAUCUUAUGGAAAAGAAAGAUGCUAAACCUAGGCUUAUUCGAUGGGUUCUCUUGCUACAAGAAUUUGAUUUACAUAUCACUGAGAGGAAAGGAGCAGAGAACCCCGUAGCCGAUAACUUGUCUAGGUUAGAGAAUGUCCUUGAUGACCCACUACCUAUUGAUGAUAGUUUUCCUAAUGAGCAGUUAGCUGCAAUAAAUGUUUCUCAUAAUACUCCUUGGUAUGCUGACUAUGCUAAUUACAUUGUUGCUAAAUAUUUACCACCUAGCUUUACAUACCAACAAAAGAAAUAAUUCUUCUAUGAUUUAAGACACUACUUUUGGGAUGACCCACAUCUUUUUAAAGGAGUAGAUGGUAUUAUUAGACGUUGUGUACCUGAGCAUGAACAGGGACAAAUCCUACGGAAAUGUCACUCGGAAGCUUAUGGAGGGCAUCAUGCGGGAGACAGAACUGCUCACAAGAUAUUGCAAUCUGGGUUUUAUUGGCCUACUCUUUUCAAGGAUGCACGUAAGUUCGUCUUAUAUUGUGAUGAAUGUCAAAGAAUAGGUAAUAUCGGUAAGCGUCAAGAAAUGCCUAUGAAUUAUUCACUUGCUGUUGAACCAUUUGAUGUUUGGAGUUUUGAUUACAUGGGACCUUUUCCUUCCUCUAAUGGGUAUACACAUAUUUUGGUUGCUGUUGAUUAUUUUACUAAGUGGCUAGAAGCUAUUCCAACUAGUAGUGAUGAUUACAACACCUCUAUUAAAAUGCUUAAGGAAGUUAUUUUCCCAUGGUUUGGAGUCCCUAGAUAUUUAAUGAUUGAUGGUGGUUCACACUUUAUUCAUGGUGCUUUCCGGUAAAUGCUUGCUAAGUAUGAUGUUAACCAUAGAAUUCCAUCACCCUAUCAUCCUCAGUCUAGUGGUCAAGUUGAACUUAGCGAUAGAGAAAUAAAAUUAAUCUUGCAAAAGACUGUCAAUAGGUCCCGAAAGAAUUGGUCUACGAAAUUAGAUGAUGCACUUUGGGAUUGUAGAGCAGCAUAUAAAAAUCACAUGGUUAUGUCUCCUUAUAAAAUGGUUUAUGGAAAAUCUUGUCAUUUGCCUCUUGAGUUAGAUCAUAAAGCUUACUGAGCAAUCAAAGAACUGAACUAUGAUUUUAAACUUGCUGGUGAGAACAGGUUAUUCGAUAUUAGCUCAUUAAAAGAACGGAGAACCCAAGCUUAUGAAAAUACCAAGUUAUUUAAAGAAAAAGUUAAAAGAUGGCAUGAUAAAACAAUUCAAAAGCGUGAGUUCAAAGUUGGAGAAUAUGUUCUUUUGUACAACUCUCGUUUCAAAUUCUUUGCAUGCAAACUCCUCUCCAAAUGGGAAGGACCCUAUGUUAUCGAGGAGGUUUAUCGGUCUAGAUCUAUCAAAAUAAAUAAUGCCGAAUGUACUAACCCUACGGUUGUUACUGGGCAACGAAUAAAACAUUAUAUCUCAAGUAUGCCCAUUAAUGUUGAAAGAAAUAUUAUCCAAACUAUGACAGCGGAAGAACACAUAAAAGAGACCUUCCAGAACACUCCAGAUUUGUGAAAAAGAGGGGGUACGUGAUACGGUAAGUAAACGAACUAUGAAAAAUCCGCAAAAAUAUUUGUUGUCAGUCUUAGAAUAUUUAAAAAUUAGGAAAAUAAGAAACUACCGGGAAGGUGAACCUGGUGGGCACAAGACACCAGGGCGCGCCUGGCGCCUGGCUUGCCAGGCGCGCCCAUGUCGGUUGUGCCCACCUCGGGUACCUUCCGGACUCCGUUUUUCUUCCGUUUGCUUGUUUCCCAAGAUAAAAUAUCUUUAUAUACCCCCCGAACCUAUUGACCACCGUAUCACGGAGAAAUCUUCGGUUUCUUCUCUUGUUUUUUUUGGUAAGAUCUGCUGAGCGAGACAUCAUGUCUUGUUCUUCCUCCAAUAACGUGGAAGAGGAUGCCUGGUUGAUGAAGAUUGAGCUGAAGAAAGAAGAGCCUGUAGAAUCGGUCAAAGGGGACAAGAGCAAGGAGGCCAUCGGAGAUCAAACACCGGUGGUUGAGCUGGCCUGGCCUGCUCAGGAGGAAGAAGAAGAUAUCCUUAAACCUUACUAUGCUUAUCUUACACCUACUGAGAUUGAAGCCUUUCAGAUCAUUGAAACGGUUCGAGUGCAAAAUAAAUAUCUCACUCGUGAAAAUAUUCUGCAUCAAGAGCACAUCAUCUUCCUCCGGAGCGUCAUCCGUAGAUUGGAUAAUCUCUUUAUCAUGAAGGACAUGAUCGCUGCCUCUACUUCACCACCACCAUCUUCUUCAUCACCAAAAGAAAAUUGAUUAUCGGGUAUGGGAACUCCCCUUGGCUUCCACCAAGCUUGGGGGAGCUGCCCCGGUAUCGUAUCCCCUCCAUUAUCUUCUACCUUUACUUAUUUUAGUGCGAUCCUUAGUUAUCAUUUGCUUUAGAUGAAUAAAAGUUUAGUUUGAUCCUUUCUUUUUGAGAGUUUGCCUAGUGAUAUAUCCUUGUAAUCGUGUGUGAGAUAUAUAAUAAAGUUUAGUUUGAGCUUUUGCUUUCUCUACUUUCAUGUUCCAAUAAAAAGAAAGGAAAUAAAUGAAAAAGAUCAUAUGCUAAUCUUAUGGUAAGUAAUGACAUCACAUAAUGAAAAGUAUAAGUAGAAAAUUUUAUUAGAGAUUGACAAACAUAGCAUUGGUCAAUGAUGCAAUUCAUGAAAGAAUUAAUAAGGCAAGAGAAGAUUCACAUAUAAAUACACUAUCCUGGGAAUAUUUUGUGAUUGCCUUUGUAGCGACCAGACCUCAAACAGUCUGUGCUGCUGUGCACCAGUGUUAUCCCUGGAUAAGUAAUGCUGACACGCACAGUACAAAUGGAGGAUUUAUAACAGAGUAGCAAUCACACACUUAUUACAGCGAAUAUCUCAAAAGAGAAUAAGUAUGAUAUAUAUGGCUUAAGGCCAUCUAAUACGAUAACAGCGGAAGGCUUGGAAGAUAAGUGAGUCCAUCAACUCCAACUGCAUCACUGAGUAUAAGACCACGACCUAAGGCACCUUACUCGUCGUCUGAAAAGUCUGCAACAUGAAACGUUGCAGCCCGAAAACGGGUCAGCACAUGGAAUAUGCUGGCAAUGCAACACAUAGAGAGUAAUGAACAAAAUGAUAAUAUACUACAUGCAUAUAUGGCUGGUAGAAAGCUCUAUGUUACAGUUUUGCGAAAAGCCAGUUUUAUCCUACUUCAAAGGAAUAAAUUUUAUUUAACUAUCAUGGUGGUUGUUAAACAUUGAGAUGGUUGACAGCAUCUCAAUCCCAAUUAAGUAUCAUCAUUAACCCAACAAAAUUAAUUAAAGUAACAUGGUGAUGAGAUUCAUAUGAUAAUCCAAGUACUAGAUACUCAAGUUGUCCAUAACCGGGGACACGGCUAACCAUGAUUAGUUUAUACACUCUGCAUAGGUUUGUGCACUUUUCCCACAACACUCGAUCGCCUCCCUUGAUUUUCGCACUACAUGAUGUUUGAGAAAUGGAUGAUCGAGACAUAGUCUUUCAGAAGCGUUUGCACCUUACGAUGUGAUAGACCGUACCACCUACAUCCCCUAUAUCUGCUAGUCUACCACUGUAAGAGUUCACACAACUUAAUCGACUAUCCUAGAGCCCAUAAUAGCAUGUGGUUGCACACGGAAGUUUCUAGCAUGAAUAAUCUCAUGAUCCCUUUGAACCUUGGUGGCGGUCCAAAAGAAAAACAGGCAAUCCUGGAAUACCCAGGUACCUCAAUCCACCCAGAUGUGAGUUUUAGUUGCCACCUUAAGUAAACCAUUAAUUAACAAUCUCACAUCUGUCGUGAAUAUCUCUCAAACCCAAUCCACGUCUACAAGCAUAACAUGGCAAUAUAAGCAACGUAGAAGUAACUCCCAAGGGUUUGAUAAUAAAAUAGGUAAUAGGUACUACCUCAACUACUUCCCAAUACCCACAAUUUAAUUAGAUCCUAACCAAUGCAAUGUUUGAGGAUUGAUCUAAUGCAAUAAAACUGGGUAGUGAAAAGUAUGAUCAAAGUGUUACUUGCCUUGCUGGUGAUCCGUGAAACCUAGAGAUUCGAAGUAGCAAGCGGCGCACUCCGGGUACUCUAUCGCGAACAAACAAGCAAACAAUAAGUACUCAUCUAAUGCACAAGUAAAACUCAAAUAAAGAUCUAACCAGAAAGUUCAACUUAAGAACUCCGGCUUGCAAAAAGAUUCAACUCAAACGAAGCAACGAAGGUCAAACGGCGAAAGAAACAAGCUUCGUUUACUAAUCUGGAUCUAAGUCAAAUUUUACAGUAGCAAAAACUUGUUUGAGUAGGUUAAACGGAAAGAGAAUUUCGAGAUGAAACUCUAGGCGCUUGAAUCGCUUGAUUCCGAUAAACGAGCGAAAAGUUAAACCAAAACGAAAAUCUGAUCAGAAAUCACGAUCUGGAAUAAUCGCGGAAAAUCCGACGAAAAGGAAAACUGACGAACAGUUAAACGAACGGACGUUCGUUAACAGCGUCAAACCGACGAACACGUUCAUUAAAACGAACGGAUCGGUGAACGUUCACUAAGUAAUAAACCGAAAAAAAUAAACCGAUCUAUAUAAAAAAACUAGGGUUAAAAAAAUAAACCGGGUCAUUUUUUUUUAGAAACUGGGCACGGCGACGGCGUGGCUACCUCGGCGAGCAGCUCCGGCGGGUCUUCCGGCGGAUCGGGCGAGGGGCGGCGAGGUGGCGGGGCUCGGGCGGCGACGACGGGCGGNNNNNNNNNNNNNNNNNNNNNNNNNNNNNNNNNNNNNNNNNNNNNNNNNNNNNNNNNNNNNNNNNNNNNNNNNNNNNNNNNNNNNNNNNNNNNNNNNNNNNNNNNNNNNNNNNNNNNNNNNNNNNNNNNNNNNNNNNNNNNNNNNNNNNNNNNNNNNNNNNNNNNNNNNNNNNNNNNNNNNNNNNNNNNNNNNNNNNNNNNNNNNNNNNNNNNNNNNNNNNNNNNNNNNNNNNNNNNNNNNNNNNNNNNNNNNNNNNNNNNNNNNNNNNNNNNNNNNNNNNNNNNNNNNNNNNNNNNNNNNNNNNNNNNNNNNNNNNNNNNNNNNNNNNNNNNNNNNNNNNNNNNNNNNNNNNNNNNNNNNNNNNNNNNNUAGGAGGGGGAGGGGGUGCCGUGGGGGAGGGGGCAAGGCGGCGGCGGGCGGCGUGCUCGAGCCCGACUCGGCGGCGGCGGGAGCCGUGCUCGGGAGGGAGACGGGCGCGGGGCAGGCUGGGCCGUCGGCUGGGGUUCGGCCCAGUCGGCGCGCUCGGCUUUUUUUUUUAAUUCACCGAAUCUAAAAAAAUCGCAGAAAAAUAAAUAAAAAAUCCAAAAAUGAUAAAACAAAUUUUUUCCGUCUAAUUAAAAUAAUUAGAACGAGGUGAACAUUUCCUUGGCCCAAAAAUGCAGUUUUUAAAACGUGCAAUUUUUUAAUGCAAUGAAAAUUGCAAAUAAAAUCCGAAUAAAAUCAAAUAUUUGAUUUUAAUAUUUUACCUCCAAUAUUUCAGUUAUUUUGGAGAAGUCAUAUUUUCUCCUCUCAUUUAUUUUAAUACGAAAUAUUUUUCGAGAGAAAAAUAAUUAAAACCAAAAUCCUCGUUUUAUUAUUUGAUAAAUAUCAAAUAUGAAAAACCGGGAAAAUCCCCAACUCUCUCUGAGGGUCCUUGAGUUGCUUAGGAUUUAUCGAGGAUUUGCCAAAACGCAAAUAAAUAUGCUAUGCAAUGAUGAUCUAGUGUAUAACAUUCCAAAUUGAAAAUUUGGGAUGUUACAAACCUACCCCCUUAAGAUGAAUCUCGCCCUCGAGAUUCGGGUUGGCUAGAAAAUAGGUGAGAGUGGUUCUUCCGUAGAUCUUCCUCUCGCUCCCAGGUGGCUUCAUCUUCAGUAUGGUGACUCCACUGGACUUUGCAAAACUUGAUAACCUUACUGCGGGUGACUCGGCUGGCAUACUCAAGAAUCUUAACUGGUUUCUCCUCAUAGAUCAAAUCACUUUCCAGCUGUAUCGCUUCCAGUGGCACUGUAUCUCUCAGUGGUAUCUCAGCCAUCUUUGCGUGGCACUUCUUCAACUGGGAAACGUGGAAUACAGCAUGAACUCCUGACAAUCCUUCAGGCAAUUCCAGCUUGUAGGCAACUUCUCCCAUACGCUCCAAAACUCUGUAUGGUCCUACAAAACGAGGCGCUAAAUUUCCCUUAACUCCAAAGCGCUUCACUCCUCGAAGUGGUGAUACUCGAAGAUAAACUCUGUCUCCGACUUCGUGAACUGUCUCCUUACGUUUUGAAUCCGCAUAACUCUUCUGCCUGGACUGGGCUACCUUGAGCCUAUCGCGAAUCAACCUCACUUUCUGUUCAGACUCUUUAAUCAAAUUUGGUCCAAACAACUGACGGUCCCCAACUUCGUCCCAUAACAAUGGUGUUCUACACCUCCUUCCGUACAGAGCUUCGAAAGGGGCCAUCUUCAAACUGGCUUGAUAGCUGUUGUUGUAAGAAAACUCUGCAUAUGGCAAAUUUUCGUCCCAACUAGAUCCAUAAUCCAGCGCACAAGCUCUCAACAUGUCUUCCAAAAUCUGAUUGACUCUCUCGGUCUGUCCAUCUGUCUGUGGGUGAAAAGCUGUACUGAAUUCUAGCCUGGUUCCCAAGGUUUCAUGUAACUGAUUCCAAAACUUUGAGGUAAACUGGGUUCCCCUAUAUGAUACAAUGGUCCUCAGAACUCCAUGCAAACAUACGAUUCUGGUCAUGUAUAUUUUUGCCAACUUAGCACUGGUGUAAGUGGUCUUCACUGGGAUGAAAUGAGCUACUUUCGUCAAACGGUUGACUACAACCCAUAUUGAGUCAUAGCCUGAACGAGUCCUGGGCAAUCCCGUGAUAAAAUCCAUGCCUAGUUUAUCCCACUUCCAUUCGGGUAUCGGCAAUGGUUGUAGCAAUCCCGCUGGCUUCUGAUGUUCUGCCUUCACUCUCUGACAUACAUCACAAACUGCUACAUACUCCGCAAUAUCCUUCUUCAUACCGGUCCACCAGAAAGUAUCCUUCAAAUCCAAAUACAUCUUGGUGUUUCCUGGGUGAAUCGAGUACGGUGAAUCAUGGGCCUCUUGCAAGAUCAAUUUCCUGAUCUCCGGAUCAUUGGGCACGUAAACGCGGUCCUCAAACCAUAAGGUAUCGUGCUCAUCCUCAUGAAAUCCCUUGGCUUUUCCUUUGUUCAUCUUUUCCUUUAUCUCGUUAAUUUCCUUGUCUGUCUCUGAGCUUCUCUGAUCUUUUCCAUCAGGGUAGACUGAAUCUCCAAUGUUGCUAAAUAGCCUCUUGGAACUAUCUCCAAACAUAGCUCGCGAAGAUCCUCGGCUAACUCCUGGGGUAACUCUCCUAUCAUGAGUGUGUUGACAUGGCUCUUGCGGCUCAACGCAUCUGCUACUUCGUUGGCCUUCCCUGGGUGAUAAUGCAAUCUCAUAUGGUAGUCCUUAAUAAGCUCCAACCAUCUCCUCUGCCUGAGAUUCAACUCCUUCUGUGUGAAAAUGUACUUCAAACUCUUGUGAUCCGUCUACACCUCACAAUGGUUUCCGAUUAGAAAAUGUCUCCAUGUCUUCAGCGCAUGCACUACGGCUGCUAAUUCCAAAUCAUGCGUGGCAUAAUUCUUCUCAUGGGGUUUAAGUUGUCGUGAAGCAUAUGACACAACUCUUCCUUCCUGCAUAAGCACUGCUCCAAGUCCUCGACGAGAAGCGUCACAAUAAACUUCAUAAUCCUUGCGUUGAUCUGGCAGAAUCAACACUGGUGAUGUAACCAAUCGUUUCUUCAACUCUUGGAAACUAGCUUCACAUUCCUCAGUCCAAUAGAAUUUGGUGUCCUUCUUCAAUAGCUAAGUCAUGGGUUUUGCAAUCUUUGAGAAAUUCUCACUGAAUCUCCGGUAGUAUCCUGCGAGUCCAAGGAAACUCCGGAUCUCUCCAACUGACGUGGGUGAUUCCCAACUUGUUACUGUGUCAACUUUGGCGGGGUCUACUGCUAUUCCUUCUCUGGAUAUAACAUGUCCGAGGAAUCCAACUUCCUUCAGCCAAAACUCACAUUUGCUGAACUUGGCGUACAACUGGUGUUCUCUGAGUUUCUCAAGUACCAAACGCAAAUGCUCCUUAUGUUCCUCUUCAUUCUUUGAGUAGAUCAAAAUAUCAUCAAUGAACACUACGACAAACUUAUCCAAAAACUCCAUAAACACCUUGUUCAUCAAGUUCAUCAAAUAGGCAGGUGCGUUAGUCAGACCAAAUGACAUAACGGUAUACUCAUACAGCCCAUACCUGGUGGUAAAAGCCGUCUUAGGUAUAUCCUGCUCUCGAAUCUUCAACUGGUGGUAUCCUGAUCGUAGAUCGAUCUUGGAAAAUACCUUAGCUCCUUGUAGGCGGUCAAACAAAUCAUUAAUCAUUGGCAGUGGGUACUUGUUCUUGAUGGUCACUUCAUUCAAUCCACGAUAAUCAACGACCAUCCUUAACGAUCCAUCCUUCUUCUCCACUAGAAGUACAGGCGAUCCCCAAGGUGACGAACUUGGGCGAAUAUAGCCUUUAUCCAGUAACUCCUUAAUCUGCUUCUUAAUUUCCACCAAAUCUUUUGCGGGCAUCCUCUACGGUCUCUUAGAUAUCGGUCCUGUGCCUGGCAAAAGUUCAAUCGGAAACUCAAUGUCUCUAUCCGGUGGCAUGCCUGGCAACUCUCCUGGAAAUACAUCCGGGUAAUCCUUCACCACUGGUACUUCCUUCUGUACAACUCCUGAUAAGGAAUUCACUUGAGUCCUCUUCGGCACAUGCCGGGAUACAUACUUAAUCCUCCUUCCUUCUGGGGUGGUAAGAAAAAUCGACUUACUGGCACAAUCGAUGUUCCCUCCAUACUUUGAUAACCAAUCCAUGCCUAAUAUCACAUCCAAUCCUUGCGAUUCCAGUAUUAUUAGGUCUGAGGGAAACACGUAGUUACCAAUCCUUAAUGGUAACCGAUCACACCAUAAACUAGCCAUAUACUCUGCUCCUGACGAGGUUACUAACAUGGGUGACCUAAGGGCUUGGGUUGGCAGUUUAUAGUUAUCCACAAAUCCCCUUGAUAUGUAUGUAUGCGAUGCACCAGUAUCAAAAAGAACGAGUGCAGUAAAUGACUUAACCAAAAACUUACCUAUUACUGCAUCAGGCUGUGCUUCAACCUCUUCCAUGCUAACGUGGUUCACAUGUCCUUUGCUGAAAGGGUUCGGCUUCUUCCCAGAGCUUCCAUUUCCAUUACCAUUCUGGGCUUCAGGACAUUCAUUGGCAUAAUGUCCAGUCUUCUGACAUUUAAAGCAAGUGACUUGACUCAGGUCUCUCUUAGCUGGGGUUGAAGGGUUGGUACGGUUCUGUCCGUUGCUUCCUCCGUUCCCAUUUCCAUUCUUGGAGCCAUUAUGAUUGUGCGAACUACCUCCUCCAUGGGUAUGCUGAAACUGUCCUCCCGAUUUCGGGGUAAAACGUGGCUUCUGCUGGGCUCCAAAAUUAUACUUCCCUUGUCCAUACUUCCUCUUACGGUUUUCAAUCUGCUGCUGCUUCCCUUCAAUCAUGAGUGCUCUAUCUACCAACUCCUGGUAGUUGUUGAAGGUUGCUACCAUUAGCUGCAUGCUCAGCUCAUCAUUCAGUCCUUCCAAAAACUUCUCCUGCUUGGCUGCAUCUGUAGCAACGUUAUCUGGGGCAUAACGUGCUAACUUACUGAAAUCCUCCACAUACUGGCCUACGGUGCGUCCUCCUUGGCGUAGGUUGCGAAACUCACGCUUCUUCAUAGCCAUAGCUCCUGCUGAAACAUGGGCUGUACGGAAAGCUUGCUGAAACUGGUCCCGUGUGACAGUGUCAAUAGGGUGAGUGGCUGUGUAAUUUUCCCACCAUGAUGCUGCGGGUCCAUCAAGCUGAUGUGCGGCAAAAAGCACUCUUUCCGCAUCUGUGCAUCCUGCAGUGGUCAACUCCCUUCCAACUUUGCGGAGCCAAUCAUCUGCAACAAUCGGCUCGGUGCUGAUGGCAAACACCGGCGGAUUUAGCCUCAAGAAACGGGCUAGGUGAUCAACAGGUGGUGGUGGUCGGUUGUUGUUGUUGUUGUUGCCUUGUUUCUGUACUAACACUUGCAUCAGGGCAUUCUGUUGCUGAAUCAACUGUGUGAUCUCCGGUGGGAAAACAAAUCCGGUGUCGCGUCUCGGAGGCAUCUGAUAGGUAUAGAAAAGAUGAGAAUUUAGAAUAGAAUGAGGUCUAGAGAGAAAACAUUACCCAUAUGCUCAUGAGACAAACACAAUCAAUAUCACUCAAUCAAUUCAAACAAGGCAUACAAUCGAUCUAACUAGCGUUACAAAAGGGCUCAAACUAUACUAUAUAUAUGGGGGAAUACUACUACUAAUAUGGUGGUCUACUAGAAAUUUUGAUCAGUCGAAGACUCCAUGAUAUCUGCUCCAGCUUCAUCAACAAAGUCAUCUUCACUGGGGUUCGAGUCGGUGUUGUCGAUGAUGAUGUAGUUAUCCGGGCAAGCGCAUUCAUCAUCUUCUGCUUUUGAUACUGGAUUUCCCAUGAAUACUCCAAUCUUCUUCUCCAGGUCGUCAUUCUUCCCUACUAGUGCGACGAUUUCCUCCAAAUAAUCCUCGCGUGUAGCCUUGAGUUCUUCCUCCAACUCCUUGAUCUUCAUCAAUGCCUUAUUCAGAUCUAUCUUGUCUUAGCACAUCUGGUUCUCCUGGCGACGAAUGUGUUGGUUUUGCUCCUGGAUGAAAGCUGCAAUUGAUCCAUCCUUCUUGGUGCUAAUCAUCUCCCAUUGCUCGUCUCGGCGUCCACAAAUCUGAUAAAUAGUAUCCUUAAGCUCCCUUUGGUAGACUUCUCCAAUGCAUCCCAUAGAGAUGUGGGCUGCCAUGCUCUUCCCUAAACUCCAGGUUGGUGCUUCAAAAGACAACUUUAUAGGCUCAGUGACUAGCAUAAACGUCCUUCCUGGAACUUGAACUUGAAUCUUCCAGCUCUCCUCUUCAGGUAAUGUGGCGUUGUAGGUUUCGGUGAUGCUUGGUAUUCCAAUGUUCAAGUACUUAGUGACUUCCUUCAAGUGUCGUCCAAAAGGCGUAUCUUCAUCCGGUUGCAUGAACUUGUUCCUUGCAUCCGCCAUUCCUAAAAGAGUAGAAAGUGGACAGGAGUCAGAAAUGAGAAGAGAGUAGUGUUCUAGGGUUUAAGCUUAGUGGUCGUGUCCUACAGUCAGCGUGUACUCUGAUACCACCUUUGUAGCGACCAGAUCUCAAACAGUUUGUGCUGCUGUGCACCAGUGUCAUCCCUGGAUCAGUAAUGCUGACACGCACAGUACAAAUGGAGGAUUUAUAACAGAGUAGCAAUCACACACUUAUUACAGCGAAUAUCUCAAAGGAGAAUAAGUAUGAUAUAUAUGGCUUAAGGCCAUCUAAUACGAUAACAGCGGAAGGCUUGGAAGAUAAGUGAGUCCAUCAACUCCAACGGCAUCACUGAGUAUAAGACCACGACCUAAGGCACCUUACUCGUCGUCUGAAAAGUCUGCAACAUGAAACGUUGCAGCCCAAAAACGGGUCAGCACAUGGAAUAUGCUGGCAAUGUAACACAUAGAGAGUAAUGAACAGAAUGAUAAUAUACUACAUGCAUAUAUGGCUGGUAGAAAGCUCUAUGGUUACAGUUUUGCGAAAAGCCAAUUUUUCCCUACUUCAAAGGAAUAAAUUUUAUUUAACUAUCAUGGUGGUUGUUAAACAUUGAGAUGGUUGACAGCAUCUCAAUCCCAAUUAAGUAUCAUCAUUAACCCAACAAAAUUAAUUAAAGUAACAUGGUGAUGAGAUUCAUAUGAUAAUCCAAGUACUAGAUACUCAAGUUGUCCAUAACCGGGGACACGGCUAACCAUGAGUAGUUUAUACACUCUGCAGAGGUUUGUGCACUUUUCCCACAAGACUCGAUCGCCUCCGCUGGAUUCUCGCACUACAUGAUGUUUGAAAAACGGAUGAUCGAGACAUAGUCUUUCAGAAGCGUUUGCACCUUACGAUGUGAUAGACCGUACCACCUACAUCCCCUACAUCUGCUAGUCUACCACUGUAAGAGUUCACACAACUUAAUCAACUAUGCUAGAGCCCAUAAUAGCAUGUGGAUGCACACGGAAGUUGCUAGCAUGAAUAAUCUCAUGAUCCCUUUGAACCUUGGUGGCGGUCCAAAAGAAAAACAGGCAAUCCUGGAAUACCCAGGUACCUCAAUCCACCCAGAUGUGAGUUUUAGUUGCCACCUUAAGUAAACCAUUAAAUAAAAAUCUCACAUCAGUCAUGAAUAUCUCUCAAACCCAAUCCACGUCUACAAGCAUAACAUGGCAAUAUAAGCAACGUAGAAGUAACUCCCAAGGGUUUGAUAAUAAAACAGGUAAUAGGUACUACCUCAAAUACUUCCCAAUACCCACAAUUUAAUUAGAUCCUAACCAAUGCAAUGUUUGAGGAUUGAUCUAAUGCAAUAAAACUGGGUAGUGAAAAGUAUGAUCAAAGUGUUACUUGCCUUGCUGGUGAUCCGUGAAACCUAGAGAUUUGAAGUAGCAAGCGGCGCACUCCGGGUACUCUAUCGCGAACAAACAAGAAAACAAUAAGUACUCAUCUAAUGCACAAGUAAAACUCAAAUAAAGAUCUAACCAGAAAGUUCAACUUAAGAAUUCCGGCUUGCAAAAAGAUUCAACUCAAACGAAGCAACGAAGGUCAAACGGCGAAAGAAACAAGCUUCAUUUACUAAUCUAGAUCUAAGUCAAAUUUUACAGUAGCAAAAACUUGUUUGAGUAGGUUAAACAGAAAGAGAAUUUCGAGAUGAAACUCUAGGCGCUUGAAUCACCUGAUUCCGAUAAACGAGCGAAAAGUUAAACCAGAACGAAAAUCUGAUCAAAAAUCGUGAUCUGGAAUAAUCGCGGAAAAUCCGACGAAAAAGAAAAAUGACGAACAGUUAAACGAACGGACGUUCGUUAACAGCGUUGAACCGAUGAACGCGUUCAUUAAAAUGAACGGAUCGGUGAACGUUCACUAUGUAAUAAACCAAAAAAAUAAACCGAUCUAUAUAAAAAAACUAGGGUUUUAAAAAAAAAUAAACCGGGCCGUUUUUUUUUAGAAACCAGGCACGGCGACGGCGUGGCUACCUCGGCGAGCAGCUCCGGCGGGGCUUCCGGCGGAUCGGGCGAGGGGCGGCGAGGUGGCGGGGCUCAGGCGGCGACGCACGGGCUCCCGGGCGGCGGCGUCUUCGGCGGCGACGCGGGCGCUCCUGGCGGCAGCGGCGGAUGCGGGUCGGNNNNNNNNNNNNNNNNNNNNNNNNNNNNNNNNNNNNNNNNNNNNNNNNNNNNNNNNNNNNNNNNNNNNNNNNNNNNNNNNNNNNNNNNNNNNNNNNNNNNNNNNNNNNNNNNNNNNNNNNNNNNNNNNNNNNNNNNNNNNNNNNNNNNNNNNNNNNNNNNNNNNNNNNNNNNNNNNNNNNNNNNNNNNNNNNNNNNNNNNNNNNNNNNNNNNNNNNNNNNNNNNNNNNNNNNNNNNNNNNNNNNNNNNNNNNNNNNNNNNNNNNNNNNNNNNNNNNNNNNNNNNNNNNNNNNNNNNNNNNNNNNNNNNNNNNNNNNNNNNNNNNNNNNNNNNNNNNNNNNNNNNNNNNNNNNNNNNNNNNNNNNNNNNNNNNNNNNNNNNNNNNNNNNNNNNNNNNNNNNNNNNNNNNNNNNNNNNNNNGGAGAGGUGGCGGGGUAGGGGGGUACUUAUAGGAGGGGGAGGGGGUGCCGUGGGGACCGGGCAAGGCGGCGGCGGGCGGCGUGCUCGAGCCGGACUCGGCGGCGGCGGCAGCCGUGCUCGGGAGGGAGACGGGCGCGGGGCAGGCUGGGCCGUCGGCUGGGCUUCGGCCCAGUCGGCGCGCUCGGCAUUUUUUUUUAAUUCGCCGAAUCUAAAAAAAUCACAGAAAAAUAAAUAAAAAUCCAAAAAUGAUAAAACAAAUUUUUCCCGUCUAAUUAAAAUAAUUAGAACGAGGUGAACAUUUCCUUGGCCCAAAAAUGCAGUUUUAAAACGUGCAAUUUUUUUAAUGCAAUUAAAAUUGCAAAUAAAAUCCGAAUAAAAUCAAAUAUUUGAUUUUAAUAUUUUCCUCCAAUAUUUCAGUUAUUUUGGAGAAGUCAUAUUUUCUCCUCUCAUUUAUUUUAAUACGAAAUAUUUUUCGGAGAGAAAAAUAAUUAAAACCAAAAUCCUCGUUUUAUUAUUUGAUAAAAAUCAAAUAUGAAAAACCUGGAAAAUCCCCAACUCUCUCCGAGGGUCCUUGAGUUGCUUAGGAUUUAUCGAGGAUUUGCCAAAAUGCAAAUAAAUAUGCUAUGCAAUGAUGAUCUAGUGUAUAACAUUCCAAAUUGAAAAUUUGGGAUGUUACAUUGUGAGCCCCAGUUAAAAUAUUAUAUGCCAAAAUUGUUGACAUUGGACAAGGAAGACAACGUAAUGAUUUAUGUUUGUUCAUAUUCACAUAGAAGUUAUAUUGUCAUAGAUCCUUCAACAUGUGGUGCUUGCCCCCCAUCUUUGCUAGCCAAAAAUUAUGCACUAAGUAGAGAUACUACUUGUGCAUCCAAAAACCCUUAAACCCAAAUCUUAUUUUCGAGAGUCCACCAUACCUACCUAAGGAUUGAGUAAGAUCCUUCAAUUAAGUUGUCAUCGGCGCAAUAAGGCAAUAAAAAUUGCUUCUAAAAGUGUGAGAUCAUUUAGUUAAGAGAAAAUUGAGCAUUUUACGGACUUGUUAUAUCAAAGAAUAAAAGCGAUAGACUACAUAAUAAAGGUUGCCAUCACAAGGGGCAAUAUAAUGUGACGUUCUUUUGCACUAAGGAGUUGAGCAUACAAACAAUUAAGCGCAUGACAACCUCUACUUCCCUCUGUGAAGGGCCUAUCUUUUAGUUUUAUGUAUUUACUUUUAUGCAAGAGUCAAAGUGUUCUCUCUAUUCCUUCCUAUUUUUCUCCUUUGGCAAGCAUCAUGUGGUGAGGAAAGAUCUAGGCACAUAUAUCCAGUUGAAUAUGUGUAGCAUGAGUUAUUAUUGUUGACAUCACCCUUGAGGUGAGUAUGUUGGGAGGCAAAACUAUAAGCCCCUAUCUUUCUAUGUGUCCGGUUGAAAUGUUUUGCUCAUGUGUAUGCAGUGAGUGUUAACAAUCAUAGAAGACUAUAUGAUGGUUGAGUAUGUGGACUUGCCUAAAGUCUCCGAUAUGUGAACGUUCCUGAAAAGAUGAUGAAUUGUAGUUCAGAGUUGACUGAGAACAUAGUUUGUUGGUUUCCAAUAGAGUUUAUGCUUUAUACUUCGAUAAUGUGAUGAAUUGCUACUUAUUCACGAGAAGUAUGUGAUAAAAGUUCUAUGAUAAAAGUUUUAUGUUAAAGUUUGUUGUUGUUAUAAUAAUUCACAUGAUGCUUCUAUGUCCGUAUUUUGUUUUUAUCGACACCUCUCUCUCUAAGCAUGUGGACAUGUUUUUAGAUUUCUGUUUUCGCUUGAGGACAAGCGAGGUCUAAGCUUGGGGGAGUUGAUACGUCCAUUUUGUACCAUGUUUACCUACUGUUAUUUGUAAUGUUUUGAUGCAUAAUAAUGCGUUUUGGAGUAAUUCUAAUGCCUUUUCUCUCAUAAUAUGCAAGGUACACUCAAGGAGGGAGAAUUCCGGCAGCAGGAAAUCUGGACCUGAAAAAGCUACGUAAGGCCACCUAUUCUCCACAACUACAAAUGAGCUGAAACUUUACGAGGAUGUUUUAUGGAAUAUUUAAGAAAUACUGGAGCAAAUAACCACCGGAGGGAGGCCACCUGGUGAGCACAAGACACCAGGGCACGCCAGGCCCGUCAGGCGCGCCCUGGUGGGUAGUGCUCAGUCGGGCCCACCUCAGGUGCCAAUCUUCUGGUAUAUAAGUCAUUUUGACCUAGAAAAAAAAUCGGAGGUGGACUUUCGGGACGAAGCGCCGCCGUCUCGAGGCGGAACUUGGGCAGGAGAACUUUUGCCCUCCGGCGGAGCGAUUCCGCCGGGGGAACUUCCCUCCCGGAGGGCGAAAUCAUCAUCAUCAUCAUCACCAACAACUCUCCCAUCUUGGGUAGGGGAAAUCUCCAUGAACAUCUUCAGCAGCACCAUCUCCUCUCAAACCCUAGUUCGUCUCUUGUGUUCAAUUUGUGUACCAGAACUAUAGAUUGGUACUCGUGGGUGACUAGUAGUGUUGGUUAUAUCUUGUAGUUGAUUACUAUAUGGUUUAUUUGGUGGAAGAUUAUAUGUUCAGAUCCAAUAUGAUAUUUAAUACCCCUCUGAUCUUGAGCAUGUUUAUCACUUGUGAGUAGUUACUUUUGUUCUUGAGGUCACGGGUGAAAUCAUGUUGCAAGUAAUCAUGUGAACUUGAUAUGUGUUCGAUAUUUUGAUAGUAUGUAUGUUGAGAUUCCCUUAGUGGUGUCAUGUGAACGUCAACUACACCAUAUUUGGGACUAAGGGAAUGCAUUGUGGAGUAGUUAUUAGAUGAUGGGUUGCGAAAGUGACAGAAGCUUAAACCCUAGUUUAUGCGCUAUUUCGUAAGGGACUGAUUGGAUCCAAAAGUUUAAUGAUAUGGUUAGAACUUAUUCUUAAUAUUUUUCUCCUAGUUGCGGAUGCUUGAGAGGGGGUUAAUCAUAAGUAGGAGGCUUUUUCAAGUAAGAGCAGCACCUAAGCAGCAGUCCACCCACAAAUCAAAUUAUCAAAGUAGCGAACACGAAUCGAAUCAACAUGAUGAAAGUGACUAGAUGAAAUUCCCAUGUACCCUCAAGAGCGCUUUGCUUAUCAUAAGAGACCAUUUUGGCCUGUCCUUUGCCUCAAAAGGACUGGGCUACCUUGCUGCACUUUUGUUACCGUUACCGUUACUUGCUCGUUACAAAUUAUUUUGCUAUCAAACUACUCGCUACUUACAAUUUCAGCACUUGUAGACACUACCUUGCUGAAAACCAAUUGUCAUUUCCUUCUGCUCCUCGUUGGGUUCGAUACUCCUACUGUAGCGACCCGAUCCCAAUGGAUCGAAGUCUCUGUGCUUAAGUGUCAUCCCUGGAUCGGUAUUGCUGACACACACAAUACUCGAGGAAUUAUAACAGAGUUCAGUCACACACUUAUUACAUCGAGUGUCUCAUAAGAGAACUUAUUACAAUAAUAUGGCUGAAGGCCAUCUAAAAUAAGAUAAUUGCGGAAACUUCGAAGAUAAAUGAGUCCAUCCAACUCCAUGGCAAAUCUGAGUGCACGACAACGACCUAGCGCACCUUUUACUCUUCGUCUGAAAAUUCUGCAACAUGAUACAUAGCAGCCGUGCAGGUCAGCACAUGGAAUAUGAUGGCAAGAUAACACUAUAGAGCAAUGAACAAAUAACAGCUAUCACUACAUGUAGUAUAUGGCUGGUGGAGGCUCUUAGUUUAUCAUUUGCAUAAAGACAAUUUUUUUCCUACAACAAAUGGAAUAGAUUUUAUUUAUCUACUAGUUUUAUGUCAUUAAUGAGAAGGUUCCUCCAACUCAAUCCCAAAAGAAUAUUAAUAACCCAACAAGUUUAUUAAGUAAGUGAUGAUAUCAAACAAUAAUUCAAGUACCAGAUACUCAAGAUGUCCAUAAGCGGGGACAUGGCUAAUCAUGAUUAGUUUGUACACUCUGCAGAGGUUUGCGCACUUUUCCCCACAAGACUCGAUCUCCUCCGUUGAAUUUCUCGCACUACAUGAUGUUUGAGAAAUGGAUGACUGAGACACAGUCUUUCCGAAGCAUUAACUCAUUACUCUAGUUAGACAGUACCACCUACUUUCCCCUACAUCUGCUAGCCUACCACUGAAAGAGGUCACACAACAUACUCAAUUAUGCCAGAGCCCAUAAUGUCUUGUGGAUCACACGAAAGUUUCUAGCAUGAAUAAUCUUAGGAUCCCUUUGAGCCUGGGUGGCAUUCCAUAGGAUGAUCACACGGGUACUCCGGGAUAUCCUAGGACAACACUGGAUUCUCCAGGUGCCCACAACCAAUCCACCUAGAUGUGUAUUAGAGUAGCCACCUUAAGUUUCCCUUAGUUAUUAUCUCUCACAACUUGCAUGAUUCUCUCAUACCAAUUCACGCCUACGAGCAUGGCUAAGCAAUAAGUAACAAAGCGUAUAUUCCCGGGGUGAUCAAAGGUAAUAGGUUCCUACCUCAUAGACUAUAGACAUACCACAUGUUACCAAUCUUACUCAUGCAAUGUUUGAGGGUUGAAACUAAUGCAUAAAAACUGGGUAAUAAAGGGAUAUGAUCAAAGUGUAACUUGCCUUGUUGAUGAUCGAAAAACCCUAGAGAUUUAUAGUAGCAAGCUUCGCACUCAAGCAAAAAUGCAAAGGUAAAACCAAAUAAAAGGUCUAAACAGAAAGUUCAAGCGAAGGGCUUCGAUUUGCAAAAAGAAUCGAUCAAAUCGAAACUACGAAACUCGAAUUACAAUCAAAAGAAGUUCAAAUACAAAUCUAUUUGAAACCAAAUUUUAAUUUUUCAAAAAUAUGUUCAAGUUGAUUAUCUGGACAGAGGGUAUCGUAACGAAGAAUUCGGCGUUGGUUUCAUUGAAUUUGGAUAAACGAGCAAAAAGUUGUGAGGGUUUGAAGAUCAGGGAUUAAACUACGAAGAAAAUAAUUACGAACGGGUUCCUGGCUGAAAAUAAACUAAAAAAGAAAAAUCUAACGAACGGACGUUUGCUAACAGAGACUAACGAACGAAAACAUUCACUAACAGAUCUAAACGAACGAACGUUUGCUAAUUAAACUAAACUAAUAAAAUAGACCGAUCUAAAAAGAAAAACCUAAAACUAAAAAACCCGGGUCGGGUUUUGCCGAUUUAUACCGGUUCGGUGAGAAAAAGUUGCAGCGGCAGAUCGGGCUCCGGCGUGAGGCGCAACGGCCGACGGCGGCUGCGGGGCGGGGUGGCGCCNNNNNNNNNNNNNNNNNNNNNNNNNNNNNNNNNNNNNNNNNNNNNNNNNNNNNNNNNNNNNNNNNNNNNNNNNNNNNNNNNNNNNNNNNNNNNNNNNNNNNNNNNNNNNNNNNNNNNNNNNNNNNNNNNNNNNNNNNNNNNNNNNNNNNNNNNNNNNNNNNNNNNNNNNNNNNNNNNNNNNNNNNNNNNNNNNNNNNNNNNNNNNNNNNNNNNNNNNNNNNNNNNNNNNNNNNNNNNNNNNNNNNNNNNNNNNNNNNNNNNNNNNNNNNNNNNNNNNNNNNNNNNNNNNNNNNNNNNNNNNNNNNNNNNNNNNNNNNNNNNNNNNNNNNNNNNNNNNNNNNNNNNNNNNNNNNNNNNNNNNNNNNNNNNNNNNNNNNNNNNNNNNNNNNNNNNNNNNNNNNNNNNNNNNNNNNNNNNNNNNNNNNNNNNNNNNNNNUGAUGAGGGGGAAAGAGUGGCGGGAUGGCGGCUUAUUAGGAGGGGGGCGGCAUCCGACUUGGGGAGGGGGUCGGGGUGCGUGACGGCGGCUCGGACUCCGGCGAGUCCGGCUCCCGCACGGCAGGAAAGGCGGCGGCGCAACGGGCCGGCUCGGCCUUCGGCCCAGUUCGGUUCGGAGAAAUUCUUUUGUAAUCGUGCCGCAAAGAAAAUCCAAAUAAAAUAAAAUAUAUUUCCUAAAAAUUGCAGAAAUAAACUUCACCAUCCCCUCCUUAUAUUUGGGACAACGUGAACAUUUUUCUAGGCUAAAUGCAAUUUUUAAAAAUGCACAUUUUAACCUAAUUUAGUAAAAUGCAACCGAAUAAAAAUUCAAAUAAAACUCAAAUAAAAUAUAUUUUCUUAAAAAUUAAAUUUCCAAUAUUUCCCGCUGUUUUGAAGAAGUCAUAUUAUCUUCUCUCAUUAUUUUAUUUAUUUCAAAAUAAUUGGAAAAAUAAUUUUGAAUAAAAUCUCUUUGAUCCAAUUUGCCAAAUUUGAAAAUUAAAAAAUUGAUUUUUGUGAAAACCUCCAACUCUCUCAAUUGGUCCUUGAGUUGCUUAAGGUUUCUAGGACCAAAACUCCAAAUAAAACGAAUUCAAAGAUGCAUAAAUUAUGAAUGCAUAUGAUGACCUAACGAAUAACAUCCAUCUUGAAAAUUGGGAUGUUACAAACCUACCCCCCUUAAGAUGAAUCUAGCCCUCGAGAUUUGGGUUGGCUAGUAUAAAGGUGUGGGUGGUAUUUUCGGAGGUCUUCUUCUCGCUCCCAGGUGGCUUCCUCCUCGGUAUGGUGGAUCCACUGAACUUUGCAAAACUUGAUGACCUUGCUGCGUGUAACUCGGUUGGCAAACUCGAGAAUCUUGACGGGUUUCUCCUCAUAGGUUAGGUCACUCUCCAACUGAAUUGCUUCCAGGGGCACUGUAUCUCUCAGAGGAAUAUCGUCCAUCUCUGCAUGGCAUUUCUUCAGGUGGGAAAUGUGAAACACCUCAUGAACUCCUGACAAACCUUCGGGUAACUCCAACUUGUAGGCAACUUCAACCAUACGUUUCAAAACUCGGUAUGGUCCUACAAAUCAUGGGGCUAACUUUCCUUUGACUCCAAACCGUUUAACUCCUUGAAGUGGUGACACACGAAGAUAUGCUCUGUCUCCGACUUUGUAGGCUACCUCCUUGCGUUUACUAUCGGCAUAACUCUUUUGCAUGGAAAGAGCUACCUUGAGUCUAUCUCGAAUCAACUUGACCUUCUCCUCAGACUCUCUGAUUAAGUCUAGCCUGAACAGUUGUCGGUCUCCAAGUUUAUCCCACAUCAAUGGUGUCCUGCACCUCCUUCCAUAUAAGGCUUCGAAAGGGGCCAUCUUCAAACUGGCUUGGUAACUGUUGUUGUACGAGAACUCACUACAAGAAAUAUGUCAACUUGCGACCAUCACUAUUGGUCGCUGAAAGGUCAUUGUUUUUCAUUUGUGACUUUUUUGUGACCAAAAACAGAUGGUCAAAAGCUGACGGUCGUAAACUGAAAUUCACGACCUUCUUUGUGAUAUGUAAAAGGUCGUUGGUUCUUUGACCAAAUUUUUGGUCACUAGCAGCCUCCCCAGGCCACGUAGGAUCCAGCGUGGCAAGCUGACGUGGAUAAGAAUCAGCCUAGUCCAAUUUGAUGCCUAUAUGGGCCGAGCCCAUUAAUUCAGCCCAUUUAUAUUUUUUUUCCUAUGAAUUUUUUGUCAGCUUCAUGGACCAAGCCCAACAUUGCAGCCUUUUUAUUUUUGGGUCGUGGGCUUUUUGUCUCAAUAGUUUCAGUUCACUUUUUUUUAUAAAAUGGGUUCACUAGUCAGGUGGGUCCUUGCUGUCAGUGUCACAUUCUUCAUUUUCCAAUUUAACGUAAAUAAAUACACAAUAUUUAAAUUGGCACAUAGAAAACACACAAAAUACUUCAAAUAUUAUCAACUAGAGUUAGUACAGAGCUGCUGUUGUACAAAUAACACGUAAUAAGAUCUAACAUACACUUUGCAAGCUCUACAAGUGUAACAACAGUAUGGCAAUCAUAGUUACAUGCUCCACAAGUUCAAUAACAUGGUACUUUACAAUCUCUACAAGUGUCAUGUUCUUCAGGAUGGAGCUCCUUCGACAGCGAUUACAAACUAGGCACCUGCUCUUCUUGCCAUUGUGAGGAGGUGGAUGCUCACCAUGGUGUGCUUGAUGAUGCACACGACCAUGAUCUUCUUGCCACUAUUGCAUCCGUGCGCUCGAUGAUGCUGGUACCAAUGCAUACAACUAGAACAAAAUUGUCAGCAUUAACCCACAACUUCAAGUACAAGCUAAGUAUGUAUCAAGUGACAACAAAAACAAGUUUAUAUGCUAGUACAAAAUCACCAUCAUUAACUAGUUUAUAUGGGAAUGAAAACAAUCAUCAGUACUGGAUUGAACACAAUGCUAUCUUCAUAUUAGCAAACAGAAUAUCUCAUUUUCAUAUUCUCAGUAAGCAAGUACAGUCUGCUUCAACCCAUGUUCUAAAAAAGAUGUUUAUCCCUCCCAGGAGUACAUUUGAUGGUUUAUUAUGGGACGGAGGUAGUAUGUAUCAAGUAACAAAGAAAACAAGUUGAGUAAAACGGUAAAAAUGCAGCAGGGAACAGACUUCUUUUAUAUGGGUAUGUUUCAAUUGCAUACAACAAGACAAGUCAUUAAUUGAAUGUGAAUAUCAAUUCAAAUUGCUACAUUGUUGUACCAUAUCCUUCAAUGAAAGAUUAUUAGUAAGUAACUGGUGUUCCCGGGAUUCAAGAUGCAUUAUUUUGUCACCAAACUUUCAGAGAUGUUGGUGCUCACCUUCCAUCUUCGCGAGGUGCUUCUUCACCUUGCCGGCGCACACUUUGCAGUGAAGGGACACCUUCAGCACGACCACCUGCACGAUCAAGUAAACUGAAAUUAAGUUAACAAAAGGAAGGCAUGGCAAUGGGCAUGGGCAAAUUAACUUUUGUCGACAUAGCAGCAUGGUAGCAAUGAAUUAACAUCAUCAAGUUAACAUAACAGCAUGGCCAUGGCAGCAUUUCGGUAGAUUAAUAUCAUGCAUCCGAAAUAGCAAGAUUUGUCCAUAAAUCCUAGCUUUAAUACAAAAUGAGCAGUUGCAAUUCUAGUAACAAUCUGAGAACACAGUCCUCUCGGUUUGAACAACACUACAAAAAAAGACACAUCCGUGACAUUUUGGGCCGAACGAAAUUUUUUGUCAUACUAAUGAAACUUCUAUGACGAUAAUUGUGACAAAACCCGGUAUCAUCAUAGAUGUGGUGGGCUCCUACUUCUAUGGCAAAAAAUCAUGACAGAAAAUGGGCUUUUCGUCCUGGGCGGGCCGUAGACGUAGCUGCAUGACAUUCUUUGGGCCGUCCAUGACAGAAAAAACCGUGGUAGAAGCGAGGGUGAGGAAAAUAUCGGGGUGUUCCCGGUUACGGUGCGUGGUCGGGGCCGAGCGAUGCACGGAGGUUUGCGCGUUUCUCUCGUACAUGCACAUGCGUGGGUGCGAGGCGUUGGGCUCUAACUGAACCCGAGCGAGGCGUUCGCCUACUGAACCCGAGCGAUUGUACUGCAGGCUACGCGUUACGGAACCUGAGCGAUCGAUCAAUGGCUGUUAACUGAACCCGAUCGAGUGAUUCCUUCGCUACUGCUGCUAACUGAAGCUGGUUGAUGCUGCCUCUGGAUGAACAGUGAGCGUUGCUGGGGGGUUUGGAUGAACAAUUCCCGGUGGGGGUGGAUGAACAGGACCCUGUUGUGUUGCCUCUGGAUGAACAGGACCCCGAUCAAUUGAGCCGGUUGGGGCUGGAUGAACAGGACCCCGUGGAGGGCUGGAUGAACAGGACGACCCCGUGGACUGCUGGAUGAACAGUAGACGGUGGAGGGGUGGAUGAACAGUAGCCCGUGGAGGGGUGGUUGAACAGGAGCCCGUGGAGAGGGCUGGCUGAACAGUAGCCGGUGGAGUAGCGCGCGGUGGAGGCUGGAUGAACAGGAGCCCGUGGAUGAACAGUCGCAGGUGGAGGAUAGAGGAGGUCGAUGGUGGAUGAACAGUAUCCCGUGGAGGCUGGAGGAGGUCGACGAUGGAGAUGAACAGUAUCCCGUGGAGUCCCGUUUUGCGGUAUGCCACACCCCUCCCGAUGAACAGGACCCCCGUUUCGACCGUAGCGCUCCAACACAAGUCCGUUUCCUCCAUUUUGCGGUACGCCACACCCCUCCCGCUCAACAGGACCCCGUUUCGACUCUAGGAGGUCCAACACAAGUCCGUUUCCUCCGUUUUGCGGUACGCCAGACCCCUCCCGAUGAACAGGAUCCCGUUUCGAACGUGGCCGGUCGAACACAAGGCCGUUUCCUCCAUUCUGCGAUAUGCCAGGCCUCGUUUCCAUCGCCUGUUCCGUCCAAGCCAGUUGGCUCCCACGCGUUCCGUUGCCUCCCGAUGAACACGACGCAUUCCGUUGCCUCCCGAUGAACACGACGCAUUCCGUUGCCUCCCCAUGAACAUGACGAUGAUGCAGUUUCUCCGUUCCGACCCAGCCAUGUACACGAGCCCUGGCCGUACGUAUGCGCGAGUAGGCGUUCGAGACCCCGCCUGUAGGUACGUAUGUGGCCGUAUUUUCUUUCUUGCACACUGGCCGCUGUACGUACGUGUACAUGCUACAUGCGCGCCUCUACUACGACACGUGCACGCCUCUACUACAACACGUGCGCACCUCUACAUCGACCAGUAUGUACGUACAUGUUCGAGACCAGAAUGACAACACUACGUACGCUUCGACCAUGUGAGUCCUGACUAUUAGGCACUUCCUUACGUGCGAAGAUGUAGCUGGUGGGUCCCAGCAGUCAGGGGCGAAUCGUUUUUUUUGCCCGGACACACUUCCUUGCGUGCGAAGAUGGUGCUGGUGGGUCCCAGCAGUCAGGGGGGAAAUGUUUUUUUUGCAAAAUAUGGUGGCCCGUCCGGUGGGUCCCCGCUGUCAGGUGGAGGAAUAAUUAUUUUGCGCGUAAUAAGGAGGCACUUCCCUGCGGCCACCAUGGACCCAACUAUCAGCGUCUCCACGUACAGUACUCUUCAGAUGGAAGUCAUUCCUUGACCACAUUGACCACGCAGCGCCGAGAGCACCAGGGCGGUGGACGACGGCGAGGCCUAGGAAGGGGACGACGCGGAGCCGGGGAAGACGCGACAGAGGAAGCCCGCGCGAAGAGGAGUACGAGGGUUCACUGGUUCAGCUGCGGUGUGAGGCUGCCGUUACCGCAGGGCCUGGCCAGCGGUGGGAAUAGUAGGUGCGGUGAGGCCUCCGCGGCAGCACAGCCGACCACGGGAGGCAGGAGCAUGCGGCACGACCGGCGGUGCUUUGGGCGGCUGGAGCACGAAGAUCAGAGGUUGAAGAAGCACUACGGCCGUUGGAUGGACAUCGUACGAUCACUGGCGCUAGAAUCGUUCAUAUUGACUAAGUUGACAAAGCCCUCCGUCCCUGUCAACUUAGUAGGCCCACAAGUUAGCGUCCCACCAAGGUGGGUCCCAGCUAGCAGGGGGAGUAUUCAUUUUUUUGUGCGUAAUCAGGAGGCAUUUCCGGUGGGUCCGAGCUGAUAGCGAGGGGAACAUUUUUUCACGAAAUAUAGAGGCCCUUUCGGUGGGUCCCAGCUAUCAGGUGGAGGAAUCAUUAUUUUGCACGUAAUAAGGAGGUAUUUCCCUGUGUGGGCCCCUACUGUCAGCCUCUUCCGAUGGGUGUUGUUUGUUGACUAUGUUGACCUCGCCAUGCCGAGAGCACAAACGCGGUGGACGAGGGCGAGGCCCAGGAAGGGAACCACCCAGAGCCGGCGAAGCCACCGCAGCGGAUGCCCACGCUGAGGGGAGUACGAGCGCUGACUGGUCGGCUGCGGGGUGAGGCUGACAUCGCCGGAAAAUAAGAGGAUGUGUGGGUAGUUAGAGGGAUGGCCUGGCGGCGGCACAGCCGGCCACGGGAGGAGGGAGCAGGCAGUCCCGUCGGCGCUGGUUUGGGUGGCUGGAGCAAGAAGAUCAGAGAUUGAAGAAGCACGGCGGCCGUUGGAUGGACAUCCAACAGUCACUGCUGUGUGUUGACUAAGUUGACAAAGCCUUGCGUACGCGUCAAAAAAAAUUUAGGACAGCGUCAUCGUCAACCUGGUAGGCCCGGAAGUCAGCCUCCAAAUCUGUGGAAAACAGCAUACAGCCCAUUAGCCAUUAUUUUCAAUAAUUUACAACCAAUUUGCUAAUUCUUAAGGAUAUUUGAAGCCCAUAUUCUUUUUAUUAGCAUUACAGACCAUAUAUUCUGGGCACUGCUAAAAAAUUCAACGAAAUUUUGCAUAUUUCGGUGGGGUCCGAACUAUUUUAAUCACGAAAUUUCGAGUCAUGUUAAAAAUAUUUUUAAAGAAUAAAAUUCAAAAAAACAAUUCUCUGCAAAAAAAUGAAUGAAAUUUAGAAUCUUGACUAGCAAGAUGCCCGUUCGUUGCACGGAACAUGAAGAUGCAUUUGUAUGAGUAGUUUAUCUUGUGGGAGAAAAGAUGAUAUUUUAAUGUAAUUGCCAGUUGGCUUUGGUUUUUAUAAGAGUAGAGAGCAGAGAAAUCCUGAAAAAAUGAUAUUUUAAUGCAAUUGCCGGUCGGCUUUGGUUUAAAAAUUUACAGCCCAUUUCUUACAACUUAUAGCCCAUUUUCUAGGGAGGCCCAUUUCUUACUACUUACAUCCCUCCUCGUCUUGAAAGAUUUGCAGCCCAGCAGAGCUGAGAAAAUCAAGUAGGCCUCGGUUUUGCUAUUCUCCAAAAAAAAAAGAACUGGGCUAGCCAUUUUCAGAAAGAAAAAAAAUAUCAACUGGGCUCGUCAUGUGCUUAAUAAAAGCAUAAGCGUGGGCUAGACGGGCCAUAGCCCCCGCACAGCGCGCAGUUGAGCUCUGUCUCUGAAACUAAAAAACAACUGGGCGAGCUGCUGGGUCCCUGGUGUUAUCCGCUCGUAGUGUAAUUUUCUCGUUUAUUGGCUACAUUGACAAUGGCGUGGGACCUAGUUGUGAAACAAUUAGGAGGAAGUAUUUUUUUGGCUUGUAAUAACGAGGCACCUGCUUGCAAAAUGCAAUGACCCUGGUGGGUCCCUACCAUCAGCCUCUCCACGUACAGUCAUCUCCUGAUUCCUCUUGGUUGUUGACCAUGUUGACAACGCCAGACGGCGGCGGGCACAGCGAGCGAACCAACGCGGAGAACGACGGCGAGGCCUUAGACGGAAACGAACAACAGCCGUGGAAGAUGCGGCAGUGUAGUGGCAGGUGGAGGGGAGUACGAGGGCAACAACAUGCAACUGAAGCAUACAAAUGGUACAAAAAGCCCAAGGAUUAAUUGUUCAUCAAAUUUUUAGACAAAACCCAGAUUGAACAUGGCAGUAACAUCUAACCCAACCACUCUUUUUUGCAGUCACAAACAAAUGGAUCGGUCUGAUCCAUAAAAUCAAUAUCGUGUGCAAAAAAAAAUUAUUUCAGAAUGACUACAACUUGUUGUAAAUAGAAGCCGAGAACGUUUAGAAGCCCAUUUGUCCACAUGAAACUUCUUUUUUUGCUGUUCAACAUGUCCGUCCGUGAGAAAUCUCUUGCAGUAAAAAUUAAGCCUCAUGGACAAUUAUAACCUCGCAUUCAAGAGGAAGAAUGUGACAAAGCUUCUGUUUUCCUGGUUGGAUGCAUAUCCUUCCAUCGUUAUUCUCCUCAAACGAAUGUCAUGAGAACUGAGAAGAUCCUGGUGCUUAUUAGGCCACCGAUUGGUUAUAUGUUUUGCUCCAUGUGGUUCUGCCUAAGUAGACAUGAAGAUUGAAAACAGUUAAGGUCUGAAAAAAGAGUAUGUCGAAAGAACGACAACUGAACAGUUAAUUCUAGUACAAUAUAUACGGGCUCUCAAUGUGUAUGAAAUCACCAUCUCUAUAUAUAAGUUCUCCAGAGAUCGAAAGCAUCACAGCAAGCCAAUAAUUAUGUUCAGAUCAAAACUAAACAUUCUGAUAUAUAUGAUCUUGACAGAAUCCAGCAGCAUUGAUAGGCUAUCAAUGGACGAACUCUUCAUUGAGCAUAUAACGUAAUAUUAGUACCCAAAGUGUACUCCAAGAUGAUAUAAAACUUAUGUGCACAAAUGAAAAAUGCAGCUUAUGAUUACAAAUGUGUAGAUGAUAAUAUACGGUACCUGAAAAAGUGAGGAGCCAAACACCAACUCCUUGUGAUCAUUAAACGGGUCACGAAUGACACCCAAGGUCUCCAGUUUGGGCGCAGAGACGACAAUUAUUUGUGAAGGUCUAUAACAAUUAUCAAGGAGCAACCUUUUAAGUGAAUGGGAAUCUUCGAUGAUGAGUUGUUGUCCUUCAAAACAAAUUCCAAUGCUUUUAAGGUGAGGCGACUUUAUUUGGAGAAACUGAUACAGAUUUUUAUUCCCAAAACAAUCAGCAAGCGCUCCAGGGCAGGGAAACUGGAGUGGAUGAUGCUGUGCAGUCAGGCCUCCAACAGAUAAACCACCACAAGCGAAAGUUUUUUUAGCAGUGGGAGUCGAAGCAUUUGUACCAGAUCGUCUGGUAGAUGGCACCGGGCGAAGGUGGCGGUGUGGAGAGAGGAGGAAAACCGCGAGAUGGACAACGGUGGUGUGGGCACGAAUUCUUGGUGUGUUCGUGGUCUGGAACUUUUGUGGUAAUGGUACAACUCAAACUGCUGGAGUUUUCCGAAAUCAGGGGAUGUCAGCCAAGCAUCCACCAUGCCGGGUAUGGAUAGCAGGUAGCGUGUCGGGAUGCAGAGGCAUUGAAUGGGGCCCUGCUGGUGAGAAGAGAUGAUGGCUCUAAGGAGAUCAAAUUCAGGAAGGACAAAUAUCUGACGACAGUCGAGAUUGAGGGGCGCGGUGCGCCACAGAGGGCGCCACCGAGUUGAGAGGACAUGUGUGCGGCAGCAAUCCUUGGUGAGGAGAAGCGAGAUGAUCUCCUCAAGGAUGACUUCCGGGAGAUCGCUGAUGCGGUCCACCGGAGAUUCUACCGGUUCCUCAGAUCCGGGUGGGGGUGCUCGCCGCUUCUCCCAGCGCUAACGGGUGCAGGAUCUACAACCGGCGUCGCCGCUGGCGGGAGCCUCAUCUUCUUGGCGCUGGGGCCAGCCGACUCCAUUUUCCUUGUGGGCGUCGCGCCGAGCUCACGAGUUUGAGCAGAGUAGCCAGAGAGGAGCAUAGUGGCAGUGCGAGUGGGGAAGAAGGAGGGUUGGGGAUUUCUGUAGGAGUGGAAGAAGAGGAGCAGGCGUUUUCUGUAUGAGUGAGGAAGAAGGUGAGCGGGGGUUUUCUGGACGAGUGAGGAAGAUUGGGGAGCGGGGGGAAUUGGGCUGAGACGGAAGCGGGAGAGUGAGCUGUUCGUGUUUAUAAGGCCCGAUGCACUAACUACUCGCUUAUUCCCAAGAACCGCUCUCUUCUUUUGCGUUGCAAUUGAUGCUGACACAUUUGCAGCAAACACAUGAGGCAAUAGAGAUGACUCAACAUGGGUCCAUAUUGUGCAGUUCCCCUGAAAUCAUCUUCAUUGUCCUGAAUCUGAGAAGAUAGGAAAACAGUAGCGAUACUUAAACGGUGUUGCAAAACAGUAGCACAUGUCAAUAGCUCGGCAUGACAAAACACGAUCGUUUGGACGAAGGGGAUACUGACCUGCCUAAGGAAGAUUAUAUAUAAUUUCAUAAGUCCUUGGUUGAUUUCCACGUUCGGCUGCACUGCUUCUUUGCUCCUCCACACAUGACAGGAUCGUUCCGCACUGCAGUCAGCAAGUCAACAUACGAAUAAGCUAAUUUCAUCUUGCGGUGGUCAUUGUACCUAGUUACGAAUGUAGGAAUACCUGGAGCACCAUGAGGUUAGCUGACAGCAAGUAGAUGCAGCCAUAUAAACGGUGCUACCAAAAUUGAGCUUUGUAUCCCUUCCCGUUAUGAGAAUUCUUCUUGAAGUUGGUAGAAUGUGAUGGCUUGUUCUUUGCAUCAAACUUGCCUUUCCCCUAAGAUUUGGUCUUGUUGUUUUGGGGCUGGUUGGGCUGGAAGUUCUUCUCGUGUACCAUGUGGGCACUAGAAGCUCCCUCAGCAACCCGAGCACGUGUGUCUUUUGCUCUCACCUUCUCCUCAAAAUCAACAGUGCUAAUGAGAUCCAAAAUAGAAAAAUCAUGUCUCUUGUUUUUCAGAGGAGUGGCAAAAUCGUUCCACGGCGGUGGAAGCUUGGCAAUGAUGGUCCCAGCAACAAAUUCGUCUGGCAACACACACUUAAAGUACUCAAGUUCCUUAGAGAGUGACUGUAUCUCAUGAGUCUUAUGAACAAUAGAGCGCUCAUCAGUCAUCUUGUACUCACAGAAUUGCCCCAUGACGUACAACUCGUUGCCAGCGCCCGAGGGCCCAAAUGUGGCCUCGAGCGCAGCCCACAUGUAUUUGCCGCUGUCAAACGACAUAUAUGAAUCCACAAUGGAAUCCUCAAGAACACUCAGCAGGGCAGCUUUGAAGAGGGUAUCCAUGUUCUCAAAAGCUUCCUGCUGUGUAGGAUUAAGAUCGCCCUCAGGCUUAACCUUAGUGGCGUCAUAGCAGUACAUGAUCUGAAACCAAUAUACUGCUCUUGUGUGCCACCUUUUAUAUUGCACCGCCUUAAAAGUAGGCGGCUUCAAAAGCGCAGCCAAACAGAUCGGAGUAAAUUGCCUAUAAUCAGGUUUUUGGAUUGGAUUGUUGAAUAUAUGAGCAAUUUACUAUGAGAUUUAAUCCGAAUCAACAGUAAAUAGAUCAUGACGACAAUUGCAAACAUCAAAGUUAUGAUGCGGACUAAACUAGGAGCAUAGAAUCACAUACUGUAUAGCAGGAGCAGAACCGCUGUGGUUGAUGUUGUCACUCAUGUCGUUGAUGAAGAGGUUACCGAGGUCGGGGAAGAAGGCUGUCGCUGAGGAAGGCGUCGCUGGCAGCAGUCACAGGAGUGUGCUCCCCAAAAACCUUAUCGCCCCUCUCCCGUACAGUAUCACGAAAGGCGAGGUUCGGAGGACUGCUGUCCCUUCUCGCGGUGCACGCCGAAAGGAGGGCUGGAGAAGAAUUGCGUGGCGGCACUAAGAUCUGGAAUGGUGCGAAACCAUAUGAUACAGCGGCGGCUAGGGUAGAGCAUGACAGGUCGGUCGUGCGAGUAAGUCCAAGUAUAAUAGUAGGCCUUUGGCCCCCAAACCCCACAUCCAAGUUAAUAAUAGCCCCACCAAGGUUUGUCUCAAAACAAUUGAGUAAUUAAGGCAUCCGUUAGUCCCUUUAGUAUAAAUACUAUACCAUUAAUAAUGGCCCCACCUUUUGUCUCACAAAGUAUGUUGGGGCUCCUGCUACAACCGGCUACAAGUUUACAAUCCGCUUCUCUUCUCUCUCCUCUUCUCUCUCCUUCAACUAAGCACAAAUACUAUAUUUAAAUCCUUAUAGCCUGCUUAUGUCAUCUAAUUGUAGUACUUUCCCUAAAGUUACUCUCCACUGUGUAGUCUGAAAUGCCGGGCAUGCAGCAGGCGGUGCCCUCGGUCGGCGUGCCGCUUCAACGGCGGAAGCAGUGAGAGGUCGCGUCGCCCUGACUUGCCAUCAAUGUGGAGCGGCGGGCUCAGCUGGCGCCGGGCGGGAAGCGUGCGCGGGAGGGGGGAGGGUUUUUUGUUGGGCCAAGAAGGUGAGAAGCCAACUUGGGAUCGGUCCGGAUGGGGAAAUAUCAUGUGCUCCCAUACUCUGCAUAUGACACUAGUCUAUGUUACUACUCCCUCCUUUUCGGUAUAUAGAUAUGUUGGGCCAAGAAGGAGUAGAGGCGACUGGGGACGCACCACGUCGUGGGCACUCCGUACAUGCUCGUGUGCAUGCAGCGUGCGAGUUUUUGCAUCGGUGCAAGCUCUAAGGCCGAGGCUGCGGUCGUCUUUGUCUCCGACUUGUCGUUGAUCAACGACGGCAAAGAGGUAUUGCAAGAGAUGCGUAGGCGCCGUUGUGUGCGAGCUUCGCCGUAGCACGACGAACCGGACAUCGCCGCAGAUGGCGCACACCUCCAUGCAGCCGAGUGUGUGCGCAUGCAUGUGUUUUUCACGUGCAUUCUGCUGCCGAGUGUGUGUGCAUGCACGCGUUGUGUACGUGCAUUGUGUGCUCCAUGCUAUGCGCGUAUGUGCAUGAGUUGGAUUGGAUGGAGCUAGUGCGUUGGCGUGUGUACAUGCGUGGCUGCAUGCGUCCUGUACAUGCGUGGCUUGUUGCGUGGUUAUCAAUAUAAACUAUAAAACACCUUCAACUUAGCAUCCUGAUGUAUCGUUUCUAGUGGUUACCGAAUAGUUCAAUUUUUUUUAUUUGUUUAUAGGUGGGCAGGCGGCAAAAACAGGGGAAAACACGCAAGGUUCCUUGCAGACGCUCCACCCCGAGGUUCCUUGCUCCUUCUCGGUCGUUGGGAAUCUAUGUUCUUCAACUCUUUUCUUUUACAUGAGCUUUGUUCAUCCUUUUGCCAACACGCGAGACAUCUAGCAUCAAGGUGCACGUGUCAUGCAAGAAAAUGGAGAUAAUCAGAUAAGCAGUGCGUAAGUGGGUCAUGCACUUCGAUGGCACCUACUACUACGCAAUAUUUUUUCUCCUCGAUGGCACGUGAAUAGUGCACGUACUCAACGACGGAGCACGGGAUGGUAGCCAUGACAUGGUCAACCCUUUUUUGGAGAGAGUACGUACUAAAUAACUUUGAUGUGUCCCGUCAACUCGCACAACGACGAGAAGCUUGAUUACGCCUUCUCCCUCGCCAACGCGUGCGUGGUGGCUCGCAGCAUGAGGAGAAACUUUUGCUUCAAGCGGUGACGUGCAGCAGUUCAUUUGGUGUCAGAUUGCCAGAAGUACUACUGUAGAACCAUCGACUUCCGGAAGAGGCAAAGAGCCAAGCGCAAGGUCACCUACUAACCUUAGACUAGGCGUAGUGGGAGUAACAUAAGUAGUGGUACCUCCUUUUUUAUUCUAGAAACAACCACAUGCGAAUAUCGAGGUGCUGGUUACGUAGAACAAAUUUCCUAGAGUCCGUGCUCAGCCCUCCUCUGUCUCUCUUCUCAGCCAGCCAGCAGACGCGCGGAGCCCAUCGUCUGUUUGCUCAUAUGCGGUCCCACAUGUGAGUGAAAACGCAAGAGGACCCACUGAACCUUCACAUCUUUCACCUCGACGUGCUGGUGAUUAAAAACAAAUCCAAUAAAGAUCUUCGGUGGCCGCUUUUGGAGUGACUCAAGAGUAGUAAGAUUCUAUUUACAGUUUAACCCAAGAUGCACAUCACGUGGCUUCAACUACCACUCUAUUUUCUUGCAUGCAGGACCUGGAUGCUGGAUGUCCCACGUGUCGGCAAAAGGAGGUAGAACCCAACCAAAUCUUGGGUUGUGCUCUUGGAUUAGACUAGUUGUGCUAACCUAAAAUUUUUAUUGUGUACUCCCUCCGUUCCUAAAUGUAAGUCUUUGUAGAGAUUCCACUAUAAACCGCAUACAGAUGUAUAUAGAUGCAUUUUAAGUUUAGAUUCAUUCAUUUUGCUCCGUAUGUAGUCCACCUAGUGGAAUCACUACAAAGACUUAUAUUUUGGAAUGGAGGGAGUAGAAUGGAUGCAAGUUUUGGUAUUGGGAAGAAGAGCACGGCCAUUGCAUCCGAGAAAUGGCACAGACACGACGCCAUUGCCCUACCCAAACAGACAGAAUCCGGGAAAAACGGAGGUCCGUUUGGGGUCGUGCGUUGGAGUUGGCCUUAAAAGUGGGACUGCAGUUGAGGAAACCGACUAUCGGCAAACCUCCACCUCGCCCGCCACGCGAUGGCUGAGUUAGAGAAACGACGAGGUUGAAGAGAUUGUUGUAGCACGGACUCCAAGAAAUAUGGUGUCAGAUGGAAGUCGUGCUGGUGGCGUGUGUCAUACUCCUGGACGUGAACUCUUGUUCUGGCCCAUGCCACCGUACUACUCCUACUACUUAUAUAGUAGUAGUAUCGAGGAUUCGAGGUGCUGGUUAUGUACAGCGAACACAUUAACAUAUGGACCACCUCACACUGUGGCCAAAUUUCCUGGAGUCUGUGCUAGGUUAAAAAGUGUUCUUUGUGAGGGUGGGUGGCUGGUCUCAAGUUUAAAACUUGUUGUAUUACGUAUACGUAGACGUAGAGAUAGUGCAGCAGUUCUGAAAGUUUGAACCCAAACAUCAGAAUGCAAUUUCUAUUGGACUCAUCCGAGGACCUAGGAUGAUGGGAUUCGCAGCUACAGUAAAAACACCCGCCCGACGCGUGAAGCAUGUGAAGCUAGUACAAAUAGUGUACUACUAUUGUUGAUUGGCCUCAUCUGAUAACCUGUUGCAAUGCACGUACAAUUAUGUAUUCGGAAAAUAUUUUUUUGCCUCGUCGCAACACUCACUCAGAGAGGCGACUCGAAAGCCAUUCAUAAAUUUAGUAAGUUUAUCACAGGCAUAUCAUUUUAUUAGAUACAACAGGUCAUCAACCCACAACGACAACAAGGAUACAUUAUAAAUACUAAAGUUUUCAUCACACAACAAAUAACAAGCAAUGAAAUGAACUUCAACUCAACCAAUCCUCGGCAUUGGAAACGCUUGCUAUGAACCACAAGUGAUUCUCUGGAAGGGCCAUCUAUUGUCAAUCUCGAGACCAAUGCAGGACUGAUCAUCCAGGCUGAAGCGGCCUACUAUAUCAGUACCAGGGUAGGGAACCACCGAAAUGUCUGAGGUAUAGAUACAGUUGCUUCUCAUAAAUGGUACUAGCAACAUUGUGUCAACAGCAGUUGGAUCGCCUUUCACCAUCAUUGGAUAGUUUUGUCCAAGGAAGAGCGAGUUUUCUCUAAGACUAUCAAUUCUGUACCAGGGAGAAGGUGUUGGCGCUAGCACACUAGUAUCCAUCCCGAAUACCAUGCAACGGGUGAUGGAAUAGGUCCGGAGAGUGCGACCAUGGGAGACAACACCUGCUUCCUUAGUAGUAACAUCAGCAGUGGGCUGUAUACAGACAAGAAGGGGUGAUCCAUCAGAAUAAGUUGCCAGGCGCCACUAAGUAUAUGGGCCCUACUCGUCCUCAUGCUCGUGAUCAUCACAAUCGUCAUCUCCCCCUUGGUUAUAAAAUUUUUCAAGUAUAGGUGGUGGAAUGUUCACAGGACCUUGGAAACACAAGAAGAAGGUUGAAUUAGUAAAGGGAAACUUGCUAACCCGCAUGCAUGUGGAUGAAACAAUUACAAUUAUGGUGGAAGACAAACGUACCGAAACUACGAGGAUCCCAUGCAAAAGCAGUGCCAUGAGUGGUGGAGGCAAACACAAGACCCUCGUAUUGAAUUGCAUCACAGUACACAUCCGUGUAUAUAAACUGAUUUUUGAGCAAUAUCCAUCGAGUCGAACCACGAAGGACGGCAACAAGCUUGUCGAAGAUAGCAAUAACUUCAUAGUUCUUGUAAUUCCAAGAGCGGUUGGGAACUCGACAAAUUGCUAUCUUCCAUAGAAGACAAUCACCAUGAUCGUAUUUGAACGUGCAUAGAAUACCGGUGUGCUCAAUCUCUGGGCAGUCUGCUGAGAUUUUUGGAAGUGGAACCCGGUGAUGAGUGUACACAUUCACAAGUUCCCACUCGCAGUUGUACCCAAUAUAAACAACCCAAGCUCCAUUUGCGCCUGCCCAAGCCUUGCCCUCAAGCGAUGGCAUCUUAACAUCACACGUAUCAUUAUCAAGUGGCAUCAACUUGCACAAGGCGAGGCAUCCGUCGUCCCCGCGCCAGUCAUCAGGGUCAUGGUGAAGAAGAUAGGGGAGAUCAAACCGCUCCUGGACCCUUGGGUUCCUUGUAAUGAUGUUAUUAGUUGAGUCGAGAAUGGUCUUGAACGAACCUGCCAUGCUAGCCGAGGUGAUCAUGUCGCACCGAUCAAUGAGUUCCUCCACCACGUCAUCUUUCAGAUCGAGACAAGAAAAACGGGGUCGUUUCCGGCCUGUUCCCUCCUUGGAGAAGACGAUCGAACAAUGGCAGAAGGAAGGGUGAAGGCAAAAGGAGGAGGGAGGAAGAGCAUGCGAUAGCAGUUCCCAAUCGAGAGGGAAAGGCGAAGAGUCGGUGGACGAUUGUCAGUUUGCCAUGGUACAUGAAGAGGUGCCCCGGCCUACACGUCCGUUCAGAAAUACUAGCAGAAAAGGACUCAUCAUCGUCUCACAGACAUGUUGGAACGGGACCACAUGUCAACGAAACAUGGUGUGUAAUUUCUCGUGCAAAAUGCGAUCUGGCCGCGUUGGCCCGAGGUGCCGCAUUAGUUAUCGACCUUUAUUUUUUUAACAUACAAUCUGAAUGGAUAGCUCCUGUGGGCAUCAAACGUGAGCGGAUAUAUAGGUGGGCUAGGUGGGCAGGCGGUUGAGCAGGCGGCAACAAUCUGAGUGCUAAAAGAGUUGAUCCAAUGCUUGGUUUUGUUUGGAUUUUCCAACUAUGACCAUUGGAUAGAGUGAAUCAAUGGCUUACGUUCAAUUGUGUGAGAAGGUGUACAAAUAAAGAAAAAUAUAUAAUUGAUCGAUGUUGUUCGUAGGCAUGGCUCCAUUUCCUUGGCACAAUGUUCAUUGCUUGGCAGCUAGUUUCACCCAGCUCUGUAGCCAAAAAAGAGGUGUAUGGAGGACACCACAAUCCGAUCAUUUUGUGCAGCUCCACUAAAAUCGAGCGGACCAUCCCUGUUUGCAAAGGUAUUCAGUCAGUGUGAUUACAAUAAUAGUGGAACUAGAUGAUGAAACAUAAAACACACAAAUAGAAGCCGAUCACCUCUACGAUCUCUCUUUAGGACUAACUACUUGUUGGAUAAGAUUAGGCACGGAGUUGGAUGAGGAGGAUAGCAAAACCAAUCUCCCUUUCUGCAGUCCCACGAAAAUGUAAAAACGUUGCCCGUGUGACAUUUUGGUGGAACUGCACAAAACACUCUUAAGAAAAAAGUGAUUUGUGCAGUUCACCAAAAGGUCGCAAUAGCAACGAGGUGAAAAUGGAUAGCCCUGUUUGCAAAAGGAGGUAGAAAGGAAACAAUUACUGCCCAAUAACACGAGUUGAAGACACAUACGCCGACAAAAAAGAAGCAUAUUCCAUGUAAUAAGGGAAACAUAGCACAUGGUGGUUUAUCAAAAAUGGUUUGAGGACGAGAUUGCAAGAUGGAAAGUACGCCGGCCGAGAUACGAUUUAAGCAAACACCUAAAGAAGAUCCACAUGCAGCAACGUGGGAAGAUGGGCAGUCGAGCAAGGCCAAAGGAAGCUGUACCUGAGGGUCGUCGGGAUGAUACUAGGAGGGCGCCGGCGGCCGGGAUCUACCCAUACUGCGGCAGCGAGCAAGUGGUGAAGGCCCUACCGUGCCGGAGCUUGGUUAGAGAGAACGGCGGGUACCGCGGAUCAGGAAGUGCUGCCUCAACGCCGUCGAGCGGAGAGACGAUGCACAUCCUCCCUUUCCGCCGGAUCACUAACCAACGCUGAGAGAGACAGGCCACUGCCGCCUUGUGUGAGAUGGUGUGACGAGAGACAAACCCAUUUUUCCAUUUUCCCCACAGAAAUCGUUUUAUAUUCUAUAUGUGACAUUGAGGAAUAUAUAAAUUUAUUUAAGACUAACGCGUCAAGUCAAACUUUGUUCCGUCUAGGUGUGGUACCCAACCCUCCUUCGAGUAAACAACCGCUACACGCACCAAAUUAUCACAUGGGCUGCCUUUCGUACAGAAACGAACUCCACCAUCUACCCGCGCGGGUGUGGCCGGGAACGAGACGCGAGUACGUGCGUCCUGCAGGCACCUCUUCUUUAGGUGCAGGUAUGUACGUGGGUGGGUGUGAGAGAGAUGGUUUGUGCGAACAGAGGCAAUGUGUUGAUGAUAUCUCAAACAGAAAAACGUAACAUAUGCAAUGUGUGUGAAACCGAGUCAUGGACGUGAGAUAUGAUAGAAUUGAAAAUAGGUAUGAAGUGUGUGGCUGCGCGAUCGAUAAAGAGUGCCAUCGAAUUUUUAUUUUGCCACGUCAAAGAUACAGGGCGGCUGGCCUACUGGAAUUUGAGAGGGAAGAGGUGCAGUUUUUCUCCGUGGCAUGGAUACCUNNNNNNNNNNNNNNNNNNNNNNNNNNNNNNNNNNNNNNNNNNNNNNNNNNNNNNNNNNNNNNNNNNNNNNNNNNNNNNNNNNNNNNNNNNNNNNNNNNNNNNNNNNNNNNNNNNNNNNNNNNNNNNNNNNNNNNNNNNNNNNNNNNNNNNNNNNNNNNNNNNNNNNNNNNNNNNNNNNNNNNNNNNNNNNNNNNNNNNNNNNNNNNNNNNNNNNNNNNNNNNNNNNNNNNNNNNNNNNNNNNNNNNNNNNNNNNNNNNNNNNNNNNNNNNNNNNNNNNNNNNNNNNNNNNNNNNNNNNNNNNNNNNNNNNNNNNNNNNNNNNNNNNNNNNNNNNNNNNNNNNNNNNNNNNNNNNNNNNNNNAGGAGAGAGACCUAGCUAUGUAUUGAGGGAGAUCGAUCGGCAUCCAUGGAUAUGUGUAGCAGAGGAAUAAGGUUGGGAGAAAGACAAAGGUAGAGCGUCGGAGGGUUGGUGGUGGAGUGGCAUCUCACAAAUGGUGGGAGAGGCCUGCUAGAAAAACGGAGGGUACGAGUGCAAUAUCAAUAAGAGAGGGCGGGGGGUGUCUAUCUGUCUAUGCACGUGCGUGUGAGAGACGGGUCAGGAGGUAUGCAAGGAUGAUGAGGGGAGACGAUAUGGUUGUGGUAAGCAUACGUAACUACAUAGGAAGAUCAACCAUCGUGUGUCCGAGAAAGGGAGAGACAUAACUAGCCAGGUAAGUGUAUCGGUGCAUGGGGAAAACAAAUUAUAGUCGACCUGGCUAUAUGUAGGGAGAUCAGUACGUAUACACGCCUGCAUGUGUUAGAAGCAAAUAAGGUCCGGAGACACAAAUAGGGGGAGAGGGGUGCGGCUAGGGGGUGGUGCGAGAGGCCUACCAUGUCGAGGGGGGAGGAGUGUGCGAGUAUGAGAUCAAUGAAAAGAGGGGCAGGAGUGUGCACCUGCGUGGAAUUGUAUUGGACAUAGGGGGCAUGGACGGUGAGAAGAGAAUAGGGGAAGUAUAUAUGUGUUUGUGGUAGGCACACUUGGCUAGAGAGGUAUAUCAACCGAUGUGUGCCGGAAAGAAGGAGCCGGGGGCCUACACACACCGCUGGUGGACGACCUAAAGAGAAAUAAUGAACGUGUGCGAUGGAGGGGACGCUAAGGGUGUGUGAGAGGGGGGCGGGCGUGUGCAUGCAUGAUAUAAAGUUAGCGCUAGCUAGCUACAAAUAGAAGAGGAUCGUGAAGGUGUAAAAGAUGAACAAAGAUCAUAAUUCAUUAUAAAAAAGUGGAUACGGAUACUUGAAGAAGAUAUCGUAAUGUAGAACAUUGAUUAUAAUUUGGGCUAAUGUGUGGCUUUUGUAGCUCAGGUCUAAAUACUUGUCAUAAUGUAGGGGGCGGGGCAGUAUACUUUGUGUGAUAAACACGGUGUACGUAUGGAAAAUGGUUUAGAUUAUGAAUAUAUAGUUAGUACAUCAAAUGUACUAUUAUUUGGAAUCAACAUCAAGUGUAUUCAAAAAAUAGAAUUCGAGUUCAUGUAGUACACAUAUUUCAUAUCUAUCUCUAUAGUAAUCAUGUGGUGUGUUAUUAAGAUAAUACACGAAUGAUGGUUGAAGUUGGCAACAAUCAUGAUUGUAGAUUCUUAUUGAAAUAGAGAAACGAAUUCAAAUUCAGUUCGAAUUGCAGCAGUAUUAUAGACAUUUGGAAUGCACUAAAAUGUUGGUAUGAGUAGGUUACAUGCAUUAUACACCAAGCGAAAAAAAUUAAUUGGACAUAACAUGGAUUCAUACUCCCUCCUUCCAUCUAUAUAGGGCGUAAUGCGUUUUUUAAGACCGCCUUUGACUAUUGAAAAGAUUAAUAGUACAUGACAUGCACAAUGUGAAAAUUAUAUCAUUGAAAGCUCCUUUCACACACGAAUUUAACUGUGUGCUUUGUGUAAGUUGCAUGUCAUAUAUUAUUGCUCUAAUAUUUGGUCAAAGUUAGCAUCAAAAAACGCAUCAGGCCCUAUUUAGAUGGAAGGAGGGAGUAGCUUUGAAUAGCAUUUGUAUAGUAAAACGGGGCAAGACUCUCACUUUGUGUGGUGUGAAUAGUUACAUUUUUUCAUUUUCUUUUUGGUUGAGGGAAGUGCGAAUUGAUUUGGUACGUACAAGUACAGUAUUACACGUUAGGCUUGUCCCUAAAAUUCAACCCGCGCCUUGUUAUAUCCCGAAAAUUCAGAUAUCGUGCUCCCAAAACUGGCGCCUUCACAACCCGCGCCUUGUUAUCCCAAAAUUACAACGCGCACGAAAACUCCCCCUAGCUGGCAAAUCCCGACACGUGAAAUCCCCCUUCUAACCCUGAGCCGAAAGGGCCGCUAGUUCAAAUCGGUGGGGGGGUACUUUUGUAACACACCCUACAUUUUGGACAAGCACGUCCCUAAGUCCUUGUUCACCCCCUCCCAUCGCCUCCUUUUCGCCAUUCGAAGUCCCAGGCCGCCAUAACCUCUCCGCUCCAGCUGCAAAACCCCACCCUCCUCCGUCCGCCACCUCACCGCUGCCCAGCCGGAGCCUCUUCCCCGAUGACGUCCUCCUCCGCAACAGCUCGACGUCACUCAUCCACCUCCCCGGAUGAGGAUCCGUCGUCCAUCUCGUCGUCCCGCCGGUUCAGCCGCCCCGUCCUCCACCUCCAAGGAGCCGCUCCAUCCCCAAAGCGCCGCCUUAACCUGCUCCACCAGAACCGCAACAUCCUCACUGACUCCUCGGACGAAGCCGAGGCCAACUCGGCGCCACCAAAGAGGUUGUACACUCAUCACAUCGCACCUUCUCCUUAACUCGACCUCCCGGCGCCGACGGUGCUCCAUCCCGCACCCCCAUGGAGCGGCUACCUUGAAGCCGGCGCCGCGGGUGACAUCUCCACGACGGCUCUCCCCCAGUGCGAGGGCCCUUCGGCGGCGGCGUCAAUACCAGCCGGAUCUGCUCCUGCUGCUCCGGCUCUCGCUUGCUAGGUCGCGCUACUACUACUGCUCCUUAUCUCGCUUGAUCACUCACUCGCCCAGCUGCUGCUGCUCCGGCUCUCGCUCGCUCACGCUACUAUUGCUGCUCUCCCCCUCGCUCGUGCUGCUGCUCUGCUCCAAUUUAGCUACACUUCAGUCGACUGAAUCGACUUUUGGGUCAGUCGAUUUUCAGGGGGUGGGGGGCUCGCCGGAGUUAAGGAAGAACCAUCCGCAGCGGGGAUGGGGGCUCGCCUGAGAGGUACCCCACUAUCUAUCUUAGGGUUUAGGGUGGGGGGCGGGGGGCCUAGAGGGCUGGCGGGGGCGGCGGCGGACCGGCGGUGGGUAGUUGUUUUGGGGCGGCGAGGCGGCGCAGGAGAAGGCGGUUCGGCCGGUGGUGGCUGGCGGCUCAGGGGGGUGCAGAUCGAAGAUGAACUGCAGGCCCUCCCUAAACUACAUGUCAAGUGCCUCUCUGCUACCAUUGCGUUCAGUUUCGACAGUAACAUUCAGAUUCCACAGUAAAUUUCAGUUUCGACAGUUAAGUUCAGAGUCAACAGUUUUUACCUCAUCUGUUGUAGUCAGGUGGUUUGUGGUGAUGUAAAUUUUACAUCUAUUUUACAUCAUCUAUUGGAGAUGCUAUUAGAAUCCCACUUGAGAUUGAUGAUGUCUGUCUUGUGCUGCUUCAGCCUUGACGUCUUACGGCUCACCGGAGCUGCUCCAACGAGAGAACAAUCCAUCACAACAGAGCAGUGCCCUGGACGCCGUCUACAGAUUCCUCAGAUCUUCCUCCACACCUCCGACAUCCACCUCUGCCUCAACUGCUUCAGCGACCAACCCAAUGAUGCUGAGGUCGACACGGCUACGCCAAAGAGGUUGUACACUUGUUGCAUCACUUAUUACUAUACAUUCAUGUCGAUCCAUUAGGGCUAUUUUGUUUCAACGGAAAAACAUAACAAUAGGGAAUUUUCCAAUGGCACUCUACUAUUCAAUUAUUCAUGCAUUUUGAUGAAAGGAAUGAAGCAAAACAUCCACCUAGACCUACUUUUCAAAAUCCUAUGCAUGAAAACAAGACAAAGUGCAUUAGUGGCAGAAUAACAUUCUAACAGUACACGCUUUCAUAUGGUUUCACUUUAUUUUGGCCAUGUUUCCUUGCAUUCCUCUGCUCUUCCAAUUCCUAUAAACCAAACACCGAAGUUGACAGAAUUCCUGUGUUUACAAAUGCUCUAUUUACCAUGUGCAUUCCUAUCCUAUUCCUGUGUUUUUUCUGUGACAGCCUGGUUUUUGCCCUCUUCUCUUUGCCUGAUUUUCAGUUGGUUUGAUUUUGAAAUUUGGGUAUUGAAUCUUUUCAUAUGGACUUAAACACUUGGGUACCCCUUCACUUUCACCCAAGUGCCUCAUUUCCCUUUCUAACCAUCAUUUCCUCUCUGGUUCAACUCAAAAUAAUAUUUUGAAUAUUUUUCUUCAAUGAAAAAUAUUCAUUUCCCUCUCUUAAACCCUAGCUAGCUCAAUGUUCUCCAAAGCAACCCCAAUUUUUCUUGCCCACAAAAAUCUGAGAAAAUUCACAAAUAUUCUUUGAACCCUAGGGCACUUUCCUGAGCAAAAAUAUUUCACCACUAUUUGCAACAUUUUUGCUACAGAAAAUAUUUUCUGUUUUGGACAGAAAUGGUAGUUUCUACAGCAACUACCAUUUUACUUGCUCCAUUGUGGCUGAUUUUUCUUGUGCAUCAUCACCUUAGUAGAUGAUUGCUAACCUCCAAAGCCCAGGUCCCAACUCCGAGUAGUUUGACCACAGUAAGCUCUCAAAGUUACUGUCCAGAAACUUACCAGGCGUGUGAAAUCUUUUCUACUGCACCUGAGACCAAAACCAAGUGUGGUAACCACUAAAACUACCACGAACAACAAGCCAGACAUGAACUUUGGACUUAGGUCUGCCUGAGGGCAGAGUUCACGCGGUGACCACGCGUGUGCACGAUGCCAACCUGCUUCUCGCCGCGCUCUGAGUGCCGCCGAGCGCUCUGUUUCGCGCGUGCUCGCUUCCCCGACUGCCAAACCUCGCCACAAUCUUCGUCCAAGCUCUCUUAACUCUCCCCUGGCACUCACCAAUGUGGGAGCUCACCGUAGCGAGCACGGGCGCGGUCCGGCCAACGCAACAGUGCGCGGUGCACUGUGCUCGUCGCCUUCCCCUCGAUCCUUUGCUCGUCCCCGCUCACCCACAGUUCCGACGUGAGUAGCGUCACCUUCUCCCCCUCUCACUGAUGCCGUUCGUCACCGGGCGCCGUGUCCAGGUGUCCACCGGCGGAGCCCGAUCCCCCCUCGAUGCUCGACUAUAAAUAUAGCCCUCCCUAGCCUCCUCGAGCACCAUCCACCACUCCUACACAAUCCACGAUCUUGUAGAAGCCGUAGCCCGGCCGACCAGGCCGCGGGCCGCCGUCCCUGAGCUCGAGCUCGCCGGCGAGCCUCUCGGGUUGUCUCCUGGUCCAGUCCCUCCCAUGCCUAGGCAACCCUUCUAGGGCCUCCGCCGCUCGUCGGUGGUGCUGUUCCGCCUGGUUGGAGCCCCUGUAGUCGCCUCUGUUCGCCGUCGUCUUCGUCUCCGGCGACCUCUGCUCUCUGCCUCCGCUAGAGAGGCCGAUUCCGACGCCGUCCGACCACCCCUAGCUACUCUACGGGUAUGGGCAGGUGCGCCUCCGUCUCCUCUCUUGAUCCCCCCUCUCGUUUUGGCCAAGAAGCCCUCGUCGCCAGCGUGUGCUCCGGCGAAGACGCGCCGUCCUCUGUUUCCUUCUUCGCCUCCACCUCACCUGAGUAGCGGGGCCCGCUAGUCAGCCACUCAGUACGCGCAUGAAGCGGUAUGAGUGGUGGCGCCCCGAGGUUUUACGCCUUCGACGUCACCCCCCAGUCUGUUUUUAUUUAAAUUCAAAUUCAUAUUUUUCCAGAGAGCUUCAAACAGCCAAAUCUCUUCAACCAUAAGUCCAAAUGAAUUGAUUCUUUUUGCAUUGUGUUCUUUGUACAGAAAUCUAGCAGCUCACCAAAAAUGAGAUUUUUCUUUGCUGUCUAGAUUUUCUGGUGAAUUUCAGAAGGGUUCUUGAUAUUUUCUUCUUGUGUUUAAAAUUAUUUUCAGAGAGUGAGGCUGAGGAUCACCAGGAGGCUUGUGAACGUCAUCUGCUCUAAGGCAAGCCACUGCAACAUUUUCAUGGUGCCAUUACAAUAGUUGUGAUUUUCCUACUUCAAUGAAUGAUUUAAUCCAUGCAUUUAAAUCACUAUCAUGUUAUUUACAUUCUGUUAGUUGCUUGUUUAAGUUAAUAUGCUUGGUUUACAGAAAGUUUAAAGCUAACGAAGUUGGUUAAGAAACUAGAACUAAUUUUUGGUAUGAAGGAAGUAAUAUGGUUAUGAAUAUAAAUAAUUAGUUGGAGUUAUUUUCCUGCAUGAGUAAAAAUGGUAAAAUUUGCUAGAAAGGAUUCUUUUUAAAGUGAGGUUUAAUCCUAACCAGUGAAGUGUCAUGAGUUGUUGAGGUUUAUGCUUAGUAUGAAUAUAGUUGACUCGGUCAUUUCCGUUAAAUUGUGAUGCAUAUGUUCGUGUUGCAUUUCAUGGCAUACUAUGACACCGGUUAUUUUCACUUUAAGUUGAAUCUAAUAAUAACUCAACUUGAAUAUAUCGUUGACCAGGUCAUGGUGCCACUGAAUCGAGUUUUUCCCAGUGCAACCGCAUUUGCCUUUAUGGGAAGGCCUUUAUUCGGUCAGUUGUCAUGCCUCUGGUCGGUGCCUCCAACGUGGGAAGGUUAUGGGCAUGUGGUACCCUGGCCCGGUAAGCAGACAUAACCUUGUGUUCCUGUUGUUGAGAUUCUGGUACCGUGUCCCCGUGUGGGACGUUUAUGUUUUGGCCACGACGGUGGUCGUUGGUGUCUUUUGUAGACACGGGACCACCCGGGACUAGCCCGAUGGGGAGUGAGACGGAGUGGCCGGGAGAGUGUCAUGGCAAUGGAGGGGUUUCGUCGGAAUGCCGUUGUUCCACCCGAAUGGGAGUACGAGGCCAUGGGUUCCGUGGUGUGGGUGUAGUGCGAUACCUCUGCAGAAUGUAUUAAUCUAUAGAUAGCCGAGACCACGGUUACGGACACGCUCGAAAGUAGGUCACACCAUGGGUCAACAUUUAAUAAAUCUCGCACACUAAGUGAUAAACUUUGCACGGUUGAUGAUGGUGGGAAGGCCAUCUUGAUGUUCGGGACCAAGUGUGGGUCGUGGUUGUGAUCACCGGAAGGAUCACUGUUUGAGACAAAAUGUUGGUCGUGGUUGUGAUCGCCGGAAAGAUCACGAGGUAAACUGAGUAAAGACCUCGGGGUUUGUACAGUUGUGAUCCAAGAGCGAUCACCGUUGGUAAGCCAGUCCGAGGGAUUUUUCACAUAAAAGCAGGAUCACUGCAUGUUGCAUAUAUUGUUGCAUUGUUAAUAAUUGGUUAAUUAUCAUGAUAAUGUUUCUCAUUAUGUUUAUGUUUGUUGUGAGCUUGCAAAUACAUUCAAUGUACUGACCUGGCGUGUCAUGCCAGAUUUCAGGAAAGUCUCAUUGGAAAGGAGUGCCGUUCGAGUCUAGAUUGUGUCCACAUCGGUGUCCCUGUGCUAUGGAGUUACCGCUACGAUGUUGUUCCGCUGCCGCGUAGUUGUUAUGAUCGAGGCCCCUUUAUGUUCACUAAAUAAUGUACAUAUUGUUCACGCCGCACUAUGUGUGCCGCUAGGCCUCGCCACCUGUUGUAAUAUAAACUUUGAUCCGCUAGCAUCAAUAAAGCGGUUGUUUUCUUUACCAAAAUGUUGUGUGUUGCCAGAAGACAUGGUCUCUGUGCUGGCAAUGCAUGGUAAACCGGUUGCUCUGAGCCGGGGUGCCACAACGCUUGGUAUCAGAGCCGCGCUGACUGUAGGCCAUGCUAGACUACGACUUGUUCACUGGACGUUAGAUACGAAUUUAAGUUGAGUGUCGGUAGCCUUUGUAGCUAGUUGUUGCAUUGCAUGCACUUGUUGUAUUUUUAUGCUGACCUACUAAUGGUUGUGAGUGUAGAUGGAUCCGGUGCCGUAUCCGUGCCAGUUGCAGCUGAUGCCGUACACGUCGCCGCAUCUCCUUCGUAACGUGUGGCAUCGGCUGUACCCCCUCGGUGACGACCCAGUCUAUCAUGUGUACCGGGAGCGUCUAGCAGACUCAGUGUAUGAGUAUCACGCAGUGCUUACUCUGCGCACCAGUUCCGAUUCCAGCACUUACACUCAUACAUCUCGGAGCGGCUACGCUUCUACCGCUUCUCAGGCUGUCCAGUUUGCUGCAUUCGAGGUCCUUGUCGAGCAUUGUUACAACGAGGUCUGGAUGCAGAAGCACCCAGGUUUCCACUACUAUCCUGCUUUGCACGACAAUGGUCAUGUCCGUUUCCCUAUCAUUGAUCCGGAGUCUGAUAGUGUUGCUAGCCACCUUUCUCGUUAUAUCCCUGGUAGCUAUCUUAUGAUCCACGAGCUGGCUCGAGAGCUGACUCGUGCUCGUACUGCUUUAGCCUCUACUAGAUCUGUGACUGCUCCAUCUUCCCUGGGAUUUACUCCUUAUAUUCUAGCUAGUUCUAGUUCCCCUGUUUCACCGGUUACUCCUCCGAGUAGCUCGGGCACCUCGACCGUGAAUCCUCUCAGUUCUCCUGCUGAGUGGGUUUCACUUCCCACUACUCUUGUAGCCCCGAUGCUUCACCCUACACCUGCCCUGAGGGAGAUCCCUCGAGGCAGCGUCAUCGUGUUACUUUUAACCCGGAGGUCUCAGUUAACCUCGUCAGUUCAGGGUCCGAGUCCGCUUUAGGAGAGGACCCCGCAGCACCAGCAGAGCAGUAGAGUUUCUGAGUAUUCGCAGUCGUCGGGAUGGUGUACGGAUGUAGUCGUACGAGUCGUGAUGUUUCGUUUCCUAUAUGAGAGUAGUUGAACCUGGCAUGUUGUUUACCUUUCAUGUAUGAGUGUGUGUAUAAUUAUGUUGGAACUCUAUUUUAUUCGCCAUAUUUUUCUUCGUUAUUUUGGGUUUUGUUGCUGGCUUUUCCCCAAGUUAUUUUUUGAAUGUUUUCUCAUCUCGGUUGCGUUGCCUUGGGAAAAAUCCACAAUAGGAUGCUGCGGGGAGGCGGCAGUAGCAACGUUCGUGAGGGUACUCCUGUUCGUCGUUCCGCACGACAGGCAGGACACUCCCCCGAGCCGUACGUUCCACCACCACCUCCACCGCCCAAUCCGCCUACCUCCGAGCAAAUUCUGCGUAUGUUUGAGGAAAGGAGGAAUAAUGAUCUGAUUGAAAUAUUAAGAAGUGUUGAAGCUGUGGUUGGACAGAAUGGAAAUCAGAACGGUCAUCAUUCCAAGCUGUCAGAUUUUCAGAGAACCAAGCCUCCCAGUUUCAGUCAGGUUAUUGACCCCUUGGAUGCAGACGAUUGGUUGCGAACUAUUGAGAGGAAACUUGAGAUUGCUCGUACUGAAGAAGAUGAUAAGGUUCCAUUUGCAACUCAUUAUCUUGAAGGCGCUGCUGCCAUAUGGUGGGAAAAUGCAAAAGGCAUGUGGCCUGCUGAUGAAGAAAUCACCUGGUCAAAAUUCAAGGAUCAUAUCAUAUCCCUACUGGAGUUAUGAAGAAUAAACAGCGUGAAUUUCUCGCACUCCUCCAAGGAAAUCAGUCUGUGGGUGAAUAUUUGCAAAAAUUCAAUCAUCUGGCCCGUUACUCCGUAUAUGACAUGGCCACCGAAGAAAGAAAGAUUGACAGAUUUCUUGGUGGAUUAAACCCGCAACUCUGAUGCACCCUCAGUAUGUUUGAUUUCCCAUAUUUCCAAACUCUGGUGAACAAAGCUUUCAUUGCUGAAAGGGAGCACAAGCUCGUAUCAGACAAUAGGCCUGCUAAUAACGAUCACAAGCGCAAGUUUGAGCCAAGGAAGGAAGGGCAACCAUUGAAAAAGGCUCGUACCUGGCAGCAGACUCAGGUGGAAUACAAGCCCAAUUGGCAAUAGAAUGUUAACAAGACCACCACCCAAGUCAAGAAUGUCGUGACCAACCCAGUGCACGAGGAGCGCCAGCGCAACAAUUCUUGCUUCAGUUGUGGACAAACCGGACAUUAUGCCAGACAGUGUCCCAAGAACAACAAGGCGAAUGCCCUAUUCAGGCCCAAGUCAAAUUUAUGGAGUCAUGCCCAAACCAGCAAAACAUUAUUGGGCACGUUCAUCACCUCUCCGCAGAUGAAGCCCAAGAGAACCCCGAAGUCGUCAUUGGUAUGUUUUCUGUUAAUAACAUGCCUGCAGUAAUUUUAUUUGACUCUGGGGCUUCCCACUCUUUUAUUUCUCAGAGUUUUGUGGCCCAAAACAAAUUUCCUUGUUCACUAUUGGGCAAGAACAUGCAGGUACAAACCCCAGGAUCCUUAAUCAAGAGCAAUCUGGUCUGCCGUAAUCUGGAAAUCAAUAUCAACGGAGUCUGCUUUCCAAUUUCUUUGAUAAUCAUCGAGUCUGUAAAGUUGGAUGUUAUCUUGGGUAUGAAUUGGUUGACCCAAUAUCAAGUCUGCAUAAAUUGCGCGACCCGAGAAGUCACUUUGACCAGCCAGAAAGGGCAGACUACAAAAUUCUAUGCUCGCAGAAGCAUACCCAAGAAAGAAAUCGUCUUCACCGUUGUGGCUGAGUUGGAAUUAAUUCCUGUGGUCAGUGAGUUUCCUGAUGUAUUUCCAGAAGAACUACCAGGCAUGCCACCAGAUCGAGAGCUUGAGUUUGCAAUAGAUCUUGUGCUCGGAACCGCAUCGUUAUACAAGAAGUAUUACCGAAUGCCCUCGUCAGAAUUAGUGGAGCUAAAGAAAUAGCUUGAUGAAAUGCUCCAGAAAGGAUAUAUCCGUCCCAGCUCUUCACCAUGGGGAUCACCAUCUAUCUUCGUGGACAAGAAGGAUGGCAGCCUCCGCAUGUGUGUGGAUUAUCUUCAACUGAAUGAUGUCGCCAUCAAAAAUAAAUAUCCGCUGCCAAGGAUUGAUGACUUGUUUGAUCAGCUCAGUGGGACCAAGGUAUUCUCCAAGAUUGAUUUACGGACUAGAUAUCAUCAGCUCAAGAUUAAAGAGGAAGAUAUUCCUAAGACCGCAUUCACCACUCGAUACGGUCUUUAUGAAUAUACAGGUAUGUCCUUUGGUCUCACCAAUGCCCCUGCCUUCUUCAUGCAUAUGAUGAAAAAGUAUUCAUGGACUUCCUCGAUAAGUUCGUGGUAGUCUUCAUCGAUGACAUACUUAUAUACUCAAAAAGUGAACAAGAUCACAAAUAACACCUCCGAGCAGUGCUACAGCGACUCCGCGACCAUCCGCUAUACGCCAAAUUCAGUAAAUGUGAGAUUUGGCUCAAGCAAGUUGGAUUUCUUGGACAUGUGCUAUCUGCUAAAGGUAUAGCCAUGGACCUGAGCAAAGUAAAGGAUGUGCUCGAUUGGUUGCCGCCCACAACCGUAUCACAGCUCUGGAGUUUUCUUGGAUUAGCCGGAUACUCUUUCAUUUCAUUGAAGGUUUUUCCAAGAUUGCUAAACCCAUGACGGAGCUGCUAAAAAAAGGAUAAGAAGUUUGAAUGGACUGAAGACUGCGAGGAGAGUUUCAAUGAGCUAAAGAUACGGCUGACGACCGCACCUGUGUUGACUCUUCCAGAUAUCUACCGCAGUUUUGAUGUGUACUGCGACGCCUCCAGACAAGGACUUGGAUGCGUACUUCUGCAAGGCAGCAUGGUAGUAGCAUAUGCAUCACGACAGCUAUGACCCCACGAAGGAAAUUAUCCUACUCAUGAUCUAGAAUUGGCCGCAGUAGUUCAUGCUCUAAAAAUUUGGAGACACUAUCUCAUCGGGAAGAGGUGCCAAAUUUUUACCGAUCACAAAAGUCUCAAGUAUAUAUUUACUCAGCCAGAUUUAAAUCUCGUCAACGAAGAUGGCUUGAGUUAGUCAAGGAUUAUGAUCUUGGAAUAAAUAACCACCUGGGUAAGGCCAACGUGGUUGCCGAUACACUCAGUCGAAAGCCUGUCAGCCUAAAUGUCAUAUUGAGAUCCUUGCCUCCUGAACUUCAAGAGGAGAUUGCGCAACUCAACCUAGUCAUAGUUGAUACUGGCCUUGCUAAUAUUUUGGAACUUGCCCCACACUUGAGCAAGAGAUCCGCAAGGCCCAGCCAGCUGAUACAGUCCUGCAGAAACGUGCCAAGAGUGUGGUAGCAGGACAGACUCCAGAUUUCUCAAAGGACCAAUUCGGUACCCUCCAAUUCCGUGGAAGGAUUUGUGUACCCAAUGAAGCGGAUUUGAAGCAGAAAAUCCUGUCAAAAGCACACGAAUCCUUGUAUUCUAUUCACCCUGGAGGUACGAAAAUAUAUGAAGAAAUUCGACAAAUAUUCUGGUGGGAUAGAAUGAAGAAAGACAUUGCCUACUUUGUGGCCUGUUGCGACAUAUGCAACAGGGUGAAGGCAGAGCUUCAGAAGCCAGCCAGACUUCUCCAACCGCUGCCAGUUUCACAAUGGAAAUGGGAUGAUGUCUGCAUGGAUUUCCUCACAGGGCUACCUAAGACUCAGCGAGGCAAUGAUGCAGUCUGGGUCAUAGUGGACACCUUAACCAAGGUAGCUCACUUUAUUCCGAUCAGAACCACAUAUCGAGCUGAUCAACUUGCACAGCUGUAUGUAUCCAGAAUAGUCAGUCUGCAUGGAGUACCCCAAACCAUCACUUCUGACUGAGGUUCACUUUUUACCUCCAGUUUUUGGUCACGUCUCCAUCAAGCCUUGGGGACAGCGCUGAAAUAUGGUACCGCUUAUCAUCCUCAGACUGAUGGACAGACAGAGCGGGUAAAUCAAAUACUCAAAGAUAUGCUACGAGCCUGUGCUUUGGCCCAAGGAUCUAAACGGGAAGACUAUCAUCCGUAUGCUGAGUUCUCGUAUAAGAACAGCUUCCAGACCAGUUUAAAGAUGUCAGCGUAUGAGGCUUUGUAUGGCCGUAAGUGUCGUACUCCUUUAAAUUGGUCCCAAAGUGGAGAUAGCCGUAUUUUCGGAACGGAUCUCAUGAUGGAAGCUGAGAAACAAGUUAAGGAAAUCCGAGACAGAUUGCAAUUGGCCAAAUCUCGACAGAAGAGUUAUUAUGAUGCAAAACACCGGCAGAUCAGUUUUGAACCCGGAGAACACGUAUACCUCUGAGUCACUCCUAUGAAAGGAGUCAAGAGAUUCCAGACUCGUGGAAAGUUGUCACCCAGAUUUAUUGGCCCAUUUCCAGUUAUGUCCCGAGUUGGUACUGUUGCAUAUCAGUUGGAACUACCCCCUGAAUUAUCGGAAGUGCACAAUGUGUUUCAUGUUUAACAGUUGAGGCGAUGCAUAUCUCCGCCUGAGAAAAAGACUGCUAUGACUGAAAUAGAGUUGGCAAAGGAUUUAACUUAUGAAGAGAGGCCAGUUAGAAUUUUGGAUCAGAUGGAAAGGGUCACACGUAGUAAAGCAAGGAAGUUCUACAAAGUCCAGUGGGAGCAUCACACAGAGUCAGAAUCAACUUGGGAACGGGAAGAAUUUCUAAAGGCACAUUAUCCAGAAUGGUUUUCCCAAGCAACCGAAUCUCGAGGACGAGAUUCAUUCUAAGUGGGGGAGGUUUGUGACAGCCUUGUUUUUGCCCUCUUCUCUUUGCCUGAUUUUCAGUUGGUUUGAUUUUGAAAUUUGGGUUUUGAAUCUUUUCAUAUGGACUUAAACACUUGGGUACCCCUUGAUUUUCACCCAAGUGCCUCAUUUCCCUUUCUAACCAUCAUUUCCUAUCUGGUCAACUCAAAAUAAUAUUUUGAAUAUUUUUCUUUAAUGAAAAAUAUUCAUUUCCCUCUCUUAAACCCUAGCUAGCUCAAUGUGCUCCAAAGCAAGCCCAAUUUUUCUUGCCCACAAAAAUCUGAGAAAAUUCACAAAUAUUCUAUGAACCCUAGGGCACUUUCUUGAGCAAAAAUAUUUCACCACUAUUUGGAAUUUUUUGCUACAGAAAAUAUUUUCUGUUCUGGACAGAAAUGGUAGUUUCUACAGCAACUACCAUUUUACUUGCUCCAUUGUGGCUGAUUUUUCUUGUGCAUCAUCACCUUAGUAGAUAAUUUCUAUCCUUCAAAGCCCAGCUCCCAACUCCCAGUAGUUUGACCAUAGUAAGCUCUCAAAGUUACUAUCUAGAAACUUACCAGGCAUGUGAAAUCUUUUCUACUGCACCUGAGACCAAAACCAAGUUUGGUAACCACUAAAACAACCACGAACAACAUGCCAGACAUGAACUUUGGACUUAGGUCGGCCUGACGGCAGAGUUCACGCGGUGACCACGCAUGUGCAUGAUGCCAAACUGCUUGUCGCCGCUCUCUGAGUGCCGCCGAGCGCUCUGUUUCGCACGUGCUCGCUUCCCCGACUGCCAAACCUCGCCACAAUCUUCGUCCAAGCUCUCUUAACUCUCCCCUGGCACUCGUCGACGCCGCAGCGAGCAUGGGCGCGGUGCGGCCAACGCAACAGUGCGCGGCGCACUUUGCUCGUUGCCUUCCCCUCGAUCAUGUGCUCGUCCCCGCUCGCCCACAGUUCCCGCGUGAGUAGCGCCGCCUUCUCCCCCUCUCACUGACGCCAUUCGUCGCAGGGCGCCGUGUCCAGGUUUCCACCGGGGGAGCCCGAUCCCCCCUCGAUGAUCGGCUAUAAAUAGAGCCCUCCCCAGCCUCCUCGGGGACCAUCCACCACUCCCACACACUCCACGAUCUUGUAGAAGCCGUAGCCCAGCCGGGCAGGCCGCGGGCCGCCGUCCCCGAGCUCGAGCUCGCCGGCGAUCCUCUCGGGUCGUCUCCGUGGUUCCAGUCCCACCCAGGCCUGGGCAACCCUUCCAGGGCCUCCGCCGCUCGUCGGUGGUGCUGUUCCGCCUGGUUGGAGCCCCUGGAGUCACCUCUGUUCGCAGUCAUCUUCGUCUUCGGCGACCUCCGCUCUCUGCCUCUGCUAGAGAGGCCGAUUCCGACGCCGUCCGACCACCCCUAGCUACUCUAUGGGUACGGGCAGGUGUGCCUCUGUCUCCUCUCUCGACCCCCAUCUCGUUUUGGCCAAGAAGCCCUCGUCGCAGGCGUGUGCUCCGGCGAAGAUGCGCCGUCCUCUGUUUCCUUCUUCCCCUCCACCUCACCUGACUAGGAGGGCCUGCUAGUCAGCCACUCAGUACGCGCGCGAAGCGUUACGAGUGUUGGCGCCCCGAGGCUUUACGCCUUCGACGUCACCCCCAGUCUGUUUUUAUUUAAAUUCAAAUUCAUAUUUUUUUCAGAGAGCUUCAAAUAGCCAAAACUUUUCAACCAUAAGUCCAAAUGAAUUGAUUCUUUUUGCAUUGUGUUCUUUGUACUGAAAUCUAGCAGCUCACCAAAAAUGAGAUUUUUCUUUGCUGUCUAGAUUUUCUGGUGAAUUUCAGAAGGGUUCUUGAUAUUUUCUUCUUGUGUUUAAAAUUAUUUUCAGAGAGUGAGGCUUGUCUUGAGGAUCACCAGGAGGCUUGUGAACCUCAUCUGCUCUAAGGCAAGCCACAACAACAUUUUCAUGGUGCCAUUACAAUAGUUGUGAUUUUCCUAUUUGAAUGAAUGAUUUAAUCCAUGCAUUUAAAUCACUAUCAUGUUAUUUACAUUCUGUUAGUUGCUUGUUUAAGUUAAUAUGCUUGGUUUACAGAAAGUUUAAAGCUAACUAAGUUGGUUAAGAAACUAGAACUAAUUUUUGUUAUGUAGGAAGUAAUAUGGUUAUGAAUAUAAAUAAUUAGUUGGAGUUAUUUUCUUGCAUGAGUAAAAAUGGUAAAAUUUGCUAGAAAAGAUUCUGUUUAAAGUGAGGUUUAAUCCUAACCAGAGAAGUGUCAUGAGUUGUUGAGGUUUAUGCUUAGUAUGAAUAUAGUUGACUCGGUCAUUUCCGUUAAAUUGUGAUGCAUAUGUUCGUGUUGCAUUUCAUGGCAUACUAUGACACCGGUUAUUUUCACUUUAAGUUGAAUCUAAUAAUAACUCAACUUGAAUAUAUCGUUGACCAGGUCAUGGUGCCACUGAAUCGAGUUUUUCCCAGUGCAACCGCAUUUGCCUUUAUGGGAAGGCCUUUAUUCGGUCAGUUGUCAUGCCUCUGGUCGGUGCCUCCAACGUGGGAAGGUUAUGGGCAUGUGGUACCCUGGCCCGGUAAGCAGACAUAACCUUGUGUUCCUGUUGUUGAGAUUCUGGUACCGUGUCCCCGUGUGGGACGUUUAUGUUUUGGCCACGACGGUGGUCGUUGGUGUCUUUUGUAGACACGGGACCACCCGGGACUAGCCCGAUGGGGAGUGAGACGGAGUGGCCGGGAGAGUGUCAUGGCAAUGGAGGGGUUUCGUCGGAAUGCCGUUGUUCCACCCGAAUGGGAGUACGAGGCCAUGGGUUCCGUGGUGUGGGUGUAGUGCGAUACCUCUGCAGAAUGUAUUAAUCUAUAGAUAGCCGAGACCACGGUUACGGACACGCUCGAAAGUAGGUCACACCAUGGGUCAACAUUUAAUAAAUCUCGCACACUAAGUGAUAAACUUUGCACGGUUGAUGAUGGUGGGAAGGCCAUCUUGAUGUUCGGGACCAAGUGUGGGUCGUGGUUGUGAUCACCGGAAGGAUCACUGUUUGAGACAAAAUGUUGGUCGUGGUUGUGAUCGCCGGAAAGAUCACGAGGUAAACUGAGUAAAGACCUCGGGGUUUGUACAGUUGUGAUCCAAGAGCGAUCACCGUUGGUAAGCCAGUCCGAGGGAUUUUUCACAUAAAAGCAGGAUCACUGCAUGUUGCAUAUAUUGUUGCAUUGUUAAUAACUGGUUAAUUAAAAUGAUAAUAUUUGUCAUUAUGUUUAUGUUUGUUGUGAGCUUGCAAAUACAUUCAAUGUACUGACCUGGCGUGUCAUGCCAGAUUUCAGGGAACUCUCGUUGGAAAGGAGUGCCGUUCGACUCUAGAUUGUGUCCACAUCGGUGUCCCUGUGCUAUGGAGUUUCCGCUACGAUGUUGUGCCGCUGCCGUGUAGUUGUUAUGAUCGAGGCCCCUUUAUGUUCACUAAAUAACGUACAUAUUGUUCAGCAGCACUAUGUGUGCUGCUUGGCCUCGCCACCUGUUGUAAUAUAAACUUUGAUCCGCUAGCAUCAAUAAAGCGGUUGUUUUCUGUACCAAAAUGUUGUGUGUUGCCAGAAGACAUGGUCUCUGUGCUGGCAAUGCAUGGUAAACCGGUUGCUCUGAGCCGGGGUGCCACAACGCUUGGUAUCAGAGCCGCGCUGACUGUAGGCCAUGCUAGACUACGGCGUGUUCACUGGACGUUAGAUACGAAUUUAAGUUGAGUGCCGGUAGCCUUUGUAGCUGGUUGUUGCAUUGCAUGCACUUGUUGUAUUUUUAUGCUGACCUACUAAUGGUUGUGAGUGUAGAUGGAUCCGGUGCCGUAUCCGUGCAGUUGCAGCUGAUGCCGUACACGUCGCCGCAUCUCCUUCAUAACGUGUGGCGUUGGCUGUACCGCCUCGGUGACGACCCAGUCUAUCGUGUGUACCAGGAGCGUCUAGCAGACUCAGUGUAUGAGUAUCACGCAGUGCUUACUCUGCGUACUAGUUCUGAUUCCAGCACUUACACUCAUACAUCUCGGAGCGGUGACGCUUCUACCGCUUCUCAGGCUGUCCAGUUUCCUGCACUUGAGGUCCUUGUUGAACUUCGUUACAACGAGGUCCAGAUGCAGAACCACCCAGGUUUCCACUACUAUCCUUCUCUGCACGAGAAUGGUCGUGUCCGUUUCCCUAUCAUUGAUCCGGAGUCUGAUAGUGUUGCUAGCCACCUUUCUCGUUAUAUCACUGCUAGCUAUCUUAUGAUCCACGAGCUGGCUCGAGAGCUGACUCGUGCUCGUACUGCUUUAGCCUCUACUAGAUCUGUCACUGCUCCAUCCUCCCUGGGAUUUACUCCUUAUAUUCCAGCCAGUUCUAGUUCCCCUGUUUCACCGGUUACUCCUCUGAGUAGCUCAGGCACCUCGACCGUGAAUCCUCUCAGUGGUCCUGCUGAGUGGGUUUCACUUCUCACUACUCCUUUAGCCCGGAUGCUUCACCCUACACCUGCCCCUGAUGGAGAGCCCUCGAGGCAGCGUCGUCGUGUCACUUUUAACCCGGAGGUCUCAGUUAACCUCGUCAGUUCAGGAUCCGAGUCCGCUUUAGGAGAGGACCCCGCAGCACCAGCAGAGCAGUAGAGUUUCUGAGUAUUCACAGUCGUCAGGAUGGUGUAUGGAUGUAGUCGUACGAGUCAUGAUGUUUCGUUUCCUGUAUGAGAGUAGUUGAACCUGGCAUGUUGUUUACCUUUCAUGUAUGAGUCUGUGUAUUAUUAUGUUGGAACUCUAUUUUAUUCGUCGUAUUUUUCUUCGUUAUUUUGGGUUUUGUUGCUGGCUUUUCCCUAAGUUAUUUUUUGAAUGUUUUCUCAUCUCGGUUGCGUUGCCUUGGAAAAAUCCACAAUAGGAUGCCGCGGGGAGGCAGCAGUAGCAACGUUCGUGAGGGUACUCCUGUUCGUCGUUCCGCAUGACAGGCAAGACACUCCCCCGAGCCGUACGUUCCACCACCACCUCCACCGCCAAAUCCGCCUACCACCGAGCAGAUUCUGCGUAUGUUUGAGGAAAGGAGGAAUAAUGAUCUGAUUGAAAUAUUAAGAAGUGUUGAAGCUGUGGUUGGACAGAAUGGAAAUCAGAACGGUCAUCAUUCCAAGCUGUCAGAUUUUCAGAGAACCAAGCCUCCCAGUUUCAGUCAGGUUAUUGACCCCUUGGAUGCAGACGAUUGGUUGCGAACUAUUGAGAGGAAACUUGAGAUUGCUCGUACUGAAGAAGAUGAUAAGGUUCCAUUUGCAACUCAUUAUCUUGAAGGCGCUGCUGCCAUAUGGUGGGAAAAUGGAAAAGGCAUGUGGCCUGCUGAUGAAGAAAUCACCUGGUCAAAAUUCAAGGAUCAUAUCAUAUCCCUACUGGAGUUAUGAAGACUAAACAACGUGAAUUUCUCGCACUCCUCCAAGGAAAUCAGUCUGUGGGUGAAUAUUUGCAAAAAUUCAAUCAUCAGGCCCAUUACUCCCUAUAUGACGUGGCCACCGAAGAAAGAAAGAUUGACAGAUUUCUUGGUGGAUUAAACCCGCAACUCCGAUGCACCCUCGGUAUGUUGGAUUUCCCAGAUUUCCAAACUCUGGCGAACAAAGCUUUCAUUGCUGAAAGGGAGCACAAGCUCGUAUCAGACAAUAGGCCUGCUAAUAACGAUCACAAACGCAAGUUUGAGCCAAGGAAGGAAGGGCAACCAGUGCAAAAGGCUCGUACCUGGCAGCAAACUCAGGUGGAAUACAAGCCCAAUUGGCAACAAAAUGUUAACAAGACCACCACCCAAGUCAAGAAUGUCGUGACCAACCCAGUGCACGAGGAGCACCAGCGCAACAAUUCUUGCUUUAGUUGUGGACAAACCGGACAUUAUGUCAGAUAGUGUCCCAAGAACAGCAAGGCGAAUGCCCUAUUCAGGCCACAAGUCAACUUUAUGGAGUCAUGCCCAAACCAGCAAAACAUUACUGGGCACGUUCAUCACCUCUCCGCAGAUGAAGCCCAAGAGAACCCCGAAGUCGCCAUUGGUAUGUUUUCUGUUAAUAACAUGCCUGCAGUAAUUUUAUUUGACUCUGGGGCUUCCCACUCUUUUAUUUCUUGGAGUUUUGUGGCCCAAAACAAAUUUCCUUGUUCACUUUUGGGCAAGAACAUGCUGGUACAAACCCCAGGAUCCUUAAUCAAGAGCAAUCUGGUCUGCCAUAAUCUGGAUAUCAAUAUCAACGGAGUCUGCUUUCCAACUUCUUUGAUAAUCAUCGAGUCUGUAAAGUUGGAUGUUAUCUUGGGUAUGAAUUGGUUGACCCAAUAUCAAGUCUGCAUAAAUUGCGUGACCUGAGAAGUCACUUUGACCAGCCAGAAAGGGCAGACUACAAAAUUCUAUGCUCGCAGAAGCAUACCCAAGAAAGAAAUGGUCUUCACCGCUGUGACUGAGUUGGAAUUAAUUCCUGUGGUCAGUGAGUUUCCUGAUCUAUUUCCAGAAGAAAUGCCAGGCAUGCCACCAGAUCGAGAUCUUGAGUUUGCAAUAGAUCUUGUGCCCGGAACCGCAUUGUUAUACAAGAAGUAUUACCUGUUGGAAAUAUGCCCUAGAGGCAAUAAUAAAAUGGUUAUUAUUAUAUUUCCUUGUUCAUGAUAAUUGUCUAUUGUUCAUGCUAUAAUUGUGUUAUCCGGAAAUCGUAAUACAUGUGUGAAUACAUAGACCACAACAUGUCCCUAGUGAGCCUCUAGUUGACUAGCUCGUUGAUCAACAGAUAGUCAUGGUUUCCUGACUAUGGACAUUGGAUGUCAUUGAUAACGGGAUCACAUCAUUAGGAGAAUGAUGUGAUGGACAAGACCCAAUCCUAAGCAUAGCACAAGAUCGUGUAGUUCGUUUGCUAGAGUUUUUCCAAAUGUCAAGUAUCAUUUCCUUAGACCAUGAGAUUGUGCAACUCCCGGAUACCAUAGGAGUGCUUUGGGUGUGCCAAACAUCACAACGUAACUGGGUAGCUAUAAAGGUGCACUACGGGUAUCUCCGAAAGUGUCUAUUGGGUUGGCACGAAUCGAGACUGGGAUUUGUCACUCCGUAUGACGGAGAGGUAUCUCUGGGCCCACUCAGUAAUGCAUCAUCAUAAUGAGCUCAAUGUGACCAAGUGUUUGGUCACGGGAUCAUGCAUUACGGUACGAGUAAAGUGACUUGCCGGUAACGAGAUUGAACAAGGUAUUGGGAUACCGACGAUCGAAUCUCGGGCAAGUAACGUACCGAUUGACAAAGGGAAUUGUAUACGGGAUUGAUUGAAUCCUCGACAUCGUGGUUCAUCCGAUGAGAUCAUCGUGGAACAUGUGGGAGCCAACAUGGGUAUCCAGAUCCCGCUGUUGGUUAUUGACCGGAGAGUCGUCUCGGUCAUGUCUGCAUGUCUCCCGAACCCGUAGGGUCUACACACUUAAGGUUCGGUGACGCUAGAGUUGUAGAGAUAUUAGUAUGCGGUUAACCGAAAGUUGUUUGGAGUCCCGGAUGAGAUCCCGGACGCCACGAGGAGUUCCGGAAUGGUCAGGAGGUAAAGAUUUAUAUAUGGGAAGUCCUAUUUUGGCCACCGAAAAAUGUUCGGGAUUUUUCGGUAUUGUACCGGGAAGGUUCUAGAAGGUUCCGAAGUGGGGCCCACCUGCAUGGGGGACCCACAUGAACGUGGGUAGUGGGGGCAAGGCCCCACACCCCUGGUCAAGGCGCACCAAGAUCCCACCUUAGAAGGAAUAAGAUCAUAUCCCGAAGGGAUAAGAUCAAGAUCCCUAAAAAAGGGGGAUAACAAUCGGUGGGGAAGGGAAAUGAUGGGAUUUCUUUCCCCCACCUUUGCCAACGCCCCAAUGGACUUGGAGGGCAAGAAACCAGCCCCCUCCACCCCUAUAUAUAGUGGGGAGGCGCAUGGGAGUAGCACACUUGAACGCUUCCGCUCGCGAUCUACAAGGGUAUGUAGAUGCACUCUUUUCCCUCUCGUUGCUAGAGGACUCCAUAGAUUGUUCUUGGUGAUGCGUAGCAAAUUUUUAAUUUCUGCAACGAUCUCCAACAUUACCGAAUGCCCUCGUCAGAAUUAGUGGAGCUAAAGAAACAGCUUGAUGAAAUGCUCCAGAAAGGAUAUAUCCGUCCCAGCUCUUCACCAUGGGGAUCACCAUCUAUCUUCGUGGACAAGAAGGAUGGCAGCCUCCGCAUGUGUGUGGAUUAUCGUCAACUGAAUGAUGUCACCAUCAAAAAUAAAUAUCCGCUGCCAAGGAUUGAUGACUUGUUUGAUCAGCUCAGUGGGGCCAAGGUAUUCUCCAAGAUUGAUUUACGGACUAGAUAUCAUCAGCUCAAGAUUAAAGAGGAAGAUAUUCCUAAGACCGCAUUCACCACUCGAUACGGUCUUUAUGAAUAUACAGUUAUGUCCUUUGGUCUCACCAAUGCCCCUGCCUUCUUCAUGCAUAUGAUGAACAAAGUAUUCAUGGACUUCCUCGAUAAGUUCAUGGUAGUCUUCAUCGUUGACAUACUUAUAUACUCAAAAAGUGAACAAGAUCACAAAUAACACCUCUGAGCAGUGCUAUAGCGACUCCGCGACCAUCCGCUAUACGCCAAAUUCAGUAAAUUUGAAAUUUGGCUCAAGAAAGUUGGAUUUCUUGGACAUGUGCUAUCUGCUGAAGGUAUAGCCGUGGACCCGAGCAAAGUAAAGGAUGUGCUCGAUUGGUUGCCGCCCACAACCGUAUCACAGCUCCGGAGUUUUCAUGGAUUAGCCGGAUACUACGGUCGUUUCAUUGAAGUUUUUUCCAAGAUUGCUAAACCCAUGAUGGAGCUGCUAAAAAAGGAUAAGAAGUUUGAAUGGACUGAAGACUGCGAGAAGAGUUUCAAUGAGCUAAAGAUACGGCUGACGACCGCACCUGUGUUGACUCUUCUAGAUAUCUACCGCAGUUUUGAUGUGUACUGCGACGCCUCCAGACAAGGACUUGGAUGUGUACUUAUGCAAGGCAGCACGGUAGUACCAUAUGCAUCGCGACAGCUACGACCCCACGAAGGAAAUUAUCCUACUCAUGAUCUGGAAUUGGCCGCAGUAGUUCAUGCUCUAAAAAUUUGGAGACACUAUCUCAUCGGGAAGAGGUGCCAAAUUUUUACCGAUCACAAAAGUCUCAAGUAUAUAUUUACUCAGCCAGAUUUAAAUCUUCGUCAACGAAGAUGCCUUGAGUUAGUCAAGGAUUAUGAUCUUGGAAUAAAUUACCACCCGGGUAAGGCCAACGUGGUUGCCGAUGCACUCAGUCGAAAGUCUGUCAGCCUAAAUGUCAUAUUGAAAUCCUUGCCUCCUGAACUUCAAGAGGAGAUUGCGCAGCUCAACCUGGUCAUAGUUGAUGCUGACCUUGUUAAUAUUUUGGAUGUUGCCCCCACACUUGAGGAAGAGAUCCGCAAGGCCCAGCCAGCUGAUACUGUCUUGGAGAAACGUGCCAAGAGUGUGGUAGCAGGACAGACUCCAGAUUUCUCAACGGACCAAUUCGGUACCCUCCAAUUCUGUGGAAGGAUUUGUGUACCCAAUGAAGCGGAUUUGAAGCAGAAAAUCCUGUCAGAAGCACACGAAUCCUGGUAUUCUAUUCACCCUGGAGGUAAGAAAAUGUAUGAAGACCUUCGACAAAUAUUCUGGUGGGAUGGAAUGAAGAAAGACAUUGCCAACUUUGUGGCCUGUUGCGACAUAUGCAGCAAGGUGAAGGCAGAGCAUCAGAAGCCAGCCGGACUUCUCCAACCGCUGCCAGUUUCACAAUGGAAAUGGGAUGAUGUCUGCAUGGAUUUCCUCACAGGGCUACCUAAGACUCAGCGAGGCAAUGAUGCAGUAUGUGUCAUAGUGGACACCUUAACCAAGGUAGCUCACUUUAUUCCGAUCAGAACCACAUAUCGAGCAGAUCAACUUGCACAGCUAUAUGUAUCUAGAAUAGUCAGUCUGCAUGGAGUACCCCGAACCAUCACUUCUGACCGAGGUUCACUUUUUACCUCCACUUUUUGGUCACGUCUCCAUCAAGCCUUGGGGACAGCGCUGAAAUGUAGUACCGCUUAUCAUCCUCAGACUGAUGGACAAACAGAGCGGGUAAAUCAAAUACUCGAAGAUAUGCUACGAGCCUGUGCUUUGGCCCAAGGAUCUAAAUGGCAAGACUGCCAUCUGUAUGCUGAGUUCUCGUAUAAGAACAGCUUCCAGACCAGUUUAAAGAUGUCACCGUAUGAGGCUUUGUAUGGCCGUAGGUGCCGCACCCCUUUAAAUUGGUCCCAAACUGGAGAUAGCCGUAUUUACGGAACGGAUCUCAUGAUGGAAGCUGAGAAACAAGUUAAGGAAAUCCGAGACAGAUUGCAAUUGGCCAAAUCUCGACAGAAGAGUUAUUAUGAUGCAAAACACCGGCAGAUCAGUUUUGAACCCGGAGAACACGUAUACCUCCGAGUCACUCCUAUGAAAGGAGUCAAGAGAUUCCAGACUCGUGGAAAGUUGUCACCCAGAUUUAUUGGCCCAUUUCCAGUUUUGUCCCGAGUGGGUACUGUUGCAUAUCAGUUGGAACUACCCCCUGAAUUAUCGGAAGUGCACAAUGUGUUUCAUGUUUCACAGUUGAGGCGAUGCAUAUCUCCGCCUGAGAAAAAGACUGCUAUGACUGAAAUAGAGUUGGCAAAGGAUUUAACUUAUGAAGAGAGGCCAGUUAGAAUUUUGGAUCAGAUGGAAAGGGUCACUCGUAGUAAAGCAAGGAAGUUCUACAAAGUCCAGUGGGAGCAUCACACAGAGUCAGAAUCAACUUGGGAACGGGAAGAAUUUCUAAAGGCACAUUAUCCAGAAUGGUUUUCCCAAGCAACCGAAUCUCGAGGACGAGAUUCAUUCUAAGUGGGCGAGGUUUGUGACAGCCUUGUUUUUGCCCUCUUCUCUUUGCCUGAUUUUCAGUUGGUUUGAUUUUGAAAUUUGGGUUUUGAAUCUUUUCAUAUGGACUUAAACACUUGGGUACCCCUUGAUUUUCACCCAAGUGCCUCAUUUCCCAUUCUAACCAUCAUUUCCUCUCUGGUUCAACUCAAAAUAAUAUUUUGAAUAUUUUUCUUUAAUGAAAAAUAUUCAUUUCCCUCUCUUAAACCCUAGCUAGUUCAAUGUGCUCCAAAGCAACCCCAAUUUUUCUUGCCCACAAAAAUCUGAGAAAAUUCACAAAUAUUCUUUGAACCCUAGGGCACUUUCUUGAGCAAAAAUAUUUCACCACUAUUUGGAAUAUUUUUGCUACAGAAAAUAUUUUCUGUUCUAGACAGAAAUGGUAGUUUCUACAGCAACUACCAUUUUACUUGCUCCAUUGUGGCUGAUUUUUCUUGUGCAUCAUCACCUUACUAGAUGAUUGCUAACCUCCAAAGCCCAGCUCAGAAAUCCCAGUAGUUUGACCAUAGUAAGCUCUCAAAGUUACUAUCCAGAAACUUACCAGGCGUGUGAAAUCUUUUCUACUGCACCUGAGACCAAAACCAAGUGUGGUAACCACUAAAACUACCACGAACAACAAGCCAGACAUGAACUUUGGACUUAGGUCGGCCUGAGGGCAGAGUUCACGCGGUGACCGUGCGUGUGCAUGAUGCCAAACUGCUUGUCGUCGCGCUCUGAGUGCCGCCGAGCGCUCUGUUUCGCGCGUGCUCGCUUCCCCGACUACCAAACCUCGCCACAAUCUUCGUCCAAGCUCUCUUAACUCUCCCCUGGCACUCGCCGACGCCGGAGCUCGCCGCAGCGAGCACGGGCGCGGUCCGGCCAACGCAACAGUGUGCGGCGCACUGUGCUCGUUGCCUUCCCGUCGAUCAUGUGCUCGUCCCCGCUCGCCCACAGUUCCCGCGUGAGUAGCGUCGCCUUCUCCCCCUCUCACUGACGCCGUUCGUCGCCGGGCGCCGUGUCCAGGUUUCCACCGGGGAAGCCCGAUCCCCCCUCGACGCUCGGCUAUAAAUAGAGCCCUCCCCAGCCUCCUCGGGCACCAUCCAGCACUCCCACACACUCCACGAUCUUGUAGAAGCCGUAGCCCGGCCGGGCAGGCCGCGGGCCGCCGUCCCCGAGCUCGUGCUCGCCGGUGAUCCUCUAGGGUCGUCUCCGCGGUUCCAGUCCCUCCCAGGCCUGGGCAACCCUUCCAGGGCCUCCGCCGCUCGUCGGUGGUGCUGUUCCACCUGGUUGGAGCCCCUGGAGUCGCCUCUGUUCGCCGUCAUCUUCGUCUUCGGCGACCUCCGCUCUCUGCCUCUGCUAGAGAGGCCGAUUCCGACACCGUUUGAACAGCCCUAGCUACUCUACGGGUACGGGCAGGUGUGCCUCCGUCUCCUCUGUCGAUCCCCCCUCUCAUUUUGGCUAAGAAGCCCUCGUCGCUGGCGUGUGCUCCGGCGAAGACGCGCCGUCCUCUGUUUCCUUCUUCCCCUCCACCUCACUUGACUAGCGAGGCCCGCUAGUCAGCCACUCAGUACGCGCGCGAAGCGUUACGAGUGGUGGCGCCCCGAGGCUUUACGCCUUCGACGUCACCCCCCAAUCUUUUUUAUUUAAUCUCAAAUUCAUAUUUUUCCAGAGAGCUUCAAAUAGCCAAAACUGUUCAACCAUAAGUCCAAAUGAAUUGAUUCUUUUUGCAUUGUGUUCUUUGUACAGAAAUCUAGCAGCUCACCAAAAAUGAGAUUUUUCUUUGCUGUCUAGAUUUUCUAGUGAAUUUCAGAAGUGUUCUUGAUAUUUUCUUCUUGUGUUUAAAAUUAUUUUCAGAGAGUGAGGCUUGUCUUGAGGAUCACCAGGAGGCUUGUGAACCUCAUCUGCUCUAAGGCAAGCGACAACAACAUUUUCAUGGUGCCAUUACAAUAGUUGUGAUUUUCCUAUUUGAAUGAAUGAUUUAAUCCAUGCAUUUAAAUCACUAUCAUGUUAUUUACAUUCUGUUAGUUGCUUGUUUAAGUUAAUAUGCUUGGUUUACAGAAAGUUUAAAGCUAACUAAGUUGGUUAAGAAACUAGAACUAAUUUUUGUUAUGUAGGAAGAAAUAUGGUUAUGAAUAUAAAUAAUUAGUUGGAGUUAUUUUCUUGCAUGAGUAAAAAUGGUAAAAUUUGCUAGAAAAGAUUCUGUUUAAAGUGAGGUUUAAUCCUAACCAGAGAAGUGUCAUGAGUUGUUGAGGUUUAUGCUUAGUAUGAAUAUAGUUGACUCAGUCAUUUUCGUUAAAUUGUGAUGCAUAUGUUCGUGUUGCAUUUCAUGGCAUACUAUGACACCGGUUAUUUUCACUUUAAGUUGAACCUAAUAAUAACUCAACUUGAAUAUAUCGUUGAUCGGGUCAUGGUGCCACUGAAUCGAGUUUUUCCCAGUGCAACCACAUUUGCCUUUAUGGGAAGGCCUUUAUUCGGUCAGUUGUCAUGCCUCUGGUCGGUGCCUCCAACGAGGGAAGGUUAUGGGUGUGCGGUACCCUGGCCCAGUAAGCAGACAUAACCUUGUGUGCCCGUUGUUGAGAUUACGGUACCGUGUCCCCGUGUGGGACGUUUAUGUUUUGGCCAAGAUGGUGGUCGUUGGUGUCUUUGGUAGACACGGGGCCACCCAGGACUAGCCCGAUGGGGAGUGAGUCGGAGUGGCCGGAAGAGAGUCAUGGCAACCGAGGGAUUUCGUCGGAAUGCCGUUGGCCCACCCGAAUGGGAGUACGAGGCCAUGGGUUCCGUGGUGUGGGUACAGUGCGCUACCUCUGCAGAGUGUAUUAAUCUAUCGAUAGCCGAGUCCACGGUUACGGACACGCUCGAAAGUAGGUCACACCAUGGGUCAACAUUUAAUAAAUCUUGCACACUAAGUGAUAAACUUUGCAUGGUUGAUGAUGGUGGGAAGGCCAUCUUGAUGUUCGGGACCAAGUGUGGGUCGUGGUUGUGAUCACCGGAAGGAUCACUGUUUGUGACCAAAUGUUGGUCGUGGUUGUGAUCGCCGGAAAGAUCACGAGGUAAACUGAGUUAAGACCUCGGGGUUGGUACGGUUGUGAUCCAAGAGCGAUCAUCGUUGGUAAGCCAGUCCGAGGGAUUUUUCACAUAAAAGAAGGAUCACUGCAUGUUGCAUAUAUUGUUGCAUUGUUAAUAAUUGGUUAAUUAUCAUGAUAUUGUUUAUCAUUAUGUUUAUGUUUGUUGUGAGCUUGCAAGUAAAUUCAAUGUACUGACCUGGCGUGUCAUGCCAGAUUUCAGGAAAGUCUAGUUGGAAAGGAGUGCCAUCCGAGUCUAGAUCGUGUCCACAUCGGUGUCCCUGUUCUAUGGAGUUUCCGCUACGACAUUGUUCCGCUGCCGCGUAGUUGUUAUGAUCGAGGCCCCUUUAUGUUCACUAAAUAAUGUACAUAUUGUUCAGCUGCACCGUGUGUGCCGCUUGGCCUCGCCACCUGUUGUAAUAUAAACUUUGAUCCGCUAGCAUCAAUAAAGCGGUUGUUUUCUGUACCAAGAUGUUGUGUGUUGCCAGAAGACAUGGUCUCUGGGCUGGCAAUGCAUGAUAAACAAGUUGCUCUGAGCCAGGCUGCCACAUUUCCUAUCCCUGUGUUUUUAGAAUCUUGCAAGCCAAAUGAGCCCUUACAGAAUUACUUCAGUUACAGGUAGGUGUCGAAGGGAACUUUGUGUGGUUUAUCCUGCUCCUGCCGCGACGUCCUCCACCUCACCUGAGCUGCUCCAUCGAUAGAAGCAUCCACCAAACCAGACAUCACGACUCCUGACCGUCUUUCGCCGCCUCAGAUCUCCUUCCCUGCCGCCGGCACCCACCGCAACGGCAUCACCAUCAUCGACUCUGCAGAUUAACCUGAGGAGUACAUGGGUCCACAAGAGAAGUCACACUCUUUUGUUUCUGCUUAUGUUAUGCAUUGCUUAAAAUUACCUGCUACUUUAUCGUCCUGUUCACCUUUUGGACUCCAAGUCAGGUCCAAAUUAAUGUUCAAACAUGAGUUCUAAAUUAGUUGUGGGGCACAUAUCGAGGAAGCAAUGAAUAGUAUCUCUGUCUAAUAUCUGGUUCACCUAGGGUAUGCCUAUGUUGUUCAUCUUGGGUGGGAAACAAAUAGUAAAGCAAUCAUCAUCUGUCUUUUUAUUAAAUUAAAGCAAUCAUCAGCCUGCUAUCAUUAUUUUUGGAUCCAUCCACUGGUUGUUACCAUCACUCUAAAUUUCUGCAUGCUCUCCUUACAUAAUCUCACCAUAUUUUUUUCGUAUGCAUGUCAGAUAUUGUACACAGUCAUGCUGAACAUGAAGAGAAAAAGAGAAGAGUUUUGCGCGGCAAUACAAUGUCAUGCAGACAUCGCUCCAUGGUGGGUUCAAUGGCAAACCCUCCCCACCCCUCUCCAGAUUGUAAUCCCGAAGAAGAUAUCUGUUCUGAGGCGGAUUCAGACACCACUGACCACUCCUAUUUACCCCCAAGGUGUUUUCUCUACCUUGGCAUGAUGAUGUUAGUCACAUCAUGCAUAUGUUGCCUUGCAGUGCCUACUUUUGACAUCAUAUAUGUCAUCUGCUUAGUUUAGACAUGUUCUGUAAUGCCACCUGUUUAGUUUCUAUAUCAUAUAUGGGAAUUAUGCAGUCUCAUGUCUUUUAACCAGCCAUAAUAUAUGUGAAAUGUGCAAUGCCAUCCUGUUUAACCGGGCAUCAUAUAUUUGAAUGAUAUCUUGCCCAACCUUUUUUACAUUACAUUUCCAUUUGUCGACAAUGUUUGUACAUUAAACUACUCUUCCUAUGAAUCAGCCAUUUGGGUGGGAGAUGGAAAAUUCUGGAGUGAAAACAAGGCCUUCAGAGCAGACAGUGCUACCUAUCGAAGCAGAUCUCUUGUUGGGUCCCGAUAGCUCCUCAGAGAUGGAUGCAGAGACAGAUGACCAGUCCUAUUCCCCCACCGAGGUGUAUGCUCUAACUUGGCACCGUUAUACUGCUCAUAUGGUGCAUAUGGUGUCUUGUAUUGCAUAGUUUAGACAUCAUAUACACAAUAUUCAACACCAUGUUCUUAGUUCAGACAUCAUAUCGAAUGCCCUCUGUUUAGCAUAUAAAUCACAUAUGUGAAUUAAAUGAUGCAAUCCUGAUUACUUAGAUAACAUAUAGGUGAAUUAUGUCAUGCGAUCCUGUUUAGUUAUUCAUCAUAUCUUUGAAUUAUGUUAUGCUAUGCUAUCCAGUUUAGAUAGACAUCAUAUAUGUGAAAUUAUGUCAUGCUAUCCAUUUUAGUUAAACAAUAUACAUGUCAACUAUUUCAUGCCCUCUUUUUUCCACACUAUCUAUUGCAUCUGUCUCUCAUACAAUGUCUGUACAUUCAACUAUGUUUCCUGUUUAUCAGCCAUUUGAAUUGGAGCGGGUGAUGCCAGUAUCUAGCGGACUAAAAACACGGUCUUCAAAUAAAACAGUGCUACCUCUUGGUGGAGAUAGCACCCCGGCUGUAAAUGCACGAGAACCAGCCCUACCACACAUAACCCAAACUCUCGUAGAUUGUACCCCUACUGCGAUGGACAUUGAACCAGCUUCACCCAAUCUAACCCCAACCCCAGCAGAUAGUAACCCAGUUCCUGUUGACACAGCACCAUCUCCACCAUAGAGCUCCCAAACAAGAGCAGUUAGUAAGGCAGCUCCAGUGCCCAAAGGGCCAGUACUACCACGGAGAACCCCAACUCCACCAGUUAGUAGGCCUAUUCCUGUGGAGGAAGCACAACCAGCUAGUCGUAGUUUAGCAUCUAUCGCAUUUGAUGUUAUUAAAUCGUAUGUGCGUAUCUUCCCAUCUUGGAAAUAUUAUACUGAAGAUGAAGGAAAAUGCCAGUUGCAUGUGUUUGUCUAGGAGUUAUGUGUAAGUAAUGUUAUAAUACAAAAAAAAUUCCCAUUUUUGUCUAUAGAGAAGGACCGAUUUGGAAACUCGGGAUGAGGUAACCUGUGCUAAUACAUUUGCUAUCUUCAAGAAUGCUUGGUGGCAGUAUCGGAAUUACCUGAAGAAAACAUACUUCACCGGCAAAGAAACUCAUCAAAUUCCCUUACGUUCUCCUGAGACACAUUUACUGGACGAUGACUGGGAACGCCAUGUUCUGUACUGGUCCCGAACCAAGAAUGUGGUAAGGUCUAUGAGCUCAUUUUCUAUUUUUAAGUACAAUAUUCUUGCGUCUUAUUGUACUCUAUUCAUGUAGAACAAGUGCCUAAACCUGAAGAACAAUUGUUCUAAUUUAAGAUUCCAUUGCUAUCAUAGUUCAAAAAAGCGCUAGGCGUUAAUUGUGCGUUUUGCCACCGCCUUGCGCUUUACUGACCAAAGCGCAUGCUUAUGCGCAGUUAUGCACAGAUUAAGCGUAGUUAUGUGCAAUGCGUUUUGCCAAUGCCUAGAGCCUAGGCGCGCUUAAGCGCUCUUAGGUGCGCCUUUUUUAACUAUGAUUGCUAUCAUGCAUACUGCUUUGCUCUUGUAUCAUUGUAUUUACACAUACAAACUUAUUUUUAAAUUGAAGGAUCCAAUCAAAACUCCAAUGGCACAACAGGUAUGUUCACGCAUGUUUCUUUAACAUGUUUGCUCUUAUCAAUAGCUCUGUUGAUUUCAAUUUCAAUUGUGUAUACAGUUGAUUUCUCAUAUCAUGCACAUUACUAGCAUCACAAAAGAGCCAAUAGUGUUGUUGUACAUGUAGACCCGUGAUACCCAUCUGAAAUCUUGUUGUGCCGUGUAGUUUCCCACGCUUGUAUUCUUUCACUGCUACUUUGUCUUGAACUGAUAUGAUUUGAACCGUGUCUCUAUUUUGAUUUGGCAAGACAAUGCAGUGACCAUAGGACAUAGAUAUAUGUUUGUUUGAUGCUUUUAUUAUGUACUAGUACUUGGCAAUAGAAGACUUGGUAGUUUAAACCUGUCCACCUUAAUAAUGAACUGGUUCACCGAAAUGAGUUUCAUAUACUAGUACAUGCUAAACCUGUUAUGUGUCUGCUUGUUUCUUCUUUUAGAAUGCUGAUAGAAUAUUGGGGAAGAGUGCCUUAUUAACCAAUGGUAAAGGAAGUAAUGCAGAUAAGGUUCAGGAUAGUGAGACAUCCAUGUUGGUCUCCAACAAAGCUGAUAAAACAGCUAAGGAACACUAUCUUGAAGACAGUGAGACAACCCCAAAGUCCUGUCUUGCUUUAGUGUUCGAGUUACUGGCCACUACCGCUUGCACAAGCUAUUCAAAUUCACUGUCUGAAUCAGUUCGGUUUCUUGAGUCCCAACUACAAGCUAAUAGACAUCGAUCAGCUGUGCUGCGACAAGAAGCAGAAGGACUGCGGAAGUCCCUGGAGCAUUCAGAUGCAUACUUUCUGGUGCAACAACAAGCGUUGGAGGAUUUUAGUGCCAAACAGGACAAAGCUAAUAAGCUUGCUAAGCUUAUUGCCGGCAUGGUGGAUACCCAGGAUAACGUUUCUUGAGCUCUUCUGAAGUUGUUUCAUUUAUGCUCUUUUUUUGCUGCCACGUUUAUUUGCACUGGUGGCCAAUUUUGACGGCCAGUGUAUGUAAUAUGCUGCUUUGUUCCCUAUAUUUGCACUGGUGGCAAACUUUGAUGCCCAGUGGAUGUAAUAUGUGUAAUAGCGGUAAUAGGCUAGAGUUAAUUGCUUGCUUAUUUAUUUCCUUAUUGUCUUGUUUAGUUGUUUUCUUGUAGUCACUGCACUUCUUUUUCUUUGUUUUUCUAGUGGCCACAAUAACCUAUUUUUGGAAACUAGGCCAAAAUAAUCAUGGCAACACAUGGACUGUUGUAACCAUGGGCCUCCUACGGGCCGUAUGAUCCAUGGGCCUUCUACGGGCCAUAGGAUCCAUUGGCCUUCUAUACGGGCCGUAGGAUCCAUGGGCCUUCUACGGGCCGUAUGAUCCAUGGGCCGUCUACGGGCCGUAUGAUCCAUGGGUCGUCUAGGGGCCGUACGAUCCAUGGGCCUUCUAUGGGUCGUACGAGCCAUGGACCUUUUACGGGCCGUAGGAUCCAUGGGCCUUCUACGGGCCAUAGGAUCCAUGGGCCUUCUACGGGCCGUACGAUCCAUGGGCCUUUUACGGGCCUUCUACGGGGCGUAUCAUCAUUUCGCCAGUCCUGGGCCGUACUAUUCGUGGACCAUAACGGGCCGUUAAUAGGCCGUAUUUGAUAACUCUAUGAAAACAGCCCAGUGGGUUUAUUUUGACAUGAAAACGGCCCAACGUAUUAACGGGCCACAAACGGGCCGACUAUAACGACGGGCUGAAUUUGGCCCACAAGAAGAAAAUGACAAUAACGGGCCGUAAGUAACCGAAUGCUGGAAAUGAGCCCAAGAAUAAAUGGGCCCUGAGAAGGCCGAAAGAUAACUUGGGCUGGAAACGGCCCAAUGGAAUAAUGGGCCGUUAAUGGGUAUAAAGUGAUACACUGUUCAUUACGAGCCAGUUUCACCACGGGCCGUUAGUGGGCCAAGAGUUACAAAGGGCCUCAUAUGGGCUGAAAGACGUCAUGGGCCAUACAUGGGCCGGAAGAUAAAAUGGGCUGGAAUCAUAUUGGACGGCCCAGAUGACGCUACUGGGCCUAAUUCGGAUAGGCCGUAACGGGCCCUGUGUUAGCGGGCUGUUAACAGGCUUUCCGUGGGCCGGCCCGCCACCUUUUGACCAAGUCAAACGGGUCGGCCUUUUCAUAGGAAUGGGCCUCUGUUUGGGCCGUGCCACGUGUCGAUGUAUAAUAGGCGCCUUCGGUCCAAUGAGUGGAUGACAUCUGUCUCAACGGUGAGACGACACGUGUUCCCUCCAGCCAAUGAUGAUUUUACACAUGGAAAAUCCCCAUUGGUCGGGGCUGUUAACGGGUUAUCAGAUCCAAAACCGGACUCGAUAGCUUAACGGCGUUCCGUUACGGUGGAUGCCAUGUGUCGGUCACCCUUGCCGAAAGCACUUCUAUAACGCACGAUUUAUCGUCAUGGAAGUGGACACUUCCGUGAUGAUAAUUUUGGUAAUCUCAUGGAACACUUCUACGAUAGCACAGGUAUGCCUAUCUUGAUUCUGUCAAAAAAUCUUCAUGGAUGUACAUGCAUGACAAAAAACGUGACCUACUGUGACAAACACGUAUCACCACGGAAGCGUAUUUUUUUGUAGUGCAAGCCAGAGAACUUAACCACAAAGAGGAACAUGCUCCUAUUAGGACCAAGCAAGAUUCUUGUACUCAUCUAAGGCCAAUCAUUCAUGACACCUAAUUGUAAGUAGAUUCAGUCACUACAGGUGCUUGUUUCAGCACCAAGUUAAAUUCAGUCAAGCAUGUAAGUAGAUUCACACCAGCAGCAUACCAAGCAAAAAAAACAGAUUUUAAACAGGCUAGCUAGCUGUAAUUUGCUGCAAUCCUGAUGGUACAAACAAGCUAGGUAGAUUAAACACCAACCGUUAACACAGCCUAGCUGUAGUAACUAACAAGGCCACUAUAAAUUAUUAACUUGAAAGGAAGCUCACUUUCUCCAUCUUCUAUCUAUCCAUGUUUUCUUUUUCUGAAGCAAGCAUCAAAAGGCACAAUGACAAACAAAUUCCACACAAACGCUGAACCAAUACUUCAAAUUAAAUUUGCAAGGACUUGAAAUAGAGGUUGGAGCUCAUCAAGUACCAGCUUCUAAAGGAAAGAUCUUCUAUUCCAUACAAUUUCAUAUAGUGUGAGGGAGUUUUCGACUAUUGGCAACAUGAGGACUAGUUUCAUUACCUCACACGGUGGCUGGCCUGGGCGUUCUGGAUACUCCAUUGUGCGUGCGGUCCUUGACCCUCCCUCAAACUAAAAAACAAAGCCCAAAACAUGUUUAUAACUUCAAUUCAAGCUCCUUGAAUAGGUGUAUACUCCGCAUAAAGUUCUCACUUCUACAACAACUCACUGGAAACAUGUGAACUAGACUAUCUACUUGUGCUACAAGGUAAAAAUAAUCCUAAUAGAAAAAUGACCAUAUGACUAAGUGACUGACCAGGCCUACAACAUAAGCAAGUGGCAGCGUAAGCAGAAAGUGGGCCUUUGAAUUAUCAACAUCAACCGCAAGACUAAGACAAGAAGGCUUAUUAUAGAAUCAGGCAAUCACAUAAUCAACGACAGCAACCGACGACUGCACAAUCAAGUUUCACUUCCAUGGACUCGUGAUGAGGUCAUACCUCGCAGGAGAUGUAUCGGGAGGGGGCUCGGAGAUGGCGUCGGGGCGGCCGUGGAGCUGCGUCCUCCAUGGCGUCCUCACAUCCAUGGCAUCAUCCCCUCCAUGGCGUCCUCUCCUCCAUGGCAUGCCUGAUGUCGGUUCCAUGGCCUUGGCGUGCGUGAGGAAGAGGCAGAGGGAGAGGAAGCAAAUCAAAUUGCAGCAACAAGGCAAAAGGGAAGAUGACAAGUCCAUCCAUGGAAGAAUGAGGGAUCCGGUGCUGCACCUCGUUCCAGCGGCUCGAUCUGGAUCCAGCGCUGCCUUGCCUCUCGCUCGAUCUGAGCAGCGGCGCGCGGCCAGACCACAAGUGCAUACUUGCCGGAGUGGCGGAGGCAUCGCCGGCGCAGGAUCAGGCUCAGGCUCAGCCUGUCGUGGCUCUAUUGGCCAUGGCUUCGGAAGACCCGCGGAGGCAAGAGCUUGGAGGCGGGUGGCAAGAGCAAGGGGAAGUGGAGGAGGAAGUUGCUGCUGCUCCUGCUCAGGUCGUUGCAGGUCAAGAGCAGCGGCGCUUGGGGGGAGGCCAGCGGUGGGGUAGGGGUUGGGACAGUGGAGAGGGAGGUUUGGGUCGGGGAGAGGGAGAACUGGGUCAGGGAGAGGGAGGCGGCGCCGCAUGGGUCGGGGAGAGGGAGAGGGAGGGGAGUGUGCUGCACGAUGCUAGGGUUUGGUUGGCCAGCGUGCGUUUAGGAGACGUUGGAUCUAUAUGGUGUGGAUGGCUCAGAUCAGCUUAGGGGGGGUGAUCCGUGGGAAGGGAGGUUCUGCCUUCUGAUUGGUCCAAAAAAUGUGUCAUUUAAAAUAGUUUCUAAGUGGUAAAAAUAGAGGGAAUUUGUCAAGGAGCUACCAAUAAUAUUUUCCGAAAAUUUCACCACUAAAAAAUUUCACUCAAGUUAUACAACAUUUUAUGGAUGAUAACCAACUUGUAUGCAUUUCCGAUCUUUCUAGCAUUUUUUAGCCAUUUAAACAGAAAAUAAUAGUUUGCUCAUAGUUUUUUCGUGAAGGGCCUACCAAAUAAUUGUUGCAAAACUUGACCAAAUCAAUUUUCUAAAAUACUAGGUCAUAUUUAAUGUACAAUUGACCAAAUGGUUGGGUGUCAAAAGUUUUCAUCCACCUCUCCUAAAAAAGUCAAAUUUUCACCGAUUCAGCUAGAAGUUGGUCAAAUUUAAACUGCAGCUACCUUAUAGUUUGCUAUUUAUUUUUUUCCAAAAAUCAGUACUCGGUACAUAAGUAUCUAUUUAAUCAUGGAAACACCAAAAGUUUUCUAAGAUUCAACCACUAGCUACGAACGGUGAUGCCCGCCGUUUUGACCGCAUUUUGCAAUGGGCAUGAAAAAUAAAAAAAUUGGAAAACCUGCGCAUAGUGUCAUUAUAUGUGGCAAAGUUACCAGGAAAAAUAAUAAACUUGUAAUGCGAUAAUUAUGUUUAGAAAGUGUUCUCAGAAACGAGCUAUCAUGUGUGAAGAUCAAUGACUUUCAAGUCAAAUGAUCAAUCUUAUGGCCACAUUCAUGACAUAGUUUGUUAAAAUGAUCUCAUAUUGUGCACAAGGGUGCAUAUUGGAAUGGAAAACAAUGUUGCCUAAGGAAGUUUUCAUUUUCUUCGGACAAAAAAUCAUUUUCCAUUUUUCGAGCGCCCAAAAUGAGCUUUUUGUGAAGAACCUACCAAAUAAUUGUUGCAAAAUUGUACCAAAUCAAUUUUCUAAAAUACUAGGCCAUAUUUAAUGCACAAUUGACCAAAUGGUUGGGUGUCAAAAGUUUUGACCCACCUCUCGUGAAAAAGACAAAUUUCUGCCGUUUUAGUUGGAACCGGGUCAAAUUUGAACUGCAGUUGCCUCAUAGUUUGCUUUUUAUUUUUUCCAAAAAUCAUUUUUAGGUACAAAAGUAUCUAUUUAAUCCUAGAAACAACAAAAGUUUUGCUAGAUUCAAUCACUAGCUAGGAACGGUCAUGCCCGCUGUUUUGACCGCAUUUUGAAACGGGCAUGAAAAAUUCAAAAACAAAUUCAAAAAAUUGGAAAACCUUCGCAUAGUGUCAUUAUAUGUGGCGAAGUUACCAGGAAAAAUAAUAAACUUGUAAUAUGAUAAUUAUUUUUAAAAAGUGUUCUCAGAAACGAGCUAUCAUGUGUGGAGAUCAAUGGCUUUCAAGCGAGAUGGUCAAUCUUAUGGCCACAAUCAUGGCAUAGUUUGUUCAAAUGAUCUCAUAUUGUGCACAAGGGUACAUCUUGGAAUGACAAACAAUAUUGACUAAGGAAGUUUUCUUCUUCUUUGCACGGAAAUUUCAUUUUCCAUUUUUCGAGUGACCAAAAUGAGUUUUUUUGUGAAGGGCCUACCAAAUAAUUGUUACAAAAUUAUACGAAAUCAAUUUUCUAAAAUACUAGGACAUACUUAAUGUACAAUUGACCAAAUUUUUGGGUGUCAAAAGUUUUGAUCCACCUCUCGUGAAAAAGACAAAUUUCUGCCGAUUUAGUUGGAAGCGGGUCAAAUUUGAACUGCAGCUGCCUCAUAGCUUGCUUUUUAUUUUUCUCAAAAAUCAUUUUUAGGUACAAAAGUAUCUAUUUAACAAAUAGAAACACCAAAAGUUUUCCAAGAUUCAACCACUAGCUAGGAACGGUCAUGCCCGCUGUUUUGACCGCAUUUUGAAACGGGCAUGAAAAAUUCAAAAAAAUCAAAAAAUUGGAAAACCUUCGCAUAGUGUCAUUAUAUGUGGCCAAGUUACCAGGAAAAAUAAUAAACUUGUAAUACGGUAAUUAAUUUUAAACAGUGUUCUCAGAAACGAUCUAUCAUGUGUGGAGAUCAAUGGCUUUCAAGCGAGAUGAUCAAUCUUAUGGCCACAUUCGUGGCAUAGUUUGUUCAAAUGAUCUCAUAUUGUGCACAAGGGUACAUCUUGGAAUAACAAACAAUGUUGCCUAAGGAAUUUUCACUUUCUUUGCACGAAAAAAUCAUUUUCUAUUUUUCGAGUGCCCAAAAUGAGUUUUUUGUGUGACGGACCUACCAUAUAUUUGUUGCAAAAUUGGACCGAAUCAAUUUUCUAAAAUAUUAGGCCAUAUUUAAUGCACAAUUGGAAAAAUGGUUGGGUGUAAAAAGUUUUUAUGCGCCUCUCAUGAAAAAGACAAAAUUCCGCCGAUUCAGUAGGAAGCGAGUCAAAUUUGAACUGCAGCGGUCUCAUAGUUUUCUCUUUAUUUUUUCCAAAAAUCAUUUCUAGGUACAUAAGUAUCUAUUUAAUCAGAGAAACAUCAAUAGUUUUCCAAGAUUCACCCACUAGCUAGCAACGGUCAUGCCCGCCGUUUUGACCGCAUUUUGAAAUGGGCAUGAAAAAUUCAUGGCAUAGUUUGUUCAAAUGAUCUCAUAUAGUGCACAAGGGUGCAUCUUGCAAUGAAGAACAAUGUUUCCGAAGGGAUGUUUUAUUUUCUUUGGACACAAAAUCAAUUUUCCAUUUUGUUAGUGCCCCAAAUGAGGUUUUUUUGUGAAGAACCUACCAUAUAUUUGUUGCAAAAUUGGACCGAAUCAAAUUUCUAAAAUACUAGGCCAUAUUUAAUGUACAAUUGACCAAAUGGUUGGGUGUAAAAAGUUUUUGAUCCACCUCUCGUGAAAAAGACAAAUUUUCGCAUAUUCAUUUUCCAUUUUUUUAGUUCCCAAAAUGAGUUUUUUUGUGAAGAACCUAACAAAUAUUUUUGUAAAAACUUCUCCAUUUUUCAAGAAUAUUAGACCAUAUUUUAUGAACAAAUUUGUGUACACUAGAAACAUUUUUUAUAGAUAUUAAACGGUUUUUAGUUACAUCAUUAAUAUUUUUAAUAAAUAUUUUGAUGUCUAAUAUUUUGAACACAUGUCUACAUUUUUUAAGACACAUUGUAUAUAUUGUUUAUAUAUGUUUAACUUUUUUCAAAUACAUGGUUAACAUAUUUUCAUAUAUUCCCAACAAAAAAACAUCUUUUCAUACAUGUUUUGAUGUCUAUAUUUGUUUUUCACAUUGUACAUUUUUGUAUACAUAUAAAACAUUGUUGAUAUUGGUUAGACAAAUUUAAAUACAUGAUUAAGAUUUUUAGAAAAUCUUGCNNNNNNNNNNNNNNNNNNNNNNNNNNNNNNNNNNNNNNNNNNNNNNNNNNNNNNNNNNNNNNNNNNNNNNNNNNNNNNNNNNNNNNNNNNNNNNNNNNNNNNNNNNNNNNNNNNNNNNNNNNNNNNNNNNNNNNNNNNNNNNNNNNNNNNNNNNNNNNNNNNNNNNNNNNNNNNNNNNNNNNNNNNNNNNNNNNNNNNNNNNNNNNNNNNNNNNNNNNNNNNNNNNNNNNNNNNNNNNNNNNNNNNNNNNNNNNNNNNNNNNNNNNNNNNNNNNNNNNNNNNNNNNNNNNNNNNNNNNNNNNNNNNNNNNNNNNNNNNNNNNNNNNNNNNNNNNNNNNNNNNNNNNNNNNNNNNNNNNNNNNNNNNNNNNNNNNNNNNNNNNNNNNNNNNNNNNNNNNNNNNNNNNNNNNNNNNNNNNNNNNNNNNNNNNNNNNNNNNNNNNNNNNNNNNNNNNNNNNNUACACAUGAAUCUUUUUUUAUCUAUAUCUAUAUCUAUACCUACUAAUAAAGCAAGGUGCGUUUCUCCAGUUUUUUCAUCCGUUCACCACCGAUUUUUAUUAAUAUCCGAGGUGGUACUAAUUUUUUGUGGUCCAUCUAGUAGAAAAGAAAACAAAAGUCCAGAAUUUCAUACAUGGGCCUGCACGCGCUAAGGCCCAGAGAAUCCACCAAUAUCCUGCCCACGCAUAUGGGAAACCUUAUUUUUCGCACGGAGCAACAUAUAGUUGGAGCUUCGCAUAGGUCGCACACCGUUGGGCCGCCCAUUCUCUUUUUCUCUGUGUUCUUAUUUUAUUUUUAUUUUUAUUUUUCCCCUUUGAAGUGAUUUUCUGCGUUUUCCCAUAAUUUUGUUUUUCAGAAUUUCGUUAUUUACACAUUUUCGUUAAAUCUUCAGAAUUUCCAAAUUUGUUACCUUUUCAGAAAUAUUUGGAACUUCUAAAUUUUAUUUCCGUUCCAAAUUUUUUCGAAAUUCAAAAAUGUUCAAAUUAAAAAAAAAUCAAAAUUGUUUGACAAUUUUUAAAACAAUUUGCAUUGCUUAAAAUAAUAGAAAUUCCAAAAAUAUUCUUGUUUGCUGAAAUGUUCACAAAUUCAAAACAAUGCUUGUGAUUAAAAACACAUUUUUAAAAUGUUUUUGAAUUUUCAAAGCAAGUUUCCAUUUUUAAAAAUUGCUCACAAAUUCAAAAAAUGCGAGUUGCUCCACCUUAAAAAUUUCCUGUUUUCAAAAAAAUGUUUGUGAAUUUCAAAAAAAAUUCCUAUUUCCAGUUUUGUUUGCCUUUUUCCAGAAAUUAAUGAUUUUUUCAAAAAACAUUGCUCACCUCUUUUUAUAAAAAAAAUAGGAGGUCACCACAACCUCAACAAGGAGGCGGGCCUGAAGUAAAAAAAAAGCACGAGUUGGGUAGUGGUCGCCACUCCGAUCAACCCCACUACUAUAAUGAUCUCGCGGGCCAAACAUGACCCGUGAGACCACCACAUAUCUCCGCUCUGUCACCCCACUGUUUUGGAGACCAUUUUGAUGGACAUCAAUUAUCUCUCCCAAUGCUUCUCGCAAAAAAUAUCUCUUCCAUUGCAACGCACGGGCAUAUGUGCUAUACAUAUCUAAUAUUAUUUAUGAUUAUCAUUUUUUAUAUGCAUGAAACUUUUCAAAUACACACGUUUAGUUUUUUUAAACACAUUAUUACAUUUUUUGAAAUACAUAUUAACAUUAACAUUUUUUGAAUUACCCGUUUAGUUUUCUAAUUGCUAAACCAUAUAGCAAGAUUCACGAAGGAGUUCAUUAUUUUCCUAUUGUUAUAAUUUUAUAUUGUUUAAUUGGUUUCGAGAUUUUUCUAUAAGGAAAAACCUUUUUAGAGUUCUACAAUGAAAAACUUGUUUUUUAGACAAUAAUGAAAACAGUUUUUUUCAAAUAACUGACCAUCCUUGCCAAAUGUUAAUAAUGAAAAACUUAUUAUUUUCCCAUUUUCGUUGGGCUGAAUAUAUCUUUUUUUGAGUAAUAUGAGGGCAUCCCACCUUUCUUUCUGGAUGGGCCGAGGCCUUCAUGGCACACAGUUUUUUUAAAAGGAGGUGGCCUCGUUCCACCGAGGCCCAAGCCAUCUUGAGCGACACUUUAACCAAUGCAUCCACGUUCACAACCUCAUGACCAUUUAUAUUGGUCAUAAUCAGGUAGAAAUAAGGUCGUCGACCACUCUUAUCUGCUUUAUGACCAUUUGGUGUAAGGCAAUUUCAGGGUUUGAGCCCUUCCAAGCAAAAUGGUCGUGGAUUUACGACCAAUUCAGCCGGGGUCACUGAGAGAAGGUCACAAGUUGACAUAUUUCUUGUAGUGACUCUGUGUAAGGCAAAUUGUCAUCCCAACUAGGUCCAUAAUCUAGUGCACAAGCUCUCAUAAUAUCUCCAAAAUCUGGUUGACUCUCUCGGUUUAUCCAUCUGUCUACGGAUGAAAGGCUGUACUGAAUUCUAGCCUGGUACCCAAAGUCUGGUGUAACUGAUUCCAAAACUUCGAGGUAAACUGUGUUCCUCUAUCUGAUACGAUCGUCCUCGGAACUCCAUGUAGACAUACGAUCCUGGUCAUAUAUAUCUUGGCCAACUUUGCGCUCGUAUAAGUGGUUUUCACGGGGAUAAAGUAAGCCACUUUGGUCAAGGGAUCAACUACUACCCAGAUGGAGUCGUAUCCUGAUCGUGUCCUGGGUAAUCAGGUGAUGAAAUCCAUGCCAAGCUUAUCCCACUUCCAUUCAGGUAUCGGCAAAGGCUGAAGUAAUUCUGCUGGCUUCUGAUGCUGUGCCUUAACUCUUUGACAUACGUCGCACACUGCUACAUACUCGGUGAUGUCUACUAUGCAAGUUUAUUCUUGUAGACUCGUAUUGGGCCUCCAAGCGCAGAGUUUUGUAGGACAGUAGCAAUUUUCCGUCAAGUGGAUGACCUAAGGUAUAUCAAUCCGUGGGAGGUGUAGGAUGAAGAUGGCCUCUCUCAAACGACCCUGCAACCAAAUACAAGAAAUCUCUUGUGUCCCCAACACACCCAAUACAAUGGAAAAUUGUAUAGGUGCACUAGUUCGGCGAAGAGAUGGUGAUGAAAGUGUAAUAUUGAUGGUAGAAAUAUAUUUUUAUAAUCUGAAUAAAUAAAAACAGCAAGGUAGAAAUAAGUAAACGGGCACAAAAACGGUAUUGCAAUGCUUGAAAAUGAGGCCUAGGGUUCGUACUUUCACUAGUGCAACCUCUCAACAAUGCUAACAUAGUUGGAUCAUAUGAUUAUCCCUCAAAGUGCAACAAAGAAUCACUCCCGAGUUCCUAUUAGCGGAGAACAAAAGAUAGAAAUUGUUUGUAGGGUAUGAGACCACCUCAAAGCUAUUCUUUCCCGCUCGAUCUAUUCAAGAGUUCGUACUAAAAUAACGCAAAGCUAUUUUUUCCGUUUGAUCUAUCCUAGAGUUCGUACUAGAAUAACACCAAAGCAUAUUGAUAUUCAUAAUACUCAAUCCACACAAAGAACUACAAGGAGACCACAAAGUUUCUAUCGGAGAAAAGAUAAUAAAAACAUGCAUCAACUCCUAUGCAUAGAUUACCCCAAUAUCACCGCGGGAAUCCGUGAGUUGAAUGCCAUAACAUAUAUCAAGUGAAUCAAUAUUAUACCCAAAUUGUCACCUCAAGUAUUCAUACUGCAAGACAUAUAUCAUGUGUUCUCAUCUCUGAAUAUUCAAUCCGACAAGAAAAAACUUCAAAGGGUAAAGACUCAAUUCAUCACAACAAGAGUAUAGAGGGGAGAAACAUGAUAUGAUCCGACUAUAUUAACAAAGCCCAAGAUAUAGAUCAUGAGAGAGAGAGAGAUUAAACACAUAGCUACUGGUCCCUCCUCAUCGUGGUGGCCGCCGGGACGAUGAAGAUGGGUUUUGGAAUAUUUGGGAAUUUAUAGUGCAAAGAGGGGGUGCGGGACGCCACCGAGGCGGGCACAACCCAUCUGGGCGCGCUAGGGCUCCUGGCGCGCCCUGGUGGGUUGUGCCCCCCUUGGGGCACCCCCGAGGUGCAACUCUGGCCCAUUGGGUUCCUUUUUGUCGAUAAAAAAUCUCCAUGGAGUUUUGUUGCGUUUGGACUCCGUUUGACAUUGAUUUCCUUCGAUGUAAAAAACAAGCAAAAAAACAACAAGUGGCACUGGGCACUGAUUCAAUAGGUUAGUCCCAAAAAAUGAUAUAAAGUUGCUAUAAAAUUAUUGUAAAACACCCAAGAAUGAUGAAAUAAUAGCAUGAAUACGUCAGAAAUUAUAGACACGUUGGAGACGUAUCAACAUCCCCAAGCUUAAUUCCUGCUCGUCCUCAAGUAGGUAAAUGAUAAAAGAAGUAAUUUAUGAAGUGUGAAUGCUAGCAAAGUGCAUUAGUUUGAUCAAUGAUAAUUUCAAUCACUUUUCCUAGCAUAAUAACAACAAUUCUUUCUUAUAAAACUUCUCAUGUUAUAGUAGCAACCAAUUCAUAUGUUAAGGUUCAAACAAUGAACUCUCUUGAAACUCAACAACCUAUUUUCUUAGUCACCAAGCAAUUGCAAUUCAACUUAUUCGACAGAGUUUAAGUAAGAGCUCCUCAUACUCAACCAUCAUAGAGUCUUCUAUGAUUGCUAACACUCAGUGCAUACACAUGAGCAGAACGUUUCAACUGGACACAUAGAAAGAUAUGGGCUUAUUGUUUUGCCUCCCAACGUAUUCACGUCAAGGGUGAUGUCAACAAUAAUAACUCAUGCUGCCCAUAUUCAACUGGAGAUAUGUGCCUAGAUCUUUCCUCGCCACAUGAUGCUUGCCAAAAGAGAAAAAUAAAAAGGAAUAGAGAGAAAAACUUUGACUCUUGCAUGAAAGUAAAUACAUAAAAGUAAAAGAUAUGCCCUUUGCAGAGGGAAGUAGGGAUUUGUAGAGGUUCCAGAGCUCAAAGCGAAAACUGAGAGAUAAAAACAUUUUGAGAGGUAUACUUUUCCCACCAACAAAAAUGACUUAGAGCUCCCAACACUUUCCAUGCUAGAUAUAUCAUAGGUGGUUCCCAAAUAGAAAAUAAAGUUUAUUCCUUUUUCCACCAUACUUUCACUUUCCAUGGCUACCUGUAUCCACGGGUGACCUCCAUACCAACACUUUCCAAGGAAUUUAUUAUUUGACAACAUAAAGUAAAUUCAUUUUUCAUUUUGGGACUGGGCAUCCCUAAAACCUUUGCCUUACUCUUGUCUAAUGACAAGUGAAUAAACACUCGUCGUGAGAAUAACACAUCUAGCAUGGAAAAUAUUGGCCUCCCUCACCGCCUCGCGAGCGGUAUGAGCACACAAAAGGGAAAUUUAUUUUUGAAAAUUAGAGAUGGCACAUAAAAAUUUGCUUAGAACGGCACGGAAAUACCGCAUAUAGGUAGCUAUGGUGGACUCUUGAAAAUAAGAUUUGGGUUUACGGGUUUUUGGAUGCACAAGUAGUAUCUCUACUUGGUGCAGAAUUUUUGGCUAGCAAAGAUGGGGGGCAAGCACCACAUGUUAAAUGAUCUAUGACAAUAUGACUUCUAUGUGAAUAUGAGCAAACAUAAAUCAUUACGUUGUCUUGCUUAUCCAACGUCAACAAUUUUGGCAUAUAAUAUUUUGAUGGGGGCUCACAAUCACAAAAGAUUUCCAGGAUAGUGUAUUUGCAUGUGAAAUUCUCUUCCUUAUACUAAUUAUUCGUGAAUUGCUUGUAUGACCAAUAUUGUGAUUUUCGAGCCUCAAAAGAUUUCACUUUUUAAACCCAAUGUGAAGUUACCACUAGGCAUGGUAUGAUUUCAACUUCAUGACAUUUAAUUUAUUCAACAAUUUACUCAUAGGAUAUAAGUGAAGCACAAGAGUAAAUUAAAAACUACUCGAAAAAGAUAUAAGUGAAGAUCAUGCGAGUAGUUAAGUAAAUAGAUAUCUAUGUGAGGACUCUCUUUGAUUUAAAAGUUUCAGAUCUAAAUGUUUUACUAAAACAGCAAGCAAAAUGAAAAUGAAAUGACAUUUCAAGGAUAGCACACAUCAUGUGAAGAAGCAAAAACUUAGGCUCAACUUAUACUAACCGAUAAUUGUUGAAGAAGAAAGAUGGGAUGCCUACUGGGGCAUCCCCAAGCUUAGAUGCUUGAGACUUAUUGGAAUAUUAACUUGGGAUGCCACACUUACCUAACUCCAAAAAUUAUGAAAAUUUUACCACACUGUAGAAAAUUUAUCAGAGCUUAUUAUGCAAAAAGUUUCAACAUUCUAUCACACUUUGACUUUUCUAGGGAAUUUUCUCAACAUCGAUAAACUUUCUAUUUUCAAACAGCAACAUGUAUACUUGCAAGAUAAGCAUGGGAAAGGCUAUCAAUGCCACUUUUAUUGAAAUAAAAGAUGCAAAACAUUAUUCUAAAUAACAGCAAGCAAAUAUUAGCAAAAUAAAUUGACGCUCCAAGCAAAACACAUGUCAUGUGACGAACGAAAACAUAGCUCCAAGUGAGGUUACCGAUAAUGUUGGAGACGAAAGAGGGGAUGCCUUCCGGGGCAUCCCAAGCUUAGUUGCUUGGAUCAUCCUUGAAUAUUACCUUGGUGUGCCUUGGUAAUCCCCAAGCUUAGGGUCUUUUCACUACUUAUUCUCCUCAUAUCGAUAUCUCACCCAAAACUUGAAAACUUCAAUCACACAAAACUUAACAGAACUUCAGGAGAUUGGUUAGUAUGAUAAAGAGCAAACCAUUUCACUUUGGUACUGUCAAAGACAAGAUUGAUAAUUGUUUCCACACAAUUCCUACUGUAUCAUACCAUUUCCACAAUUUAUAUUGAGCAAUAUAAGCCAUAGAAACUAGAAAGCAAGCAAACUAUGCAUUGAAAACAGAAUCUGUCAAAAACAGAAUAGUCUGUAAUGAUCUGGAUAACUACCAUACUUAUGCUAAUCCAAAAAUUAUGAAACAUAUAGGACCACGUGAGAAAUUUGUAUAUUAAACUUAUGCAAAAAUAAUCAACUCAAAAGCACUCUUCUGUUAAAAAUGAGACUUAUUUUCGUGAGCGCAAAAGUUUUUGUUUUUCAGCAGCGUCAAAUCAACUAUCACCCAACAUGAUCCCAAAGGCUUUACUUGGAACUUUAUUGAAACAAAUCAAUAAAACAUAAUUACUACAGUAGCAUAAUCAUGUGAACACAAAAAAACUUUAGGUAAAAGUGUUGGGUUGUCUCCCAACAAGCGCUUUUCUUUAAUGCCUUUUAGCUAGGCAUGAUGAUUUCAACUAUGCUCGCAUAAAAGAUAAGAAUUGAAAUUUAAAGAGAGCAUCAUGAAUCACAUGGAAAGAACAUUUAAGUCUAACUCACUUUCUAUGCAUAGGGAUUUCGUGAGCAAACAACUUAUGGGAACAAGAAUCAACUAGCAUAGGAAGACAUAACAAACAAAACUUCAAGAUUUUCAACACAUAUAGAGGAAACUUGAUAUUAUUGCAAUAUAUAAAAGCGUAUGUUCCUCUCUCAUAAUAAUUUUCAGUAGUCCCACGAAUAAAUUCAACAAUAUAGCUAUUACAUAAAGCAUUCUCUUCAUGAUCCAUAAGCAUAGAAAAUUUAUCACUCUCCACAUAAGCAAUUUUAUUAUCAUCAAUAAUUAUGGGAGCAAACUCAACAAAAUAACUCUCAUGUGAUUGGAAAUUAAAAUCAUGAUGAAAAGUUCCAUGUUUAUAAUUAUUCAAUAUAGCAUACAUGUCAUCACCAUAAUCAUCAUGUAUAGGAACUUCUAUGUCAUAAUCAAUUGCAUCCUCCUCCAAAAUAGUGGAUUCAUCAUUAAAUAAAGUCACGACCUCUCCAAAUCCACACUCAUCAAUAUAAUCAUCAUAAAUAGGAGGCAUGCAAUCAUCAUAAUAAAUUUUCUCAUCAAAACUUGGGGGACUAAAAAUAUCAUCUUCAUCAAACAUAGCAUCCCCUAGCUUAUGGCUUUGCAUAUCAUUAGCAUCAUGGAUAUUCAAAGAGUUCAUACCAACAACAUUGCAAUCAUGUUCAUCAUUCAAAUAUUUUGUGCCAAACAUUUCAUUAACUUCUUCUUCUAACAAUUGAUCCCAAUUUUCUGAUCCAUCAUUUUCAAGAAACAUAUUAUAAAGAUGAUCAAUAAUAUGAUGCAACCUCAAUUCCAUUUUUUGUAAUUUUCUUUUAUAAACCAUACUAGUGAUAAAACAAGAAACUAAAAGAUUCAAUUUCAAGAUCUAAAGAUAUACCUUCAAGCACUCACCUCCUCGGCAACGGCGCCAGAAAAGAGCUUGAUGUCUACUGCACAACUUUAUUCUUGUAGACUCGUGUUGGGCCUCCAAGCGCAGAGUUUUGUACGACAGUAGCAAUUUUCCCUGAAGUGGAUGACCUAAGGUUUAUCAAUCCGUGGGAGGUGUAGGAUGAAGAUGGUCUCUCUCAAACGACCCUGCAACCAAAUACAAGAAAUCUCUUGUGUCCCCAACACACCCAAUACAAUGGCAAAUUGUAUAGGUGCACUAGUUCGGUGAAGAGAUGGUGAUAAAAGUGUAAUAUUGAUGGUAGAAAUAUAUUUUUAUAAUCUGAAUAAAUAAAAAUAGCAAGGUACCAAUUAGUAAACAGACACAGAAACGGUAUUGCAAUGCUUGAAAAUGAGGCCUAGGGUCCGUACUUUCACUAGUGCAACCUCUCAACAAUGCUAACAUAGUUGGAUCAUAUGAUUAUCCCUCAAAGUGCAACAAAGAAUCAGUCCCGAGUUCCUAUUAGCAGAGAACAAAAGAUAGAAAUUGUUUGUAGGGUACGAGACCACCUUUAAAGCUAUUCUUUCCGCUCGAUCUAUUCAAGAGUUCGUACUAAAAUAACGCAAAGCUAUUUUUUCCGUUCGAUCUAUCCUAGAGUUCGUACUAGAAUAACACCAAAGCAUAUUCAUAUUCAUAAUACUCAAUCCACACAAAGAACUACAAGGAGACCCCAAAGUUUUUAUUAAAGAAAAGAUAAUAAAAACAUGCAUCAACUCCUAUGCAUAGAUUACCCCAAUAUCACCGCGGGAAUCCGCGAGUUGAAUGCCAUAACAUAUAUCAAGUGAAUCAAUAUGAUACCCCAAUUGUCACCUCAAGUAUUCAUACUGCAAGACAUAUAUCAUGUGUUCUCAUCUCUUAAUAUUAAUUCCGACACGACAAAACUUCAAAGGGUAGAGACUCAAUUCAUCACAACAAGUGUAUAGAGGGGAGAAACAUGAUAUGAUCCGACUAUAUUAACAAAGCCCAAGAUAUAGAUCACGAGAGAGAGAGAGAGAGAGAGAUUAAACACAUAGCUACUGGUACAAACCCUCAACCUCGAGGGUGGACUACUCCCUUCUCAUCGUGGUGGCCGCCGGGAUGAUGUAGAUGGCCACCGGAGAUGAUUCCCCCCUCCGACAGAGUGCCAAAACGGGGUCUAGAUUGGUUUUCGUGGAUACAGAGACCUUGUAGCGGCGGAACUUCUAAUCUAGGGUAAUCCCGAUGGGUUUUGGAAUAUUUGGGAAUUUAUAGUGCAAAGAGGGGGUGCGGGAGGCCCCCGACGUGGGCACAACCCACCUGGGUGUAGCGACCAGACCUCAAACAGUAUAGUCUCUGUGCAUCACUGUCAUCCCUGGAUCGGUAAUGCUAACAUGCACAGUACUCAGGGAUUUAUAACAGAGUUGCAAUCACACACUUAUUACAUCAAAAUGUCUCAAAAGAGAACUUAUUACAAAUAAUAUGGCUUAAGGCCAUCUAAAUAAGCUAACAACGGAAGGCUUGGAAGAUAAAGUGAGUCCAUCAACUCCAACGGCAUAGCUGAGUGAACGACAACGACCUAUGGCACCUUACUCGUCGUCUGAAAAGUCUGCAACAUGGUAUGUUGCAGACCAAAACGGGUCAGCACAUGGAAUAUGCUGGCAAUGUAACACAUAGAGUAAUGAACAAAAUAAAUGCUAUCACUACAUGCAUAUAUGGUUGGUGGAAAGCUCUAUGGUUACAGUUUUGCAUAAAGCCAAUUUUCCCCUAUAACAAAGGAAUAAAUUUUAUUUAACUAUCAUGGUGGUUGUUAAACAUUGAGAAGGUUCCUUCAACUCAAUCCCAAUUAAGCAUCAUCAGUUACCCAACAAAAUUUACUUAGAGUGAUGAGAUCAACAUGAUAAUCCAAGAUCCAGAUACUCAAGAUGUCCAUAACCGGGGACACGGCUAACCAUGAUUAGUUUGUACACUCUACAGAGGUUUGCGCACUUUUCCCCACAAGACUCGAUCUCCUCCGUUGAAUUUCUCGCACUACAUGGUGUUUGAGAAACGGAUAGCCGAGUCACAGUCUUUUAGAAGCAUUAACUCUCUACUCCGGGUAGACAGUACCACCUACACCCCCUACAUAUGCUAGUCUACCUCUUCAAGAGCUCACGCAACAUACUUAACUAUGCCAGAGCCCAUAAUGGCUUGUGACUGCACACGGAAGUUUCUAGCAUGAAUAAUCUUAUGAUCCCUUUGAGCCUGGGUGGCGAACCAUAGGAUGAUCACACGGGUACUCCGGGAUAUCCUAGGACAGCAUUGGAUUCUCCAGGUGCCUCAACCAAUCCACCUAGAUGUGUAUUUAAGUAGCCACCUUAACUUAACCAUUAAUUAACAAUACUCACAUCUGUCACGGAUACACUCACCCAAUCCACGUCUACGAGCAUAGCAUAUCAAUCCUAAGCAUAACGCAGAAGUAACUCCCAAAGGUUCGUUAAUAAAAGAGCAAUAGGUUUUGCAUAUCUCUGGCGAGGUCCGGCGGGGCAGGGCAUGGGCGGCGGCGGCUCCGGGCGACGGCGGGCGGCGCGGGAGGCGGCGAGUGGUGCGACGGUGGNNNNNNNNNNNNNNNNNNNNNNNNNNNNNNNNNNNNNNNNNNNNNNNNNNNNNNNNNNNNNNNNNNNNNNNNNNNNNNNNNNNNNNNNNNNNNNNNNNNNNNNNNNNNNNNNNNNNNNNNNNNNNNNNNNNNNNNNNNNNNNNNNNNNNNNNNNNNNNNNNNNNNNNNNNNNNNNNNNNNNNNNNNNNNNNNNNNNNNNNNNNNNNNNNNNNNNNNNNNNNNNNNNNNNNNNNNNNNNNNNNNNNNNNNNNNNNNNNNNNNNNNNNNNNNNNNNNNNNNNNNNNNNNNNNNNNNNNNNNNNNNNNNNNNNNNNNNNNNNNNNNNNNNNNNNGUGGUGCGGCGGCGGCGUAGAACGGCUGCGGCGGCGCGGCAUGCGGCGCGGCGGAUGCAGCGGUGCGCGGUUACUGCUGCUGCUGCUUGCAGGGCAGGGCGGGGUGGCGAUGUGGGGCGGCGGCGGCUGUAUUUAGGGAGGGGAGGGGGCGGCUGCGGCUUGUAGUGGGGGCAACGACCGCGGGGAGGAGUCGGACUCCGGUGAGUCCGGCUCGGGCACGCCCGGCAAAGGCGGCGGCGCAGGUGGGCCGGCUGGGCCGCUGGCCCAGUUCGGUCCGCGAGACUUUUUUUAAAAUAAAUUCUGCCAAAGAGAAAAAAAAUCCUAGUAAAAUAUAAGAAAUUCCUAAAAAUGCCAAAAACAAUUUUAACCGUCUAAAUAGAAUAUUUAGAACAAAGUGAACAUUUUCUGGCCUAAAAAUGCAAUUUUGAAAACAUGCAUAUUUUUCUAAUUCAAAUAAAAUAGCAAUAAACAUCCAAUAAAAUAAAAUUUGAUUUUAAUAUUUUUUCUCCAAUAUUUCUUUUAUUUUGGAGAAGUCAUAUUAUCUCCUCUCUUUUAUUUUUGAUAUUGGAAAUAUUUUCGGAGAGAAAAAUAAUUAAAACCAAAAUGAUCCUCUUUUCAAUAUUUGAGAAAAUUCAAAUAUGAAAAUAAUGAAAUCCCCAACUCUCUCCGUGGGUCCUUGAGUUGCUUAGAAUUUCUAGGAUUAACCAAAAUGCAAUAAAAUAUGAUAUGCAUAUGAUGACCUAUGUAUAACAUCCCAAAUUGAAAAUUUGGGAUGUUACACUGGGCGCGCUAGGGGGGCCUGGCGCACCCUGGUGGGUUGUACCCCCUCGGGGCACCCCCAGGUGCAGUAGUGUCCCAUUGGGUUCCUUUUCAUCCAUAAAAAAUCUCUGUGGAGUUUAGUUGCGUUUGACUCCGUUUGGUAUUGAUUUACUGCGAUGUAAAAAACAAGCAAAAAAACAGCAACUGGCACUGGGCACUGGGUCAAUAGGUUAGUCCCAAAAACUGAUAUAAAGUUUCUAUGAAAUGAUUGUAAAAUACCUAAGAAUGAUGAAAUAAUAGUAUGAAUACUUCAUAAAUUAUUGAUACGUUGGAGACGUAUCAGCAUCCCGAAGCUUAAUUUCCUCUCGUCCUCGAGUAUGUAAAUGAUAAAAGACGUAAUUUAUGAAGUGUGAAUGCUUGCAAAGUGCAUAAGUUUGAUCAAUGAUAAUUUCAAUCACUUUUCCUAGCAUCAUAACACCAAUUGUUUCUUACAAAACUUCUCAUGUUAUAGUAGCACCCAAUUCACAUGUUAAGGUUCAAACAAUGAACUCUCUUGAAACUCAACAACCUAUGUUCUUAGUCACCAAGCAAUUGCAAUUCCACUUAUUCAACAGAGUUUAAGUAAGAGCUCCACAUACUCAACCAUCAUAUAGUCUUCUAUGAUAUCUAACAAUCACCGCAUACACAUGAGCAAAAUGUUUUGACCGGACACACAGAAAGAUAGGGGCUUAUUGUUUUACCUCCCAACGUAUUCACCUCAAGGGUGAUGUAAACAAUAAUAACUCAUGCUGCCCAUAUUCAACUGGACAUAUGUGCCUAGAUCUUUCCUCGCCACAUGAUCCUUGCCAAAAGAGAAAAAUAAAAAGGAAUAGAGAGAAAAACUUUGACUCUUGCAUGAAAGUAAAUACAUAAAAGUAAAAGAUAGGCCCUUCGCAGAGGGAAGUAGGGAUUUGUAAAGGUGCCAGAGCUCAAAGCGAAAAUUGAGAGAUAAAAACAUUUUGAGAGGUAUACCUUUCCCACCAACGAAAACGACUUAGAGCUCCCAACACUUUCGAUGCUAGACAUAUCAUAGGCGGUUCCCAAACAGAUAUGAAAGUUUAUUCCUUUUUCCACCAUACUUUCACGUUCCAUGGCUAGCCAUAUCCACGGGUGCCCUCCAUACCAACACACUACAAAAAAAGACACUUCUGUGAUGAUACGUGUUUGUCACAGUAGGUCACGUUUUCUGUCAUGCAUGUACAUCCAAGAUGAUUUUAUGACAGAAUGAAGAUAGUCAUACCUGUGCUGUCGUAGAAGUGUUCCAUGACAUUACCAAAAUUAUCAUCAUGGAAGUGUUCACUUCCAUGAUGUUAAAUGCCGCGUCAUGGAAGUGCUUUCGUCAAUGGUGAACGACACAUGGCAUCCACCGUAACGUGUCACCGUUAAGCUAUCGGGUCCGGUUUUCGAUCAGAUAACCCGCUAACAGCCAUGACCAAUGAUGAUUUUCCACGUGUAAAAUUCUCAUUGGAUGACGGAACCACGUGUUAGCUCCGCGUUGGCACAGGUGUCACUCAUCCAAUGGGCGAGAUGCACCUAUGAUAUGUUGACACGUGGACCAGCCCAAAAGUGGCCCAUAAAGAUUAAAUGGGCUGGCCCAACUAAAGGCCCAUGAGAUUUCGUCGAACAUAAUGGGCCGGCCCAACUUAAGGCCCAUGAGACUUUGCCAACCAUGAUGGGCCGGCCCAGCUAAAGGCCCACGAGAUUUCACCGACCAUAAUGGGUCGGCCCAGCUAAAGGCCCAUAAGAUUUUGAGGACACUAAUGGGCCGGCCCGUUAACAGGCUGCCAUGUUUUGGGCCAAAUGCCGGCCCAUAAUUGAUUUGGUCCAUUAACAGCCUGCCACGUUCCGGGCCGAAUAAAAUACAUAUGAGAUCCGGCCCGUUAAAAGCCUACCAUGUUCUGGGACAAAUUACAGCCCAGAUCAGAUCCGGCCCUUUAAGAGGCUUUGGGCUAAAUUAUGGCCCAUAUCAGAUUCGGCCCGUCAACUGGACGGUAUGCUUUUGGGACUACUUGCUAAAGGCCCAUUUAGUAAUUCGGCCUGAUAUUAGUUUCGGUAUGUUAAAGGCAUGUUUAACAUUUCGGCCCUAUAUUUAUUUCGGCACGUUAAAAGCCCGUCAUAUAGUUGGGCCUAACUACAGCCCGGUUUGCAUCCGGCCUGCUCACAAUCGAUAAUCUGAUUGGGCCAAACAAGGAACGAGACAAUUUUGGCCUGUUAACGGCCCGUGAUGUGAUUGGCACAAUCAUGGGCCGGGGUCUAUUUCGGCCUACUGCCGGCCCGUGAGCUAUUCGGCACGUUUCAGGCCCUACCUACUUUUCAGCUUCCUAAAAGCCCAUUGAGUUUUCUUGCGAAAAUAAGGCCGGCGGUUUACUCGGCCAAUUAGAGGCCCAAAUCUACUAGUGGGCCAAUUUCAAUUUAGGCCUGUUAACGGACCAAUUAUGUAGUGAUUUGCAUGAUGGCCUGAUUAUGUACCAUAAUUUUACGGUUUGGCCGGUUUACUGCGAAGACAGGAUAUAUAUACAGUAAAAUAUCUGCAGCAUCGUGAAUAAAAAAACAUAGACUAUACAAUAAAGAAAUUACAGCAUAUUAUAUCCACUGGGCAUCAAAGUUCAUCACUAUGAUAAUAAAGCACAAGCAGACAGCAGAUUACAUACACUGUGCAUUAAAGAUCGCCACCAGUGCGAAUAAACACGCCGACAAAAUAAUAUACAAAACCGACAGCACUUCAAUAGAGUUCCAGAAAGGUUAGCCCUGCUCAGGAGCUGCAGCGCAAGCAGCUGAGCAAGCUAAUGAAAUUGCGCUUGUUCGACAUUUAUAUCCUCCUCACUCUGAAAGAUAAACAAGCAGAUAGAUGACGGGUUUUGCACAUAUAAGUAUCAGCGCUGACAAUUCAUCACAUUUCUUACUAACGAAUAAAGUGACACGGUUUAAAAUAACAUUAACACAAUAUGGUAUUGUUCAGGUUAAGACAUGGCAGGAAAUGACAUUGUGAAGGAGUUGGCAGCUACACGACACCACUGGAUUACAGAUCAAGAACUCAUAAGUAUCAAUGGUUAGUGUGCUGUCAAUUUAUCCCAUUUCAGAUUGGCAAAUAAAGAGACGGUUUAAAUAAUAGUAGAAUGAUAUGACGUCGUUCAUAGUUAAGACAUUGCAGAAUAUGACAUUGUGCGGUAGUGGGCAGGUUCACCACACCACUCGAUUACGGAUCAAGAAUAGAAGCAUACAUGCAGUGCAAAAGAAGAUCACUUGCUCUGUAUAGUUUAAUUUACAUGGUAUGAAGAAGGAACUUGGUUCUACAACUGAAAACUUAAAUUGAGAAGGACAAACUUUUGUUUAUGAACUACAUAAUAAACUUUAAGCAUGCAAUUUGAUGCAAACACCAAAAAUAAAUAGUUGUUGCAGUCAUUCCUAACCAAAUAUACACAACAAAGUUUGAAGGCUUGAGAGGGACAACCUUACAUUAUUGGUGAAGACAGGCUCUAUAAGGCCCUUGUCCAUGCUGAUGGGGGGAGGGGGGCAAUUCAAGAAGUUUACCACAGAAUCUUCUUCAUAAGCAUUGCCUUUAUUCUACAUUUUGUUAUGAGUAAAUAUAGAUGUGAUAAUAUAAGAAAAAAUGGAGAAUGUUUAAGAUAAGAUGAAGAGUGAUGCUACAUAACCAAGUAGCUAUAAUUGUAAGUACAGCGAUACAGGCAAAAGGUACAGCCAAGAGCAAUGCAGAGCUAAACUUCUUAAGGACCAUCGGUGUUAUCCAACCUUAUGGUAAGAGUAAAUAUAGAUCUGAUGCGUAGAAAAUGGAGGGCAAAGGAAAAUAAGCUGCAGAGUGAUGGUACACGAACAACUACAUGUCAAUAUAAGUACACUGAUAAAGGACAGCAGGUACUUACAAGAACAAUGCAGAGCUAAAAAAAUUUAUUGGCAUUGGAUAUAUUCUACACUAUUAUAACCAUUCAUAAAGAUCAGAUAAUUUGGAGCGAACAAUUGAUAAGCAAGCAAUCAUGUAUACCGCUGUCACAUAAUGAACCAAUUAUGAAUUCAAGUACAGUGAUACAGGACCAUAGGUACUAACAAGAGCAAAGCAGCGGGCAUCAUAUUUGCAAUAUUCUGUUGUUCUUUUCAAACCGAAAUUCUUCUUCAAGUUGAUUUCCUGCAAAAAAGAUCCAUAAGGCACAUGUGAAAAAGUAGAAGUUCAAAUUGUCAUGUGAUAUCAUAGACGGUACCUCAUCCUGGGAACGAGACCAGUGCAUAACAAGGUUUUUCCAUUCAAUGUCUUCUAAAUUUAGCACAGGAGACUUCACCGGAAAUUCGUUUAUAGACUUGCCAUCAAAGUGUGAUUUCCUCAGGUAACACCGAUACUGCUGCAAUGCUUCCUUGAAAAGUGCAAGCAAGCUUUGCUCAUCAUGACUAUCCGAUUAACCCUCGCCUACUUACAACAAUGUAAUGUAAAUCAUUGAUGUGUUCAAUCAGCAGAAAACAAGAAAAUAAUCACCAUGAAUAAUAGCACUUACACAUAAGUGGGACAAGAAGAUGUGAAAAUGGUGUUUGUCUUCACUAUAAUCUUCCCAUGAUGGGAAUAUAUGCACGUAGUCCCUAAAACAUUGAAAGCAUUGUCUUUAAAACUGGGAAUAACUGGAAUGGGGUUCCAAUCUGCAGGAAUUGGCCGUCUCUGUAGUUGGGAUAGGUCUUCGGCCGGUGGACUUGUUGUACUUUUUGCUGGAGUGGGAUUUUUUUGUGGAACGGCUGGUGCUAUGGCAACUGAAAUCGGCAUACCUUUUGCUGAAGUGCAGGUCCUGUGUGGUGGGGCUAGUGGUGUGGCCAGUGAAGUAUGUGUACAGUCUGCUGGAGUCGGUCCUACGUUUUGUGUCACUGGUUGUACAACCAAUAUAAGUGGGGUGCUGUCUGAUUUCUCCGACACCACCAUGUUUUUCAAGGACUUUGCUAGUGCUCCUUCAGGUUCGGCAAUCACCCUCUUCAUUUUUGAUGUCUGAUGCACAAGAAUAGCAUUUGAGUGGAAAAACAUGGUAUGAUGACAGAUGGAAUAUGUAUUGAUAAUGGAUGGGCAUGGCAUCUUGACAUAUAUGAUGAGUAAACUAAGCAGAUGGCAGUGCAACAAAGUAGAAGAAAUGCAAGCCAACAUAUGCAAGAUAUGCGCAAUCAAUAAAACCAUGCCAAAUUAGAACAGGCACCUUGAUGGGUGAACAGGACAGGCCAUCUGCCUUUGACUCCUCGAGGUUAGAAUAGUCAUUAGGAUCAUAUUCUGAACAAGAAUCUACAGGUGGGGAGCGUAUGAGUCUCAUUGCAUCCGGAAUGGCACUCAAUGCCUUCAUGCCGAUUUUGUAAGUCGUUGCAGUGCUACACAAUAUUCUUCUGAUGCGCGGAUUCUGAUAUUGACUGUAAUUACAUAUAAUAUAUGAGAACCAUGAAAACAUAAAUAGUAGUGAGAUUAUCUUUGUAAUGCAGAGGAUAUUCUAAUAUACGGGCGCCCCUGUAAACCCUUGUGUGCUAUCACUGGAUUCUGAUGAGAGAGCUCAUGUGUGCUGCAAUAUGGUGCGUGCAUUAAUAUAAUCAGGCACAAGUACACAAAAAAAUAGGUUCCAGAAGUAAGGAUAGUUAGCAGAUGAUAGGUUCAUAAUAUACUAUAUAGAGAGUUCAUUGCCAAACCAUGAUAACAAGAGCACACAACAACUAGGCAGAUCGUAGUGUACAUAAAAGGGGUACACCAUAACCACGAUAUAUAAAUCGGGAAAGUGGAACUGGCUAGAAAAUACGGUGUUGAAUUGCCGCUACUAAUUGAAAGCCUAUCGAUCACGUACAGGCCAGCUCUAUCAGCUGUUGACUACAGAUGUCCCUGCGCCCCUUCCGGACAAGGAACAUACUGUACAUACUAAAUACAGAAUAACAAAAGAGGAACAUGUUAAAGAACAGAACAGGAAGCAUAUUCUUGAGGUUCCUCUUCAUAGCAUACAAUGUUGGUUGCCCACUCAUGAUGAAUCACAGCACCCAAAAAAAUGCAAUUCCAUGUUGUCUCUCUAUAUGUGGCCGCAUGCAUUUGGAAAAUCAAGUGGGAGCACUACCUGACCAAUAAAAUGUGUGUCUGUUAACUAAUAUCGGUAUCAUAUCACAAUUCGUAUUUCAAGAAGUAAGUUUUGGCCUUAUGAUUGGUGUGCUGUUUAGCUUCAAGAGUGGUCUGCUGCUAGUGCUGAUGCAUAGCAGCUACGCAGAUCAUAGUGUAGAUAUAACGGGAAAACCGUAAGCAUCAGGAGUAAAAUCAGCAAAGUAGAACUUGCUGGAAUAUAUGUGCUAGUAUUUCCGGUACGGCUAGAAAGGCUUUGGGUACCAGCUCUCUUCAACUGAAGGUGCGGUACUGUUAAUAUCAGUGUAACUCUCAAAGGCGACACAGCUCCCCGCAUUUCAUUGCUAAUCUUAUAGGAUUCAAGUGGGCAAGCCACUACAAAUCCUAUUCCUAUGUUUACAAAAUCCUACGAAUCAAAGAGGCCCGAAGAGUUCAAAGUGUCCAUCACAACCGAUCAUAUAGACCUCUACACUGCAAAUGUCCCUGCUCAUCUUCACUACAAGGACCAUACUAUACUACUAUCAUACUCCCUCCGUUCCAAAAUAUAAGUCUUUGUAGAGAUUUCCACUAUGGAUCACAUACAAAUGUAUACAGAUACAUUUUAGAGUGUAGAUUCACUCAUUUUGCUCCAUAUGUAGUCCAUGGUGGAAUCUAUACAAAGACUUGUAUUUAGGAACACAGAGAGUACUUAUUAAAGAAGAACGAAAGAGGAACAUGCUAAAGAAGAGCAAGCAGAUUUUGGAUAAUAAAAUGUUCGUUGCACAGUGCCCACACAUGAUGAACCAGAGAGCAUUAAGAAUGCAACUCCCUGCUGUCUCUCUAUAUGUGGUGCACAUGAUUUUGGAAAGUAAAGUAGGAACAUUAGCUGACCAGUUAAGCAUUAUCUGUUUUAGUAAUAUCAGCAGCAUAUCAUAUUUGUAUUUGAGCAACAAGUUUCGAAUUAUGCGUGGCACGUUGUUUAGCUUGAUGGAUUGAGGAGUAGUACUAAGCAGGUACGGUGAUGAUACUGAAUAUAAAGGCAUGUCUGCAUGCAAGUCGCGUGACUUUUGUCAUUUGGGUCAGUCGACCAUUUCAGGUGGUUGGAUGAAGAUCCUACGUCUCCUAACCCUUCUUCUUUCUCGUCUCUGAUUCUUCCCAUACAGAACACUGCACGGGCCGCCUGCCGAACCACCGGCCCCCACCGCUUGUGUUCCUUCGCCACCCCCACCCCCCACCCCCGCCCCCACCCGCGUCGAGUUUUCUUCAUUCGGUGAGGCCCCACCACCGCCCCCACAACCACCGUCCCCACCCGAGCCCCUUCCUUCACACCGGCGAACUCCAGCGAGUUCUCAAAAAUCGACUGACCCAAUUUUGAAAUUUAGUCUACUGUCAUUUAACUAGUGUGGAAUAUAAAAGGGGAAAACCAUAAGCAUUGCGAGUAUAGUGUUGAGCGUGCCAUGGCGGACCUGAAGGUGCAAACCGGACAAAGGCAACUUUGCAACCAAUGUUUGCUUUCAACUAGCAAGUAAGUGAUGGACAAGAAAUCAGAGUAAAGCAGUGAUGAUCUAUUUUCCUGCUACGAUAAAUAAGUUAGCAGAUAUGAAAGAGUACCACCUCUGGUGCGGCGCCGUGUAUGCAUCUGCUGAGAAUUUGAUGGUGCUGCGGUAGCGAUGGCUGUUGCGGAGCGCGGUGGACGAGACGGUCGUAGGAGCGGUGUCGGCAAGGUGGACGAUGGCAGGAAUGAAGCGAGAGUACGGGAUGUAAGGAUCUCGGUCCGAAGCCGUGGAUGAGAGAGGUCGAUCUCUUGUAAUGGCCGACGGCGUCGGGGUAUCAGAUCUGGCAUGGUGGAGGAGGAUGGCGGUGGAUGGGGUGGCGGACGGAGGAGGCUGGGGUGGAGAGGGUGUUUUGGCGCCCACGAAGUACGAAUGGGGAAAUGGAGGGAGAAAGGAAGGGGGAACCAUGUGUUCAGGGCGCGCUUCUCUCAAAUGUGAGGAAAUUUACAAACUUAGCCCCCGUUUAAAAUUUCCUACAUCACAGCAAUAUUAGUCGGUUGGGGAUAGGACGGUAAUCUCGCAUACACUGAAUAUUUGCCGACGAGAAUUUGUUUUUGGCGCCCACCGUGUAUGAAUCGGGGAGGCAGUCGAUUUCGGCCAAGGAGACACUGUGUUUUGGCGCCCACCAUGUAUGAAUCCUGGUGAGAGGUGGUUAUGUCACGUUUGAGUGAAAUUACAAACCUACCCGUAUCGAAACCUAUAGAAAUCGAGCCAAUAGGCUUUGUGUGUCAGGGAUAGGUAGUAAUUUCCAUCUCGUAGAUUUUGGUUUCGGACGGUUACUGCGACUUUCCCCGCUUCGUUCAAAUUUUUGCAGAGGAAGAGUGCACGUUUACCGUGCCAACUCAAUUCGAAUCCAGUUUGUAUUCUAUUCUUGUUCGGGCAGGAUCCAUUUGCGAUUGGAAUAAAAUUCUAUAUACAUCAUUUUUUUAUAUAUACUUUCAAAAGCACAGCAAAGAAUUCUGAUCCUUUAUAUGUAUAUAAUAUGAUUUUUUGUGGGGUAUAUAUAAUAUGAUUUACAAAUACAAUGAUCUCAAAAUCAUAAGGUUGAGUUCAAAAAAAUUAAACCAAAUUAUGUUAUACUAAAAUGUACUCCCUCUGUUCCUAAAUAUAAGUCUUUGUAGAGAUUCCACUAGGUGGAUUACAGACGGAACAAAAGGAAUGAAUCUACACUUAAAAUGCAUCUAUAUAAAUAUGUAUGUGGUUCAUAGAAUCUCUACAAACACUUAUAUUUAGGAACGGAGGAAGUAUGGAUCAGUAAUAUCUACAUAUUAAAUAACAUAGAUGCGCGUGAAUUCAUAUGAGUAUGCAUGUUUGAUAGAUCAAUUUUGGUUCGAGUAUGAAUUACAUGUAUCAUCAUCUCGAAUUCAAAUAUUUGAAUCCCUUUUAUUUUGACUCCUUUCAUGCCCAUCUCUCUUGGAUGCUCCUUCAUGUAGCUAACAUUCUAUUUUCUCCAGCUCACCCGCACGCUCACUUCAUGUUUCUCCUAUCUUCGCAAACAUGGUCUCUCGACGUCUCCCUUGAGAAGUGUCACACUCUCCGUAUCAAUAUACAUUACACGGUUUUCAUUAUCUCUCACGUCUCUACCAUUCUCUGGUAUCACUAGGUACCUAAGCUUUCUUUUUCACUGCCACACACACAGUCUCACUCGUCUUUCACUUUGUCUUUCUCUCUAUGGGGUUCUCUCACACACCCUAUAUGUCUCGAGACAUGACUCAUGCCACUAAAAUUACUCUCUCCUGCAGAAACAACAUUUGUUGCGAUCUCCUUUCCGUCUCCAUCCCAAUUAUAAAACUGACACUAUUCAUUUAUUUACCGAUCAGACAAACUCCCCCCCGCGCUCUCUCUCUCACACAUACAUAGCUCCUGGUUCCACUCCCCUUCCCAAUUAUUGUCUCUCUCUCUCACCCACAAAACAUUCGCUUUCGCACCCCCGACUCAUAUUUCUCUCACAUCAUUGAUUGACUAGCCUCCAGAUAGGUUUAUACACCCGCACACUCGUGCUUCCACUAUCGCGUACAUGUCUCUCUCGCGCUCCUUGUAUCUAUGUAGAUUUUUUGUCCCUUCUUGAUACACGCCCUCUCGAUCGUGAACACACACACUAUCGCCUCAUUUUAAGCUGAUACCUCUCGCACACACACUCUUUGUGUCUUGUCACACAUGCACUCCGUCCUCCUCCUCCCUCCCUCUCUCUCACACACACAACACACACACACACAUGGGCUUGUUGCAACAACUAGCAAGAUGCCCAUGCGUUGCACGGAACAUCAAGAUGCAUUUGUAUGAGUAGUUUAUCUUAUGGGAGAAAAGGAUGAACGAGGGAAGGUCUUAAUUGCAAAUCUGGAGAGGGGUGUGGGUAUCUUUUUGCAAAAUUGGCAUAGUUUCCUUCCUAUCCGUCAGAUAUAAAUCGGACGGCCUAUAUUGCAAGAUGGCAGGCACACCAUCAUCACCAACUCUGUUUUUAUCUCUACUCUUAUAAGAAGCAUAGUCGGUGAUGAUGGUGUGCCUACCAUCCUGCAAUAUAGGCCGUCCAAUCUAUAUCUAACGGACAGGAAGGAAACUAUGGCAAUUUACCCGCACUCCUCUCCACAUUUGCAGAUAAGGCCUUCCCUCAUUCAUCCUUUUCUCUCACAAGAUCUUGAUGUUCCAUGCAACGCAUGGGCAUCUUGCUAGUAAGAAUAGAAAUUAGAGAUGUACCACUUCUCAAAUCUUGAAACCAACAACAUUCCUCCCUUAUCUCAUCAAAACCGCCAAAGGAAUAUAUUUUGAGUGAAACAUAAGAUAUUUUUAGUGAUACACGUAUUUCAAAACUAGACUCUUUUUUCUAUCAAAUCGGUGAAUAUGUAUUAAUCUACUUUGAUCGUGUGGCAACGGAUUGGCACAUUGCUAGUAGUUAUUACUACUGUAUAAUUUUUUGGACACCAGACAAACGAGGGAGUACAUAUAUGAAGAGAAGAGGUGCACGCACGCAGUCGGUCUCUCGCUGUCUCGCACACAUGAGAGUUACGUAAAGGCACCGUUAACAAAUAAACCCUAAAACCCUAGGUGCACGAUUGCUACAUGCGCGGGUACCGGGUACAUGGUGGAGCGCACCUUUGUAGGAAUAGUCAGCUCGCAUGAUAAUUUGAUCAAUAGGAGUUGAUGGUCGGGACCACAGGUGAACGACCUGGAGGCGGUGGCUCGCCAGUUGCCACAGAUCGAGUAGCCAUGUUUAAAAUAUCAUUUUUUAGUGGGGUAAGAGUUCCGAUUUUCAAGGGCGCGUUAUAAGUACUUAAGUAGUUUUUAGAAUAAUUGGUAUGGAGAGAAAAUGGAAUUCAUAACUACUACUGCCUCCUUGGCGUAUGGUUGUAUGGGUUUAUGUUGCGAGAUGUUGAACCUGGUAGUUCUAGGGCAAAUACUAUGGUUUAGAUGUUGCUUUUCAGUAAUGAAAAUCGGAAGGGGGAAACCCUUCUUUGAUAAAAAAAACUACUACCUCCGUCCUGGUUUACUAGUCCCCAUCGUAUUUUUGGUCAAAGUUUGUCCACAAAUUUUACUUGUAAAAUGUGAAUGGAAAACAAGAUUUUGUUAUACCCAAAAAAAAGGACCGGAGGGAGUGAUUGCUCUGACACAGACGCGACCUCUGAUAGCGCAGGCAUUGAACCGGUGCGCCGUCCAAGAGAGCCCCACUUGCUGCAGGCCUGGCUGAACACGCCUCAUCGCCGCAUGCAACCGGCUUCAGACUGCCCCGCUUGCCUCCAUUGAAUCCGCGCGUGUGCUGGCAACACGUCCUUCCGUGAGCCGGCCGACAUUUUAGAACACAAAAAAUGGUCAAAAUAUAAUUAAUUACGCAUGGUCUUGACCUGUUGUGCUCGCACGGGUAGCAGGAACUAGAGGUUUUUCUAUAUUUAUAACUCUCCUUGCAUUUUUUUUGGCUUUGAAGUGAAUCAUGGUUGUGGACAUUAUCUAUGAACGUGCAGAUAUAUGUGAACCUGAGUUUGAUGUGGAAGUUGAACUUGGAAUGUUGGGCUUGCGCGUGAACUAUACCAUGUCCAAUGCUUCAUCUGUUAUUGUUUGGAAAGUAAUUGCUGUUAUUACAUGACCCUAAAAAAUUAUUUUGUGCCACAUCAGUAGAUGCACGGACAUCACAACAAGUAUGCUGACUGGAUAAACAUUUGAACCUAGCUAUUAUGAAGGAAAAUUUGUAUUGACAACAGUUUUAGAUAGCAGGAGACGCCUAGCCUGAUCUGCCUCUGCUAGCUUCUUUCUGGCUUCUUCCAUCUCUUCUUUGGCUUGGGUGAAGAGAGCAUCUGAUUGCUCUUUUCGCUUCUUCAGGAACUCAGCUACAUUCUCAAGGGCUGCUGCACACUUUCUUUCAGCCUUUACUAGAGCCAUGAGGACACGAACAAUUGACGACUCCACCUGGCUUGUGUGUAAUCCAGCAUCAUCUUGGAAUUUGCACCUUGUGUCUAAUCCAGCAUCAUUAGGGAACUGGCCCCUUAUGUGUAAUCCAACCUCAUUUUGGAAACAUGAUCUCGAGGUUGACCAUACUUCCCUCCUCGUAGGAACUGCAUCCUGACAUGAAGUUGCUUCUUUUUUAGAUCAAUACUCAAAGCAACCCAGAUCCAUUUAGUAGCAGCCAGAUAAACAGGACUCGGAGAAGUGAAUUCAAAAGGAAAAAUAUAAAAACAGACUACAAGGUGAGAACACCCACUUCCUACAUCAAGCUAAAAGUGAAAGCACUAGGAUGAUUAAGACUCUUCUUAUUACACAUGAAGAACACGAGGCUAAGAGAAACAGAAACUACAACAUAUACACAUCGAAGAACACGAGGCUAAACAAAAGUAAUUGAAAGGGUGUUACUUACCAAAGCUCGUUUUACAGGUUCGGUGCAGCUCCUCUUUAAUUUGCCACGCUCCUUAAAGAUGUCCCCAAUAUCCCGUUUUUGGUCUUCAUUGCUCCUCUGCAUGUUCACACUCGUGGUGUUAAAAUCUCAACAUGGCAAGAAAAAUAUACUAGUAAUACUCCCGCAUCUUGUGGGCAACAUUAAAGCACUCGUCUGCCAUGUUAGAGCAUCUCCAACAGAUGCGCAACGCGCGGUGCUUUAAAAAAAGCGUUUACAGUGUUGAGAUCGAGAAGUAGAGAUAGAGAGUAGAGAUAGAGAGUAGAGACUAGAGAGUAGAGACAUAGAUAGUUCUCAGCAUAGAUAUAGCAUAGAUAGAUAAAAAAAUAGAUAGUUCAACUACUCCUCGUCGUCCGACUCCUCCUCGGUGAUGUCCUCCUCCGACGUCUCAAUGUAGGCGUGAAGAUACUGAUCAUCGUCGGAUUCCCAGGGCGACGCUGCUCCUAGCCUCAUGUUGAAUUGAGCGUCCGCUUUUCGCGUACGCUUGUCCUCACGAUAGGCGGCUCGCUCCGCCCUCCUCUUCUCCCUCUCUGCCCUCCUUUGCGCGUAGAACUCACGCUCGUGGAUGAUGUCCUGCGGGAAGUGUUGGCGCCACAGCGCCAUGGCUUCCUCGUCCAUCUCGGCGAUGCGAAGACGAUGCUCCCGCCUCCGGUUGUCGCGACGAUCCUCGUCGAUGAUAAGCCGCGGAGAGGCACGAGCUCUUGCGCCCACUCUCGUAUUGGCACGUUGGGGAAGUUAAAUGUUCUAUGAGGCCACCGGAGGCGCCACGCCGCCGCGUCGUAUGCAUGGACGGCCUUGUUCGCGGUGUCGAAAUUACCGAGGCCUAGGCGCAUCCCGUGGAACCGGAUCUCGGUGGAGAAUCCGCCAGAGGGGCACACGGACGCCGCGGUAUCCCCAAGUUUCCUGGCGACGCAGUGGCAUGGUGGCGCGGCGGCGGCGAGGUAAGAAAGAGCGGGGAGAGAGCGGUGGCGAGGCGCAGAGCGGGGAGAGAGCGGUGGCAAUGCAUAGAGCAUUGGGAGGGUGUUGGAUUUUAUAAAGCGCACCGGACGCCGCGCGACAAAACUAGCGUGCGCCCGGCCGCUUCUUCCCCCGCGCGCGCGAUCCUUUCUCGACGUCCCUGCUAUCUCUACUCUCUUCUCUACUGUUAUAUUUAUUUUAUAUUUAAUAUUUAUCUCUACUCUAUUCUCUACUUUUAUAUUUAUUUUAUAUUUAAUAUUUAUCUCUAGUACUCUACUCUCUACUCUUUUUUUCUACUUUCUUUUCUUUUCUCUACUCUUAUAGAAAACCAAGAUGGUGAUGAUGGUGUGCCUGCAUCCUGCAAUAUAGAAUGUCUGGUCUAUAUCUGAUGCAUAGAAAGCAAACUAUGACAAUUUUGCAAAGAGAUACCCGCACCCCUCUCCACAUUUGCAGAUAAGGACUUCCCUCGUUCAUCUUCGUCUCCCACGAGAUAAACAACUCGUAUAAAUGCAUCAUGAUGUUCCAUGAAACUCAUGGGCCUCUUGCUAGUUUUUUUUAAAACAGACUUGGUGGUGAUGGUGUGCCUGCCAUCCUGCAAUAUAGGCCGUCUGAUUUAUGUCCAACAGAUAGGAAGGAAACUAUGGCAAUUUUGCAGAAAGAUACCCACACCCCUCUUCAGAUUUGCAAAUAAGGCCUUCCCUAAUUCAUCCUUUUCUCCUACAAGAUAAACUACUCAUACAAAUGCCUCUUGAUGUUCCAUGCAACGCAUGGGCAUCUUGCUAGUUCUAAAAAACUUUCCUUCAUUUGCCACACUACUAGUUGCAGAUGAAGAACCUACCCAAGCACAGCGAGAUACAGGAGCGACGCACAAUUACAAGCUGAUAUUUUGUUGGACAAUGGAGGCUAUAACCAAUUACUUUUACAAGAACAAUAGCAACCAGGAAAUUUGAAGGGUAGGUAUGAACAAAAUUGGAACUGCACAUGUACUGCUAAGUGAUUCAAUACACACAUUACCAAUCGAGGAGGAGAACGAUGGUCGCGGCGGCCGCUGUGCAUCAUGGUUAGCAAUGGGAGUUAGUUCAUUGUCCCUUGGCGUCGGCUUCCGGGAAGCAGAUCUGAGACCAUGGAAGACGGUGCCGAGGAAGAGCCUCUGUGUACGACAACGACGGUGGACCGGCUCCAGUGCGGCGUACGAGGUCGUCGAUGAGGCAGAUGCGCUGCGGUGGACGAGUGCGCCGAUGGAGAAGGGAGGAGCAUGAAGGCUGCGGUGCCGUGGAGAAGUCUAUUUUGUGUGGGGAUAGAAAAUGGGGAGUAUGCAGGUGUACUACUCUGGGUGCCGGGGUGGGGUUGGCUGGGUAGGGUGAACCUGAAGUUAUGAAAAUAGGCCCCUACCAAGCGUAAUCCGUAGACCUAUUCUGAAGGUUAUGAUGGUAACUUCGCACUGCUCGAAUCAGGGUCGCAGGAGAUUUUCCCCCCGACCUCAAAAUUUUGUGACACUGAACUCCCCGUGUGGCAUGUUGGGUGAUUGGGCUACGCAACUAGCGAGUAGUACUAGUAAUUACUAGUACUCCCUCCGAUUUUAUUAACUCUGCAUAUUAGGUUUGACCGAAGUCAAACUUCCUAAAGUUUGACCAAGUCUAUAGAAAAACAUAAACAUUUACCAUAACAAAUAUGUAUGAUGUGAAAGUACAUUCAAUAAUGAAUCUAAUGGUAUUUAUUUGUUAUUGUAUAUGUUAAUAUUUUGUUAAACUUUCUGAGAGUUUACAAAACUUGACUUUGACCAAUGCUAAUCCGCAGACUUAAAUAGAAACGGAGGGAGUACUCAUUUGUUUUCUUAGUUUGUAGUCAAUUAAUCAUUUGUUGUAAUUGUGAAAUAAAUAUAUUAGGCUGCUGACUUCAAAUGUAAUGGUCUAUACAAUUCAAUAGUUACAAUCAUUGUUGAAUUCCAAGAUGUAUACCAGGUCUAUAGUACUUCACAAUAUGCUCAAACUCACAUAAUCCCAAUCAAAUGAGAAUAUAAAUGCAUUUCAUUGUUAUUACUUUGUAGGAUGCAAAAACACAACCAUAACUCUACAUCAUCCAUUAUAAAAGCAACAUUUUGAACACAUCCCGUUGUGUGAAUGAAAAGUGUGUAGAGAGAGCUUGCGAAGAUGGAGCAGAUAGGGCGGUAAAGAUUGUGUGUAUGUGGACAAGACAGUACGAGAAAAACAUAACGAGAGAGAGAGAGAAAGAGAGAGGAAGAAGUUAGGUCUGUGAGAUAGAUGGAGACAUGUAAUAUACAUGAGAUGUGUGUGCAUCCGGAUUCUGUAGAUGUGGAAGAAGAAGAGACAACAUGUUUGAUGAGAGAACUGGAAAAACAUGGAUGAGAGGGGAAGGAUCUCGUGGGUUGAGGGAUUGAUAAUUUUGUGCGAGAGAGAGAGAGAGAGGGAUUGGUAAUUUUGUGCGGGAGAGAGGGGGGGAGUCUCUAGUGCAGUGUGGUCGCCGUCUUCGAUCUCCUCGAUGCCCUCUUUGAAGGUUGAGGUGUUGUGCAUGCUAGGGUGCAGAGAAGCACAAGCGAGAGUGGUUUCCAUAUAGCCUUGGAUGGGGAUGAAUUGUGUGCUCGGGGGAGGGGGAGUGUGUGUGCGGGGUGUGUGUGUGUGUGUGUUUGUGUGUCAGGUACUGAGAGAAAUCAAACCUAUGGAGAGAAAUGUGUGUGUAUGUGACGGAAAGCUACAUGCUAAAUAGAAUUUUCACGAAGAGAUUGUGCGUGCGAGAUAGAGAGCGAUGUGCGGGCCUUGAGGUGGGCAGGGGUCGGGUGAGGGUGUCAAAAUGUGUGCGUUGAUGCAUGUGUUACAUGCGAUCGUGCGAGGGAUGAACAAAUCGAGAGAGAUGGUUGUUGUGUUACGGAUGCUCCUCUCUCUCUCACACACACACAAGUACAAAUAGAAGACCGUUCUCUCAUGUAUACACAACAUAUCGGCAUCUGUCUAUGUCUCACUCAUGCAUGAUCAUUUGCACAUUCACACCUCUUUAUGUCUCUAUCACACGCACUGUUGGGGAAUGCAGUAUUUCAAAAAAAUUACGCACGAUCACGCAAGAUCUAUCUAUCUGAUGCAUAGCAACGAGCGGGAGAGUGUGUCCACGUACCCUCGUAGACCGAAAGAGGAAGCAUUAAGUAACGCGGUUGAUGUAGUCAAACGUCUUCGCGAUCCAACCGACCAAGUACCGAACGCACGGCACCUCCGCGAUUUGCACACGUUUAGUUCGGUGAAGUCCCUCGAACUCUUUAUCCAGCUGAGGCCCAGGGAGAGUUUCGUCAGCACGACGGCGUGAUGACGGUGAUGAUGAAGUUACCGAUGCAGGGCUUCACCUAAGCACUAAAACGAUAUGACCGAGCUGGAAAUAUGUGGAGGGGAGCACCGCACACGGAUAAACAAUCAACUUGUGUGUCUAUGGGGUGCCCCCUCCCCCAUAUAUAAAGGAGUGGAGGAGGGGGAGGGCCGGCCUCAUGGGGUGCGCCCAAGGGGGGGAUUCCUACUCCUAGUAGGAGUAGGUUUCCCCCUUCCCUAGUUGGAGUAGGAGAAGAAGGAAGAGGGAGAGGGAGAGAAGGAAAGGGGGACCGCCCCUCCCGCCCCCCCAAUUCUGAUUGGGCUUGGGGGCGCAUGCCUCCCACUCGGCCUCCUCCUCCUCUCUUCCACCAUGGCCCAUUAAGGCCCAAUAACUCCCUGGGGGGUUCCAGUAACCCCCCGGCACUCUAGAAAAUGCCCUAACUCAUCUGAAACCUUUCCGUUGUCCAAACAUAGCCCUCCAAUAUAUCAAUCUUCAUGUCUCGACCAUUUCGAGACUCCUCGUUAUGUCCGUGAUCACAUCCGGGACUCCGACCAACCUUCAGUACAUCAAAACACAUAAACUCAUAAUACCGAUCGGCAUCAAACGUUAAGCCUGCGGACCCUACGGGUUCGAGAACUAUGUAGACAUGACCGAGACUCAUCUCCGGUCAAUAACCAAUAGCGGGACCUGGAUGCUCAUAUUGGCUCCCACAUAUUCUAUGAAGAUCUUUAUCGGUCAAACCGCAUAACAACAUACGUUGUUCCCUUUGUCAUUGGUAUGUUACUUGCCCGAGAUUCGAUCGUUGAUAUCUCAAUACCUAGUUCAAUCUCGUUACCGGCAAGUCUCCGUACUCGUUCCGUAAUGCAUCAUCCCGCAACUAACUCAUUAUUCACAUUGCUUGCAAGGCUUAUAGUGAUGUGCAUUACCGAGAGGGCCCAGAGAUACCUCUCCGACAAUCGGAGUGACAAAUCCUAAUCUUGAUCUAUGCCAACUCAACAAACACCAUUGGAGACACCUGUAGAGCAUCUUUAUAAUCACCCAGUUAUGUUGUGACGUUUGAUAGCACACUAAGUGUUCCUCCGGUAUUCGGGAGUUGCAUAAUCUCAUAGUCAUAGGAACAUGUAUAAGUCAUGAAGAAAGCAAUAGCAACAAACUAAAUGAUCAUCGUGCUAAGCUAACGGAUGGGUCUUGUCAAUCACAUCAUUCUCUAAUGAUGUGAUCCCAUUAAUCAAAUGACAACUCAUGUCUAUGGUUAGGAAACUUAACCAUCUUUGAUUAACGAGCUAGUCAAGUAGAGGCAUACUAGUGACACUCUAUCUAUCUAUGUAUUCACACAUGUACUAAGUUUCCGGUUAAUACAAUUCCAGCAUGAAUAAUAAACAUUUAUCAUGAUAUAAGGAAAUAUAAUUACCAACUUUAUUAUUGCCUCUACGGCAUAUUUCCUUCAGUCUCCCACUUGCACUAGAGUAAAUAAUCUAUAUUACACAGUAAUGAUUCUAACACCCAUGGAGUCUUGGUGCUGAUAAUGAUUUGCUCGUGAGAGAGGCUUAGUCAACGGGUCUGCAACAUUCAAAUCCGUAUGUAUCUUGCAAAUCUCUAUGUCUCCCUGCUUGACUUGAUCGUGGAUGGAAUUGAAUCGUCUCUUGAUGUGCUUGGUUCUCUUGUGAAUGGAUUCCUUUGCCAAGGCAAUUGCACCAGUAUUGUCACAAAAGAUUUUCAUUGGACCCGAUACACUAGGUAUGACACCUAGAUCGGAUAUGAACUCCUUCAUCCAGACUUCUUCAUUUGCUACUUCCAAAGCAGCUAUGUACUCCGCUUCACACGUAGAUCCCGCCACGACGCUUUGCUUAGAACUGCACCAACUGACAGCUCCACCGUUUAAUACAAAUAUGUAUCCGGUUUGUGACUUAGAGUCAUCCGGAUCAGUCUCAAAUCUUGCAUCGAUGUAACCAUUUACAACGAGCUGUUUGUCACCUCCAUAAACGAGAAACAUAUCCUUAGUCCUUUUCAGGUAUUUCGGGAUGUUCUUGACUGUUGUCCAGGGAUCCACUCCUGGAUUACUUUGGUACCUCCCUGCUAAACUAAUAGCAAGGCACACAUCAGGUCUGGUACACAGCAUUGCACACAUGAUAGAACCUAUGGUUGAAGAAUAGGGAAUGACUUUCAUUUUCUCUCUAUCUUCUGCGGUGGUCGGGCAUUGAGUCUGACUCAACUUCACACCUUGUAAUACAGGCAAGAACUCUUUCUUUGCUUGAUCCAAUUGGAACUUCUUCAAAACUUUAUCAAAGUAUGUGCUUUGUGAAAGUCCAAUUAAGCGUCUUGAUCUAUUUUUAUAGAUCUUGAUGCCCAAUAUAUAAGCAGCUUCACCGAGGUAUUUCAUUGAAAAACUCUUGUUCACGCAUCCUUUUAUGCUAUCCAGAAAUUCUAUAUCAUUUCCAAUCAACAAUAUGUCAUCCACAUAUAAUAUUAGAAAUGCUACAGAGCUACCACUCACUUUCUUGUAAAUAUAGGCCUCUCCAAAAGUCUGCAUAAAACCAUAUGCUUUGAUCACACUAUCAAAACAUUUAUUCCAACUCCAAGAUGCUUGGACCAGUCCAUAAAUGGAUCGCUGGAGCUUGCACACUUUGUUAGCAUCCUUUGGAUCGAUAAAACCUUCUGGUUGCAUCAUAUACAACUCUUCUUCCAGAAAUCCAUUCAGGAAUGCAGUUUUUACAUCCAUUUGCCAAAUUUCAUAAUCAUAAAAUGCGGCAAUUGCUAACAUGAUUCGGACGGACUUAAGCAUCACUACGGGUGAGAAGGUCUCAUCGUAGUCAACUCCUUGAACUUAUCAAAAACCUUUCACAACAAGUCGAGCUUUGUAGACAGUAACAUUACCGUCAGCGUCAGUCUUCUUCUUGAAGAUCCAUUUAUUCUCUAUGGCUUGCCGAUCAUCGGGCAAGUCAACCAAAGUCCACACUGUGUUCUCAUACAUGGAUCCCAUCUCAGAUUUCAUGGCCUCAAGCCAUUUCACGGAAUCUGGGCUCAUCAUCGCUUCCUCAUAGUUCGUAGGUUCGUCAUGGUCAUGUAACAUGACAUCCAGAACAGGAUUACCGUACCACUCUGGUGCGGAUAUUACUCUGGUUGACCUACGAGGUUCGGUAGUAACUUGAUCUGAAGUUACAUGAUCAUCAUCAUUAGCUUCCUCACUAAUUGGUGUAGGAGUCACAGGAACUGAUUUCUGUGAUAAACUACUUUCCAAUAAGGGAGCAGGUACAGUUACCUCAUCAAGUUCUACUUUCCUCCCACUCACUUCUUUCGAGAGAAACUCCUUCUCUAGAAAGGAUCCAUUCCUAGCAACGAAUAUCUUGCCUUCGGAUCUGUGAUAGAAGGUGUACCCAACAGUCUCUUUUGGGUAUCCUAUGAAGACACAUUUCUCCGAUUUGGGUUCGAGCUUAUCAGGUUGAAGCUUUUUCACAUAAGCAUCGCAGCCCCAAACCACAGUUCAUAAGGUGUCGUCUCAACGGAUUUAGAUGGUUCCCUAUUUAACAUGAAUGCAGCCGUCUCUAAACCAUAACCCCAAAACGAUAGCGGUAAAUCAGUAAGAGACAUCAUAGAUUGCACCAUAUCUAAUAAAGUGCGGUUAUGACGUUCGGACACACCAUUACGCUGUGGUGUUCCGGGUGGCGUGAGUUGCGAAACUAUUCCACAUUGUUUCAAAUGAAGACCAAACUCGUAACUCAAAUAUUCUCCUCCAUGAUCAGAUUGCAGAAACUUUAUUUUCUUGUUACGAUGAUUUUCCACUUCACUCUGAAAUUCUUUGAACUUUUCAAAUGCUUCAGACUUAAUGUUUCAUCAAGUAGACAUACCCAAAUCUGCUUAAAUCAUCUAUGAAGGUCAGAAAAUAAUGAUACCCGCCGCGAUCCUCAAUAUUCAUCAGACCGCAUUCAUCAGUAUGUAUUAUUUCCAAUAAAUCUAUUGCUCGCUCCAUUGUUCCGGAGAACGGAGUUUUAGUCAUCUUGCCCAUGAGGCAUGGUUCACAAGUACCAAGUGAUUCAUAAUCAAGUGAUUCCAAAAUUCCAUAAGUAUGGUGUUUCUUCGUGCGCUUUAAACCAAUAUGACCCAAACAGCAGUGCCACAAAUAAGUUGCACUAUCAUUAUCAACUCUGCAUCUUUUGGCUUCAAUAUUAUGAAUAUGUGUAUCACUACUAUUGAGAUUCAACAAAAAUAGACCACUAUUCAAGGGUGCAUGACCAUAAAAGAUAUUAAUCACAUAAAUAGAACAACCAUUAUUCUUAGAUUUAAAUGAAUAACCAUCUCGCAUCAAACAAGAUCCAGAUAUAAUGUUCAUGCUUAACGCUGGCACCGAAUAACAAUUAUUCAGGCCUAAAACUAAUCACGAAGGUAGAUGUAGAGGUAGCGUGCCGACGGAAAUCACAUCGACUUUGGAACCAUUUCCCACGCGCAUCGUCACCUCAUCCUUAGCCAAUCUUCGCUUAAUCUGUAGUCCCUGUUUCGUGUUGCAAAUAUUAGCAACAGAACCAGUAUCAAAUACCCAGGUACUACUGCAAGCAUUAGUAAGGUACACAUCAAUAACAUGUAUAUCACAUAUACCUUUGUUCACUUUGCCAUUCUUCUUAUCCGCCAAAUACUUGGGGCAGUUCCGCUUCCAGUGACCAGUCCCUUUGCAGUAGAAGCACUCAGUCUCAGGCUUAGGUCUAGACUUGGGCUUCUUCACUUGAGCAGCAACUUGCUUGUAGUUCUUCUUGAAGUUCCCCUUAUUCCCUUUACCCUUUUUCUUGAAACUGGUGGUCUUGUUGACCAUCAACACUUGAUGCUCCUUCUUGAUUUCUACCUCCGCAGCCUUUUUGCAUCUCGAAGAGCUCGGGAAUUGUCUUAUCCAUCCCUUGCAUAUUAUAGUUCAUCACGAAGCUUUUGUAGCUUGGUGGCAGUGAUUGAAGAACUCUGUCAAUGACACUAUCAACCGGAAGAUUAACUCCCAGCUGAGUCAGGUGAUUAUGAUACCCAGACAUUUUGAGUAUAUGUUCACUGACAUAACUAUUCUCCUCCAUUUUACAGCUAUAGAACUUAUUGGAGACUUAAUAUCUCUCAAUCCGGGCAUUUGCUUGAAAUAUUAACUUCAACUCCUGGAACAUCUCAUAUGCUCCAUGAAGUUCAAAACAUCGUUGAAGUCCCGAUUCUAAGCUGUAAAGCAUGGCAAACUGAACUAUCGAGUAGUCAUCAGCUUUGCUCUGCCAGGCGUUCACAACGUUCGGCGUUGCUCCUGCAACGGGUCUUGCACCUAGACGGUGCUUCCAGGACGUAAUUCUUCUGUGCAGCAAUGAGGAUAAUCCUCAAGUUACGGACCCAGUCCGUGUAGUUGCUACCAUCAUCUUUCAACUUAGCUUUCUCUAGGAACGCAUUAAAAUUCAAAGGAACAGUAGCACUGGCCAUUGAUCUACAACAACAUAGACAUGAAAAAUACUAUCAAGUACUAAGUUCAUGAUAAAUUGAAGUUCAAUUAAUCAUAUUACUUAAGAACUCCCAUUUAGAUAGACAUCCCUCUAAUCAUCUAAGUGAUCACGUGACCCAAAUCAACUAAACUAUGUCCGAUCAUCACGUGAGAUGGAGUAGUUUCCAAUGGUGAACAUCACUAUGUUGAACAUAUCUACUAUAUGAUUCACGCUCGACCUUUCAGUCUCAUUGUUCCGAGGCCAUAUCUGCAUAUGCUAGGCUCGUCAAGUUUAACCAGAGUAUUCUGCGUGUGCAAAACUGGCUUGCGCCUGUUGUAUGUGAACGUAGAGCUUAUCACACCCGAUCAUCAUGUGGUGUCUCGGCACGACAAACUGUCGCAACGGUGCAUACUCUGGGAGAACACUUAUACCUUGAAAUUUAGUGAGAGAUCGUCUUAUAAUGCUAUCGCUGAACUAAGCAAAAUAAGAUGCAUAAAGGAUAAACAUCACAUGCAAUCAAUAUAAGUGAUAUGAUAUGGCCAUCAUCAUUUUGUGCCUUUGAUCUCCAUCUCCAAAGCACCGUCAUGAUCACCAUCGUCACCGGCUUGACACCUUGAUCUUCAUCGAACCAUCGUUGUCGUCUCGCCAACUAGUGCUAUCAUGACUAUCACUACCGCUUAGUGAUAAAGUAAAGCAAUUACAUGGCGAUUGCAUUUCAUACAAUAAAGCUACAACCAUAAGGCUCCUGUCAGUUGCCGAUAAAUGUUAGAAAACAUGAUCAUCUCAUACAACAAUUUAUAUAUCAUCACGUCUUGACCAUAUCACAUCACAACAUACCCUGCAAAACAAGUUAGAUGUCCUCUACUUGUUGUUGCCAAUUUUACGUGGCUGCUACGGGUUUAGCAAGAACCGUUCUUACCUACGCAUCAAAAACCACAACGAUUUUUCAUCAAGUUUGCUGUUUUAACCUUCAACAAGGACCGGGCAUAGUCACACUCGAUUCAACUAAAGUUAGAGAAACAGACACCCACUAGCCACCUGUGUGCGAAGCACGGCAGUAGAACCAGUCUCACGAACGCGGUCAUGUAAUGUCGGUCUAAGCCGCUUCAUCCAACAAUACCGCCGUAUCAAAGUAUGACAUGCUGGUAAGCAGUAUGACUAUUAUCGCCCACAACUCUUUGUGUUCUACUCGUGCAUAUCACAUCUACGCAUAGACCUGGCUCGGAUGCCACUGUUGGGGAACGCAGUAUUACAAAAAAUUUACCUACGAUCACGCAAGAUCUAUCUAUGUGAUGCAUAGCAACGAGCGGGAGAGUGUGUCCAUGUACCCUCGUAGACCGAAAGCGGAAGCGUUAAGUAACGGGGUUGAUGUAGUUGAAAGUCUUCGCGAUCCAACCGAUCAAGUACCGAACGCACGACACCUCCGUGAUCUGCACACAUUAAGCUCGGUGACGUCCCUCGAACUCUUGAUCCAGCUGAGGCCGAGGGAGAGUUUCAUCAGCACGACGGCGUGAUGACGGUGAUCAUGAAGUUACCGACGCAGGACUUCGCCAAAGAACUACAACGAUAUGACCGAGCUGGAAAUAUGUGGAGGGGGGCACCGCAUACGGAUAAACAAUCAACUUGUGUGUCUAUGGGGUGCCCCCUCCCCCGUAUAUAAAGGAGUGGACGAGGGAGAGGGCCGGCCUCAUGGGGUGCGCCCAUGGGGGGGAUUCCUACUCCUAGUAGGAGUAGGUUUCCCCCCUUCCCUAGUUGGAGUAGGAGAAGAAGGAAGAGGGAGAGGGAGAGAAGGAAAGGGGGACCGCCCCUCCCGCCCCCCAAUUCUGAUUGGGCUUCGGGGCCGCGUGCCUCCCACUUGGCCGCCUCCUCCUCUCUUCCACCAUGGCCCAUUAAGGCUGAUUAACUCCCCGUGGGGUUCUGGUAACCCCCCGGUACUCCGGAAAAUGCCCGAACUCAUCCGAAACCUGUCCGGUGCCCAAACAUAGCCUUCCAAUAUAUCAAUCUUCAUGUCUCGACCAUUUUGAGACUCCUCGUUAUGUCCGUGAUCACAUCCGGGACUCCGACAAACCUUCGGUACAUCAAAACACAUAAACUCAUAAUACCGAUCGUCAUCAAACGUUAAGCCUGCGGACCCUACGGGUUCGAGAACUAUGUAGACAUGACCGAGAAUAAUCUCCGGUCAAUAACCAAUAGCGGAACCUGGAUGCUCAUAUUGGCUCCCACAUAUUCUACGAAGAUCUUUAUCGGUCAAACCGCAUAACAACAUACGUUGUUCCCUUUGUCAUCGGUAUGUUACUUGCCCGAGAUUCGAUCGUCGGUAUCUCAAUACCUAGUUCAAUCUCGUUACCGGCAAGUCUCUUUACUCGUUCAGUAAUGCAUCAUCCUACAACUAACUCAUUAGUCACAUUGCUUGCAAGGCUUAUAUUGAUGUGCAUUACCGAGGGGGCCCAGAGAUACCUCUCCGACAAUCGGAGUGACAAAUCCUAAUCCUGAUCUAUGCCAACUCAAAAAACACCAUCGGAGACACCUGUAGAGCAUCUUUAUAAUCACCUAGUUACGUUGUGACGUUUGAUAUCACUCUAAGUGUUCCUCCGGUAUUCGGGAGUUGCAUAAUCUCAUAAUCAUAGGAACAUGUAUAAGUCAUGAAGAAAGCAAUAGCAACAAACUAAACGAUCAUCGUGCUAAGCUAAUGGAUGGGUAUUGUCAAUCACAUCAUUCUCUAAUAAUGUGAUCCCGUUAAUCAAAUGACACCUCAUGUCUAUGGUUAGGAAACCUAACCAUCUUUGAUUAACGAGCUAGUCAAGUAGAGGCAUACUAGGGACACUCUGCAUGUCUAUGUAUUCUUACAUGUACUAAGUUUUCGGUUAAUACAAUUCUAGCAUGAAUAAUAAACAUUUAUCAUUAUAUAAGGAAAUAUAAUUAACAACUUUAGUAUUGCCUCUAGGGCAUAUUUCCUUCACGCACACCGUCUCCACAUUGCCCUUCUGCCACAACACACAUAUGGCGUUCUCUCUCAGUCACACACACAAAAUAGUAUUAAGAAAAACUAGGGCGCACCUAAAACGUCCAAAUCCAAAAAAACACAAGCUGGAGCUAAAUUCAAAUAUAUGGAAAUAUUGUAGCGUCAAGAACUUCUCCAGGAAAAAAAGUUGUGUAAUAUUCGGGGAUUGUUUUCACACACACAAAAAUGUUCGUUGGGUGUCCUUCGAGCGCGACACGGUGACGCACCGUUCGAUCGAUCAUGUGGCCGCGGUUCACGCACUUGCACAGGAUUCCGUAUCGUGGCUGUGGUAACUAAUAUAAGCGCUGCCUCAGUCUAAUGUUUACAUGUACUAGUAUGGUUUUCUUUUAAGUUUGACCAACCCUAUAUAAAACUAAACUAAGCUCCCAUACGCGCACUCAUCAAUAUGCCGCCACCGCCAUUGCGCAUGCCGGCGCCCGCCUGCUCCGGCCAACCUUUUCUCGCCCAUCACCGUCGUGUCGCCGCCAUCCCUGUACCGUGAAGCCGAAGGCUCUCCUGCUCAACAUCGUCUGCAGUCCCUCCUCGCGAUGCCGCCGCGCUGCCAAGCACGCGAGCAGCUAGUGGAGCCAUGUCUAUGCACGCAGCGUACGAAGAGGAGGACGAGCGCCUGCUCCAGCAUCCCGACACGGAGGAACUAGCAUGUCAUUCUCGUCUCCGCCCAUGCAAAGGAGCGUGCAUGGUGGCUGUCAUGGCAGAAGCCGGUCGCGCCCGCACCGAGCCCGCAAACCGGGUGCAGACGCGGAAUCUACCUUCAAGACCUUCAAUGCCACGUGGAUCCUGCAAUCUGAAGGAGCAAUUUGGGUCAGUCGACUCUUGUGAGCCGUUGGAUUCAACAUGGAUGGCUAGAAGGGCUUCUUCAACCUCCAAAAUUGAUGCAUUGUUCAUCUUCUCAGCCCGCCACACGCCUAACCGCCUGCCGCCGCCGCCCCGCCCUCCCCUUAACCGCCUGCCACCGCCAUGCUCCCACCACCCCCGCCAUCCGUUUAACCCCGGGCACGAUCCAUUUUUUUUGGCGAACUGCAUUCCACACCCACCACUCAUAAGAUAUAUCAUGGGCACCCUGCCACCCUAAUAUAGAUACUGGGGUAGCUUCUCUGUCGUCCUCUUCCUUCGCUCUCUCGAACUUCUUUCACAAAUCGACUGACCCAAAUUAUACUACUAGUACGAACGUAUUAAGUACAGUAGGAACACGAAGAUACGAGAAGUAGUACCAACUGCAAGAAGAACAGUAGUAAGACAUAGUACUAGUACUACUGUACGUACAAAAGAGUUCAAAUAACGAGAAAGAACAUAAACAUAGUUUUGCUGGGGGCUCAGCACAACACACCCCUGAAAUAAAACUAAGCAACUAGUCCUUUGACACUGUAGUAGAACCAGCAUGAGCGACGGCACUGCCACCUUACUCGGAGUCCGAGUCUAGGUCCUCGACUUCGUCCUCGUCCCUCUUCCUCUUCCUCUUCGCUGCCGCUUCUUUGCUUGAAUCGGACACUGGGCUCUGCUUCUUCAUCCAUACCUUUUAGAUAUUUAAACAAAGGUAGGCAUCCAUUGCUGCGUACAGGAUGUGAUCUUCAUCUAUUGUCUUCGACUCCCAUGCAUGAUGAAACUCGUGGUGAGGUUUCUUCAGUUUAGCGUAUGAAAGAUCAAUCAUGGCUGCUGCCAGGGUCAGCAUUCAAGGCUGAGAAGAGGACACCAGGCUUUCCUUCUGGAGAUCAAAGGGUUGGCCUACAACGAGGCCUAUCCGACCCAGGACAUCCCUGUCGUUCCUAAAGUCUACAGUAAUGAAUUUCACUCUUUCGUCCUUGGGGAAGUUCUUAAAAUCCUGGCACUCAACGUCGGCAUGGCAUAUGUGGUAGACCAAGCACACAUUAUGUACGAAAACCUGGAUCACGGCGGGCUUCUUCUUCUCAGCCUCCUUUAGAAUCUUCUCACUUUCCAGGACUGUGGUGUACUCAACAUCUAGCCCAGCGACCCACUCAUCCUUUGAGUUUACGAACAUGCUUCUGAAGCGAGCAAGGCAUUCUUUCACCAUCGUGGAUCCAUGGGUGUAGAUGACAAUGAACUCAUCGCCGGUGAUGGCUCUAACCUGGUACUCAGCGGCGACCAUGGAGAUUUGGGAGGCCAUGGAUUUUCGAGGAGGGUUAGGAGAAGUUGAACUGGUGUAAUGUGAAAGGACGGGGCGACUGGGGGCGAACUAUUGUAAGGUAGAAGACGGGGACGAGUAGGGCGUGCGAAAGGCAUGGGGUUGUUGGCUUGCCCAGUGGAUAAACGGCUGCAAGCCCCCAAAGAGUUCUCGAGUACUAUGCGGGACCCACUAGAUGUCAUGUCUACUAGAGCCAUAUCGUAGGCCUGACGGUAUAGCUUCUGCCUGUUCACACGCCAUGCUAGCGCGUGGAUGUAACUUCACUUAAUUCCCUCAACCAUUGCGCCUCCCACGACCUUCGCCUCCCUCGCGCGGUUGCGCCCUUUGAGACUUCGACCGGUUACAAAUGAGCAAUUUUUUUGCCUACUCCGCAUGCAUGAUACUCCCUUUGGUCCUUUUUACUUCCGUCAACCGUUUGCAAAGUGUUUGACCAAAUUUAUACUAAAAAUAUCAAUAUCUACAAUAGUGAUUAUAAUGAGAAUAAAAACUACGUUUUAUAAUGAGUAUAAAAAUAUUGAUUUGACAUUGUGAAUGUUGAUGUACAUUUUUCUAUAAGUUUGGUCAAAGUAGAGGUACAUUGACUUCAGACAAAACUUAAAUGCACAAUGCAGACUAGUUCCUCCAUCCUGGUGCGUGCCAUGUCCUAUCUAGUCAUCACAACAAGGUUAGCUAUUAGAGUACAACUACCUCCCUUCUAGUUUAAAGGGCUCGAUUCAAAAAUUUCAUCUACUCUUACCAAGAUAGAGGCGGUGGAAUAGUUUUUGUAGUGGUUUCUAGAGUCUGGACUCCAUCUUCAGGAACCUUCGCCGCCGCCGGCAAGAAUGCAAGGAGAUGAAACAGAAAGGAAAUGAGGCUAGAAUGAGUAGUUCCAUAUUUUAUACAGUGGCAGAGGUGGGUAAAUAUCUGCUAUACAGUACCUCCGGUGGCAAGGCCAUGUCUCUAUGCACACACAUCUCAGUCGUUGGUUCCAAGUAGAUCGAACGGCUCACAUUGUCCAGAGGCAGACAUACCAUCACCACCAACUGAGAUUUUUAUAGGAGUGUUCAUGCAUGCAUGUGGUGUAAUUAAUCAUUGGUUUACACAAUUUUUUGAGAAAAACGAGAGUACUAAUUAAGUAUUUUUGCAAACUACGGAAUUAAUUCCACCAUUCAUCAUCUACCUUGGUUGAAGAGAAUUUCAAAUUAAGCCCUAUGAACCGGAAAGGAGGGAGUACCACAUUACCACCACUAUGGCCAGCAUUAAUCAUCACAUGCAAUCAUUUAGUGCACCUUGAAAUCUGAACGCCUGCUUGACUCUCCUUCUCCCUCCAGCAGUCCCACUACUCCACCCCGUGUGGAAUAAAUCUGCAUGCAUGACUCUCCUCCCUCGCGCUAAUCCAAUCCGUUGUGACCAGCAAUAUUUCCACCCCUUCCCUCACGCAUAAUUUACUCGAACAAAUAUGCCCACGUAGCUGCUUCAGUAACUUAACUGUAGGUGCAUUGGGUCAUUGACAUGUGGGCCCAAUAGGCAUCUGGCCCCCAUGUCAGUGAUGCAACUAGACCUGCAGUUAAGUCAGUGAAGCUCAGUCCAUAUAUUACGUAGGUGUGCCAUUGAUCGCUAUAAAUACUGCGCCUCCCACAGCAUUCGGAAGAACGCUCACGUUCAUCGCUAUCUCCCCCUCCCUCUCACGUCGACCACCAUGGCAUCCCCCUCCCAAGCCCUAGGCUCCCCUUGCUGCACCGUGCAGACGGUCACGCAUCGCCGUUCCAUUCCUCGCCGCCACUAGUCGAGGAGGAUGCAUCGCCAUUCCGUUCCUUGCAACCACUAGUCGAGGAGGAUGCGUCCUUGUUCCUCUCCUCACCGCGACGCUUCGAGGUGGACUCGUUGGCGUUCCCAAUCUCACCAGCAUGCGCGUUGGAGGACGCGUUGGCUCCCCGCUACGAGGAGAACGCCGUGCCGCCCGCCGAGCCCCCCCACCCUUGAGUAGAUUUGGAAAGAAAUGGAUGUCGCCUUGUGGGAGGCUCCGGCAGAGCGCGCCAAAAUAGAGGCGGAGAAGAAGGCCGAGGAAGAGAAGCGCGCCAUGGGCAAGAUGCCUGGCAGGCCUAUGUCGCGUCCGAGAGAGUCAGGCAAUUGGCUCUUUGGCAGAAGGCUCGUGCGAGGGCCGUGAGGGUGGAAGAGGACGCCUGUGCCAAAGCCUUGAGUGAAGUCGGGCCCAAGCGCCUCAUCUACGCUUGGUGGUACGUGGACCGUGUGCAUGCUUCCAGUGGGGAGGAGUACCUGUUGGUGCCGGAUCACCACACCGGUGAUAUCGCACUCGCCCGCCGGCAAGCUGCCAAUCAGCACCUCGCGAGUUGCGAGGCUGAGGAAGAGGUGUUGUGUCUACGCACUGGGAAACGACCGCGCACCAGGGCACUCGUGGCACGCUGCAAGCGCUCCUGCGAGCGCCGUGGCUUUUAUUAGGAAUAUAAUUUAGUUUCGUAAGGCGAUCUCAUUAUUUUUGGGAUGCAAAUGAUAAAUCCCGAACAUUCACGAAUUAUUAGCGUCCUUAAUUAAGUAUGUAAAAGGAAAGUUUGGAAACCUUGUGUAUCCGUACGCAUUUUGUAAGUACGUGCAUAUGUCACAUGCACUAACAUUUUAUCAGUUAAAUCUUUGGUCAAAAUUUAGCACAAAUUACAAUGGUGAUGAAUAAACCAGGACGGAGGUACUAGUAGUAGUUUAGAAGCCCAAAUAAAUGAGUGAGGCGCCUUAAUGUUACUCUCCACUGUGACUAGUCUUAUGGGAAAAGCUAGGUAAGAGACGGCUUAUUUUUAAGCCGCCAAAAGAACUGGCCCUUGGAGUGAUAGCUAGGGAUACUAGGAGUAGUAGCUAGGGAUCGAGUGUGCGAGAUGAACCGGACAAAGUAAAUGCAGAGAGAUGAAAUGCAAAAAAGAUAGAGGGAUGUGAUGGUUGCUUGUCCAUUUAUUUUACCAGGCCACUUAUUACUGGGAGUGGUUGGGUUUUGUGAUAUGACGGCUUUACUGCCGCGCCACGAGCGGGGUGAGACUCACGUGCAGCGUCGCCCUCUACACUAGUACUACAUCAGUCCUGGUUUAUUAGUCCCCCAUUGAAUUUGACUGAAUAUUUAACUGACAAAAUGUUAGUGCACGUUAACAAAAACUAUAUCGCUGGAUUCAUAUUUGAACAUAGUUUUCAAUGAUAUAAUUUUAGGUGACAUGCAUUAGCAUUUAUUGUACUACAUAUAAUGUUAGUUCAAUUUUUGGUCGUACUAAUCUAUAGUAAGGUGCCCGUGCGUUGCACGGAACAGUGAAAUGCAUUGAUCGGGGAGUUGUCUAUUUUGACAAAGGAUGUGGGGGGUCAUCUCAUGUGUAACGGGUAUUGAUAGGUUUCUUCGGAUAUUAUUUCAUCUCUAGCGCUCACAAACAUCCGGAUGAAAUAGAUAAAAAAGUAUCUUUUGCAAACAAAAGCGUUCAACUACUCAACCUGCAUCCAAAACUUGUGAAGAAAUAACACUUAUUGUGCUUUGCAAGAAAUGAUCUUUAAGAAUUAGUUUUUGAGUAUCAAUUGAUAUACAUGUUGGCUACAUAUGACAUGGCACUUUUUUAUAGUUAACAAUUGGCUAUAGUAUUAAGUAUUAACCAUGCCCUUAUACACCUAGACGGAGGGAUUAAAUCAGGAUGACAUGGAAAGGGGCAGAGGAGAUGUAAGAAAUGGUUCAUCAUAAGUCUUUCACCAGUACUGUAGUAAAAAAUUCAUACAUGGAAGAUUCUAGACUAAACAAUAAAUCGAUACAAUUUUAUUCAUGCGCGAUACUCCAAUAGAGCAAGAUCAUGCAUGGAAGUCUCCACAUGCUUAGACAGCGGAUUACAUUGAGCGAAGACUAAUGAUCAACAUUUAACUUGGUAAUACAUAUGUCCAGGUGAACCUCCUUGGAGUCCCCGUGCACCACGUUGGGGGCCAAAUCAUACCAUGCGUCUUCCAUGUCCACAUUGGCGGGAAGGUCCCAGCUCGGCACAGUCGUAGUCAGCUUGAUGUAGCUAGUGUCAUCGCCCACGUACCUCCGAGGGGUACUAACAGUGAGCACGCACCCGUAGAUCGGCCUCGUGUCAGUGUCAGCGUCAGCGACGUCGCCACUGAAGCACACUACAGAGACGGGGCGGCAGCCUGCGCGGGCCUCGCCGGUGCCCACGAUCAAGAGGAAGACGCUUCCAUCCUCCUCCAGGACUAGCAGGCGGUGGUGAUCCUCCAGCGGCUCCGACACGGUGAACGGGUAGCACGACUCAUACUUGAUGUUCUUCGCCGCGGGACAGUAAUGAUAGACGGACGACUGCGUGAGGUGAUGCACAAGGUCCGCCGGCGAGCCCCAAAACGGCAUCGGGCACUCAUAGCAGUAGACGAAGGGCUCCUUGGAGGCAUCGACCAGGCCGUCCAUCAAACGGGAGUGGCUGUAGGGGACAGUGCGCCAGUUGAAUAUAUGAGCAAGUUACUAUGAGAUUUAGUCUGAAUAAGCACAAAAUAAAUCAUGAUGACUAUAACAGAGAUUAAACUAAUCAUGUGGACUAGCAUAGUAGAUGGACAGAUCAAAUCUAGGACACAGAGUAGAAACAUGAAUUCUACCACAAUUUCAAACAGGAAGGACAGAAACACAUACGGUGCAACGGGAGCAGCACCGCUGGCGUUGAGGUUGUCGCCCAUGUCGUUGAGGAAGAGGUUGCCGAGGUUGGGGAAGAAAUCAUCGUCGGUGAAGUCGUCGUUGCCAGUAGUCGCGAGAGUGUGCUCCCCAAAUUUCAACAGCGCCUGCUGAAUGGAGCGUAGGAGGGAGUGGCUGUAGGGGAGGUUGCGGCGGCCGAAUGGAGUGCAGGAGUAGCACACGAAGCAGUAGAUGGUGCUCCUCCCUAUAGUCUCUAUCUCUACUCUUAUGUCUAUCGCUACUACUCUUCUUUCUUUUUUAUAAUAUACUAGUAGUUGUCAAAUCGAAUAGUACUGCGCCGCCCGCUGCACGCCUGGCUGAACACGCCUCCUCGCCUCCAUCAAACCCCUCGUUAAACCCGCAUGCAAACCGAGAAACCUACUUCGGCCCGCGGGAGGAAAUUUGUCGGUUGCCGUUGGAGAAUAAUAGAGUCACGUCCAAUCCAUUUCAGUUAAUUGCGUGUAUGCUUCUCCCUCUAUAAAAAGUUAAUUGCAUCCUUAAUCUUGUAUUCUAAGUACUCUGUGGGUUCCAGUGUCAGUAUAGUGUACAUGACUUGCAGGCUGGCUACAGAUUCGUAUAGAAAGUUAAAAAGAAACAAAUCCAUCAUUAAUCUUGUAUUCUAAGUACUCUGUGGGUUCCACUGCCAGUACAGUUGCGAAAGAAGUAUAUAUUAAAAAAUAAAAAGAUAAAGUUUAGGACAGAAUUCGAACUCAGGUCAUCGCGCUGCGAGCAUCCGACCCGGACCAGUACACCAGGUGUUCCUUGCGGACGAUGCAAGAGAUAAACCUUUAUAACAAUGAGCCCGUCCGUUGCAAUGGAUCCAUAGUAGAAUAAUGCAUAUUCACGAAUUUGAAACAAAACAGUUUAGUUUGAUAUACAUAUCACUAAAAAUAUCUUAUGUUUCACUCCAAAUAUAUUCUUUGGGUUGUUUUAUUGAGGUAAGGGAGGAAUGUGGUUGGUUUCAAGAUACUAAGGGGUUUUGUGUAAACCGGAGCACAGAAGUGGGAAUUGUUGCAAAAGGCCACAACUUACAUCACAGCCGUUAGAUGCAGAUCUAAUGGUUAGAAAUGGCGGAUGGCAAACACACCAUCAUCACCAAGUGAGACUUUUAUCUCUACUCUUAUAAAAAAACUGAGUUGGUGAUGAUGGUUUGCCUGCCAUCCUGCAAUAUAGACCGUCCGAUCUAUAUCAGACGGAUAGAAAGCAAACUAUGACAAUUUUGCAAAAAGAUACCCGCACCACUCUCCACAUUUGCAGAUAUGGACUUCCCUCAUUCAUCUUUGUCUCCCACGUGAUAAACAGCUCAUAUAAAUGCAUCUUGAUGUUCCAUUCAACGCAUGGGCCUCUUGCUAGUAGGAGUAUAUAAGUAUAAGUAAUAUAGGAGUAGGAGUAGAGAAAAAGCCGAGUUGGUGAUGAUGGCGUUCGAGCUAUAACUGACGGAUAGAAAGCAAACUAUGACAGUUUUGCAAAAGAUACCCGUACCUCUCUCCUCAUUUACAGAUAAGGCCUUGCCUCGUUCAUCCGUAUCUCCCACAACCUCAUUGCCGAGCAAUAAAAAAAGGAAGUCUCUGGAACAAUCUGGCAUGGUGGCCGCUGCCGGCGCUGUCCAUCCCCAUGCCUCCGCCCAGUCCGACCACCAGUCACGACCACGCCCCACUCCUCCUCACCUUAUUUAUCAUCUUUCUCGAGAUAACAUUUUUUCGAUGAAAUGGUUGAGAUACCAUGUUUCCGAUAAAAUUCUUGAGAUAUCAUUAGUUUUUACACAUGGGAUUACUCUUGCAUGGGUCUAUCACAAUAGGUGUUUUGUAAACAAAUGCAUCUUGAUGUUCCGUGCAAUGCAUGUGCGUCUUGCUAGUUUUUUUGCAUAUAAUUCCAAACAAAACGUAGACCGGUCUUUGACCAUUUUACAACUAUGUUAGUAUCAUUGUUAGUGGUCGUCCAUGGAUGUUUGGAGCUCUUCUAGCUCUUUGGUAGUUCGUCUUUUGCUUCCUGUUUUCUCGAAUAAUUUGAUGUAUCGCGAAUGACUUUCGGGCUUGGUUUCCCUUAAUGGAAAUCAUAAGGGGGGAAACCCUUCUUUGAUAUAAAAAAUCAUUGUUAGUGGUCAACCGGUGCAAGUUAUAGCCCCGGGUGUUUUAACCUUUUUUACUAACGAUAUCUGGCAAUUGUUCGCCACGAGCUCAAUCAUGGCGAAUCCUACGUAACCGUCAUAUUUCCAUCCGACAGUGGCCUGUUUUUAAACCAUAGUAUUUGACAAAACCGCCACCCUAACACACGUACUGUAACUGCGUCACGGGCGUUUGCAACAGCCAUGUCUGCUAGCGAACGUUUGCUGGGGAUUAGAGUUAGCACCAAUGGCGGUUCGUAGUCGUUCCAUGCUCGGGCAUUGAAGUUUGCAACUAUUUUAGAUUAGAAUAUACUAAUCCUCCGGUGCUAGUAGUAGAGCAGAGUCCUGCUCCACUACUACUCUAGUUAAGCAAGUUAGGGCAUAGUAGUAGGUACUGUAGGGAGUACCAGUACUGUGAUCACUCAAGCAAGUUGCCUGGCAUCAAUAUGACCCUGCGCUGCUGGUACGUGUCUCAUAAGUCAAGCAGCAUGCUGUAGUCAUCAGCACCUGUCCACUUCCCGCAGCACAUAUUCGCUUCUCCAUCCUUGUCCGCAGAUAAUCGUCCAAUCUUCCAUCCCCGCUAAGGUGCCUCCCCCCUCUUCUAAAACCCAAGCACUAACAAUGGCAGAAUCGAGCAGCAUCGCCGAAAGAGUGGCUGGAAUUCGCUCCCCACAGAGGUAAUCAAGCUCAUUGUUUCGCGUGUGGACAAUCUCAGUACCAUGCCGCUCGUCGCAUGCUCGUCGGGGCUGUACCGUUUACUCAAAGCCCUCAGGCCGGAGCUUUUUAAGCCAGCUCCUUGCUUGCUGAUGCUGUCCGAUCUUCAGAAACGGCGUGUCACGCAGCAUAACGAUCGUAGGGUGUCGAGCAUCAACCCUCUUGACUGCGAUCCGAUCCCCGUCACCCUCAACUACAUUAACGGUAUGUACUGGGUCGGCAUGAACACGUCUUGAAUGGUGCUCGUCGAUGGUGGCGGCAGCUGGAUGCUCGUGGAGGUCUACACCCGGCGAUUGAUCCCCUUCCUUCGAUUAACACUGCACUGCUUUGGCACCGCGGCCUAGAAUAUUCAGAAUCUUACAGUAGCCAACACGAUACCAAGUUUGAUUUUCUCAAGGUUGUAAUCUGCCAAGCGCCCACAAGAUCUGCGAAUUAUAAAGACUUCAGGCUAAUUGCGUUCUUUAACCGUGGUCUCGCCUAUCUGACAGGUCACUGCGGUAAGCGGAUAAAUCUGCACGUCCAUCGCAGGAUCAUACAUCCUCCAUGGUUCUCUGAUGCCAUUGAACACAAGGGCUUCAUUUACACUGUCGACUCCUUCUAUGGCUAGAUGUAUUGCUGGCCUACUACAGUCAUCGCUGGAAAUGGUUGUUACAACAGUAUGUUACUUUCCUAUGAUAUCAUGAUGGCCUGCUUAUAUUACUGUCAACAUUUACUGAAAAAAUAUUCAUGCUCAUAACAUGUAGUUCUUAAGAUUGACUACAUUAAGAGCCCUUUUUUAUUUGACUCCAACUUGAUAUGAUGUUGUAGGCCACCUGGUGUCCCUACCCUUCCUAAUCCCAGAACCUUUCAAAGAAAAGCGGCAUGGCAGUUGUAGGUGGUUCCUGGCUCGAUCAGACGACGGCGAACGAUUGAUGAUCGUUCGCACGUAUCGGACGUGUUGUUUCACGGAAUACAAUCUCAGUCACUGCAAGGUCUUUGAGCAGGAUCCCAGCUUCUUUGGGCCUUCAGGAAUUUUUAACUGGAGGCUGCUAAGUAGCCUUGGUACAUGCUCUCUGUUUCUCAGAUUGAAUUAUUCGAUUAACCAGGAGAUAGCCGACGGCAAGGAUCAUGAUGGCAUCCCGGUUUCGUUCAUCAGGCAAAACUGUGUGUACACAGCUUACCAUGCGUCUCUGCAUGCACCAUACCCUGAUAUGUGCCGCCACGCUCUGCAGCCCAAAGUAAGAUAGAGGGUCGCAAGUAUCAGACUUCGACCUGCUGGCUGGAGUUUCCCCCGUUAGGCACCCAUCUAGUUCAAGCCGUCAGCCAAUCUCCACAGCUUAAUAAAUAGUAACAUCUAACUGAGCCAGUUAGUUAGAUGCGUACACUUGGUGUAGUAGGAUCUUCAUUUAGUUUGAUGCAUACACUUGUUCUUUUUUGGUAGCCCUUUUGUAAUGACAGCUGAUGUUUGGUUUGGAUGAGAGAGCUGCGUCUUUACUCUUCUGGCCUGCUUACUGCUUCUGUUGCACCCCAAGCCCUGGUUACUGCUGCUGCUGUUUUCAAUGUAUAAUCAGUUGUAUAUUUCGUCUGUUGGUUGAAUAAAUGUGUUGUUAGAACGACAAACACAAUGUUUUGGAAAUCGUUGCACGGUCCGAUCCUUUAGUGCCCCGUACCGUACGUAGUGCAUACUAUUUUUCGUAGGAACACAUUUUCCACUUGUUGAUAACAUGCAGCCCACUGAUGAAGGCCCAAUAGAGGAGCCCAUAAUUAACUGGAAGGGAGGCUCUCACAUAAAUCCUGCCCAGGUACAUGCUCAUGGUCCCCUAAACAUAAAUAAGUAAAUAACUAAAUAAAUAAACCUAAUGCUCAUGCACCAGUUCUUUAUAUUCACGAUUUAACAGGAGGAUAUUAGUUCCUAUGAUAGUGUCGUUACAUUCAGUCAAUAUAAUUCUUAGGCAAAGAUAGCGAUCAGUCUUCUUUCUCCCACCAUUUUCUUCCUGCAACCAGCGGACCCAUGCAAAUCGUAGUCAACGUCGUAAAUAGUUCCGGUCCAUUUUUAUUUUUCAAUAAGAAUGUCCAACCCAGCCGAGCACAUUGGUGACAGCACUUUAUCCUCCAACUUGGUGCGCUCAUCGUGGCGCCACCGUCCGGCCCUGUCAACAUAGUGAAUCGGGAGAGGACUGUAGAUGUGAGUAUAAUAGUACGGACCCACCGGGUUCACUCCUGAACACAAGCAAAGCGCCUCUUUUACUACUCAGAUGCACCCCUCGUUUUUUACUCUAAUCCACCCUGCUGAUAUCUAGGACCCACAUCAUUUUCAACGUAUAGUCAAUUAACGACAGAAUUGCACAAAUUGUUUUUUGAGGAUUUGUUCGGAGGAGCAGACUAUAAACUGGGUUGUGCGGUCUCUGUGGCCCGUCUAACAACAUGACCAGCCCUAUAGUUUUUUCUUUGGGAAAAUAAGUAGGCCACUAUUUCUUUUUGAAGAAUACCAAAGCUAGACCUAUUUGUUUUCUCCGACUUACUGGGCUGCAAAUCUUUCAAGACGAGGAGGGAUGCAUUCCGGCCUGGCCAAAGAGUUUGGCCAGUUUCUGUUAAAAGUAAAUGGGAAAAUUUGUUUCUUUUUUGUUUUUUUCUUCACUGAUAUUUUAUAUUUCAUUGGAUUUUAACAUGACAUAGUACUAAUUUAUUUUUAAAUUUGUUUUAGUAUGGCUAAUAAUUUUUGGAUUAAAAAUAUUUUGUUCCCCAACAAAAAAUUGCUAAUUUCCAAAAUUUCGCACAUUUUUAGUUCAAUUUUUUAACCCUGGUACUGACCAGAAAAUGGGCAGCAAUUCUAAAAAUGGAAAAUCGGCUACAAUAAAUUCCAUAUGAAUUAUAAAAUGAGUAAAAUAAUAGCAAAUGGGUUGUACACGCCACAAAUUUCGAGGCCGACUUGUUUACGCAAGGCUUUGUCAGUCAACACACGAUUCUAGCAGCUGUGAUUGUUGGAUGUCCAUCCAACGGCCGACGUGCUUCUUCAAUCUUUGAUCUUCCUGCUCCAGCCGCCUAAACCACGCCGGCGGGAGUGCCUACUCCCUCCUCUUGUGGCCCGUUGUCAUGCCGCGCAGACUUCAUCGGCCAACCCUACUCCCUCUACUGGCCUGGCCGCACGCAAUUAACUGCCUCCUUAAUACGCGAAAAAAAUGAUUCCUCCAGCUAACAUCUGGGGCGCACCGGUUCGGAGGCUGACUUGUGGGCCUACUAACUUGACGCGUACGCAGGGCUUUGUCAACUUAGUCAACAAACGAUUCUAGCAGCAGUGACCGUUGGAUUUGAAUUGAACGGUCCUACUGUUUCUUCAAUGGCUGCUCUUCUUGCACCAGCCGCCCAGACCAGUGCCGGCGAGACUGCCUGCUCCUGCCUCCAGUGGUUGCCUGUGCUGCCGUUGAGGCCUCACCGCCCCCUACUACUCCCACCGUUGGCCAGUCCCUGUGCCGACAGCAGGCUCACACCGCAGUCGAACCAGUAAACCCUCGUACUCUCCGCGUGGGCAUCCACUGCCGCGUCUUCCCCGGCUCCGCGUCGUCCCCUUCCUAGGCCUUGCCGUCAUCCACCGCCCUGGUGCUCUCGGUGCGCCGUGGUCAACGAACGACAUCCAUUGGAUGUGGACUUUACGUGGAGAGGCUGACACCUGGGUCCACGGCCGCUCACAAGGAAAUGCCUCCUUAUUACGCGCAAAAUAAUGAUUCCUCCACCUGACAUCUGGGACCCACCGGGAGGGCCUCUGUAUUUCAUGAAAAAAACGUUCCCCCCGCUGACAGGUCAGACCCACCAGCUAUAUCUUCGCAUGCAAGGAAGUGCCUCCUUAUUACACAAAAAAAAUGAAUACUCCCCCUGCUAGCUGGGACCCAGCUUAGUCGGAGGCUGACAUGUGGGCCUACUACGUUGACAGGGACGGAGGGCUUUAUCAACUUAGUCCAUAUGAACGAUUCUAGCUCCAGUGACUGUACGAUGUCCAUCCAACGGCCGUACUGCUUCUUCAACCUCUGGUCUUCUUGCUCCAGCCGCCCAAAGCAACACCGGUCGUGCCGCCUGCUCCUGCCUCCCAUGACCGGCUAUGCUGUCGCGGAGGCCUCACCGCCCCUUACUACUCCCACCGCUGGCCAGGCCCUGUGAUGACGGCAGCCUCACACCGCAGCAGAACCAGUGAACCCUUGUACUCCUCUCCGCGUGGGCAUCCACUGCCGCAUCGUCCCCGGCUUCGCGUCGUCCCCUUCCUAGGCCUCGCCGUCGUCCACCGCCUUGGUGCUCUCAGCGCGGCAUGGUCAAUGUGGUCAACGACCGACUUCCAUCGGAAGAGUAUUGUACGUGGAGAGGCUAACAGCUGGGUCCAUGACCGCAGCAAGGAAGUGCCUCCUUAUUAUUCGGAAACUAAUGAUUCCUCCACCUGACAGCAGGGACCCACAGGACAGGCCACCGUAUUUUGUGAAAAAAAGUGUCCCCCCUGACUGCUAGGACACACCAGCUACAUCUUCGCAUGCAAGGAAGUGCCUGGCAGUCGGGACCCACCUGGUCGAAGCGUACGUAGCGUUUGUCAUUCUGGUCGCGAACGUGUACGUACAUACUAGUCGAUCGGUGUGUCUACAGGCUGCAGUGAUGAACCGUGGCCGUGUAAGGACAGGCACGUGUCGUAGUAGAGGUGCACACAUACCAUGUACAUGUACAUACAGCGGCCAGGGUGCAAGAAAGUAAAUACGGCCACAUACGUACAUACGGGCGGGGUCUCGAACGCCUACUCGCGCAUAUGUACGGCCAGGGCUCGUGUACAUGGCUGGGUCGGAAUGGAGAAACUACGUCAUCGUCGUGUUCAUGGGGAGGCAACGGAAUGCGUCAUGUUCAUCGGGAGGCAACAGAACGCGUGCUGUUCAUCGGGAGCCAACCGGCUUGGACGGAAUAGCCGAUGGAACGAGGCCUGGCGUACCACAGAACGGAGGAAACAAACCUCCUACGGUCAAAAUGGGGUCAUGUUGAUCUAGAGGGGUGUGGCGUACCGCAGAACAUAGGAAACGGAUCUGUGUUGGAGCGCUACGGUCGAAACAGGGGUCCUGUUCAUCAGGAGGGGUGUGGCAUACCGCAAAACGGGACUCCACGGGAUACUGUUCAUCUCCACCAUCGACUGGCUCCACGGGCUACUGUUCAUCCACAUCGACUGCCUCCACGGGCUCCUGUUCAUCCACCGUCGACCUCCUCCAGCCUCCACCUGCGACUGUUCAUCCACGGGCUCAUGUUAGUCUAGCGUCCACCGCUCCUCCACCAGAUACUAUUCAACCAUCCCUCUCCGCGGGAUCCUGUUCAACCACCCCUCCAUGAGCUAUUGUUCAUCCAGCCCUCCACCGGCUACUGUUCAACCAGCCCUCCAUUGGCUACUGUUCAACCAGCCCUCCACAGGGUCCUGUUCAUCCAGCCCUCCACGGGAUCCUGUUCAUCCACCGGCUCGAUCGACCGGGGUCCUGUUCAUCCAGCGGCAACGACCUCUACUACCACGGGGUCCUGUUCAUCCAACCCCCCACCGGGAACUGUUCAUCCAAACCCUCCCAACAAUGCUCACUGUUCAUCAAGGAAAGGAGGCAGCAGUGUUCGAUCGGCUUCAGUUAGCAGCACUAGCGAAGGAAUCACUCGGGUUCAGUUAACAGCAAGGGAUCGAUUGGUCGCUCUGGUUCAGUAACGCGUAGCCUGGAGUGCAAUCGCUCGGGUUCAGUUAGAGCGCAACACCUCGCACACACGCGCGUACGUAUGAGACAAACACGCAUCGCUCAGCCCCCGACCACCCACCGUAACCGGGAAGUCCCUCGAUAUUUUCCUCACCCUCGCUUCUACCAUUGUUUUCUCCGUCAUGGACGCAGCUGCAUCUCCGGCCCGCCCAAGACGAAAAGCCCAUUUUCUGUCAUGAUUUUUUUUCAUAGAAGUAGAAGCCCAUUUUCUGUCAAGAUGAUACCAGGUUUCGUCACAAUUAUCAUCAUAGAAGUGUCAUAAGCACGACAGGAAAAAAAUUCGUUCGGCCAAAAAUGUCACGGAUGGUUCUUUUUUUUGUAGUGACACUUUCCAAGGAAUUUAUUAUUUGACAACAUAAAGUAAAUUCAUUUUUCAUUUCGGGACUGGGCAUCCCUAAAACCUUUGCCUUACUCUCGUGCAAUGACAAGUGAAUAAACACUCAUCGUGAGAAUAACACAUCUAGCAUGGAAAAUAUUGGCCACCCCUCACCGCCUAGCGAGCGGUAUGAGCACACAAAAGAGAAAUUUAUUUUUGAAAAUUAGAGAUGGCACAUACAAAUUUGCUUAGAACGGCACGGAAAUACCGCAUAUAGGCAGGUAUGAUGGACUCUUGAAAAUAAGAUUUGGGUUUAAGGGUUUUUGGAUGCACAAGUAGUAUCUCUACUUGGUGCGGCAUUUUUGUCUAUCAAAUAUGGGGGGCAAGCACCACAUGUUAAAGGAUCUAUGUCAAUAUGACUUCUAUGUGAAUAUGAGCAAACAUAAAUCAUUAUGUUGUCUUCCUUGUCCAACGUCGCCAAUUUUGGCAUAUAAUAUUUUGAUGGGGGCUCACAAUCACAAAAGAUUUCCAUGAUAGUGUAUUUGCAUGUGAAAGUUCUCUUCCUUAUACUAAUUAUUCGUGAAUUGCUUGUAUGACCAAUAUUGUGAUUGUCAAGCCUCAAAAGAUUUCACUUUUUAAACCCAAUGUGAAGCUACCACUAGGCAUGAUAUGAUUUCAACUUCAUGACAUUCAAUUUAUUCAACAAUUUACUCAUAGGGUAUAAGUGAAGCACAAGAGUAAAUGACAAACUACUCCAAAAAGAUAUAAGUGAAUAUCAUGCGAGUAGUUAAGUAAAUAGAUAGCUAUGUGAGCACUCUCUCUUAUUUAAAAGUUUCAGAUCUAAAUAUUUUAUUAAAACAGCAAGAAAAAUGAAAAUAAAAUGAAAUUUCAAGGAUAGCACACAUCAUGUGAAGAAGCAAAAACUUAGGCUCAACCGAUACUAACCGAUAAUUGUUGAAGAAGAAAGGUGGGAUGCCCACUGGGGCAUCCCCAAGCUUAGAUUCUUGAGACUUAUUGGAAUAUUAACUUGGGAUGCCUUGGUAAUCCCCAAGCUUAAGCUCUUGUGUCUUCUUCAUUCCUCUCAUUUCACGGUUUUCCUAAAUCUCAAAAAUUUCAUCCACACAAACUCAACAAGAACUCGUGAGAUAAGUUAGUAUAAACCAAUGCAAAACCUUAUCAUUCUCCACUGUAGCAAAUCACAAAAAUUAUUAUUUAACAUUGCAUACUAAAUUCCUCUACAUAUUUAGUACUCCUAUCCUCAAAUAGAAUCAUUAAACAAGCAAACAUAUGCAAACAAUGCAAACCUAACAGCAAUCUGCCAAAACAGUACAGUAUGUAGAGAAUGCAAGAUUCAUCAUACUUACCUAACUCCAAAAAUUAUGAAAACUUUACCACACUGUAUAAAAUUUAUCAGAGCUUAUGACGCAAAAAAGUUUCAAAAUUUUAUCACACUCUGAUUUUUCUAGGGAAUUUUUGCAACAUCGAUAAACUUUCUGUUUUCAAACAGCAACAUGUAUACUUGCAAGAUAAGCAUGGCAAAGGCUAUCAAUGCCACUUUUAUUGAAAUAAAAGAUGCAAAAAAUUAUUCCAAAUAACAGCAAGAAAAUCCUAACAAAAUAAAUUGACGCUCCAAGCAAAACACAUGUCAUGUGACGAAUGAAAACAUAGUUCCAAGUGAGGUUACCGAUAAUGUUGGAGACGAAAGAGGGGAUGCCUUCCGGGGCAUCCCCAAGCUUAGUUUCUGGAAUCAUCCUUGAAUAUUACCUUGGGGUGCCUUGGGCAUCCCCAAUCUUAGGGUCUUGUCACUCCUUAUUCUCCUCAUAUCGAUAUCUCACCCAAAACUUGAAAACUUCAAUCACACAAAACUUAACGGAACUUCGGGAGAUAGGUUAGUAUGAUAAAGGGCAAACUAUUUCACUUUGGUACUGUCAAAGACAAGAUUCAUAAUUGUUUCCACACAAUUCCUACUGUAGCAUAUCAUUUCCACAAUUUAUAUUGAGCAAUAUAAGCUACAGAAACUAGAAAGCAAGCAAACUAUGCAUUGAAAACAGAAUCUGUCAAAAACAGAACUGUCUGUAAUGAUCUGGAUAACUACCAUACUUUUGCUACUCCAAAAAUUAUUAAAAAAUUAGUACCACGUGAGAAGUUUGUAUAUUAAACUUCUGAAAAAAGAAUAAACUCAAAAGCACUCUUCUGUGAAAAAUGAGACUUAUUUUCGUGAGCGCAAAAGUUUCUGUUUUUCAGCAGGGUCAAAUCAACUAUCACCCAACAUGAUCCCAAAGGCUUCACUUGGCACUUUAUUGAAACAAAGCACUAAAACAUGAUUACUACAGUAGCAUAAUCAUGUGAACACACAAAAACAGUAGGUAAAAGUGUUGGGUUGUCUCCCAACAAGCUCUUUUCUUUAACGCCUUUUAGCUAGGCAUGAUGAUUUCAAACAUGCUCGCAUGAAAGAUAAGAAUUGAAAUGUAAAGAGAGCAUCAUGAAUCACAUGGCAAGCACAUUUAAGUAUAACCCACUUCCUAUGCAUAGGGAUUUUGUGAGCAAACAACUUAUGGGAACAAGACUCAACUAGCAUAGGAACACAAAACAAGCAAAACUUCAAGAUUUUCAACACAUAGAGAGGAAACUUGAUAUUAUUGCAAUAUGUAAAAGCAUAUGUUCCUCUCUCAUAAUAAUUUUCAGUAGCAUCAUGAGCGAAUUCAACAAUAUAGCUAUUACAUAAAGCAUUCUAUUCAUGAUCCAUAAGCAUAGAAAAUUUAUUACUCUCCACAUAAGCAAUUUUAUUCUCCUCAAUAAUUAUGGGAGCAAACUCAACAAAAUAACUCUCAUGUGAUUGGAAAUUAAAAUCAUGAUGAAAUGUUCCAUGUUUAUAAUUAUUCAAUACAGCGCACAUGUCAUCACCAUAAUCAUCAGAUAUAGGAACUUUGUUGUCAUAAUCAAUUGCAACCUCCUCCAAAAUAGGGGAUUCAUCAUUAAAUAAAGUCAUGACCUCUCCAAAUCCACUUUCAUCAAUAUAAUCAUCAUAAAUAGGAGACAUGCAAUCAUCAUAAUAAAUUUUCUCAUUAAAACUUGGGGGACUAAAAAUAUCAUCUUCAUCAAACAUAUCAUCCCCAAGCUUAUGGCUUUGCAUAUCAUUAACAUCAUGGAUAUUCAAAGAGUUCAUACCAACAACAUUGCAAUCAUGUUCAUCAUUCAAAUAUUUUGUGCCAAACAUUUUAUUGACUUCUUCUUCUAACAAUUGAGCACAAUUUUCCGAUCCAUCAUUUUCAAGAAAGAUAUUAUAAAGAUGAUCAAUAAUAUGAUGCAACCUAAAUUUCAGUUUUUCUAAAGUUUUCUUUUAUAAAACAAACUAGUGAUAAAACAAGAAACUAAAAGAUUCAAUUGCAUGAUCUAAACAAGAAACUACGCAACUUUAUUCUUGUAGACUCGUGUUGGGCCUCCAAGCGCAGAGUUUUGUAGGACAGUAGAAAUUUUCCCUCAAGUGGAUGACCUAAGGUUUAUCAAUCCGUGGGACAUGUAGGAUGAAGAUGGUGUCUCUCAAACGACCCUGCAACCAAAUACAAGAAAUCUCUUGUGUCCCCAACACACCCAAUACAAUGGGAAAUUGUAUAGGUGCACUAGUUCGGCGAAGAGAUGGUGAUAAAAGUGUAAUAUUGAUGGUAGAAAUAUAUUUUUAUAAUCUGAAUAAAUAAAAACAGCAAGGUAGCAAUUAGUAAACGGGCACAAAAACGGUAUUGCAAUGCUUGAAAAUGAGGCCUAGGGUCCAUACUUUCACUAGUGCAACCUUUCAACAAUGCUAACAUAGUUGGAUCAUAUGAUUAUCCCUCAAGGUGCAACAAAGAAGCACUCCCGAGUUCCUAUUAGCGGAGAACAAAAGAUAGAAAUUGUUUGUAGGGUACGAGACCACCUCAAAGCUAUUCUUUCCGCUCGAUCUAUUCAAGAGUUCUUACUAAAAUAAUGCAAAGCUAUUUUUUCUGUUCGAUCUAUCCUAGAGUUCGUACUAGAAUAACACCACAACAUAUUCAUAUUCAUAAUACUCAAUCCACACAAAGAACUACAAGGAGAGCCCAAAGUUUCUAUCAGAGAAAAGAUAAUAAAAACGUGCAUCAACUCCUAUGCAUAGAUUACCCCAAUAUCAUGCGGGAAUCUGCGAGUUGAAUGCCAUAACAUAUAUCAAGUGAAUCAAUAUGAUACCCCAAUUUUAACCUCAAGUAUUCAUAUUGCAAGACAUAUAUCAUGUGUUCUCAUCUCUGAAUAUUCCAUCAGACGAGACAAAGCUUCAAAGGGUAAAGAAUCAAUUCAUCACAGCAAGAGUAUAGAGGGGAGAAACAUCAUAUGAUCCGACUAUAUUAACAAACCCAAGAUAUAGAUCACGAGAGAGAGAGACUGAACACAUAGCUACUGGUACAAAUCCUCAACCUCGAGGGUGGACUACUCCCUCUUCAUCGUGGUGGCAGCCGGGAUGAUGAAGAUGGCCAUCGGAGAUGAUUCCCCCCUCCGGCAGGGUGCCGUAACAGGGUCUAGAUUGGUUUUCAUGGAUGCAGAGACCUUGCAGCGGCGGAAAUUCUGAUAUAGGGUAACCUCGAUGGGUUUUGGAAUAUUUGGGAAUUUAUAGUGCGAAGAGGGGGUGCGGGAGGCCACCGAGGUGGGCACAACCCACCUGGGCGCGCUAGGGGGGCCUGGCGCGCCCUGGUGGGUUAUGCCCCCCUUGGGGCACCCCCCAGGUGCAGCUCUGGCCCAUUGGGUUCCUUUUCGUCCAUAAAAAAUCUCCGUGGAGUUUCAUUGCAUUUGGACUCCAUUUGGUAUUGAUUUCCAGCUAUGUAAAAAAAUCAGCAAAAAAAACAGCAACUCGCACUUGGCACUGGGUCAAUAGGUUAGUCCCAAAAAAUUAUAUAAAGUUGCUACAAAAUGAUUGUAAAACACCCAAGAAUGGUGAAAUAAUAGCAUGAAUACUUCAUAAAUUAUAGAUACGUUGGAGACGUAUCACUCGGCAAUAUCCUUCUUCAUCCCCGUCCACCAGAAACGUUCCUUCAAAUCCAAAUACAUCUUUGUGUUGCCUGGGUGAAUCGAGUAUGGCGAAUCAUGAGCCUUUGAAGAAUUAACUUCCUGAUCUCUGGAUCAUUGGGAACAUAAAUACAAUCCUAAAACCAUAUUGUUUUGUGUUCAUCCUCACGAAAACUUUGGCCUUUCCUUUACUCGUCUUCUCAUUUAUCCCCGUAAUCUCCUUAUCUGUCUUCUGGGCUUCACGAAUCUUUCCCAACAACAUGGACUGAACUUCCAACGCUGCAACAAAACCUCUAAGAACUAUCUCCAUUCUAAGUUCCCUGAGAUCGUCGGCUAACUCCUGGGGUAAUCCUCCGGUUAUGAGAGUAUUGACAUAACUCUUGCGGCUCAAAGCGUCUGCUACAACAUUGGUCUUGCCUGGAUGAUAAUGUAGUUUCAUGUCAUAAUCCUUUAUGAGCUCCAACCAUCUCCUCUGCCUGAGAUCAACUCCUUCUGCGUGAAAAUGUACUUCAAACUCUUAUGAUCCGUGUAAACAUCACAACGAUUUCCGAUAAGAAAAUGCUUCCAGGUCUUGAGCGCAUGCACUACGGCUGCUAACUCCAAAUCAUGCAUGGCAUAAUUUAACUCAUGAGGCCGAAGCUGUCGUGAGGCAUAUGAAACAACUCUUCCUUCUUGCAUAUGAAUGCCUCCAAGUCUCUGUCGUGAAGCGUCGCAAUAUACUUGGAAAUCCUUGCGUAUAUCCAGAAGAAUUAACACUGGGGCUGUAACUAAACAUUUCUUCAACUCCUGAAAACUGGCCUCACACUCCUCGGUCCAUUAGAACUUAGUGUCCUUCUUCAAUAAUUCCGUCAUGGGCUUUGCAAUCAUGGAAAAAUUCUCAAUGAAUCUCUGAUAAUAUCCUGCGAGUCCAAGGAAAAAUGCGUAUCUCUCCUACUGAGGUGGGUGCCAACCACUCGGUGACAGAUUGUACCUUUGAAGGGUCUACUGCUAUUCCUUCUCCAGAUAUAACAUGUCCGAGAAAUCCAACCAAAACUCCUUAAUCUGCUUCUUAAUUUCCUCCAUAUGAUUUGCGGGCAUCCGGUACGGUCUCUUAGAUAUUGGUCCGGUGCCUGGCAACAACUCGAUCAAAAACUCUCUGUCUUGAUCUGGUGGCAUGCCUGGUAAUUCCUCCGGGAAUACAUCCGGAUAAUCCUUCACAACUGGCACUUCCUCAUGAACAACUCCUAAGAGUGAAUUUACUUGGGUCCUCCUUGCCGCAUGCCUAGACACAUACUUGAUCCGUUUCCCCUCUGGGGUGGUGAGAUGAAUUGACUUACUAGCACAAUUGAUGUUUCCUCCAUACUUCGAUAGCCAAUCCAUGCCUAGUAUUAUAUCCAAUCCUUGUGAUUCCAAAACAAUGAGGUUGGAGGGGAAAACAUGUUUACCUAUGGUCAAUGGCAACUGGCAACACCAUCGUCUAGCCAUAUAUUCCGCUCCUGGUGAGCUCACUAACAUAGGUGACCUAAGGGCAAUGGUUUCCAACUCAAUUUAUCCACAAAUCCCCUUGAUAUGUAUGAAUGCGAUGCACCAGUGUCAAAAAGAAGAAGGGUUGUAAAUGACUUAAUCAAAAACAUACCAAUAACUACAACAGGCUGCUCUUCAACUUCCUCCAUGUUGAUGUGGUUCACCUGACCUCUGGUGAAGGGAUUUGGCUUCUUUCCUGAACUCCCAUUGCCAUUACCAUUCAUUGCUUCAGGACACUCGGUGGCGUAGUGUCCAGUCUUGCCGCACUUGAAACAAGUAAUGUGACUCAGAUCCUUCUUGGCGGGUGUCGCGGGGUUGGAACGAUUCUGACUGCUGGUUCCUCCAUUCCCAUUUCCAUUCUUAGGGCCACUGUGGUUAUGUCCACUUCCUCCAGAAUGAGAAUGCCCUCCAUGGUUAUGUCCUCCAUGGUUAUGAGUGUGUCCUCCUGAGUAUGAGGAAUAACGAGGCUUUUGCUGAGCUCCAGAGUUGUACUUCCCCUGUCCAUACUUCUGCUUGCGGCUCUCUAUCUAGUGCUGCUUGCCUUCAAUCAUGAGGGCACUGUCUACCAGCUCCUGGUAGUUGGUGAAAGUUUCCACCAUCCACUGCAUACUUAGCUCAUCAUUCAGUCCCUCAAGAAACUUCUCCUACUUCGUGCAUCGGUGGCCACAUCAUCUGGGGCGUAGCGUGCUAACUUGCUGAAUUCAUCCACGUACUGUGCCACAGUACGAUUCCCCUAGCAUAAGUUGCGGAACUCACGCUUCUUCAUACUCAUGGCUCCAGCUGAGACAUGUGCGGUGCGGAAAGCCUGCUGAAACUGAUCCCAAGUAACAUUGGCCAUGGGGAAAGUGGCAGUAGUUCUCCCACCAUGAGGUUGUGGGUCCAUCCAGUUGUUGUGCGGCAAAGUGCACCUUCUCAGCAUCAGUGCAACCUACAGUGGUCAGCUCCCUUCCAAUCUUGCGGAGCCAGUCAUCAGCGACAAUCGGCUCGGUGCUGCUAGAGAACUCCGGCGGAUUCAACCUUAGGAAACAGGCUAAAUUGUCAACUGGGGUGGUGUUGGAGGGUUGUAGUUGUUGUUGUUGCCUUAGUUCUGAAUGAGCAACUGCAUCAAGGCAUUCUGCUGUUGGAUCAACUGGGUGAGCUUAGGUGGGAAGGUGAAUCAGGUAUCACGUCUCAGAGGAAUCUGAUAGGUUAGAGGGAUGAGAACAGAAUAGAAUAGGCCUAAUGAGAGAUUUCACUACCCAUAUGCACAUGAGACAAACAUAUUCAUUCCACACCACUCAGUAUCAAACAAGAUUCAUACAAUCGAUCUAAGCUACUAUUACAGAUCUCGCAAACCAUUACUAUAUACAAGGAAGAACUCUAAUUGUAAUAUGGUGGUCAACUAGAAAUUUUGAUCGGUGGAAGACUCCAUAAUAUCCGCUCCAGCUUCGUCUUCAAAGUCAUCAAUGUCCUCAUCAUCGCUGUCGGGGUCUGUGUCCGUGUCGUCUAGUAUGAUGUAGUCUUCAGAACGCAUGUCCACUUCAGGUUUGGGAUCCCCCAUGAAUAUUCCUAGCUUCCUCUUCAGGUCUUCAUUCUGCUCCAGUAGCACAAUAAUUUCCUCUUCAUAUCCAUCGCGUGUUGCCUUGAGUUCCUCUUCUAGCUCCAUGUUCCGGGUCAUCACCUUCUUCAUAUCUAUCAUGUUAGCACACAUCUGGUUCUCAUAUCGAUGAAUGUGCUGGUUCAUCUCCUGUAUGUAGGCUGCAAUAGAUCCAUCCUUCCUGGUGUGAAUCAUCUCCCAUUGCUUAUCUCGGCGUCCACAUAUCUGGUAGAUGGUGUCUUUCAGAUCCUUGUUGUACACCACGCCUAUGCGUCCAAUGGUGAUGUGGGCGGCCAUGCUCUUUCCUAAACUCCAGGUUGGUGCAUCAAAGGAAAACUCGAUGGGCUCGGUAAUUGGUGCAAAAGUCCUUCUAGGAACACGAACUUGAAUCGUCCAGCGCUCCUCUUCUAGCAAGAUUGCAGUGAAUGUCCCGGUGAAUCUUGGUAUGUCGAUGUUCAGGUACCUAGUGACCUCCUUCAAGUGUCGUCCGAAAGGGGUGUAGUCAUCCGGCUAAGUGAACUUGUUGCUGGGUUCAACAUCUAUAGAGUAGAAAUCGGGAAGAGUUAGAAAUGAGUAGAGAAGAGUAUCAUGUUGCUUUUCCUAGUGGUCGCGUCCUAUAGUUAGCAUGUGCUCUGAUACCAUCUUGUAGCGACCCGAUCCCAAUGGAUCGGAGUCUCUGUGCUUAAGUGUCAUCCCUGGAUCAGUAUUGCUGACACACACAGUACUCGAGGAAUUAUAACAGAGUUCAAUCACACACUUAUUACAUCUAGUGUCUCAUAAGCAGAAGUUAUUACAAUAAUAUGGUUGAAGGCCAUCUAAAUUAAGAUAACUGUGGAAGCGUCGAAGAUAAAUGAGUCCAUCCAACUCCACGGAAAACUAAGUGUACAACAAUGACCUAGCGCACCUUACUCUUUGUCUGAAAAUUCUGCAACAUGAUACGUUGCAGCCGUGUAGGUCAGUGAAGGAAAUAUGCCCUAGAGGCAAUAAUAAAGUAUUAUUUAUUUCCUUAUGUCAUGAUAAAUGUUUAUUAUUCAUGCUAGAAUUGUAUUAACCGGAAACAUAAGACAUGUGUGAAUACAUAGACAAACAGAGUGUCACUAGUAUGCCUCUACUUGACUAGCUCGAUAAUCAAAGAUGGUUUUGUUUCCUAGCCAUAGACAUGAGUUGUCAUUUGAUUAACGGGAUCACCUCAUUAGGAGAAUGACGUGAUUGACUUGAACCAUUCCGUUAGCUUAGCACUCGAUCGUUUAGUAUGUUGCUAUUGCUUUGUUCAUGACUUAUACAUGUUCCUAUGACUAUGAGAUUAUGCAACUCCCGUUUACCGGAGGAACACUUUGUGUGCUACCAAACGUCACAACGUAACUGGGUGAUUAUAAAGGUGCUCUACAGGUGUCUCCAAAGGUACUUGUUGGGUUGGCGUAUUUCGAGAUUAGGAUUUGUCACUCCGAUUGUCGGAGAGGUAUCUCUGGGCCCACUCGGUAAUGCACAUCACUAUAAGCCUUGCAAGCAUUGUGAUUAAUGAGAUAGUUGCGGGAUGAUGUAUUACAGAACGAGUAAAGAGACUUGCCGGUAACGAGAUUGAACUAGGUAUCGAGAUACCGACGAUCGAAUCUCGGGCAAGUAACAUACUGAUGACAAAGGGAACAACGUAUGUUGUUAUGCGGUCUGACCGAUAAAGAUCUUCAUAGAAUAUGUAGGAACCAAUAUGAGCAUCCAGGUUCCGCUACUGGUUAUUGACCGGAGAGGUGUCUCGGUCAUGUCUACAUAGUUCUCGAACCCGUAGGGUCCGCACGCUUAACGUUACGAUGACAGUUAUAUUAUGAGUUUAUAUGUUUUGAUGUACCGAAGGUUGUUCGGAGUCCCGGAUGUGAUCACGGACAUGACGAGGAAUUUCAAAAUGGUCGAGACAUAAAGAUUGAUAUAUUGGACGACUAUAUUCGGACACCAGAAGUGUUCCGGAGAAGUUUCGGAUAAAACCGAAGUGCCGGAGGGGUUACCGGAACCCCCCGGGGAAGUAUUGGGCCUUAGUGGGCCUGAGGGGAGAGAGAGGGCAGCAGCCAGGAGGUGGCGCGCCCCCUCCCAUGAGGAGUCCGAAUUGGACUAGGGGAGGGGGGCGCGGCCCCUCUUUCCCUCUCCCUCUCCCUCUCUUUCCUUCCCCCUCUCUCUUCCUAGUUGGACUAGGAAAGGGGAGUCCUACUCCUACUAGGAGGAGGACUCCCCCCCUCUCCUUGGCGCGCCCCAAGGGCAGCCGGCCUCCCCCUUGCUCCUUUAUAUACGGGUGCAGGGGGCACCUCUAGACACACAAUUGAUAUACGAUAUUUUAGCCGUGUGCGGUGCCCCCGUCCACCAUAUUACACCUCGAUAAUAUCGUUGCGGAGCUUAGGCGAAGCCCUGCGUCGGUAGAACAUCAUCAUCGUCACCAUGCCGUCAUGCUGACGAAACUCUCCCUCAACACUCGGCUGGAUCGGAGUUCGACGGACGUCAUCGAGCUGAACGUGUGCUGAACUUGGAGGUGCCGUGUGUUCGGUACUUGAUCGGUCGGAUCGUGAAGACGUACGACUAGAUCAACCGCGUUGUGAUAACGCUUCCGCUUUCGGUCUACGAGGGUACGUGGACAACACUCUUCCCUCUCGUUGCUAUGCAUCACCAUGAUCUUGCGUGUGCGUAGGAAAUUUUUUGAAAUUACUACGUUCCCCAACAGUGGCAUCCGAGCCUGGUUUUAUGCGUUGAUGCUAUGCACGAGUAGAACACAAGUGAGUUGUGGGCGAUAUAAGUCAUACUGCUUACCAGCAUGUCAUACUUUGGUUCGGCGGUAUUGUGAGAUGAAGCGGCCCGGACCGACAUUACGCGUACGCUUACGCGAGACUGGUUUCACCGUUGCGAACACCCGUUGCUUAAAGGUGACUGGCGGGUGUCUGUCUCUCUCACUUUAGUUGAACCGAGUGUGGCUACGCCCGGUCCUUGCGAAGGUUAAAACAGCACCAACUUGACAAACUAUCGUUGUGGUUUUGUUGCGUAGGUAAGAACGGUUCUUGCUAAGCCCGUAGCAGCCACGUAAAACUUGCAACAACAAAGUAGAGGACGUCUAACUUGUUUUUGCAGGGCAUGUUGUGAUGUGAUAUGGUCAAGACAUGAUGCUAUAUUUUAUUGUAUGAAAUGAUCAUGUUUUGUAACCGAGUUAUCGGCAACUGGCAGGAGCCAUAUGGUUGUCGCUUUAUUGUAUGCAAUGCAAUCGCCAUGUAAUUGUUUUACUUUAUCACUAAGCGGUAGCGAUAGUCGUAAAAGCAAUAAGUUGGCGAGACGACAACGAUACUACGAUGGAGAUCAAGGUGUCGAGCCGGUGACGAUGGUGAUCAUGACGGUGCUUCGGAGAUGGAGAUCACAAGCACAAGAUGAUGAUGGCCAUAUCAUAUCACUUAUAUUGAUUGCAUGUGAUGUUAAUCUUUUAUGCAUCUUAUCUUGCUUUGAUUGACGGUAGCAUUAUAAGAUGAUCUCUCACUAAAAUUUCAAGAUAAAAGUGUUCUCCCUGAGUAUGCACCGUUGCGAAUGUUCUUCGUGCUAAGACACCACGUGAUGAUCGUGUGUGAUAGGCUCUACGUUCAAAUACAACGGGUGCAAAACAGUUGCACACGCGGAAUACUUAGGUUAAACUUGACGAGCCUAGCAUAUGCAGAUAUGGCCUCGGAACACGGAGACCGAAAGGUCGAGCGUGAAUCAUAUAGUAGAUAUGAUCAACAUAGUGAUGUUCACCAUUGAAAGUACUCCAUCUCACGUGAUGAUCGGACAUGGUUUAGUUGAUAUGGAUCACGUGAUCACUUAGAGGAUUAGAGGGAUGUCUAUCUAAGUGGGAUUUCUUAAGUAAUAUGAUUAAUUGAACUUAAAUUUAUCAUGAACUUAGUCCUGAUAGUAUUUUGCAAAUUAUGUUGUAGAUCAAUAGCUCGCGUUGUUGCUUCCCUGUGUUUAUUUUUGAUAUGUUCCUAGAGAAAAAUUAUGUUGAAAGAUGUUAGUAGCAAAGAUGCGGAUUGGAUCCGUGAUCUGAGGAUUAUCCUCAUUGCUGCACAGAAAAAUUAUGUCCUUGAUGCACCGCUAGGUGACAGACCUAUUACAGGAGCAGAUGCAGACGUUAUGAACGUUUGGCUAGCUCAAUAUGAUGACUACUUGAUAGUUUAGUGCGCCAUGCUUAACGGCUUAGAAUCGGGACUUCAAAGACGUUUUGAACGUCAUGGACCAUAUGAGAUGUUCCAGGAGUUGAAGUUAAUAUUUCAAGCAAAUACCCGAGUUGAGAGAUAUGAAGUCUCCAACAAGUUCUAUAGCUAAAAGAUGGAGGAGAAUAGCUCAAGCAGUGAGCAUGUGCUCAGAUUGUCUGGGUACUACAAUCGCUUGAAUCAAGUGGGAGUUAAUCUUCCAGAUAAAAUAGUGAUUGACAGAAUUCUCUAGUCACCAUCACCAAGUUAGUAGAACUUCGUGAUGAACUAUAGUAUGUAAGGAAUGACGAAAGUAAUUCCCGAGCUCUUCGCGAUGCUGAAAUCAACAAAGGUAGAAAUCAAGAAAGAGCAUCAAGUGUUGAUGGUUAACAAGACCACUAGUUUCAAUAAAAGGGCAAAGGGAUAGAAGGGGAACUUCAAAAAGAACGGCAAGCAAGUUGCUACUCAAGUGAAGAAGCCCAAGUCUGUACCUAAGCCUGAGACUAAGUGCUUCUACUGCAAAGGGACUGGUCACUGGAAGCGGAACUGCCCCAAGUAUUUGGUGGAUAAGAAGGAUGGCAAAGUGAACAAAGGUAUAUUGGCAACCCCUCAGUAUUUGAUACUGGUUCAGUUGCUAAAGAGUAGUAACUCGAAACGGGAGUUGCAGAAUAAACAGAGACUAGUAAAAAGGCGAGGUGACGAUGUGUGUUGGAAGUAGUUCCAAGAUUGAUAUGAUCAUCAUCGCACACUCCCUGUACUUUCGGGAUUAGUGUUGAAACUAAAUAAGUGUUAUUUGGUGUUUGCGUUGAGCAUGAAUAUGAUUUGAUCAUGUUUAUUGCAAUACGGUUAUUCAUUUAAGUUAGAGAACAAUUGUUGUUCUGUUUACAUGAAUAAAAACCUUCUAUUGUCAUACACACCAACGAAAAUGGUUUGUUGGAUCUCGAUCGUAGUGAUACACAUAUUCAUAAUAUUGAAGCCAAAAGAUGCAAAGUUAAUAAUGAUAGUGCAACUUAUUUGUGGCACUGCCGUUUAGGUCAUAUUGGUGUAAAGCGCAUGAAGAAACUCCAUGCUAAUGGGCUUUUGGAAUCACUUGAUUAUGAAUCACUUGAUACUUGCGAACCAUGCCUUGUGGGCAAGAUGACUAAGACGCCGUUCUCCGGAACUAUGGAGAGAGCAACAGAUUUGUUGGAAAUCAUACAUACAGAUGUAUGUGGUCCGAUGAAUAUUGAGGCUCGUAGCAGGUAUCAUUAUUUUCUGACCUUCACAGAUGAUUUGAGCAGAUAUGGGUAUAUCUACUUAAUGAAACAGAAGUCUGAAACAUUUGAAAAGUUCAUAUAAUUUUCAGAGUGAAGCGGAAAAUCAUCGUAACAAGAAAAUAAAGUUUCUACGAUCUGAUUGUGGAGAAGAGUAUUUAAGUUACGAGUUUGGCCUUCAGUUAAAACAAUGUGAAAUAGUUUCACUACUCACGCCACUUGGAACACCACGGUGUUAUGGUGUGUCCGAACAUCAUAACCGUACUUUAUUAGAUAUGGUGCGAUAUAUGAUGUCUCUUACCGAUCUACCACUAUCGUUUUGGGGUUAUGCAUUAGAGACAACUGCAUUCACGUUAAAUAGGGUACCAUCUAAAUCCGUUGAGACGACAUCUUAUGAACUGUGGUUUGGCAAGAAACCAAAGUUGUCGUUUCUUAAAGUUUGGGGUUGCGAUGCUUAUGUGAAAAGGUUUCAUCCUGAUAAGCUCAAACCCAAAUCGGAGAAAUGUGUCUUCAUAGGAUACCCAAAGGAGACAGUUGGGUACACCUUCUAUCACAGAUCCGAAGGCAAGACAUUCGUUGCUAAGAAUGGAUCCUUUCUAGAGAAGGAGUUUCUCUCGAAAGAAGUGAGUGGGAGGAAAGUAGAACUUGAUGAGGUAACUUUACCUGCUCCCUUAUUGGAAAGUAGUUCAUCACAGAAAUCUGUUCCUGUCACUCCUACACCAAUUAGUGAGGAAGUUAAUGAUGAUGAUCAUGUAACUUUAGAUCAAGUUACUACCAAACCUCGUAGGUAAACCAGAGUGAGAUCCACACCAGAGUGGUACGGUAAUCCUGUUUUGGAGGUCAUGUUAUUUGACCAUGACGAACCUACGAACUAUGAGGAAGCGAUGAUGAGCCCAGAUUCCGCGAAAUGGCUUGAGGCCAUGAAAUCUGAGAUAAGAUCCAUAUAUGAGAACAAAGUUUGGACUUUGAUUGACUUGCCCAAUGAUCGGCGAGCCAUUGAGAUUAAAUGGAUCUUCAAGAGGAAGACAGACAGUGAUAGUAGUGUUACUGUCUAGAAUGUCGCAAAAAGGUUUUCGACAAGUUCAAGGUGUUGACUACGAUGAGAGUUUCUCACUCGUAUCUAUGCUUAAGUCUGUCUGAAUCAUGUUAGCAAUUGCCGCAUUUUAUGAAAUAUGGCAAAUGGAUAAACAAAACUGCAUUCCUUAAUGGAUUUAUUAAAGAAGAGUUGUAUAUGAUGCAACCAGGAGAUUUUGUCAAUCCUAAAAGUGCUAACAAAAUAUGCAAGCUCCAGCGAUCCAUCUAUGGACUGGUGCAAGCAUCUCGGAGUUGGAAUAUGAUAAGUUGAUCAAAGGAUAUAGUUUUAUACAGACUUGCGGUGAAGCCUGUAUUUACAAGAAAGUGAGUGGGAGCACUACAACAUUUCUGAUAAGUAUAUGUGAAUGACAUAUUGUUGAUCGGAAAUAAUGUAGAAUUAUUCUGCAAAGCAUAAAGGAGUGUUUGAAAGGAGUUUUUCAAAGAAAGACCUCGGUGAAGCUGCUUACAUAUUGAGCAUCAAGAUCUAUAAAGAUAGAUCAAGACGCUUGAUAUGUUUUUUCAAUGAGUACAUCCUUAAGAAGAUUUUGAAGUAGUUCAAAAUAGAAUAGUCAAAGAAAGAGUUCUUGCCUGUGUUACAAGGUGUGAAAUUGAGUAAGACUCAAAGCCCGACCACGGCAGAAGAUAGAAAGAGAAUGAAAGUCAUUCCUAUGCCUUGGCCAUAGGUUCUAUAAAGUAUGCCAUGCUGUGUACCAGAUCUAUUGUAUACCCUACAAUGAUUUUGGCAAGGGAAUACAAUAGUGAUCUAGGAGUAGAUCACUGAACAGCGGUCAAAAUUAUCCUUAGUGGAAUAAGGAUAUGUUUCUCGAUUAUGGAAGUGACAAAAGGUUCGUCGUAAAGGGUUACGUCGAUGCAAGUUUUGACACUAAUCUAGAUGACUCUAAGUCUCGGUCUAGAUACAUAUUGAAAGUGGGAGCAAUUAGCUAGAGUAGCUCCAUGCAGAGCAUUGUAGACAUAGAAAUUUGCAAAAUACUUACGGAUCUGAAUGUGACAGACCCGUUGACUAAAAUUAUCUCACAAGCAAAACAUAAUCACACCUUAGUACUCUUUGGGUGUUAAUAACAUAGCGAUGUGAACUAGAUUAUUGACUCUAGUAAACCCUUUGGGUGUUGGUCACAUGACGAUGUGAACUAUGGGUGUUAAUCACAUGGUGAUGUGAACUAUUGGUGUUAAAUCACAUGGCGAUGUGAACUAGAUUAUUGACUCUAGUGCAAGUGGGAGACUGAAGGAAAUAUGCCCUAGAGGCAAUAAUAAAGUAUUAUUUAUUUCCUUAUGUCAUGAUAAAUGUUUAUUAUUCAUGCUAGAAUUGUAUUAACCGGAAACAUAAUACAUGUGUGAAUACAUAGACAAACAGAGUGUCACUAGUAUGCCUCUACUUGACUAGCUCGAUAAUCAAAGAUGGUUAUGUUUCCUAGCCAUAGACAUGAGUUGUCAUUUGAUUAACGGGAUCACCUCAUUAGGAGAAUGACGUGAUUGACUUGACCCAUUCCGUUAGCUUAGCACUCGAUCGUUUAGUAUGUUGCUAUUGCUUUCUUCAUGACUUAUACAUGUUCCUAUGACUAUGAGAUUAUGCAACUCCCGUUUACCGGAGGAACACUUUGUGUGCUACCAAACGUCACAACGUAACUGGGUGAUUAUAAAGGUGCUCUACAGGUGUCUCCAAAGGUACUUGUUGGGUUGGCGUAUUUCGAGAUUAGGAUUUGUCACUCCGAUUGUCGGAGAGGUAUCUCUGGGCCCACUCGGUAAUGCACAUCACUAUAAGCCUUGCAAACAUUGUGACUAAUGAGUUAGUUGCGGGAUGAUGUAUUACGAAACGAGUAAAGAGACUUGCCGGUAACGAGAUUGAACUAGGUAUCGAGAUACCGACGAUCGAAUCUCGGGCAAGUAACAUACCGAUGACAAAGUGAACAACGUAUGUUGUUAUGCGGUCUGACCGAUAAAGAUCUUCGUAGAAUAUGUAGGAACCAAUAUGAGCAUCCAGGUUCCGCUUUUGGUUAUUGACCGGAGAGGUGUCUCGGUCAUGUCUACAUAGUUCUCGAACCCGUAGGGUCCGCACGCUUAACGUUACGAUGACAGUUAUAUUAUGAGUUUAUAUGUUUUGAUGUACCGAAGGUUGUUCGGAGUCCCGGAUGUGAUCACGGACAUGACGAGGAAUCUUGAAAUGGUCGAGACAUAAAGAUUGAUAUAUUGGACGACCAUAUUCGGACACCGGAAGUGUUCCGGAGAAGUUUCGGAUAAAACCGGAGUGCCGGUAGGGUUACCGGAACCCCCGGAGGAAGUAUUGGGCCUUAGUGGGCCUGAGGGGAGAGAGAGGGCAGCAGCCAGGAGGUGGCGCGCCCCCUCCCAUGAGGAGUCCGAAUUGGACUAGGGGAGGGGGGCGCGGCCCCUCUUUCCCUCUCCCUCUCCCUCUCUUUCCUUCCCCCUCUCUCUUCCUAGUUGGACUAGGAAAGGGGAGUCCUACUCCUACUAGGAGGAGGACUCCCCCCUCUCCUUGGCGCGCCCCAAGGGCAGCCGGCCUCCCCCCUUGCUCCUUUAUAUAUGGGGGCAGGGGGGCACCUCUAGACACACAAUUGAUAUACGAUAUUUUAGCCGUGUGCGGUGCCCCCCUCCACCAUAUUACACCUCGAUAAUAUCGUUGCGGAGCUUAGGCGAAGCCCUGCAUCGGUAGAACAUCAUCAUCGUCACCACACCGUCAUGCUGACGAAACUCUCCCUCAACACUCAGCUGGAUCGGAGUUCGAGGGACGUCAUCGAGCUGAACGUGUGCUGAACUCGGAGGUGCCGUGCGUUCGGUACUUGAUCGGUCGGAUCGUGAAGACGUACGACUACAUCAACCGUGUUGUGAUAACGCUUCCGCUUUCGGUCUACGAGGGUACGUGGACAACACUCUUCCCUCUCAUUUCUAUGCAUCACCAUGAUCUUGCAUGUGCGUAGGAAAUUUUUUGAAAUUACUACGUUCCCCAACAGUCAGCACAUGGAAUAUGCUGGCAAGAUAACACUAUAGAGAAAUGAACAAAUACCAGCUAUCACUACAUGCAGUAUAUGGCUGGUGGAGGCUCUAAGUUUAUCAUUUGCAUAAAGCCAAUUUUUUCCUACAACAAAAGGAAUAGAUUUUAUUUAUCUACUAAUUUUAUGUCAUUAAUGAGAAGGUUCCUCCAACUCAAUCCCAAAACAAUAUCAAUAACCCAACAAUUUUAUUAAGUAAGUAAUGAGAUCAAACAAUAUUUCAAGUACCAGAUACUCAAGAUGUCCAUAACCGGGGACACGACUAAUCAUGAUUAGUUUGUACACUCUGCGGAGGUUUGCGCACUUUUCCCCAUAAGACUCAAUCUCCUCCGUUGAAUUUCUCAAACUACAUGAUGUUUGAGAAACGGAUGACCCAGACACGGUCUUUCCGAAGCAUUAACUCUUUACUCUGGGUAGACAACACCACCUACUUUCCCCUACAUCUGCUAGCCUACCACUGAAAGAGGUCACACACCAUACUCAACUAUGCCAGAGCCCAUAAUGGCUUGUGGCUGCACACAUAAGUUUCUUGCAUGAAUAAUCUUAUGAUCCCUUUGAGCCUGGGUGGCAUUCCAUAGGAUGAUCACACGGGUACUCCGGGAUAUCCUAGGACAACACUGGAUUCUCCAGGUGCCCACAACCAAUCUACCAAGAUGUGUAUUAGAGUAGCCACCUUAUGUUUCCCUUAGUUAUUAUCUCUCACAACUUGCAUGAUUCUCUCAUACCAAUCCACGUCUACGAGCAUGGCUAACCAAUAAGUAACAAAGCGUACAUUCCUGGGGUGAUCAAAGGUAAUAGGUUCCUACCUCAUAGACUACAGGAAUACCACAUGUUACCAAUCCUACUCAUGCAAUGUUUGAAGGUUGAAACUAAUGCAUAAAAACUGGGUAAUAAAGGGAUAUGAUCAAAGUGUAACUUGCCUUGCUGACGAUCGCAACACCCUAGAGAUUCGUAGUAGCAAGCUGCGCACUCCGGAAACUCUAUCGUAAACAAACAAUAUCAUACAUAAGAACUCAAGCAUAAUAUGCAAAGGUAAAACCAAAUAAAAGGUCUAAACAGAAACUUCAAGCGAAGAGCUUCGAUUCGCAAAAACAAUCGAUCAAAUCGGAACUACGAAACUCAAAUUAUGAUUAAAAGAAGUUCAAAUUCGAAUCUGUUUGAAACCAAAUUGUAAAUUUUAAAAAAUAUGUUCAAGUUGAUUAUCUAGACAGAGGGGAUCGUAAUGAAGAAUUUGGCAUUGGUUUCGUUGAAUUUGGAUAAACGAGCAAAAAGUUGUGAGGGUUUGAAGAUCAGGGAUUAAACAACCAAGAAAAUAAUUAUGAAUGGGUCCCUGGCCGAAAUAAACCGAAAAAGAAAAAUCUAACGAACGGUCGUUCGCUAACAGAGACUACUGAACGAAAACGUUCACUAAUAGAUCUAAACGAACGAACGUUUGCUAAUUAAAGUAAACUAAUAAAAUAAAGCGAUCUAAAAAGAAAAACCUAAAACUAAAAAACAGGUCGGGUUUCGGUGAUUUAUACCGGUUCGGUGAGAAAAACCGGCGGCGGCGGAUCGGACUCCGGCGGCGGUGCGGCUCCAGCGAACGGNNNNNNNNNNNNNNNNNNNNNNNNNNNNNNNNNNNNNNNNNNNNNNNNNNNNNNNNNNNNNNNNNNNNNNNNNNNNNNNNNNNNNNNNNNNNNNNNNNNNNNNNNNNNNNNNNNNNNNNNNNNNNNNNNNNNNNNNNNNNNNNNNNNNNNNNNNNNNNNNNNNNNNNNNNNNNNNNNNNNNNNNNNNNNNNNNNNNNNNNNNNNNNNNNNNNNNNNNNNNNNNNNNNNNNNNNNNNNNNNNNNNNNNNNNNNNNNNNNNNNNNNNNNNNNNNNNNNNNNNNNNNNNNNNNNNNNNNNNNNNNNNNNNNNNNNNNNNNNNNNNNNNNNNNNNNNNNNNNNNNNNNNNNNNNNNNNNNNNNNNNNNNNNNNNNNNNNNGGCGGGGUGGCAGCUUACAAGGAGGGGGGACGGCGUCCGACUUGGGGAGGGGGUCCGGGCGCGCCACGGCGGCUCAGAAUCCGGCGAUUCCGGCUCCCGCACGGCAGGGAAGGCGAUGGCGCGACGGGCCGGCUGGGCCUUCGGCCCAGUUCGGUCCGGAGAAUUUAUUUUAAUCGCGCCGCAAAGAAAAUCCAAACAAAAUAAAGUAAAUUUCUGAAAAAUUCCAGAAAUAAUUUUCUCCAUGCCCUCCUAAUAUGUAGACAACGUGAACAUUUUUCUAGGCUAAAUGCAAUUUUUUUAAAAUGCACAUUAUUCCCUAAUUUAAUAAAAUGGAACCGAAUAGAAAUUCAAAUAACACACAACUAAAACAUAUUUUUAUUCGAAAUUAAAUUUCCAAUAUUUCGCCGCUGUUUUGAAGAAGGCAUAUUAUUUUCUCUCAUUAUUUUAUUUAUUUUGAAAUAAUUGGAAAAAUAAUUUCGAAUAAAAUCGCUUAAAUCCAAUUUGCCAAAUUUGAAAAUUCAAAAAUGGAUUUUUGUGAAAACCUCCAACUCACUCAAUUGGUCCUUGAGUUGCUAAGGGUUUCUAGGGACCAAAACUCCAAAUAAAACGAAUUCCAAGAUGCAUAAAUUAUGAAUGCAGAUGAUGACCUAAUGAAUAACAUCCAAAUUGAAAAUUGGGAUGUUACACUUACUUAUCGAAAGGACUACGAUUGAUCCCCUAUACUUGUGGGUCAUCAAGGCUCUUUUAUGGCGCCGUUGCGAGAGAGUGAAGCGCUUUUGGUAAGUGGAAAUUGGUAAGGAAAAAUUAUUAAUACUUGCUGAAAGUUAUUGUCACUUGUUACUAUGGAAAACAAUCCUUUGAGGGGUUUGUUCGGGAUAUCUUCACCUCGACCGGAACCACAAUUAGCUACUCCUCAACCUACUACACCUACUGAAAAUAUUGAAUAUGAAAUUCCUUCGGGUAUGAUAGAACAACAGCUAGCUAAUCCUUAUGCAGGAGAUGGAACCGAACAUCCUGAAAUAUGCACUUGAUAUAUGUGGAAGACAUUUCUGGAUUGUUUAAGCUUGCAGGUUUACCCGGAGAUGAAGUUGAGAAGAAGGUUUUCCCUUUAUCUUUGAAGGAAAAAACAUUGGCAUGGUAUAGGCUAUGCGAUGAUAUUGGAUCUUGGAAUUGGAAUCGAUUGAAAUUGGAGUUUCACCAAAAAAAUAUCCUAUGAAUCUAGAUCAUCGUGAUCGGAAUUACAUAUAUAAUUUUUGUUCUCGUGAAGGAGAAAGUAUCGCUCUAGCUUGGGGAGGCUUAAGUCAAUGUUAUAUUCAUGCCCCAAUCAUGAGCUCUUAAGAUAAAUAAUUAUGCAUAAUUUGUAUGCUCGGCUUUCUCAUAAUGAUCGAUCCAUGCUUGAUACUUCUUGUGCUGGAUCUUUUAUGAAGAAGACUAUUGAAUUCCGGUGGGAUCUUUUGGAAAGAAUUAAAAGCAACUCUAAAGAUUGGGAACUCGAUGAAGGUAAAGAGUCAGGUAUUAAGCUCAAGUUUGAUUGUGUUAAAUCUUUUAUGAAUACCGAUGCUUUUCAAAAGUUUAGCACUAAAUAUGGACUUGACUCUGAGAUAGUAGCCUCCUUUUGUGAAUCUUUUGCUACUCAUGUUGAUCUCCCUAAGGAGAAGUGGUUUAACUAUUACCCACCUAUUAAAGAAGAAAUUAAAGAACCGGUACUAGCUAAAGAGGAAACUAUCAUUUAUAAUGUUGAUCCAGUUGUUCCUACUGCUUAUAUUGAGAAACCACCUUUCCCUAUUACGAUGAAGGAACGUGCUAAAGUUUCAACUAUGGUCAACAAAAGUUAUAUUAGAACACCUAAACCUGAUGAAAAAAAUCAAAUUAGAACCUAGUGUUGCUAUGGUUAAGGAUCUCCUCGAAGAAAAUAUAGAUGGGCAUGUUAUUUAUUUCUGUGAUGAAGCUUCUAGAAUUGCCAAACCUGAUGAAAAAGAUAAACAUAGACCGGUUGUUGGCAUGCCCAUUGUCUCAGUUAAAAUAGAAGAUCACUGUUAUCAUGGUUUAUGUGACAUAGGUGCUACUGUGAGUUCUAUUCCUUUUACAUUAUACCAAGAAAUUAUGAAUGACAUAGCACCCGCAGAGAUAGAAGACAUAGAUGUUACUAUUAAACUUGCUAAUAGAGAUACUAUUUCACCAAUUCGGAUUGUUAGAGAUGUUGAAGUCUUGUGUGGGAAAAUAAAACACCCUACUAAUUUUCUUGUUCUUGGUUCCCCACAAGAUGACUUUUGUCCCAGUAUCUAUGGUAGACCUUUCUUGAACACCGUUAAUGCUAAAAUAGAUUGUGAGAAACAAAUUGUCAGUGUUAGAUUUGGUGAUGAGUCUCAUGAGUUUAAUUUUUCCAAGUUUAGUAGAAAACUUCAUAAAAAGUUUUGCCAAAUAAGGAUGAAAUAAUUGGUCUUGCUUCUAUUUCUGUACACCCUACUGAUCCUCUAGAACAAUAUCUGCUAGAUCAUGAAAAUGAUUCACAUAUGCACGAAAGAAAUGAAAUAGAUGAGAUUUUCUUUGAACAACGUCCUUUGUUGAAACAAAAUUUGCCUAUUGAAACUCUAGGAGGUCCUCCUCCACCUAAAGGUGAUCCUGUGUUUGAAUUAAAACAAUUGCCAGACACUUUGAAAUAGGCUUAUCUUGAUGAGAAGAAGAUAUAUCCUGUUAUUAUUAGUGCUAACCUUUCAGAACAUGAAGAAGAAAGAUUAUUGAAAGUUCUAGGGAAUCAUCGAGCUGCUAUUGGAUAUACUCUUCAUGAUUUAAAGGGCAUUAGUCCCACUCUCUGCCAGCACAAAAUUAAUAUGGAACCUGAUGCUAAACCCGUCGUUGAUCACCAACAUCGGUUAAAUCCGAAGAUGAAAGAAGUGGUAAGAACAGAAAUAUUAAAACUUCUGGAAGCAGGUAUAAUAUAUCCAUCUACUAUCAGCUAUAGGAUAGAUUAUACCUGCUUCCAGAAGUUUUAAUAUUUCCGUUCUUACCACUUCUUUCAUCUUCGGAUUUAACCGAUGUUGGUGAGAAACAACGGGUUUAGCAUCAGGUUCGAGUUCAUUCUUAUCAUUAGGAACACUGGUAAUACCUCCUUUCUUAGGGACACAAUGAACAGGACUUAUCCAUCUACUAUCAGCUAUAGGAUAGAUUAUACCUACUUCCAGAAGUUUUACUAUUUCCGUUCUUACCACUUCUUUCAUCUUUAGAUUUAACCGACAUUGGUGAUCAACAACAUGUUUAGCAUCAGGUUCCAUAUUAAUUUUGUGCUGAUAGAGAGUGGGACUAAUGCCCUUUAAAUCAUCAAGAGUAUAUCCGAUGGCAGCUCGGUGCUUCCUUAGAACUUUCAAUAAUCUUUCUUCUUCAUGUUCUAAAAGGUUAGCACUGAUAAUAACAGGACAUAUCUUUUUCUCAUCAAGAUAAGCAUAUUUCAAAGUGUCUGGCAAUUGUUUUAAUUCAAACACAAGAUCACCUUUAGAUGGAGGAGGACCUCCUAGAGUUUCAAUCGGCAAAUUGUGUUUAAGCAAAGGACGUUGUUCAAAGAAAAUCUUAUCUAUUUCAUUUGUUUCAUGCAUAUGUGAAUCAUUUUCAUGAUCUAGCAGAUAUUGUUCUAGAGGAUCAGUAGGGGGUACAUCAAUAGAGGCAAGACCAAUUAUUUCAUCAUUAUUAGGCAACUCUUUUUAUGAGUUUUUCUACUAAACUUGGAAAAAUUAAACUCAUGAAACUCAUCACCAAAGCUAACACCGAUAGUUUGUUUCUCACAAUCUCUUUUAGCAUUAACGUUAUUCCAGAAAGGUCUACCAAAGAUAAUGGGACAAAAGUCAUCUUGUGGGGAACCAAGAACAAGAAAAUCAGUAGGGUAUUUUAUUUUCCCACACAAGACUUCAACAUCUCUAUCAAUCCCAAUUGGUGAAAUAGUAUCUCUAUUAGCAAGUUUAAUAGUAACAUCUAUGUCUUCUAUCUCUGUGAUUGCUAUGCCAUUCAUAAUUUCUUAGUAUAAGGUAAAAGGAAUAGCACUCACGCUAGCACCUAUGUCACAUAAACCAUGAUAACAGUGAUCUCCUAUUUUAACUGAGAUAACGGGCAUGCAACAACAGGUCUACGUUUAUCUUUCUCAUCGGGUUUGGCAAUUCUAGCAGUUUUCAUCACAGAAAUAAAUAACAUGCCCAUCUAUAUUUUCUUCCAGGAGAUCCUUAACCAUAGCAACAUUAGGUUCCACUUUGAUUUUCUCACCGGGUUUAGGUUUUCUAAUAUUUUUUGACCACAGUUGAAACUUUAGCAUGUUCCUUCAUCCUAACAGGGAACGAUGGUUUCUCAAUAUAAGCAGUAGGAACAACUGGAUCAACAUUACAAAUAAUAGUUUCCUCCUUAGCUAGUACCGGUUCUUUAAUUUCUUCUUUAAUAGGUGGGUGAUAUUUAAGCCACUUCUCCUUAGGGAGAUCAACAUGAGUAGCAAAUGAUUCACAAAAGGAGGCUACUAUCUCAGAGUCAAGUCCAUACUUAGUGCUAAACUUUUGAAAAGCAUCGGUAUUAAUAAAAAGAUUUAACACAAUCAAACUUGAGCUUAAUACCUGACUCUUUACCUUCAUCGAGUUCCCAAUCUUCAUAGUUGCGUUUAACUCUUUCCAAAAGAUCCCACCGGAAUUCAAUAGUCUUCUUCAUAAAAGAACCAGCACAAGAAGUAUCAAGCAUGGAUCGAUCAUUAUGAGAAAGCCGAGCAUAAAAUUUCUGAAUAAUUAUUUCUCUUGAGAGCUCAUGACUGGGGCAUGAAUAUAACAUUGACUUAAGCCUCCCCCAAGAUAGAGCGAUACUUUCUCCUUCACGAGGCCCAAAAUUUUAUAUGUAAUCCCGAUCACGAUGAACUAGAUACAUAGGAUAUUUUUUUUGGUGAAACUCCAAUUUCAAUCGAUUCCGAUUCCAAGAUCCAAUAUCAUCGCAUAGCCUAUACCAUGCCAAUGUUUUUCCCUUCAGAGGUAAAGGGAAAACCUUCUUCUUAACUUCAUCUCCAGGUAAACCUGCAAGCUUAAACAAUCCACAAAUUUCAUCCACAUAUAUCAAGUGCAUAUCUGGAUGUUCGGUUGCAUCUCCUGCAUAAGGAUUAGCUAGCAGUUGUUCUAUCAUACCCGAAGGAAUUUCAUAUACAAUAUUUUAAGUAGGUGCAGUAGGUUGAGGGGUAACUAAUUGUGGUUCCAGUCGAUGUGAAGAUACCCCGAACAAACCCCUUAAAGGAUUGUUUUCCAUAUUAACAAGUGACAAUAAAUUUCAGCACGUAAUAAUAAUUUUUCCAUACCAAUUUCCACUUACCAAAAGCGCUUCACUCCCCGGCAACGGCGCUAGAAAAGAACCUUGAUGACCCACAAGUAUAGGGGAUCAAUCGUAGUCCUUUCGAUAAGUAAGAGUGUCAAACCCAACGAGGAGCAGAAGGAAAUGACAAGUGGUUUUCAGCAAGGUAAUGUCUGCAAGCGCUGAAAUUGUAAGUAGCGAGUAGUUUGAUAGCAAGAUAAUUUGUAACGAGCAAGUAACAGUAAUGGUAACAAAAGUGCAUCAAGGUAGCCCAACCCUUUUGAGGCAAAGGACAGGCCAAAAUGGUCUCUUAUGAUAAGUAAAGCGUUCUUGAGGGUACACAGGAAUUUCAUCUAGUCACUUUUAUCAUGUUGAUUCGAUUCAUGUUCUCUACUUUGAUAAUUUGAUAUAUGGGUUGACCGGUGCUUAGGUGCUGCUCUUACUUGAACAAGCCUCCUACUUAUGAUUAAGCCCCUCGCAAGAAUCCGCAACUACGAGAAAAGUAUUAAGAAUAAAUUCUAACCAUAGCAUUAAACUUUUUGGAUCCAAUUGGUCCCUUACGGAAUAGCGCAUAAACUAGGGUUUAAGCUUCUGUCACUCUCGCAGCCCAUCAUCUAAUAACUACUCCACAAUGCAUUCUCUUGGGCCCAAAUAUGGUGAAGUGUCAUGUAGUCAACGUUCACAUGACACCACUAAGGGAAUCACAACAUACAUACUAUCAAAAUAUCGAACACAUAUCAAGUGCACAUGAUUACUUGCAACAAGAUUUCUCCCGUGACCUCAAGAACAAAAGUAACUACUCACAAGUGAUAAACAUGCUCAAGAUCAGAGGGGUAUUAAGUAGCAUAUUGGAUCUGAACAUAUAAUCUUAAACCAGAUAAACCAUAUAGUAAUCAACUACAAGAUGUAAUCAACACUACUAGUCACCCACAAGUACCAAUCUAUAGUUCCGGUAAACAGAUUGAACACAAGAGAUGAGCUAGGGUUUGAGAGAAGAUGGUGUUGUUGAAGAUGCUGAUGAAGAUUGCCCUCCCCAAGAUGGGAGAUUUGUUGGUGAUGAUGAUGACCAUGAUUUCCACCUCCGGGAGGGAAGUUCCUCCGGCGGAAUCGCUCCACCGGAGGGCAAAAGUGCUCCUUCCCAAUUUCCGCCUCAAGACAGCGGCGCUUCAUCCCGAAAGUCCUCCUCUGGUUUUUUCUAGGUGAAAAUGACUUAUAUACCAGAACAUGGGCACCGGAGGUGGGCCAGGCUCAGCAAAACCCACUAGGGCGCGGCUGGGGGGGCUGGCGCGCCCUGGUGUCUUGUGCUCACCAGGUGGCCCCCCUCUGGUAGUUAUUUGCUCCAGUAUUUCUUAUUUAUUCUAUAAAAAUUCCUCAUGAAGUUUCAGCUCAUUUGGAGUUGUGCAGAAUAGGUGGCCUAACGUAGCUGUUUCAGGUCCAGAUUUUCAGCUGCCGGAAUUCUCCCUCCUUGUGUAAACCUUUCAUAUUAUGAGAGAAAAAGGCAUUAUAAUUACUCCAAAAAGCAUUAUUAUGCAUAAAAACAUUAUAAAUAACAGUAGGUAAACAUGAUGCAAAAUGGACGUAUCACUACUGAUAGCCCUUAGACCCACACUAUUGUUAGGCUUUUCCCUAGUAGUGUUGGCAACAAUGGCUAGAUCAGAGAGUGGGGAAAUAGGUGGAGGGGGAGGGGUGAGGAGGUGGUGUCGGGCAUGCAAUAAUUCACCUGGUUUCACUUCAAGUAGCCCAGCUUCUGUAGGGUUCCUCAGAUCUUGCCAUGGAAAAUUCCAUGGAGAAGGGUAUGGAGGGGAAGGGGAACUAUGGUGACGAUUGGGGGUUGAGGUGGGAAAUGCAUGGCGUUUUGGAUCGGGGGUCGAGGGGAGAAGCCGCGUGGACCAAGAGGGGGUUUUUCCACGUGGUAGUUCGGGGGUUAAGGAAUCUUGUCCGAACAAUUUUGUUCGGCUCGAGGGAGUCCCACUUCGAAUAGGUCGUUCGGACCGGCGCCCUGUGGUACUGAACAUGCUUUAUUGACGUUCAUCAAAUUAAAGGUCUCUCUCUCUCUCUCUCUCUCUCUCUCUCUCGUUUUAUAGGAAAUUAAGUUCAAUGAAAUCCUGUAUGCCAUACAUACUAAAAUCAGACGCAUAUUAAAUUUGCUUCCACCGUAUGAAAAUGUGCUUCCUUUAGUUAAUCAAUUUGCUUAGAAUUUAAAAUAUGUUCAGACUUUACCAAAAUUGUUUUGUGUUGGAUAAAAUUAUUUAUCCCAUCAGAUUUCGAACAGGGAAUCUGCUUUCUUCCAUUGCAUACCAAAUUUAUUUUUUGAUACAACACGUGUUUUCAACACAAUGAAUUCGCGUUUCAACCAAUUCGAGAAUUUGCUUCUUUUUUUCUUCUUUUUUGAACACGAGAAUUUGCUUCUGGUGAAACUAAAAUAUGCUUCGUCUUUUUUUGUGAGGAACUAAAAUAUGUAUUGACUUAACAAAAAAUGUAUCCACAAAAUUAUUAUUUUUCAUCGUAGCUCAGUUAGAGAAUUUGCUUCCAUGAGAUAGAAACAUGAGUCCAAUGUAACAGAAUAUUCUUGUUUCCAACCACAGUAAAAAUGAGCCCUCUAAUUGUACAUAUUACUUCCAUUAUGGUUAGAAUUUUUUAUCUAUGUAGAUCUAGAAAUCUGCGUCUGCUCGUAUAUUUUUCUGCAUGGUUCGUCUUUCUUUGCUUCAUCUUCCAGAAAAUUCCAACACCAACACAAAAACCGAAAAAUUGAUAUAUUUUUUAGUUUGGUCUUUGGUUUGUCGAUUUUUAUGUCUACCCUGGCUCCAAGGAUGAAAAAGUUCACGAAAUUAAAAUCAGUUCGUCGAUUUGAAAAGUUCAGGAUUUUGAUAAAAAGAUGUGAAAACAUGGCCGUUCUAUGAAGAAGGGCAAAUGUCGCGGGAAGACGUCCGAACACGUGUAGCCACUCAGCGUCCCAACCUGAAGCCUUUCACUGCACUCGGGGACUAUCACCCUGCUUUGGAUGGAUGACACGACAUGUUGGAGUGAUUGACGAUAUAUGGCAAUGUGUUCGUUUAGUCCAUACUUUCUCUAUGACGAAACUUUGAGCUAUGCAUGACGAAAUUUUGUGAUGUAAUUAAAUUGUCCUCCUCAACUAACGAAGAUCACUCUAGUUAGGUCAUUUUGGGUAUGAUGAACUUUGUUAUUUACGCUUAUGAUAUGUUGCUUCUAUUUUUGCCAACUCUGUCACUUUCUGUUUCUCAACUAUUAAUGUUGCAUAUUAUCGACUAAUUUGACGAUGCAGGUACAUAGAUCAUCGAUGGCGAAGAAGUGCUAUGCCAGGAGUAUACGACGAGUAGCCUGAGCGUCAGGCCUAGUUGUACCAGUUUCCAAGCGACAGCCAGAGAUGGUUCGAUAGCAGAGUCGAAGCGAAAAAUAGUUAGUUUAGUUUCACGCUAGUGCGAGAGAGGGAUCCGAACCGGGGCCUCAAGAAGUACUACAUUAUGUAUGAUGAGACAUGUCAGUUAACUUGUAUCUCUAUAUCGUGAUUAUGAUGUGAUGACAUGAUUUGUGUUCGAUGAUAUGAUGAGACUAUUAUGUGUAUGAUAUGAUGAGCAUAUUGCAUGUUUAUAAUAUGAUUAGAAUAUUGUAUAAAACUGUACAAAAACAUCGCAAAUACUUAGCAAAAAAAAGAUAUGUGAAAAUAUAGUAGUAGCGCUCUUUAGCCCUGGAUAGGAAAACGCUAAGCCACUUAGCAGUAGCAUUGGAAUGGACAACGUUGCUGCUAAGUAGGUAUAGUUGUAGCGCGGAUCAAAACACGCUACUGCUAAACGUUAGCUGUAGCACCUUAUCAGUAGCGCGGUGCCCCGCGCUACUGAUAGCCCUUAGACCCGCGCCCUGCUUGGCUUUUCCCUAGUAAUGUUGGCAACAAUGGCUAGAUCAGAGAGUGGGGACAUAGGAGGAGGGGGACGGGGUGAGGAGGUGGUGUGGACAUGCAAUAAUUGACCUAAUUUCACUUCUAUUAGCAGCUUUUGUAGAGUUCCUCAGAUCUUGCCAUGGAAAAUUCCAUGGAUAAGGUUAUGGAGGGGAAGGGGAACUAUGGUGGGGAUCGGGGGUGGAGGUGGGAGAUGCAUGGCGUUUUUGGAUCGGGGGUCGAGGGGAGAAGCCGCGUGGACCAAGAGGGGGGCUUCACCACGUGGUAGUUCGGGGGUUAAGGAAUCCUGUCUGAACAACUUUGUUCGGCUCGAGGGAGUCCCACUCUGAACAGGUCGUUCAGACCGGCGCCCUGUGGUACCAAACGUGCGCGCGUUAUCGGGGUCCAUCAAAUUAAAGUUCUCUCUCUCUCUCCAGUUUUAUAGGAAAUUAAGCUCAAUGAAAUUAUGUAUGCCAUACGUACUAAAAUCAGAUGCAUAUUCAAUUUGCUUCCACCGUAAUGAAAAUGUUCUUCCUUUAGUUAUCAAUUUGCUUCGAAUUUAAAAUAUGUUGUGAGUUUACCAAAAUUGUUUUGUGUUGGAUCAAAUUAUUUAUCCCAUCGGAUUUCGAAAAGGGAAUUAGCUUUCUUCCAAUGCAUACCAAAUUUAUUUUUUGAUGCAACACACGUUUUCAACACAAUGAAUUCGUGUUUCAAUCAAUUCAACAAUUUGCUUCUUUUUCUUCUUCUUUUUUGAACACGAGAAUUUGCUUCUGGUGCAACUAAAAUAUGCUUCUUCUUUUUUUGUGAGGAACUAAAAUAUGCAUUGACUAAACAAAAAAUGUAUCCAUAAAAUUAUUAGUUUUCAUCUUUGCUUAGUUAGAGAAUUUGCUUCCAUUAGAUAGAUACAUAUGAGUCCAAUGUGACAGAAUAUUCUCGUUUCCAAUCACAUUAAAAUAUGAGCCCUCUAAUUGUACAUAUUGCUUCCAUUAUGGUUAGAAUUUUUUAUCUAUCUAGGUCUAGAUAUUUGCGUCCGCUCGUAUAUUUUUCUGCAUCGUUCGCUCUUUCUUUGCUUCAUCUGGCAGAAAACACCAACACAAAAAUCAAAAAAUUGAUAUACUUUUUAGUUUGUUCUUUGGUUUGUCGGUUUUUAUGUCUACCUUGGCUCCAAGGACGAAAAAGUUCACGAAAUUAAAAUUAGUUCGUCAAUUUGAAAAGUUCAGGAAUUUGAUAAAAAACGUGAAAUUGAAAAGUUCAUUGAUUUGAAAAAAAUGUUCAUGAAUUUAAUACUUUUUAAAGGAGGCCGACCGACUGGGCUGGUCCAUUGUUGCUCGCCAAAACAGGAAAAAUUAAGAUAACGGUUUUACAUAUCUAUUUAAGUUAUGGUUUUAAUUUUUUUUUUCUUCAAACCUACUAUGGAUGCCUACCUUGGGCAUGCCCACCUGCUGGAAAAAGUUUAGGUCAUUUCAUGAAUAUCCGAAAAACACCAUGUGUUCAACGAAGUGUGUUCAGGUAGGGCAGAAGUCUCCGUUUGAGAGCACGUUUUUUUGGCAUCGUCAAAUGACACCAAAUUUUUUCCAUGAGCUUAUAUGACCUAUUAAAGGUACCAUGUAAAGUUAUUUUAGUUUUUGACAAAUUUUGUAUUUUCUGGUGUUUUCUUGGUCAAAAAAUACUGAUAAAUGGCCGGACGUAUCACAACUCAAAAAUCGUUCAAAGCUGACAUGGAUUCCGACCCUGGGCAGGCCUACCUGCUUGGAAAAUUUUGAGUCACUUGAAGGAUGUCCAAACAUAGACCAUGUUUAAUGAGGAUGUUCGGAUAGGCCAGAAGACUGAGCAUGAUGUUUCCCGAUACCCUUGAAAUGACCCAAAAAAUUUCAGGUAGGUGGACAUGACCAUGGUAGUUAUCCAUUGUCACGACCGGUUUUUCAAUAAAAUAAUUAUUGAGAAACCAAUCCCUGUUACGGACCAGCGAGGAAGAAUUCCUUCUCACUGAUAGACAAUACAUUGGUCACAGAAGAAAAACACCAGGAGUACUAAAUAUAAUACAAAGUUGAGCAGAGAUUGCCCAACAAUUUAUUACAGGCACGCCGAUAAAACAAUACGGCGGAUAGGGUGGCAAACUACUAACUCACGAUAAUAACGAUGGUGGAGAUAUCACCGCGGGGCGAGUGAUAUGACUCCAGAAGACUACAGCUCUUCGAGCGUCGGAGUGAGGCUCGAGAAGACUUAUUGCGGGUGGCGGAAGCGCAAACGAUACAAGUGACCAAUAUCCGGGAUCGCGCAGGACUGACUGGGACUCCUCUAGGCGUCGGACGCGCUAUCAAACUCUUCAUCCAAGAGAUCGCCUUCGUCAACAUCUGGCCAAAUCAACAAGCCAGGUGAGUACUAUGAAAGUACUCGCAAGACAGUUCGAGCAUAAGGUAUAACAAAUGCAACCAUGAAGCACAUGAAUAAGUUAGCCAGUGCGAUCAGGCAUAGAGAUAAUAAAUACUGGGUGCCAAGCGAGGGUCUGAAUGACGCCUCGAGCAGAAACUGCGGAAUAGUAAUACUGGUGCCAAACGAGUGUCUGAAAGACGCCUCGAGAGGAAAAAUGCGGAAUAAUAAUACAGGUGCCAAACGAGUGUCUGAAGGACUCCUCGAGAGGAAAAUGCGGAAUAAUAAUACAGGUGCCAAACGAGUGUCUGAAAGACUCCUCGAGAGGAAAAUGCGGAAUAAUAAUGCCGCAGUCGGGCGUCGGGGCGACACCACAUAAAGGGCUUAUAACAGAAAAUAAAGACAGUACAUGCCGCAGUCGGACGUCUGAGCGACAUCGCAUAAAGGGCUUAUAUUGUAACACAACAAUACAAUAAUUCAGGAAUAUAACUUAUCACAAGCACGAGACAAAUAUAUUGUUGGUCCAUCCACAGGAAUAACAAUAAAUCUGAGACUUUACCACUUGAGCUUGUUCACCGGGGCAAGUUUUUCACACGGAUAGAUUUGGAUAAAAAUCUACAUUUCUGACUAUGGAUACGAUGAUUUGGAAAGAAUUGACUCUGCAGAGUUUGUACUUAACCACAGCCAACGGAUUUCAGUAGUCACGGGGACUAGUUCCGUCUACGGUGUUCUGGGAGGAACACGUCUAACCAGUACACACCCAAUUUAACCAUCCGAAGCCAGGGAUCACCCUCGGAAACAUUCAGGAAAAACCCUGAGUCGGGGAGGCUACAACCUCGCGUAGCAUGGGAUCAAAUUUUUAUACGCGCGCUAUAAGGGGGUGCCCCCCCUCUCGGUCCCAACCGGAAACACCCAUGCCCCCUGACCGAAUGACUGGCUUUAAUCCUGGGCCAAGGUACCAUCAUCCCGGCCUCUCUGUUUGGUGUGUACACGGAAAGAGGUUACCAACUUACUAAACCGUAUCCUGGCAACGAGACAUGUGGUAGCACGGAAAGGGGAAGGGACGAUAACACGGCUCCAACCAUGUUGACGUCGGAAAGGUCGGAUGACACAAGGCUGGCAUGCUACAACAGUACCACCUUGCUGCCCUUCAUGUCACCACAUGAUUAGGCCACCUCUCAUCAGAGGUCAUCGCAACUUUGGAACAUACGGGAAAAGAUCGAUAACGUGGCUCCAACCACGUUAACGUCGAAGAAAGUCGGAUGACGCAAGGCUGGCAUGCUACAACAGUACCACCUUGCUGCCCUUCAUGUCACCACAUGAUUAGGCCACCUCUCAUCAGAGGUCAUCGCAACUUCGGAACAACCGGGUCGUUGCCUUACAAGCAACGAGGCACUUAUCGACACUCACAUGCCACGCACAAACUUUCACAUGAACAUGCAAAACAUCUGCCAUAUCAAAUGUUCAAACAUGCUUGCCUGGUUCGGAGAAGUCGGAGUCUAGCUCGGCGAAGUUCGCGGCUCCGUCCCCUCUCCCGGAACCUACGGCAAUCACGAAACGGGGUACUAACGUGAAAACCAACACAUGCACAGAAACUUUGCCAAAUAUUUUUCAAAUAAAUCCCAUAAAAAACUAGGCAAAAUUUGGAGAUGGACAGAAAAAGAAUCACUCAAAAAUACCUUUUCAUUAAAAAGUUAUAAAGGUUUCUGUCCAGGGACCUUUCUGUAAUGAAACAGAAAAGUUCCAGGGUUUUAACUGAGAAAACAGAAAACGGUUCGUUUGGAAAUGCGCAAGCGCAAGAGAGAAGACGUAAUUUGCCCGAAGGCGCCAACAGAAAACUAUUCGGGGAAAUAAAACAGAGGCUGACACGCGGGGCCUGCAUGUCAGGUUUGAAAACUCGCCGGCGCCCGAAGACGGCGGUGGACGCCGGCGUCGAACCACGACGAGUUAGGAGAAACGGAGGGUACCAAGAGCUUCAGUGUCUUCUUCCGCGUCGGUGGGUGGUGGACUCGUCCAACGGGGAGCACCACGUCGACGGCGACACUAUCUCCGGCGGACGGCGGUUCGGGUGAGGUUGGGGAACUCCGGUGGAGGGCUGCAAAGUAUGAAUUGAGGCGCGGGUCAGAACGGGUGAUGCAAGGAGAAGCUACUGGCAAGAGAAUGGGGGUUGCGGAGCACACACGGGGGCGAAUCGGGCUGGAUCCCGUGGCGGAUCACGGUGGCCGGAGUCGAGGAAGGAGACCCUCUCGCGGCUCUUCCAGUGGCUGGGCGUGCUCUAGGGGAAGUGUAGGGCUGGUGGGUGCUCGAGUUGAAGCUCGGGGCCGCUAUUUAUAGGCAGCUCGACGGGGUGGCCGUGAACGGAGAACCUCCGGCGAGCGAUUACGGCGGAGCAGUGGGUUGGCAGGAGGUUUGAGCGGUCGAGAAGCAUCAGUGGAUGUUGCUGGACUUGAUUUGCAGCUGAACGUGGUUAGUCUUGGCAUAACGGCGUCUGUCCACGGUGAGGUGACCGCACGAGCUCAACGGCGGCAGAGAGCGCGCUCCGCGCCCUGGGGUUCACGACGAGAGCGGCAGCGCAUUCGGGGGAGUGGACGGCCACGCGGCGGGCUCCGGUGGUUUGGGCGGUGUUGGGUGGAGUCGGCGGCGCCGUGUCUCCCGCUGGCGUCCGCAAAGCCGCCGCCGGCGUCGGUCACGGGGCGGCGCACCUUCUGCUGCUCGUCGCCGACGCCCGCAAGAUGCCAGGCACUCGUGCGGUGCAGGAACGGGAGGGCGAGGACGAGGAGCAAGGCGACGCGAGGGUACUGGCGAGAUCGAUGUCAUGCUCUGAAGAAAACGACAGUAGCCACUGAACUGAAACUCUGAAUCUCUGAAACUUGACAGUGACUAUGCAUUGCAGGUGUUCGACAGUAGGUUUUGGUAAAAAGAUGAAUUUUGCUGGGGCUGUAACUUGGUGAGAUGAUCACUCAAAGCACCCAGGGGCUGCAUGAAUUUACUUGGAAUUUUUGGAGAAAGUUUUGAAUGAAUUUCACCAAAUUUGGCAAAUCUGGUCCAAACUUGCAGCUGAUGUAGUUUGAAAAUUUUGAACUGGAGACCAGUGGAUCUUCAUGGUUCCAGGUUGAGGGUUCAAAGGACUAGGAGGGGAAAGAAGUUUGGGGCCAAAAAUCAAAACAGAAAGAGGAGUUCCUUUGUAAAUCUCCAAGUGGUAGAAUAGAAGGCAGAAAAUAUUUGAAUAGAAUUUGAAUGGAAAAUAAAUACAUGGGGAGGUCCAACUUGCUUGAUUUGAUGUAAAUCAUGAUCCAGAGGUGAGGGAGGAGUUAGGAGAGAUCAUUUGCACUUGGGCCAUGGCAAAAAGGAAUUGUUGGAAGUGGCAAAAGGCUUUCCAAAAGCCAUAGUGCAAAUUCAAGAAAAGGUUUUCAAAAGUUAUUUUCCCAAAUGAAAACCAUUUUGUCUUGAGUCCUAAAGAAAGCAAGAACCUCCAAGGUCAAAGGCAGAUCUUGGGUGAAUCCAAAUAAAAAAUUUUCCAUAAAGAAAGAUAUUUGAGAGUGAGAGUUCUCUUGAAUUUUUUUUUUUGAAAAAUCCAAAUAAAAACUUGGGUGCCACAACACCUACCCCCUUAGGAAAAAUCUCGUCCUCGAGAUUUCUGCUGAUCCUCAAACAGAUAUGGAUACUCUGCUCGAAGGAAAUCCUCCCUUUCCCAUGUAGCUUCAUCCUCAGUGUGGUUGCUCCACUGAACCUUGAAAAAUUUUGUCGUUUUCUGACGGGUCCUCCGUUCAGACUCUUCUAAAAUCUUUACUGGCCUUUCUCUGUAGGUGAGAUCUGGUUGCAUAACAAUGUCCUCAUGAGGUACAUGUUUCUCUGGGUUACUCACACAUUUCCUCAACUGCGAGACGUGGAAUACGUCAUGGACGUCUGACAGCUCCUUGGGCAGGUCUAGUUGGUAGGCUACCGUGCCUCUUCGUGCCUUCACACAAAAUGGUCCAAUAAAUCUUGGGGCUAGUUUCCCCUUAAUUUUGAACCGUUGCAGACCCCUCAUAGGAGAUACUCGGAGGUAUACGGAAUCACCAGGUUCAAAGCUGACCUCACGAUGCUUCUGAUCAUAGUAGCUCUUUUGUCGGCUCUGUGCUGUCUUGAGCCUGUCCCUGAUUUGUUUAACUUUUUCCUCGGCCUCCUUAAGCAUAUCUGGGCCGAAGAUACGGCUGUCACCUGUUUCUGACCAAUUCAAUGGGGUACGACACCUCCGUCCGUACAAUGCUUCAAAGGGUGCCAUUUGCAAGCUGGCUUGGUAACUGUUGUUGUACGCAAAUUCGGCAUAGGGCAAACUCUCUUCCCAACUGGACCCAUAGGUGAGCACACAGGCUCUUAGCAUAUCCUCUAGGAUUUGGUUUACACGUUCUGUUUGUCCAUCUGUCUGAGGGUGGUAUGCUGUACUGAAAGCCAGUCGUGUGCCCAGAGCUUGUUGUAGGUGUUCCCAGAAUUUGGAGACGAAUUGGGUGCCUCGAUCUGAUAUUAUGGUCUUCGGGACUCCAUGCAAGCAAACUAUACGAGAUAGGUAGAGCUUUGCCAGUCUUUGUGUGGAGUAGGUAGUCUUUACAGGAAUGAAAUGAGCAACCUUGGUUAGUCGGUCUGUGAUGACCCAUAUGGCGUCAUUUCCGCGUUGUGACCGGGGUAAUCCGACAAUGAAGUCCAUUCCUAUUUCGUCCCAUUUCCACUCCGGUAUUCUGUUUGGCUGGAGUAGCCCUGCUGGCUUUUGGUGCUCGGCCUUGAUACGCUGACAUGAUUCGCAACAAGCAAUGAAUGUGGCUAUAUCUCUUUUCAUACCGUGCCACCAAAAUCUUUCCUGGAUGUCCUUGUACAUUUUGGUUCCUCCAGGAUGGAUCGAAUAUGGAGCGGUGUGGCUUUUCGUCAAGAUCUGUUGCUUGAGUUCCUCAAUGUUAGGUACGCAAAGUCUGUUUCGGUACCACAAUGUUCCUUCACUGUCCGUGACGAAUUCUGAAGUCUUACUAGUAUUCAUUUUCUUCUUUAUGCCUUCGAUACUGGGAUGUCCUUGUUGAGCCUUCUUGAUUUGUUCCACUAGGGUGGGUUGUAUCUCUAGGUUCGAUACGGUGCCCUCGGAGACUAACAUCAUGUUGAGCCGAGUGAACUCUCGCUGAAACUCAGGCCUCAAGUUUUGCUGACCGUCACUGUCCGGGCUGGGGUUUUGGCUAAGGGCAUCGGCUACUACAUUUGCUUUUCCAGGGUGGUAGUGGAUGCCGACGUCGUAGUCUUUGACCAGUUCCAACCAGCGUCGUUGGCGUAAAUUCAGCUCUGGCUGUGUGAAGAUAUAUUUGAGGCUCUUAUGGUCCGUAUAUAUUUCACAACGAUUUCCCAACAGAAAGUGCCUCCACUCUUUGAGUGCAUGUAUGACCGCUGCUAGCUCCAAGUCAUGUGUUGGGUAAUUUUCCUCAUGCUUUCGCAGUUGCCUGGAGGCAUAUGCGACAACUUUGCCAUCCUGCAUUAGUACACAUCCGAGAACUUUUUGGGACGCGUCACAAUAUACUUCAAAACUCUUGUGUAUGUCUGGCACAGUUAAAACUGGUGCGGUUGUCAGUUUCUUCUUGAGUUCUUGGAAGCUCUGCUCACAUGCUUCCGUCCAUACGAAUCUCCUGUCCUUCUUGAGCAGUUGGGUCAUAGGUUUUGCCACAGUGGAGAAUCCUUCAAUAAAUCUCCUGUAAUAUCCGGCCAUUCCUAGGAAACUCCGCACAUCCGUGACAUUGGCUGGUGGUUUCCAGUCCAGUAUGGCUUUGACCUUUUCUGGGUCUACGGCUACGCCUUCUUGGUUCAGUAUAUGGCCUAAGAAACCAACUUGUCUUAGCCAAAAUUCGCAUUUGCUAAAUUUGGCGUACAACUGAUGUUUCCUCAAUUCUCCCAAAACAAUUCUGAGGUGCUCAGCAUGUUCUUCUGGUGUCCUUGAGUAAACCAGAAUGUCGUCAAUGAAUACCACCACAAAUUUGUCCAUGAAUUUCAUGAACACUUUGUUCAUGAGGUGGACGAAAAAUGCGGGGGCGUUUGUUAGACCAAAAGGCAUCACUGUGAACUCGUAUAACCCAUAUCUGGAAGUGAAUGCUGUCUUAGGGAUAUCCUCUGUUCGUACCUUCAGUUGAUGGUAUCCUGAUCUCAAAUCAAUCUUCGAAAAUACUUUAGCUUGUGCGAGCUGGUCAAACAAAUCAUUUAUCCGUGGCAUCGGGUAUUUGUUUUUGAUGGUGACCAUAUUGAGGGCUCGAUAGUCUAUGCACAGUCUCAGUGUCCCAUCCUUCUUCUUGGCAAACAAUACGGGCGAACCCCAUGGUGAGGAGCUGGCUCGUAUAAACCCCUUGUCCAGUAAUUCCUUUAUCUGCUUCUUCAACUCCACCAAUUCUGAGGGUGCCAUUCUAUACGGCUUCUUAUAAAUGGGAGCGGUGCCAGGUGCUAAUUCAAUGCUGAAUUCGAUCUCUCGAUCUGGUGGCAUACCUGGUAGUUCUUCCGGGAACACAUCAGGGAACUCGCAUACCACUGGCACUUUUCUUAAUUCUGCGAUGCCCAUCUUGUUCAGUUUUGGUUUCUGUGACCGCGGCCUUUCUUGAGCGGAGACUCUUAUUGUCUUGCCGUGAUGGUGGGUGAGAAUCACUGUCCGAUUGAAGCAGUCGAUGAAUCCUUUGUUGGUGGUUAACCAGUCCAUUCCUAAAAUGACAUCCAGUCCUUUACUCUCCAACACGAUGAGAUUCGCGUGGAAUGGUAGUCCUUCGAACUCAAUGACCACUCCUUGGCAGUAACCCUGAGCAAUUUGCUUGUUUCCGGGGGACUUGAUGAUCAUAGACUUCUCCAAGGGGAGUAUCGGAAAACCAUGUUGCGAAACAAAACUCUUCGAAAUGAACGAAUGGGAAGCACCAGAAUCAAACAAAACCGUGGCAGGUACUGUGUUGACAGGGAACGUACCGAGCACGAUGUCUGGGGCAUUCUGCGCUUCUUCCCUGGUCACAUGGUUCAGGUGACCCUUCCUGUGGUUGUUGUUGGGAUUGAAGUUGUUGCGCUUGGGGGCGGGAUUGUUUCCACCAUUGUUCGGCUUGGGUGCCGAGUCUCUUGGCUUCGGGCACUGUUUAGCAUAGUGCCCUUGCUGACUGCAAGCAUAGCAGGUGACUCCCGGACGAUAUGUGAACUCCUUGUCUCUGGCAUGAAAAUGUCCGACGGGUCUUGGCUCAGUAGUCGUGGAUCUCCUUGUGUCUGUCCUUGGGGCCUCAGCCUUGCCUCGGUUGCUGUGGGCAAGAGUCGUCUUGUCCCUCUUCCGCUUGCGGAUAUCUUCCAGACUACGGCGCUCAUUUUCCAAGGUGAUGGCCUUGUCCACUAGCGUCUUAAAAUCCGGAAAGGUGUGUACAAUCAGCUGGCAUCUUAGUGCUGGUGCCAGGCCAUCCAGGAAUUUUUCCAUCUUCUUGUUUUCUGUCAUGUGCUCGUCGUAGGCAUAACGAGACAGUUGGGUAAACUGGCCGUUGUAUUCUGUGACGGACAUGCCUCUUUGCUUCAGGUCAUCAAACUCUCUUUUCUUGAUCUUUAGGAUGCUCCUGGGGAUGUGUGCCCCACGGAAGCCUUCCUUGAAUUCCUCCCAGGUGAUGUGGUGUUCCCUGGGUUGCAUGUGUAGGAAGUUCUCCCACCAUGCUGCGGCUGCUCCAGUAAGGUAGUGUGGUGCAUAAAGCACUUUCUCAUGAUCUGAGCAUUGAGCAAUAAUCAGUUUCCUUUCAAUCUCACGAAGCCAAUCAUCGGCUUCCAGCGGCCUAUCGGUGUGAGCAAAAGUUGAGGGGCGAGUCUUCUGCAACUCGGAUAACUUGGAAUGUGGUUGAUAGUGUUCACGAUGGUUUCCCAUGUUGAUGACAUGGUUCAUCAUCUCUUGGUGUUGUUGCUGGCUUUGCUCGAAGAGACGGCAUACUUGAGACAGUGCUGCUUCGCUGUCUUGUUGGCUGGAUUGACCCUGAGUGAAAUUGUUGCUGGUCUGUGUCCCGUAAACCUCUUCUGGCUGAUUGGGCAUGGAGCGAGUCCACGGGCGAGACAUUUUUCCAGUCUGGGGGUAUCAUUUGCAAAACCCAUGAGAAAAAACUGUGUAGCACGAGGAAAACCCUUGCAAAGGCAACACAAAUGAUUUUCACGGAGAAGAAGUGCUUAACAUAAAAUCUUACAUGCGAAAGCAAACACAAGAUACAGCACUCAGGAUGCGCGUACACAAUCCUGACAUGUUAUUUAAAACUAGCGUACUACUCCGAAAGGCAGCAAACACACCCAUACAAACUAGCGUACAGAUAAAACAGCACACCAUGCAAGCAGACAUAACACGCGGCUACUCGGUGCUCUCAAUCGGAGAUGGUGAGGAUCUCCUUCCCCUUGCCGAUGGCAAGGCUCAGCGGUCCAGGAGAAUCAACCUCCUCCUCUCUAGCUGGCUCCUGGCGCGCGAUGCUGCGCUGUGGUGAUGGUGCGGGGGCGACUGGUGGUAGAGUGUGUGCGGCAGGCGGUGCGGCUCUGACUGGAGUAGGAGCGAUGACUCGGUCGAACUCCUCAGUGGUAGGCAGACGGCGAGCAGUGGCCAAAACGGCCGGUGCAUACGAGGCUGAAGACGAGACGAAUGUCAGAGGCGGCGCCGUGUGGAGAAGCUCCUUCCGGCUGGCAGGACCGCCCCGGACUAAGUCCAUGCGGGCAGCCACAAGAUCAUCUACGAGGUUGUCGAAAGACUCCUCCAGAGCCUUGAGAUACUCCACAACCAUCUCGAUGGCUUCGUCUCUUUCUCCCCGAUGGCAGGCAAACGCAUAGUGGCUGGUGUAUGGCACAUGGCAUGGGAGGUAGCGGUAGCGACGAGUCUUCAUCGUAGGAAGGAUGUCCCGAAGGCGAGCUAUCGCCUCGCGGGCAGCCAUCUGCAUGGCAUGCCUCUCCAUAGGCAUGGCUCUUCCCGUAAAACGGAAGUGGCGAGCAGCAGAUCGUCCUCCCCUGAACUGCACCACGGCUUGGUGCAUAGACACGUCGUCACUAAGCUUGUGCUGAUAGAGUGUGAACUCCGGGCGAGCUGCUGGCCCGAUCGCGAGCUUGGUGAUGGAGACGAGGAGCUUGACAAACCCCUCGGGCACGUUGGUGAACACCCGAUUCUCACAGCCGCUGCCAGCCAUCUACAAAAGUAGGCAAAAAUUCUGAGUAGUCAUGUCAUAAAUUUUAUGAUGACCAACAGAAAAUAGCUACAAUUGCAAAAUGCUGAAGAAGCACUAAAGACGCUAAUAACCGAUUAGCGAUCGCACCUAGUGGCUUCCUACAGUCAGCCUGGCUCUGAUACCAAGCUUGUCACGACCGGUUUUUCAAUAAAAUAAUUAUUGAGAAACCAAUCCCUGUUACGGACCAGCGAGGAAGAAUUCCUCCUCACUGAUAGACAAUACAUUGGUCACAGAAGAAAAACACCAGGAGUACUAAAUAUAAUACAAAGUUGAGCAGAGAUUGCCCAACAAUUUAUUACAGGCACGCCGAUAAAACAAUACGGCGGAUAGGGUGGCAAACUACUAACUCACGAUAAUAACGAUGGUGGAGAUAUCACGGCGAGGCGAGUGAUAUGACUCCAGAAGACUACAGCUCUUCGAGCGUCGGAGUGAGGCUCGAGAAGACUUAUUGCGGGUGGCGGAAGCGCAAACGAUACAAGUGACCAAUAUCCGGGAUCGCGCAGGACUGACUGGGACUCCUCUAGGCGUCGGACGCGCUAUCAAACUCUUCAUCCAAGAGAUCGCCUUCGUCAACAUCUGGCCAAAUCAACAAGCCAGGUGAGUACUAUGAAAGUACUCGCAAGACAGUUCGGGCAUAAGGUAUAACAAAUGCAACCAUGAAGCACAUGAAUAAGUUAACCAGUGCGAUCAGGCAUAGAGAUAAUAAAUACUGGGUGCCAAGCGAGGGUCUGAAUGACGCCUCGAGCGGAAACUGCGGAAUAGUAAUACUGGUGCCAAACGAGUGUCUGAAAGACGCCUCGAGAGGAAAAAUGCGGAAUAAUAAUACAGGUGCCAAACGAGUGUCUGAAGGACUCCUCGAGAGGAAAAUGCGGAAUAAUAAUACAGGUGCCAAACGAGUGUCUGAAAGACUCCUCGAGAGGAAAAUGCGGAAUAAUAAUGCCGCAGUCGGGCGUCGGGGCGACACCACAUAAAGGGCUUAUAACAGAAAAUAAAGACAGUACAUGCCGCAGUCGGACGUCUGAGCGACAUCGCAUAAAGGGCUUAUAUUGUAACACAACAAUACAAUAAUUCAGGAAUAUAACUUAUCACAAGCACGAGACAAAUAUAAUGUUGGUCCAUCCACAGGAAUAACAAUAAAUCUGAGACUUUACCACUUGAGCUUGUUCACCGGGGCAAGUUUUUCACACGGAUAGAUUUGGAUAAAAAUCUACAUUUCUGACUAUGGAUACGAUGAUUUGGAAAGAAUUGACUCUGCAGAGUUUGUACUUAACCACAGCCAACGGAUUUCAGUAGUCACGGGGACUAGUUCCGUCUACGGUGUUCUGGGAGGAACACGUCUAACCAGUACACACCCAAUUUAACCAUCCGAAGCCAGGGAUCACCCUCGGCAACAUUCAGGAAAAACCCUGAGUCGGGGAGGCUACAACCUCGCGUAGCAUGGGAUCAAAUUUUUAUACGCGCGCUAUAAGGGGGUGCCCCCCCUCUCGGUCCCAACCGGAAACACCCAUGCCCCCUGACCGAAUGACUGGCUUUAAUCCUGGGCCAAGGUACCAUCAUCCCGGCCUCUCUGUUUGGUGUGUACACGGAAAGAGGUUACCAACUUACUAAACCGUAUCCUGGCAACGAGACAUGUGGUAGCACGGAAAGGGGAAGGGACGAUAACACGGCUCCAACCUGUUGACGUCGGAAAGGUCGGAUGACACAAGGCUGGCAUGCUACAACAGUACCACCUUGCUGCCCUUCAUGUCACCACAUGAUUAGGCCACCUCUCAUCAGAGGUCAUCGCAACUUUGGAACAUACGGGAAAAGAUCGAUAACGUGGCUCCAACCACGUUAACGUCGAAGAAAGUCGGAUGACGCAAGGCUGGCAUGCUACAACAGUACCACCUUGCUGCCCUUCAUGUCACCACAUGAUUAGGCCACCUCUCAUCAGAGGUCAUCGCAACUUCGGAACAACCGGGUCGUUGCCUUACAAGCAACGAGGCACUUAUCGACACUCACAUGCCACGCACAAACUUUCACAUGAACAUGCAAAACAUUUGCCAUAUCAAAUGUUCAAACAUGCUUGCCUGGUUCGGAGAAGUCGGAGUCUAGCUCGGCGAAGUUCGCGGCUCCGUCCCCUCUCCCGGAACCUACGGCAAUCACGAAACGGGGUACUAACGUGAAAACCAACACAUGCACAGAAACUUUGCCAAAUAUUUUUCAAAUAAAUCCCAUAAAAAACGAGGCAAAAUUUGGAGAUGGACAGAAAAAGAAUCACUCAAAAAUACCUUUUCAUUAAAAAGUUAUAAAGGUUUCUGUCCAGGGACCUUUCUGUAAUGAAACAGAAAAGUUCCAGGGUUUUAACUGAGAAAACAGAAAACGGUUCGUUUGGAAAUGCGCAAGCGCAAGAGAGAAGACGUAAUUUGCCCGAAGGCGCCAACAGAAAACGAUUCGGGGAAAUAAAACAGAGGCUGACACGCGGGGCCCGCAUGUCAGGUUUGAAAACUCGCCGGCGCCCGAAGACGGCGGUGGACGCCGGCGUCGAACCACGACGAGUUAGGAGAAACGGAGGGUACCAAGAGCUUCAGUGUCUUCUUCCGCGUCGGUGGGUGGUGGACUCGUCCAACGGGGAGCACCACGUCGACGGCGACACUAUCUCCGGCGGACGGCGGUUCGGGUGAGGUUGGGGAACUCCGGUGGAGGGCUGCAAAGUACGAAUUGAGGCGCGGGUCAGAACGGGUGAUGCAAGGAGAAGCUACUGGCAAGAGAAUGGGGGUUGCGGAGCACACACGGGGGCGAAUCGGGCUGGAUCCCGUGGGGGAUCACGGUGGCCGGAGUCGAGGAAGGAGACCCUCUCGCGGCUCUUCCAGUGGCUGGGCGUGCUCUAGGGGAAGUGUAGGGCUGGUGGGUGCUCGAGUUGAAGCUCGGGGCCGCUAUUUAUAGGCAGCUCGACGGGGUGGCCGUGAACGGAGAACCUCCGGCGAGCGAUUACGGCGGAGCAGUGGGUUGGCAGGAGGUUUGAGCGGUCGAGAAGCAUCAGUGGAUGUUGCUGGACUUGAUUUGCAGCUGAACGUGGUUAGUCUUGGCGUAACGGCGUCUGUCCACGGUGAGGUGACCGCACGAGCUCAACGGCGGCAGAGAGCGCGCUCCGCGCCCUGGGGUUCACGACGAGAGCGGCAGCGCAUUCGGGGGAGUGGACGGCCACGCGGCGGGCUCCGGUGGUUUGGGCGGUGUUGGGUGGAGUCGGCGGCGCCGUGUCUCCCGCUGGCGUCCGCAAAGCCGCCGCCGGCGUCGGUCACGGGGCGGCGCACCUUCUGCUGCUCGUCGCCGACGCCCGCAAGAUGCCAGGCACUCGUGCGGUGCAGGAACGGGAGGGCGAGGACGAGGAGCAAGGCGACGCGAGGGUACUGGCGAGAUCGAUGUCAUGCUCUGAAGAAAACGACAGUAGCCACUGAACUGAAACUCUGAAUCUCUGAAACUUGACAGUGACUAUGCAUUGCAGGUGUUCGACAGUAGGUUUUGGUAAAAAGAUGAAUUUUGCUGGGGCUGUAACUUGGUGAGAUGAUCACUCAAAGCACCCAGGGGCUGCAUGAAUUUACUUGGAAUUUUUGGAGAAAGUUUUGAAUGAAUUUCACCAAAUUUGGCAAAUCUGGUCCAAACUUGCAGCUGAUGUAGUUUGAAAAUUUUGAACUGGAGACCAGUGGAUCUUCAUGGUUCCAGGUUGAGGGUUCAAAGGACUAGGAGGGGAAAGAAGUUUGGGGCCAAAAAUCAAAACAGAAAGAGGAGUUCCUUUGUAAAUCUCCAAGUGGUAGAAUAGAAGGCAGAAAAUAUUUGAAUAGAAUUUGAAUGGAAAAUAAAUACAUGGGGAGGUCCAACUUGCUUGAUUUGAUGUAAAUCAUGAUCCAGAGGUGAGGGAGGAGUUAGGAGAGAUCAUUUGCACUUGGGCCAUGGCAAAAAGGAAUUGUUGGAAGUGGCAAAAGGCUUUCCAAAAGCCAUAGUGCAAAUUCAAGAAAAGGUUUUCAAAAGUUAUUUUCCCAAAUGAAAACCAUUUUGUCUUGAGUCCUAAAGAAAGCAAGAACCUCCAAGGUCAAAGGCAGAUCUUGGGUGAAUCCAAAUAAAAAUUUUGCCAUAAAGAAAGAUAUUUGAGAGUGAGAGUUCUCUUGAAAAUUUUUUUUUUUGAAAAAUCCAAAUAAAAACUUGGGUGCCACAUCCAUACAAGGUUUGAACGAUUUUUGACACCGUAUGAAAGUUGCGACACGUCUGCCCUUGUCAGCCUUUUUUGACCGAGAAAACGCUAAAAAAUGCAAAAUUUGUCAAAAAACCAAAACAACCUGUCAUGUUGCCCUGAAUUGGUCAUACAAGGUCAUGAAAAAAUUGGGGUCAUUUCAAAGAUAUCGGGAAACAACGUACUCUCACCUGAACACCCUCCAUUGAUCAUGGUCUAUGUUUGGACACCCUUCAAAUCACCCCAACUUUUGCAAGCAUGUGGGCAUGCCCAUAGUAGGCAUCCAUGUCAAGUUUAAAUGAUUUCCGACAUCGUAUGCAAGUUGUGACAUGUUCGGCCAUUUAUCGGUCUCUUUUGAUCCAGAAAACUCCAGAAAAAUGCAAAAAAAUGUGCCCUCAACGAAUACCUGAACACCAUUCGUUGAACAUGAUCUAAUUUUGGACAUCUUCAAAAGACACCAAAUUUUGUAAAAUAGGUGGGCAUGCCCAUGGUAGGCAUUCGUGUCAGAUUUGAAUGAUUUUUGACACCAUAUGCAAGUUGCGACACGUUCGGCCGUUUGUCGGUCUUUUUUGACCGAGAAAUGCAAAAAGGCUCGAAAACCAAAACAUCUUAGCAUUGUGCCUUGAAGGAUGUUCGAAGGAAACAGUGAUACUGUCAGAAAGCAAACGUGGAGUGGCGACCAUCCGCUAUUCGUUUUAAGCACAAGAGUCUGGUUAAGCUCACCAUCUUCGACUUUCAACCUGAGGAGAACUUUGUGCGAUACGAUAGGCGCGUCAUGGAAAUUGCGGUGAGCAUGAAGGAGAUAUAUCUGCAUGACUGGCAGGUGUGCGAGGACUGCGGGUACUUGGAUCCCAAUAUCAAGGUUUGUCCUUCUCGGUAUCCGCGGACCAGCGAGGAGAAGGAUAUGUUGAGGGAGGAGAUUACUAAGGAGUUGCAGAUGGCUUCGCCUGCUAUGAUUCACUUUAGGUCCUCAUUAAUCUAGAGUCCAUUUAAAUCAUCACUAAAAUCUUGUACUCUUAUUUAUCGUCUAUGUAGCUGCAAGGAUCUUCUAUGCUCGCUCCAUAAUUCAGUAGUCACUUCAUUUGUAUUCUUAUUUAUUUAUCCCUCAACUCAAGCUUGUACUGAUGCCUUAGGGUGAAAAUAGUUAUUAAUAACUGUUGUGAAUAUCAUGAUCUUUUAUCUGUGGCACCUCUUACGAGAUUGAUAGAUUUUUUUGGAGAAGCUUAUCUUGGAAGUUAUAAACCAACGGAUGCACUUGUGUUUUCUGCUUGGUCUAUGUUAUACCAGUCCAUUAUGGCUAUAUGUAUAGUGUUCAGAUAUCUAGCCUGAUGCAUACCAAGUCCUUUUUGCUUGUGGUUGACCUAGCCCGACCUCUCAAUUUUUAAUUUUUUUCGCGAAUACGCAAAGCUUGCGUAUCAUUGCAUUGAUAGAAAGAGCAGAAUAAGUACUGAUAAGGCACAUGACACGAACGCAGACAGGCGUGAACAUGGUGUCCGGAGCAGAAAGACAAGGGAUGCUCAGCCCGAGGAGAAGAUACAACACAGCUAAACCUACCAAACCCAAACAAAGAGCGGCAAACUCGAACUAACAAGGUCACCAACAUCGCCGGAGCCAAGACCGGGAACACCGCGAGCAAGCAAGAUGGCGCCUUCAAGAAGGAAUACGAUGCCGAGACACCGUCGCCAUCCAGUCCGGAGGAACCGGACCUAGGGUUUCCCCUCAGGUUGAAGAGGGGCGUAGCCGAGGGCCUUGACAACGCCUCCAAGGAGGAAACGACAUCCGCAUACGCCGCCGUUGCCAGCAUCGGCAAACCGAGCAGGGAUUUCUCCCUGGCCCGAGGCUGAGCAAUCCCAUAGUCGCCGAAUCUGGAAACGAGGAUGAGGAAGCCAACUCUGAUCGGAGCCACCAUGUCGAAAGGGGGGUUGGCGGGCUGCACCUGCCGUCGGAGGGUGGCACCUCCUCCAGAUCCACGAGCAUUGGAUAUGGCAAAAAGGGAAGGCUUUGAAGUGUACAAGGUAGGGUAGACUGUGAAUUAAACCACGAGGGGGUGGGGCGACGGCGAACAGCAACGCCGGCAAGCUAGGAUUGGAGGUACGCAGAUCCGAGCUGCCGUGGCCAUAGCCGUCGAGAUGUCGAGGAGCCAGGCGAGCUGGAAGGGACGUAGCUGUUUGGUUCUCGAGGCCGGAGCCGCCCGGCAAAGCACACCGGCAGCCAUGGACACCGGAGAGACGCGGGUCCAAGUUCGCCGGGGCCGGAGCAGCGCCAGCAAGUACCCGUCUUGAGGGACUUCAUGACUGCUUCUAGCAAUGUAGCUUCGUCGCCUCCGCGCAUGAGCCAUCACCAUGGCUCGGGAGGGAGAGGUUGUCGGAUACAAGGGGGCCGCCUGCAGGAAGGCAGACUAUGAACACCCCCGCGACCGGCCGCAGAUCCCGCACCCAACCCACGACCAGUCGCACCAGCAGGGCAUGGCCUCGCCACGGAGGGUGGAGGGAAGGGCUACUGGGGAGGGCGUAAGGCAGGGACGUGCAGCAGCGCCCGCGCCAGAGCCAGGGUGGGGCCGGGGGUGGGGGGACGCGUGGGGGACGGAUCCGGCCGGCGGCAGCAUCCUGGGGCAUGGCGCGGCCUCGCCGGUCAGCCCACCGGCGGCAGCGCGGCGGAAGCGGGCNNNNNNNNNNNNNNNNNNNNNNNNNNNNNNNNNNNNNNNNNNNNNNNNNNNNNNNNNNNNNNNNNNNNNNNNNNNNNNNNNNNNNNNNNNNNNNNNNNNNNNNNNNNNNNNNNNNNNNNNNNNNNNNNNNNNNNNNNNNNNNNNNNNNNNNNNNNNNNNNNNNNNNNNNNNNNNNNNNNNNNNNNNNNNNNNNNNNNNNNNNNNNNNNNNNNNNNNNNNNNNNNNNNNNNNNNNNNNNNNNNNNNNNNNNNNNNNNNNNNNNNNNNNNNNNNNNNNNNNNNNNNNNNNNNNNNNNNNNNNNNNNNNNNNNNNNNNNNNNNNNNNNNNNNNNNNNNNNNNNNNNNNNNNNNNNNNNNNNNNNNNNNNNNNNNNNNNNNNNNNNNNNNNNNNNNNNNNNNNNNNNNNNNNNNNNNNNNNNNNNNNNNNNNNNNNNNNNNNNNNNNNNNNNNNNNNNNNNNNNNNNNNNNNNNNNNNNNNNNNNNNNNNNNNNNNNNNNNNNNNNNNNNNNNNNNNNNNNNNNNNNNNNNNNNNNNNNNNNNNNNNNNNNNNNNNNNNNNNNNNNNNNNNUCAGGAGCCGCUACGGAAGAACUUGUUAAUAGAGAUACUAUACCUCUCUCAAUUUUGGAGGUGGUAAAAUUUAUAUUUAGGUCUGCAUGAGCAAGCCUUUUCUUUUUUUUCUGCUGAUUUGAGCAAUCAGCACUCGAUGACACCAGAAAAAUUUAUGAUGCAUGGUUAUGGCUGACAACUUCACACGGUCAGGGAGCAGAGCGGUAAAUCUAAGCCGGUUGUUGCUUGGUGUGGAGAUUAAUGAAACGACAACAUCAAACUGGACUUCUGGAACCAGUGUUAAGUUUGAAGUGAGCAUCUAGUCAAAUUCAACUGUUUGCAUCAAUUUUAGUUUGUACAACUUCUCUUAUUAGCUGUCCUUUCCCUCCAGCAUAUCUGUCCUGUUAAUAAUGAUGGGUGCUCCAUAGCCAGGAACCACCGCGGCUUUCCCCUAACAUGCAGGUGAUCGCAGUACUUUUUCGGGUGUGCCCUUUGAUACAGUAAAGGUUAAAGUUUCUAUUUCGCUGGAAAGUAUAAACUUUGUUGCGUUCGACUAAGUUCUCUCAGUUUUAGAAGUGGUAAAAAAUAAAUUUAGGUCUACACAAGCAAAGUCUUAUUGACUGGGGCAGACAUUGAACGUACUGUUGAUCUCACUUUGGAUCAGGUAUGUCUACCCGAGUUGCAUUUUUUCAGACAUAUGUCACUGCACUUGUGAUUAAUUUGGGAGUAGAGGUAACACGAACCAUAAUAUAAUUUUGAAACCAUAUAUAAUUUUGCCACCUUACAUCUAUUUAAAACAAGAUAUUCCAUAUAGCUUGGCGCCCUGAUUUUGGAUUUUCAUGAAGCUGGAUGCUUUCUGUAGUCAGGGCCAAGCAUGGUAUGCUCUUCAUUUCGUUUCUUUCUUGAGCCACCCAGUAGUGGUGGUUCAGAGCCUGGACGAUAUUCUUGGGAUAACAUGGGAUUAUCUCCAUCAAGUCAGUGGUAUGUAAGAUCCUUGAAGCCUUCUGAGCUAGCAGCUAAUUGAUUUCAAAAUUUAUUUUUGUUGGUAUGUGUUCCUCGGGGAAAUGUCAAACUUCUUAGUUGUUACUUUUUGUAGCAGUGUUACCUGUUAGUCGAAGUGAAAAAAUAGAUAGAAUAAAAUAAAGCACGACAUUCUCAGAAAACUUGGUAAUUUGAAACUUGAAAGCGCCUGUCAUCUUAUGAUCUAGCAUUGCAUGACCUGGAUGAAAGUGAAAUGGUGAACCUGUUGGUCAAAGUGAUACUAUUAAUUAUUGGACUGAUGUAAAUUUGGCAGGUGUCUGCACCGUGAUUUGUGGAGGUCACUGAACAUUCUGGCUUUUGAUGAGACAUAUAUAUACUACAUCACGAAUGACUUGCUGUAAAUUUAAAGAUUGUGUCAUGACUCAUGUCAACUUUUACAGAAAACCACGAGUAGGCUGACCUAAUUAUGAUGUUUUGGUAUUUAAUUACCUAAUAAAUUUAUGCAAGCGAGUGUUUGUUUGUUUGUUUCUGAUGGUUGUUUACAUGAUGUAAACAUCAACAAUUUUAGAGCUGCGUUGGGGGUUUAAUGUUCUAGUAUUUCACUCCAUGACCGAGAUGGGCACGGGCAAGAUCACCAAACUGAAAAUAGCCAUCAGUAAUAACAACAAGACAAUCAGAGUCUAUUGCUCCAUACAUGCCGACGAGAAUGAAUCUCAUACACGGUUACUAGAAGAAAAUGGCACAAUCAUGGAUGGUAUUAAUUAAGUGGAGACAAGAAAGUGGCAACUAAAACACACAACAAUCAGGAGGAUCGGGUCCUGUCUUGUCCUCGAAAGCACAGCACACACAAGAGAAAAGAGCAGCCUGGACCGGAUCGGACCACAUACAAGGAAGGAAAUGGACAAGACAUGCAUCAGAUCAUACACACCCGCACCGCACUCAUGGCUUCACUCCUUGCUGAAGCACCCGUUCGCCAUGACCUGCCCGAGGACGCAGGGAGCAAACAUCAUCGUGUUGAGAGGGCAGGCCUUCCCGAUCUGCACCAGGCAAGCGAUGCAUGCUGCAGGGCACAGCUUGGAGUGGAUGAUGUCCUCCAUCAGUGCGAGAACCUCAAGGCUCAGCUCGUCGGAUGGUAGGACGUCGUCAUUGCCGGCCUCGGCUAGCAUCACCAGCUGGCUGGUGAGCAGAAGAGCCAGGAGGAGCAUCACCACCACCUUCCGGUCAGCCAUCUUCUUACAGCUAGAGCGCGAGUUUGUGUGGCCUGGCUGAGUGGGUGUUUACUUGUGUGUUCUGCUAGCUGUGUGUUUGGGCGGGCGUGGGCGUGCUAUUUAUAGACAGAAUCUGAGGCUCCACGAUGCACAUAUAUGUGCUCUUCUUCUUCAUUCUUACUUUCUUCUUUGACUGUGUGUGUGCAGUGACCAACCUUGAAUGAGUUUUAAUUACUUGCUACGAUUUAAAAAUGGAUACCAGUUAGUGUCCACACAGCCCAGCCUAGCCAGUGCAAACAUACAUAUUUUCAUUAGCUACCUAGGCAGGCCUGAUGAACAAAUCUCUAAAUUGAUCGAUCAAAGGUAAUUCAGUGCGUUGCAUGAAAUCAAAGGUAACCCCCUCAAUUAUAGAGUAGUAGUUUCGGCGUGAUUACAUGAAUAUUAAGAAGAAGAAUCUAAAAAGUUGGGCAACAUAAAAAAAAAUCAUGAAUAUUAAAAAGUCAUCUCGUCCAUCUAAAAAAUCAUCAAGCUGAAUAAUAAUCUAAAAGGCACGGUCUCGCGGACGGACGGACGAACAAACCAAGUUACCAUGCAUGCAAGUUGCCACGAUCAAACCACAAGGCCAUGAACCAACCUUACCUGGUCUAAAGAGAGAGCUCUUUGAAGUUGGAAGCAGGCCAGGCACAUGACAUGCCCGCCCGCCCGCCCGCCCGCUAGGAAGGAUCACUAUCUUACUUACUUUUUUGGGGGAAGAGGAGCUUUGAUCUCGUCUUGUUGUUGCGAGAGGAGGGAGACCUAAGCUAGGAUGCGCCGGCCGUAUGACACAAGGGGAGGGCCGAGAGAGAGAGAGAGAUUUGCAAGUGCAGUGGUCACGGCUUGGGUACAAAACUGAGAGAGAGAGAGAGAGAGAGAGAGGGGGGGGAGGAUGGCGUUAGGCUUGGCUUAGGAUUGCACUACUAGUACUAGUACCUAGCUAGCUGGCUACUGUGUCCGGCCGGCAGCUAAGCUGAAUCGUUCACUCCGGAGACCCAACAUGAUCCAACGGCGCACAGCCCAGUGCAACAAGCACACGAUCCGUGUGCUCUCCUCUCAUUGGUCUAAAGUAUUUCUUUUCUUUUUUUCCUUCCUUAAGGUACAGUAAUGAAGCGAAGUUGGAUGCUUUGACAGUAACUUUUGUUCGGCCAAGCUGGAUGGUGGAUCCUAAUCUAGUCCACCAGGGACUUAUCUUACUUGGGCGUAAUCGGCUGUCAUGUUUGAUCCCCAGUCUCACUCAGGGCUCAUUCGAUUUCGAGGAAACUAAAACGUAGGAAUUACGAUUAGUAUAGGAAUGUGAUAGGGUGGCACUUGCCAUCCUAAGGAAUUGACUUGUCUCGUUCGUUCCUACGCGUAAAAUGAGCUUUAAGUGGAUGUGUAGUUUUCUCCAAAAACACAGAAAACGAGUAGUGUUCCUAUGAAUUUCUUGUACGCAUCUAAAUGCAUCUAUAGGAUCUUUUUUCUUCUCUGAAAUCCUUAUUCCUAUGUUUUUUCUAUAAAAAUCCUCCAAACCGAAUGAGGCCUCAUCAUGUAAAUAUGGCUGGUUACAUGUUGUAACAUUAAAAUCUAUUAUUACUAGCACAUUGACCAAACAUGCAUACAUAUACUCUACUAUUUGAGUUUACAACUAUCAUAGGCAGUGGUACAUCUAAUGAGAAUAUGUACGACUCACCCAUAGAAGGGAGCAUAAACAGGUGAGAUGAUGCAUUGCAGUUAUUAAUCCAAAAGCAAAGACAUGCUAACAUGAGUGCUUCAGUUUGACUCAAGAAAAGGGACCUCAUGAGGCCCCGACUAAGGAACCAAAUAAAAAACCAAGUCCUUCAGAGGCUUGGCAUCAUCCAUUUCCACAUCAGAAUUAGCAUGCAUCAUGCUUUUCUCUUGAUCUUCAUCUUGAUGUACCCAACACAAGUGCAACUUAGGCAAUAUAUGAUGACUGCUAGCAUGCUACUACUUCUGAAACCACAACUACAGCCAAUUGAACAUAUAAACCCUGAAGAAGUGGUAGUCACAACGAAGCUAGCCACGUCGCCUUUAAAUCGCUGCUGCCACCGCCUGUAAUUUUCAUUCCCCGCCGAGGGCAUCUUAGUAAUUUUCCCCCGCCGAGGGCAUCUUGGUAAUUUCACGUACAGAUGUAUAAAAGCCAGCUGCCUGUGGAGAAGACCUAGCCGCCCGCCACUCUCCUCUUUCUGCCGCCUCCACGCUCGCUUCCUCCUCCAUCCUCCCGCGUCAGUCGCACCCCCUCCUCCCCUCCCGCAUCUCGUCCACCCUGGGAUCCGGCGAGGUCGGGUCCUCGAGCCAUGGAGGCACUCGUCGCCGGUCCCUCGCAGUUGGCCUCCCGUGCGUCGCACCACCCCUCCUGCCGCCUCGGCUCUCUCCCCCCGCCUCGGCUCUCACCUCCAGCUGCAGCUCUAGAGGAGAGGAGAAGACAAAGACAGAGAGAUGGCCGCCGGUGCUGGCGCUGCUGCUGGCGUCGAUGCUGGCGGCCCCGCCGCCGACUGCUACUCCUCCACCGCCUCGCCUCUUCCUCCUCCUCGCCUUCCCAUCGCUCACGCGCAGGUCGCCCGACGGCAGGGAUGGUCAGGAAGGCUUCCCAGCCCGACGGUGCCGUCAUGGGAGCUGCAGGGCGGAGGUGAGGAUGCGUCGCUCGCGGAUUUGAUCGAGGGUGCCACGCCGCCGUCGCCGACUGGAUUUGCUCCUCCAUCGCCGCCGCGAGUCAACUCCACCGUUGUCGCCAGGAAUCCGUCCCCGGCAAGGUCUCCCUCGUUGCUCCUCCUCCUACAAUCUCUCCCACAAUGGUAUAGUACGGUGGUUUGAUUUGGUUCUUUUGGUGGUAUGUUCCCUACCGUCUCUCUUUUUUCAGUUUCUAACUUCGAUGCUUUGGUUUGUUGUUUUGUCCAGCAGGAGGAGCGGAAGGGGCCACGGAUGAGGAGGAAGGAGACUAGCAGGAGGAGGAGAUAUUCUUUUUCGAUUUGGUUCUCAUGCUGGCAUCUCCCUGCUGUCUGCUUUCCUUUUAGUUUCCAACUUUGAUGCUUGGAUUUGUUGUCUUGGCCAGCAGGAGUAGGAGGAGACAGGGAGGAUGAGGAAGGAGACAAGAAGGAGGAAGAGAAAAUCUUGCUUGCCUUAUGGACUCGCAAUAAACAGGUGUGUGUUGUGCUACUCAUGCCUUUUUUAAUCUCACUAACGACGGUGUUUUACUGGAUUGAAUCAGAGGAAGCUCAUAUUUGUUUCCUGGACAAUAUUUUCCUCAUGUGUUGCAUUCUGGAAAGGGUGUCUUUGGCCAGUUUUCUGUUCUUUCAUUGUUUCAAUUGUGUGACUCUACACAUGUAUCCUCACAAUUAGUGGCGCCUACAAGAAUGCCAGGCCUACCUGUAGCUUUUCUUAUGUAGUUAAAUAAAACAACUCAGGGUCUCACACUUUCCUUUCUUUCCAAUAUAAUAAGGCUGCUAUUGCCUGUUAAUACUUCACAUUGGUGAUGAGCUUUAAACCAGUUAUAGUUCAUCGAUUAUCUUAUGACUUUUUGAUAAACAUAAUUAUAUUUUAAUUUGCUCUAUUGUUUUCUUAUUUUUUCUAUCAAACUGCCAUAUAUGAUACACGAAGAAGCAUUUACCUGAAGACAUUAAUAGAGUUUUCAUGUAGAAUUUGUUCUUUUUUUUUGCUCCCUUAAAUUAGACGAUCAAGAAACCGGAUAAGCGUCACAUUGGUUCAGGCUUGGUGCUAGAUAGUUAGCUCCCAUUUAUCCUGGACAAGUACUGUAUUCUCAAAUCUAUAUGGUUAGUUGUACCUCUUCUUUGAUGUUGGCGCUACAGAUCCAUCUCGGUCAUUUAGGGAAACUGAAAUCUGCAUCUUCAACUCAUAGUUUGCCAAUUUGGAUUAUUUAUGAGAACAAUCCUACCUGGUUAUAUCCUUGACAAAAUUUCUUGAGAUUUAUUGAUAUUGUUCUUGGAUACUUAUAGAGUCAAACUUUGCAGGCAAUUGGUUGGGCUACAUGAUAGACACUUUAAUAUAUCUUCUUGGAAGCCGCUUAGUGUUCCAAUGAAUAAUUGUCGCUGGUGUGGUGAACGCCUUCAUUGUUUGGUGGGCUGCUUCCUGCCUGGUGUGGUUGAAGAAUUUUCAGAGGUAUGGUUCAUCUUUCGUGCAGCCUUUAGUUUGAGUUUCUGUUGACACAUUAAAUUUCCCUUUCCUGUAGACCCCUCCUUUUUCGUUUUAUUAGUUGGGUGUAAUAGCAAAUCAUCUAUAAUUAUUUUGUUUAACUACAAUCUGAUGCAAAAGAGUUCUGUUUAGUUCUCAUAGUUCAUCCAUUAUAUGUUUGCUUUCAAAACAAAGAAAUCGGCUGUCCAAGUUCUGAUCAUGCUCUUAUUGAGAUUCAGUCCUCCUUGAUCUUUUUUCUGUAUGCUUGCAUCUCCUUAGCAUCCAAGUUCUGAUCAUGCUACAAUCUUGUUUUAAAUUUAUAUGGAUCGAUUAUCUUAUGACUUUUUGAUAAACAUAAUUAUAUUUUAAUGUGCUCUAUUGUUUUCUUAUUUUUUCUAUCAAACUGCCAUAUAUGAUACACGAAGAAGCAUUUACCUGGAGACAUUAAUAGAGUUUUCACGUAGAAUUUGUUCUUUUUUUUGCUCCCUUAAAUUGGACGAUCAAGAAACCUGGUAAGCGUCACGUUGGUUCAGGCUUGGUACUAGAUAGUUAGCUCCCAUUUAUCCUGGACAAGUACUUUAUUCUCAAAUCUAUAUGGUUAGUUGUACCUCUUCUUUGAUGUUGGCGCUACAGAUCCAUCUCGGUCAUUUAGGGAAACUGAGAUCUGCAUCUUCAACUCAUAGUUUGCCGGUUUGGAUUAUUUAUGAGAACAAUCCUACCUGGUUAUAUCCUUGACAAAAUUUCUUGAGAUUUAUUGAUAUUGUUCUUGGAUACUUAUAGAGUCAAACUCUGCAGGCAAUUGGUUGGGCUACAUGAUAGACACUUUAAUAUAUCUUCUUGGAAGCCGCUUAGUGUUCCAAUGAAUAAUUGUCGCUGGUGUGGUGAACGCCUUCAUUGUUUGGUGGGUUGCUUCCUGCCUGGUGUGGUUGAAGAAUUUUCAGAGGUAUGGUUCAUCUUUCGUGCAGCCUUUAGUUUGAGUUUCUGUUGACACAUUAAAUUUCCCUUUCCUGUAGACCCCUCCUUUUUCAUUUUAUUAGUUGGGUGUAAUAGCAAAUCAUCUAUAAUUAUUUUGUUUAACUACAAUCUGAUGCAAAAGAGUUCUGUUUAGUUCUCAUAGUUCAUCCAUUAUAUGUUUGCUUUCAAAACAAUGAAAUCGGCUGUCCAAGUUCUGAUCAUGCUCUGAUUGAGAUUCAGUCCUUGAUCUUUUUUCUGUAUGCUUGCAUCUCCUUAGCGUCCAAGUUCUGAUCAUGCUACAAUCUUGUUUCAAAUUUAUAUGGAUCGAUUAUCUUAUGACUUUUUGAUAAACAUAAUUAUAUUUUAAUUUUCUCUAUUGUUUUCUUAUUUUUUCUAUCAAACUGCCAUAUAUGAGACACGAAGAAGCAUUUACCUGAAGACAUUAAUAGAGUUUUCACGUAGAAUUUGUUCUUUUUUUGCUCCCUUAAAUUAGACGAUCAAGAAACCUGAUAAGCGUCACGUAGGUUCAGGCUUGGUGCUAGAUAUUUAGCUCCCAUUUAUCCUGGACAAGUACUGUAUUCUCAAAUCUAUAUGGUUAGUUGUACCUCUUCUUUGAUGUUGGCGCUACAGAUCCAUCUCGGUCAUUUAGGGAAACUGAAAUCUGCAUCUUCAACUCAUAGUUUGCCAGUUUGGAUUAUUUAUGAGAACAAUCCUACCUGUUUAUAUCCUUGACCAAAAUUUCUUGAGAUUUAUUGAUAUUGUUCUUGGAUACUUAUAGAGUCAAACUCUGCAGGCAAUUGGUUGGGCUACAUGAUAGACACUUUAAUAUAUCUUCUUGGAAGCCGCUUAGUGUUCCAAUGAAUAAUUGUCGCUGGUGUGGUGAACGCCUUCAUUGUUUGGUGGGCUGCUUCCUGCCUGGUGUGGUUGAAGAAUUUUCAGAGGUAUUGUUCAUCUUUCGUGCAGCCUUUAGUUUGAGUUUCUGUUGACACAUUAAAUUUCCCUUUCCUGUAGACCCCUCCUUUUUCGUUUUAUUAGUUGGGUGUAAUAGCAAAUCAUCUAUAAUUAUUUUGUUUAACUACAAUCUGAUGCAAAAGAGUUCAGUUUAGUUCUCAUAGUUCAUCCAUUAUAUGUUUGCUUUCAAAACAAAGAAAUCGGCUGUCGAAGUUCUGAUCAUGCUCUUAUUGAGAUUCAGUCCUCCUUGAUCUUUUUUCUGUAUGCUUGCAUCUCCUUAGCGUCCAAGUUCUGAUCAUGCUACAAUCUUGUUUUAAAUUUAUAUGGAUCGAUUAUCUUAUGACUUUUUGAUAAACAUAAUUAUAUUUUAAUUUGCUCUAUUGUUUUCUUAUUUUUUCUAUCAAACUGCCAUAUAUGAUACACGAAGAAGCAUUUACCUGAAGACAUUAAUAGAGUUUUCACGUAGAAUUUGUUCUUUUUUUGCCCCCUUAAAUUGGACGAUCAAGAAACCUGGUAAGCGUCACGUUGGUUCAGGCUUGGUACUAGAUAGUUAGCUCCCAUUUAUCCUGGACAAGUAAUGUAUUCUCAAAUCUAUAUGGUUAGUUGUACCUCUUCUUUGAUGUUGGCGCUACAGAUCCAUCUCGGUUAUUUAGGGAAACUGAGAUCUGCAUCUUCAACUCAUAGUUUGCCGGUUUGGAUUAUUUAUGAGAACAACCCUACCUGGUUAUAUCCUUGACAAAAUUUCUUGAGAUUUAUUGAUAUUGUUCUUGGAUACUUAUAGAGUCAAACUCUGCAGGCAAUUGGUUGGGCUACAUGAUAGACACUUUAAUAUAUCUUCUUGGAAGCCGCUUAGUGUUCCAAUGAAUAAUUGUCGCUGGUGUGGUGAACGCCUUCAUUGUUUGGUGGGCUGCUUCCUGCCUGGUGUGGUUGAAGAAUUUUCAGAGGUAUGGUUCAUCUUUCGUGCAGCCUUUAGUUUGAGUUUCUGUUGACACAUUAAAUUUCCCUUUCCUGUAGACCCCUCCUUUUUCAUUUUAUUAGUUGGGUGUAAUAGCAAAUCAUCUAUAAUUAUUUUGUUUAACUACAAUCUGAUGCAAAAGAGUUCUGUUUAGUUCUCAUAGUUCAUCCAUUAUAUGUUUGCUUUCAAAACAAAGAAAUCGGUUGUCCAAGUUCUGAUCAUGCUCUGAUUGAGAUUCAGUCCUCCUUGAUCUUUUUUCUGUAUGCUUGCAUCUCCUUAGCGUCCAAGUUUUGAUCAUGCUACAAUCUUGUUUCAAAUUUAUUCUAAUAGAUGUAUGUACCAUGAUGAUUGAGGAGGCGUAUCGAUGGAAAUAAAUCUGAAGAAAAUAAGUAAGUCGCCUCCAUCAGCGAGGCUGUGAACAACUCGUGGUGCCCCUGUUAACCUCCUCAAUGUUUGCGUUGUUUGCCUGUAGGUCAAAUGCCCACUAUUCAGCAGACAUGUAACUCUGUUUCUUAAAUCCCUUUCUCUAUUCAUCGCCCUGUUGAUACAUGCUUAGCAAUCAUAUAAAUUGUACUCAUAUAUAAUUUAAUAUAUCUCAGAUACAGUGUCCAGAUCAUUUAGGAACCAGCGUCACUUCAAAAAAAGAUAGGACCUGAUACACAUUACAUUCAUGGACUGCUGAUAUACCUGAUGCAUUUCUUCAUGAUGGUCGGUUUCCUUUCACCAGAUCUGACAUAUUUAAUUCUGUGUGCUUGGAACCCGAAACUGAUCGAGAUCUUCAGUUCUUACUUGCAGAUGUUCUGUUAUUCAGAGUAAUUCAGUUUCCAGUCUCUGUAUAUUAAUCAAAUUAUGGGUUAUUUUCAACCUUAUACCCUUUUAUUAUGUGUUCAGUUAUGUUUCCAUGGGUUUGCAUAUGUAUUAACAAUAAAAAACAGACUAUUAUUUUGUUUAUACUUGAACCAAAGGGUGUACAAUUAAUUUGCUCUUACGAAAGGAAUGAGUAGUCAGCUAGCUGAAUGAGAUGACAAUCAUGACAAGCGAACCAACACAUGUAGAGAAAUGUUAUUUUCCAGUUCAUUGUGAAAGAAGGCACAUAAGUUUUCAGAGUUCUAGAAUGUGUUUCAUUAAGAAACAAUUAUAACACUGUACUCUAACAAAUCACACAUAUGGAGAAAUGUUAUUUUCGAGUCUCCAUAACAUACUGAUCUUUUUUUAGAUAUAUGAACUUGCAUUCGCUUUGUUAAUUCUUCUGCAAUGCAGGUAAUAUUCCUAAUCAUUGCUGCUGACGCUGAAAAACUACUCCUGAAGCACUAGAAGUGCCCUCUCUAUGGCGCAUCACUCACUGGAUCCAGAUGGGCAACAUUCCGCUUCAAAAUUAAAGAGUACAGUUUUUGCCUGCCAUCAUUGCUUACCAAGAGUAAUCUACCAUGUGCCUAAUAUAUAUAUACAUAAUUGUUGCACCAUCACAAGAUUCCCAGGAUAUACAUGGGCAUAACUUUCUUUACUGUGAAUUAAUCGACAUGAUGCUGACAGGAGGAAAGGCAGGCUGUCAUUUCUAAAGGUUGAGAUUUUCUGUUUUAAGGAAUAGCAAUGCUAAAUUCUACAAUGGUACUCUGUCGAAUGUUUACAAAUACCACGAAGCUAGAGAUCUAUUGUGAAAACUUUCUUUCUUUUGUUUGUUAUAAGUUUUUAGUCAAAAAAACAUGACUUUUCCAUUACCAAACAAAUAUGUAAGAUUUAUUGCUUUUCUAACCGAAGUGUUCCUGACAAUUACAUAUGAGAGUACAUAUAACUGAGUUGUGCUGACUUGCUUUUUCUAAACUGGUAAGCUGGAGUCAGAGUUACAUAUGAGAGUAGAGAUAAUUAAGUUCUGCUCCUGACUUGAUUAACAAAAGCUAUAGAAGAAAGGGACCAAAUACCAGACAGCUGAAAAUUCAAAGAAAGGUGGAAGUAGGGAACUACACAACUUGAUUCAAGGUUACAAAUGGACAAAGGGCAUCUAUUGAGCAGCAGAAAACAAUAAUGGACUGAGCUAAGGAUAUAGUGGUCAAUUAGUAAAGAGAUCUGUGGUAAGUGUAGCAGCGGGACGCAAACGGAACUUUUGUGACUUACUGAAGUCGAGCAGGAGUUCAGAAAAGAAAUUGCAACCGAAGUAGAACCUCUUCACCAAGAGAACAUAGGGAUUUUAAGUUUUUUGUAGCCUGCACCGGAGACUGUAGAGUUAAGUUUCUACAUCUUAGUGUACAGUUUAACUAUAUAAGGUUACUUACUAUGUAGUAAAUAUUGGCUUUUGCCAUUGCUGAUCAAGUCCUUCUCUCUGUGCUUGGAAGCAUAAACCUACUUAGUGAUCCGUUUUCAGUUAAGCUAAACUUAUAUCUUUCUGCUAACAUUUUAGUGCUCUAAUGAUUAUUCAGAAGGGGAUUUGCAUGUUCCUAGAUGCAUAGCCUUUCUUAUAUAUGUUUUCAGAAGACUGGAUUUUUUAGGGAUAACAUUGGGAUUUAAGAUAGUUUUUUUUUGUUGAAUUCGGGAACUGAAAUCCGAAUAAACCAUAUCUUGAGAGGCCAGCAUAAUGGUACUUGAAAUAAAUGCUAAUCCGCACUCACAUCUUAUGGUGAUUUGGUCAAAGCUACUACUAAGCGAAGAUAUUUAACAUGCUAUAAGAAGUUAUGGCUUUUGUGUUCCGAUAUAAUAACUAACAAAAAGAUUAGCCCUAUGGAGGCAUGCGGGAGUACGAGGGACGAGAACACUGGGCCUCGAGUUGCAUACAUACAUGCAGGACCCGCCCUCCCACCAUGAAACAAGUCAACAACAAUAUAAAUCAAAAUCGAGUGAGAAUAUGAGGGACAAGGGAUGGACCAUAUGAAUAGUAUAACUGUUUAUUGAAGAGUCUCAUAUGGUGAAAAUUGAGGGUUCUUGCAUACAUGGUGCAGUUCGGUUCGACGUCUAGGUGGUCACAUGCCCAGGCUUCCUCAAUGAUUGAGGAGUUACAACCAGGAGUACCAUGCCUCUCAUGUAAGUGCAUUCAAAUAUUACAUGGUUACAUGCGAGAAUUUGUUUCUCCAGGUGCAACGCACGAGCAUAUGUCCUAGUAAUACUCACAAAAGCCUUGUGCACCGGCUCAUUCCGAUUGCGCAAGUGUAUUAUAUUCGGGCUCAUCCCGCGGAAGGCCUUGUGCACCGGCUCAUUCUUCCUGCCGUACAAGCAGUGUAUCCGGGGUUCACCCUGCUUGUGGAUAAAAAUGUGUCGCUAUUUCUCGCACACAACGUUGUCCCGUUUUGGAACGACCGACCUUAUUCUGGGCGCAAGGAGCCAAAUGCCGGGGUCCGAGGAUGAGAGCGGACGCCAAGGCCAAGUCCUAACAACAUUUUUAGCAGACCCCGUAUAAAGCCGCGACCCAUAAAAUAACCGCCAAAAUACGGGUCGGCUCGGAAAAUCCCGCCCCACCAGACCCAGCAAACACGUUCGACCCGUAUGUUUUUUGAGGGGCGCGGCAAAAUCCCGUCCUCAACCCAUGAAACGCAGGUUUCUGCCCCGCCCCUACGGUGCCCCGUAUCCCAGAAAAGCGGUUGGCGGGAGGGACAUUUCAGCCCGCGCUCUUUCCCCACCCCUUUCCGCCGCCGCUCGCCAUUGGUUCCGCCCGUCCGCCGACGGUGAUUCCGGCCAAACCUGCGGACGCAAGCGGGCCACGGGGGCGCCCCUACCCUCUUCCGCCGAGCCGCUGCCCCGGCUCCCCGGAUCCGCCGAUCCGAGUCGCCCCUAACCGCCGUCGCCACCCGGGAUCCGCCGCCCACGAGCCACCCCUAGUCGUCGCCGCCGCCUCCGCAUCCCCUGCCGGAGAGCCACCGCCCCGAGCAGCCGGUGUGUAUGUACUUGUGCUAGUGCCGAUCGGUAUGCAUUGUUAAUUAACGCGGCAGGCGGUUUGUGAAUUUAGAUGGAAUUGAGCCCGUGCGAGAAGUUUUUACUAGACGAUUCAUCCGAUUCAGACGACUCGGAUGUUGAGACGCUGCUUGUCAACUACUGCCAGCAGAUGUUGGUGAUGGCCCUUGCCGUCAAGGAGCACGAAGAUGAGAACCGAAAGAGGCGGCGAUGAUCGACCUUCGGACGUCUUUGCAUUCCUCAAAAUUGCCAUCUCAAAAAUGAGAUAUUGAUGCAAGACUACUUCACGGACAGUCCAACAUAUCCGCCGCACCCUCUUUGUCAAAAUUGUGCAAGCUUGCGAGGCCAAUUGUCGGUAUUUUACUCAAAGAAGAAAUGCUGCUGUUGACACCACAUUUUGGCAUGACAUAAAAGGCAAAUAAGAUGACCUCGAGUGAAAGGGUUUUCAGCGUGAAAAGUUUCACGUCGCCGAGUGGAACAACUUUGAUGUUUCGGUUAUCGUCAUCCGACCUUAUCUUAGGGACCGAAAUUGUACUCCGAGUGGCAGGAUUCAGUGUUCUGAGUGGUUUUCGGCUGAUCACACUUUCAAGACGGCCUCGGAUGAAGGAGCACUCUAAAGGAAUUGUCUUCGUCUUGUCGAGGCAAUCGAUUUUGAUAUAUAAAUUAUCUCAAUCCUAAUUCAUAUGCAAAAGUUAGAGACAAUACACUACAGACCGAACCUAAACGAAAAUAUGGCGCGAAGUACCAGACACCCUGUCUGAUGGGUCGCGCGAGCAAUUAGGCCCUCAAGAUGGCCUUGAAUCGAAAAACCUUCAACACGGGAAAGUUUCGUCUCGUCGAGACGAUCGAUUUUCAUAUAUAAUACGUCUCAAUUCGAGGUCGUAUGAGACCUGGAGAGACAAAUCAAGAUCAGGCUAUGUUUUCAGUCGGGAAUUCCGAGUGAAAACUUACCGAUCGAGUGAAAGUUUGCCAUCUGGGUGAACUUAUUUUCAUCCGAGUGAAAAUAUUGUUAUCCGAGUGAAAAGAUUACCAUUGGGAUGAAAGCUUGCCGAUUGAGUAAGAUAUUGCCUUCCGAGUGAAAAUAUAGUCAUCCGAGUGAAAGAUUGUCUUCCGAGUGAAAAUUUUGCCAUCCGAGUGAAAGAUCCUAACAUCCGAGUGAAAAAGUCCAGUCGGACGAUCCGAGUGAAUGACUCCAAUAUCCGAGUGGAUGAGCUCGAAUCCGAAUGAAACUGAACAUGUGCCCGAAAGUUUAUCAAGAUUACCUCGGAUGGAGAAGUGUUCAAUACGGAAGUUGUGCAUAUUGUCAAAACGGUAAACUUUGGUUUUGGAGUCAUCAUCAUCAGAGAUAGUAUAUGGCCUGCAAAUUCACUACGAGACUCGGACAAUCCAGUCUGCUGCAAGACCGAGUCCGACUGGAAGGUAAAGAUGACCUCGAAAAGUAUUCAAGAUGGCCUUAUUUGAAAAAGUGAUCAACAUGAGAGUUGUUCGUAUCGUCAAGGCGCACAAGUUUGAUAUUUGGGUCGUCUUGAUCGGAGAUCAUAUGCAAGCUCGACGGACCGCGCAAGGAGGAAGACAGAAGUUGGGCCAGAUUCAGACUGAAUCCGAGUUGGAAUAGAACUAGGACUCUAGGGCGUGAAUUGAUGUAAUUUUUUGUAAGGAAAGCCUAGAUGAAUCCUUUACUUGUACGGGAAGUCCAGCCGCCUCUUAUAUAUGUUGGGGUGAUGGUCGAUUGAACAACACCAAUCGAACCAAUCAAUCUAUUACACUUUUGUGUUCAUCUAUCUUUAUCGCCUACCCUUGUAUCUUUCUUUCUCGUUCUUCGUUCAUUCUUCGCAUUGGAGGGCAGCGAUCCAUGAGUCUCUAGGGGCGAGCGAAUCGACCUAGGGCAGCCCAUAGCCGCCGCACUCCCUGACGGGGUCCCUCCCGGGCGUGUGGCGUUUCGGGUCUUCAAAAGCGCCCACCGACUGUCCUGCGUAUCGCGCUGUCGGUCGGGUCUCCUUCGACGUGAGUUGUGGUGCAUCACCCCCGGCGUAGAGGGUACACGUGACGUGUUCGUGUGUCAACAGCUACGGGCUUGAAGGGAUUUAGUGCAUAUCAAAAAUCUCGGCAGCUAUGCGGGUAAUUGCAUACGGCAUUCCGGCUGACUAUGCCGAUGAGUACCUUCGCAUUGGUGAAGAUGCUACAAUUGAGUGAGUGCGUAGGUUAGCCAAAGUGAUCAUCCGUGUCUUUGGUCCUGAAUAUCUUCGGGCACCCAACGAGGAAGACACAAAAAAAUUGAUGGCAGCUAAUGAUAGAAGAGGUUGGCCUGGCAUGCUAGGUAGCAUAGAUUAUAUGCAUUGGACAUGUAAAAAUUGCCCAAAGGCAUGCCAGGGAAUGUAUUGUGACAAGUCUCGUGAUGCAACAAUUGUGCUAGAGGCCGUAGCAUCCGAGGAUUUAGAAUUUCGCAUUGCUUUUUUGUUAUGCCGGGUACUCUCAAUGAUAUCAAUGUGUUGUAACGGUCUCAUUUGUUUGCUAGGCUUGCUCGUGGUGAUGCUCCUGUUUGCAACUACACUAUCCAUGGGCAUGAAUACACAAAGGGGUACUAUCUUAGAGAUGGUAUAUACCCUCUUUGGUGCACAUUUGUCAAGAGCAUCAGAGAGGCCCAAACUAGUAAAUAAUGUGAAUUCACAAGGGUACAAGAGGCAACCCGAAAAGACAUUGAAAGAGCAUUCAGGGUUUUGCAAUCUAGUUUUGCCAUAGUUUGUGGUCCUGCUCAUUUUUGGGACAAGCGAACCUUGAAAAACAUCAUGACAUGUUGUGUUAUUCUUCACAAUAUGAUAAUCGAAGAUGAGAUAGGCAUGAACUUGGAGUUCUUCUACUACAAUGUGGGUAGCCGUGUCAAACCAGUUAGAGACCCUAACCGCACUAGAGCUUUUCUUCAGACCUACAAGGAGAUUGAACAUGCAAACACCCACUUUUAGCUUUAGGAGGAUCUCAUUGAGUACCAUUGGCAAAGGGCUGGCCAGUAACACAUUCCAUUUUUCCAUUCAUUUUCAUUUAAUUCAUUUGUGAUUUGUAUUCGGGACAAGUUUUGUAUUGAAUUAUUCAGUUUGCUUCGGUGAUUUGAAUAAUUAUUGUAAUUUGGAUAAUUGUUGUAUCGUCAAAUUGACAUUUUUCCUUACAUUGCAAAUUAGCAAUUCUGAAUAUGUGCAUAUGUGUCAAAUUCAGAUAAAACCGCAAACGACUUUGCAAGCCGGCGCGGUUGGGCAUAGAGUAAGACACCGCAUAGCGGAACUGUAAAAUGGAAUAUCAGCGAAUAUUCCUUUUUACAGUUCGGUUUUGCGGGGUCUGACUCUGCGCCCGCCCGCCCCGGCCGGCAAAGCCGUUUUUCGACGAACUGUAAACGUGUUUUGUGUGUCGGCGUUAUACGGGGUCUAAUAGAGAUGCUCUAAGUCUUUCACAGCUCCCGGAAGCAAAACUAGCUGCUAGAGUGCAUUGUUCCGUCAUCCAAUUUUGACCGAGUCAACAAUUUCUCAAAGCUCUCUCAUCCAAUUCUUUUAUUCUAUACACUAUGCUUCUUAAUUUUUGAAGGCCCAUAAUUAAUUGAGGUAUUCAAUUUAGAUUUGGGUCAUCCAGUUUUGACCUGGUCAACAAUUUCUCAAGCUACCCCAUUCAAUUCUUUUAGUUCACUAUGUUCCCUGAUUUUGAAGCUCUUUCAUUCAGGUAUUCAAUUUUGUAUUUGGUUUACGAUUUUAACUGUGCCAAUGAUUUUUCAAGUCAAUCACCAGCAACCGGCUUAUAACAACAUAAUAAUCCGGUGCACCUUCCCACCACCUGGAAAAAAGAAGCCUCAUCAUGUGAUAUUGUAGCACUAAUAUAGUAUAUAUGCAGCCAUCGACACAAAAAUUUCCCCACAUAAAUAUAGCUUGGUUAGUGUAUAACACAUAAUCACACCAGGAAAGGCCCACCAAAUCAACGCGUUAUAAAUAAAUAAACAUAAAACACACUAUCGUCUCCCGCACCGGCCAAACUAAAUAUCCCAUCAGUUUCAAAUAUAAGGGGUAUUAGUAUUUUAGAAAGUCAAAAUUAUUUAUCUUUGACCAAGUUCAAAGAAAAAAUAUCGACAUCCAUAAUAUUAAACAAAAAAGGUAUAGAAAUUCAUUUCGUGAUGAAUCUAAAAAUACUGAUUUGAUAUUAUGGUUUUUGACAUAUUUUUGUAUAAAUUUAAUCAAAUUGAAAAGGUUUGCCUUUUCAAAAAGGCAGUAUACCUUAUAUGUUUAAAUAGAGUGAUUAUUUGUUGAGAAACCCAACAACACGAACGACGUAACAAAGCGCGUCCAACCUUUCUAGUUCAGAUGAUUUUCAAAAGAAAAGUACUGAUGGUCCUCCAUGAUGCAUGGCCAUGUCAGAAGUAGAUCAGUAGAAUUUUAUCAGGAAUGACCCCGUGCAUGCCUUCCUCAUAACAUUUACUUGAACCAUCGAAAAUAAAGCUUUCUAGCUAAUCCCUUGGCACCAAUUUGUGGUUGGGUAAAAAUAAGGAGGAAUGGCCACCGUGCACCCAGAUCGACAUGCAUGUCACUUACAACGUGGGGUUGUCCAUGUAUCUCUCACGGCCACACUUUUUUCUCCUAAGCAUGCUAUUUAACCGGACAAUGGCCAGAACUCCAUCCAGAAACCAUCAUCUCCUCAUCAACAACCUCCUUCUCAACCCGUCAUACGUACCUUGUGGAAGUAGUCUCAAGAAAGAAUGGCGCUGAAUACUAGGAAUGCAAUCGUUGCCGUUCUCCUCCUCGUCGUGAUGGUCGUGGCGGUCUCAACACCAGCAGUAACUGCCCAAGAGGACUGCUGGGACAAAUGUUUCAAGGACUGCAAGGCAAAAAUGGCAAUGGAAGUGUGCAACCAAAAGUGCAUUGACUUUUGCAAGUAUCAAGCUGGAGCCGGAGAAUAUGUUAAGAUGGCUGGCGAUAAACUCAAGGAGGCCAAAACUGCCUCUCCAGAACAGGCCACUAAACUCAAGAAUGAAGCUACCACCUACUUAGAACGUGCCAAAGUCCUCAGCGAUAAAGCCGUGACCCCGUGAGUGUGAGUGCGCGCUCUUUUGUCUAUCGGUGUCGCUGCUGUUAUGGUGUCUAUGGAUGUUUUAUUUAUUUACUAUUAAAUUGUCGCGGUUGCAUCCCAUAUUUUUUGGUUUCUUUCAUUUUUGUCUCUUUGUUAACAGACCGUCUUUUGUAUUAUGACGACAUGCUUGUUCCGGUGACUCCCUUUCUCUGUUUUUAUUGUCGAGAUUACUCAUGUAUAAUGGUUUUCCAUUGAUUUGGAUACAUAAUAAUAAAGAUUCUUGCUUCCUUUUUAAUGCCA